Molecule: long non-coding RNA, 347430 nt
Filed under: Triticum aestivum (bread wheat)
Lineage: Eukaryota; Viridiplantae; Streptophyta; Magnoliopsida; Poales; Poaceae
Description: long non-coding RNA (TAES_LNC020797)
Source: RNAcentral
ACCCACUGUUAUCCUGUAACAAGGAUCUGCUGCCCUUGGCUUGUUGCAUAGAUGGCGCUCCAAGUGUUUUGCUUCCAAGCUGGACUGUCUAAGUAGUUACCAUGGUCAAUGUUAGUAUGUUUAAUUUACAGUGUGGCAGUUGAAACAAGGACAAAAGUUAUGUAAUCACCGGUCAGUUUAGUAUGUUCUCUUUGCAGUUGUGAAGCUUAAGCAAGACAAUGAUGCUCAAUUAGUAUUUAGUAUUGUAUCUUUGAGUAGAUUGUGCAAGCUCCUGUGGAAUUGAUACUGCAGAGUAAGUUACAAUGCAGAUUUGUUGAUCUACUCUCCAGUUGUGACUAUAAUACUGUCACCGCAAAAGAAAGUGACUAUGAUACUGGUCAUUUUGGCGUACAUUUGCUGCUUGUUUGAGUUCUUUUAAAUAAUAACUGAUACAUGUGCGUUUGUUUAAUUUUUCAUUCGGAACAAGGUUAUCCAAGUAAUAUUUUUUUCAGUUGUUUUGAAUCAUGGAAAUAUUUUUUUAGCCGCUUUGAAUCAUGGAAAUAUUUUUUAGCCGCUUUGAAUCAUGGAAAUAUUUUUUUCAGCUUUGCUGCACAAUAUUGCUCUUACCAAAUUGUAGAAUUUAACAGAGAACUGUGUUAGCCAAAUUUAGAGCCAAAUACUAUGGGAAACAUCCAUGGGCCAAAGCAUGAUCAUUCUUGAUUGUGCCAUCAUUGAAGUUCCAGUGGCAGCUGGAGGUCCUAGUUGCUUUGUGACUGUGGAUUGGCCCCGCCAUUGUCGCCGCCUAAAUAGGAGGUGAAGGAGGAGCCGCCCUUCCUGCGCUACUGUGGCGUCUAAAUUGGACUCCGCGUAAGGGAUGAAGGAGGAGCUACCCUCGUCGCCGCGCAACACAUUAGGCGGCUUAGAUCGGUCGACAUCACCGCCGAGACAUCUUUCGCGCGACAAGGAGAGGGCACGACCAUCACCACCCUGUUGUUGUGAAGGAGCCAUCCCUGGGGCUUGCGAACACGUGUGGGCCUCUUGCAUUACCUCGACCACGGAGGCGGCAACAUGUCAUCGCGCAACACCAUGACGGAGGCCGAGUCGAUGGUGCAGCAUGAAGCGCCAGGCCGCAUUCGUGAUGUCAGACAUUGCCUCGAACUAGGCCCUUGCUGGCCUUGCAUUGGCCUGGGUGGAGGACCUAUCUAGGAUCAUCACAGAGAUGUCCACAAGCUGACGGCAGCGCCUUAGUGACCAACUUGUCACGAUUGGCACGGACGAUUCGCUAUGUGCCGCCGUUCUCGUCGCACGCAAUGGCAAGACGAGGGGCAAGCGAAUUGGGGUAACGUCCGUAGUCAUGCACGCGACGGUGGAGGAAGUCGAGCGGCCAAUUAGGGAUGCCACUGCGCCUACGUGUCCUUCUGUCGCUGGAAGGGCCAUGGCGACUCCGACGAAGAAGGUCCCGUCGGCCAGGGAGUCCAUGCGUACGAGGUUAUCAUACGAUACCUCGUUUAGUUUUUUAGGUAUUAAACCAUUUAGUUGAACAUGUUAAAUAUCGUCCGAUUUAAUGUAAUAUGUCCAACUUUGCAUGAAUUAGGUCCAGUUUGCAUGAAAUUCGUUCGAUUUGCAUGAAAUUUAUCCUUUUAGUUUCAUUUUCAUCUGAAAUGUAGGCUGAUGUUUUAGACAUGUUGUUGGGUGGCCGGCUCCCAUAUCCGUCCAUGGACCCAUCAGGAUGCAUUCACGAACGGAUAGUGCCAAUUUAUGGGCAGCCUGUUGAAGACAAACUUGGCCACAUGGGUCGCAUGUCAUGUGGCGGUCCGUUGUCAUGCAUGCUCGGUCCGUCACAUGCAUAAACUAGUUGUGCCGGCACGCGACACACUUCGGGCUGUGCCUGGGCUGUAAAGCCAAUUCGACAUGCAGGCACGACACGAUGCACCGAAAUCAAUCCAAAUAGCCCCCAAAACAAUCAAUUAGAUCGAAAAGCACGACCAUGCAGGUUAAACGUGUGUCGAGCCAACCCGUUUACUAGAAAGAGGUUGUGCCUGGGUCUAAGGGCAUGGCACACGGUCCGACACGACAUGGCCGUGUAGAAACCAUGUCGUGCCAGGCAUGUUUAGCCCUUGGCCGGGCCAUGACUAGCCGUCCCCAUCUUUUUUUUGACGGGAAAUAUUUGGAGCUUUAUUCAACAAACGAAGCCUCUGCAGAAUUUGCAAGAAGGCUAGUUACAAUGAUGCUAGGUACAGAGUCAAACCAACAUUCUGUUACAUCCAAUGUGCUUGCAUGUCUAGCACAUAGGUGAGCAGGGUAGUUGGCUAAUCUAGGAAUAUGUUGAAUACAAAAAGACCUAAAACUAGUAGAGUGUUCCAAUAUUUCGGAUAGGAUAGGCGCCACAACUGUCCUAUCAUCAUGACGUGAGUUCCAGAGAUUAAUGACCUCCAAGCAGUCGGAUUCCAUCACGACUUUCUUGUAGCCCCUGAGCUUUGCAAAAAUGGCGCCGUCCCGGAUUGCUAGGGCUUCAGAGAUGAGGGGGUCAGCAAUCCCCUGAUAAGGUUUACACCACACAGCUCUAAAAGUGGAGAGGGAACGAGCGAUUCCUCCCACCCCUCCUCUUCGAGCUUCCAAAGCAACACUGCCAUAAGUGUUUAUCUUGAUCUCACCCUCCUCGGGUGGCCUCCAACCAUGACCUGGAAGCAAACGAGCAUGUUCCUUAGGUAGAUCAAGCAAAGCUAAAGUAUCUCUGGUCAUUUUCAUGGACUGUAUCGGGUCAAGACCACCUUUAUCAUGAUUUGUAUUGUUUCGAGAAGUCCAUAUAGCCCACAUGAUCGUCACCAACUUGGCUCGAUCCGACUCAAAGAACUUGGGAUCACAAGUAAUGCCCUUUGACCAUGUUGUGGGGAACGUAGCAUGCAAUUUCAAAAAGUUUCCUACAAUCACGCAAGAUCUAUCUAGGAGAUGCAUAGCAACGAGAGGGGGAGAGUGUGUCUACGUACCCUCGUAGACUGAAAGCGGAAGCAUUAGGUUAACGCGGUUGAUGUAGUCGAACGUCUUCGCGAUCCAACCGAUCAAGUACCGAACGUACGACAUCUCCGAGUUCAGCACACGUGCAGCUCGAUGACGUCCCUCGUCUUGAUCCAGCAAAGUGUCAAGGGAGAGUUUCAUCAGCAUGAUGGCAUGGUGAUGGUGAUGGUGAUGUGAUCCGCGCAGGGCUUCGCCUAAGAACUACGACGAUAUGACCGAAGGAGUAAACUAUGGAGGGGGGCACCGCACAUGGCUAAGAGAACAACUGAUGUGCUUUGGGGUGCCCCCUGCCCCCGUAUAUAAAGGAGGAGAGGGAGGAGGCUGGCCAUAGGGGGCGCGCCAUGAGGGGGGGAGGAACCGACUAGGAUCCUAGUCCUAGUUGCCCCCUUCCUUUAUUUUGGAGGGGGAAAAGGGAAGGAGAGGGAGAGGGGGAAGGAAAGGGGGGCCGCGCCCCCUCCCCUUGUCCAAUUCGGACAGCCCAUGGGGGGCACCCCUUGCAGGCUCCCCUCUCUCUCCCCUAUGGCCCAUGUAGGUGUUGGUGAACGUAGCAUGCAAUUUCAAAAAAUUCCUACGAUCACGCAAGAUCUAUCUAGGAGAUGCAUAGCAACGAGAGGGGGAGAGUGUGUCCACGUACCCCCGUAGACCGAAAGGUUAACGCGGUUGAUGUAUUCGAACAUCUUCGCGAUCCAACCGAUCAAGUACCGAACGUACGACACCUCCGAGUUUAGCACACGUUCAGCUCGAUGACGUCCCUCGAACUCUUGAUCCAGCAAAGUGUCGAGGGAGAGUUUCGUCAGCACGACGGCGUGGUGACGGUGAUGGUGUUGUGUGAUAUGCCCAUUUUGCAUCAUGUUUUUUACUGUUAUUUAUAAUGGUUUUAUCCAUAAUAAUGCUUUUUGGAGUAAUUCUAAUGCCUUUUCUCUCAUAAUUUGUAAGGAACACACCAAGAGGGAGAAUUCCGGCAGCUGGAAAUCUGGACCUGUGAAAGCUACGUCAGGCCACCUAUUUUGCACAACUCCAAAUGAGCUGGAACUUCAUGGAGAUUUUUUAUGGAUUAUUUAAUAAAUACUUGAGCCAAUAAACACCAGAGGGGGGCCACCAGGUGGGCACAACCCACCUGGACGCGCCAGGCCCCCCAGGCGCGCCCUGGUGGGUUGUGGCCUCCUCGGCCCACCUCCGGUACCCAUCUUCUGGUAUAUAGGUCAUUUUGACCUAGAAAAAAAUAAGGAGAGGACUUUUGGUACAAAGCGCCGCCGCCUCGAGGCGGAACUUGGGCAUGAGCACUUUUGCCCUCUGGCGAAGCGAUUCCACCGGAGGAACUUCCCUCCCGGAAGGGGAAAUCAUCGUCAUCAUCAUCACCAACAACUCUCCCAACUUGGGGAGGGCAAUCUCCAUCAACAUCUUCAACAACACCAUUUCCUCUCAAACCCUAGUUCAUCUCUUGUGUUCAGUCUUGUUACCGGAACUAUAAAUUGGUGCUUGUGGGUGACUAGUAGUGUUGAUUACAUCUUGUAGUUGAUUACUAUAUGGUUUAUUUGGUGGAAUAUUAUAUGUUUAGAUCCAUUAUGCUAUUUAAUACUCCUCUGAUCAUGAACAUGUUUAUCAUUUGUGAGUAGUUACUUUUGUUCUUGAGGUCACGGGAGAAGUCAUGUUGCAAGUAAUCAUGUGAACUUGAUAUGUGUUUGAUAUUUUGAUAGUAUGUAUGUUGUUAUUCCCUUAGUAGUGUCAUGUGAACGUCGACUACAUGACACUUCACCAUAUUUGGGCCUAAGGGAAUGCAUUGUGGAUUCGUAAUUAGAUGGUGGGUUGCGAGAGUGACAGAAGCUUAAACCCCCCGUUGAUGCGCUAUUUCGUAAGGGACCGAUUGGAUCCAAAAGUUUAAUGCUAUGGUUAGAAUUUAUUCUUAAUACUUUCCUCAUAGUUGCGGAUGCUUUCGGGAGGGUUAAUCAUAAGUAGGAUGUUUGUUCAAGUAAGAACAGUACCUAAGCACCAAUCCACCCACAUAAUAAAUUAUCAAAGUAGAGAACACAAAUCAAACCAACAUGAUGAAAGUGACUAGAUAUUCCCGUGUAUCCUCAAGAACGCUUUGCUUAUCAUACGAGACCGUUUUGGCCUGUCCUUUGCCUCAAAAGGAUUGGGUUACAUUGUUGCACUUUUGUUACUAUUAUCGUUACUUGCUCGCUACAAAUUAUCUUGCUACCAAACUACUCCGCUACUUACAAUUUCAGCACUUGCAGACAAUACCUUACCGGAAAUUACUUGUCAUUUCCUUCUGCUCCUCGUUGGGUUCGACACUCUUACUUAUCGAAAAGAGCUACAAUUGAUCCCCUAUACUUGUGGGUCAUCAAGGCUAUUUUCCGGCAUCGUUGCCGGGGAGUGAAGCGCCUUUGGUAAGUGGAAUUUGGUAAGGAAACAUUUAUAUAGUGUGCUGAAAUUUAUUGUCACUUGUUACUUUAGAAAACAAUCCUUUGAGGGGUUUGUUCGGGGUAUCUUCACCUCGUCCAGAACCACAAUUAGCAACCCCUCAACCUACUGCACCUACUGAAAAUAUUGAAUAUGAAAUUCCUUCGGGUAUGAUAGAACAACUGCUAGCUAAUCCUUAUGCAGGAGAUGGAACCGAACAUCCUGAUAUGCACUUGAUAUAUGUUGAACAAAUUUGUGGAUUGUUCAAGCUUGCAGGUUUACCCAGGAAGUGAUGAAAAAGGUUCUCCCUUUAUCUUCUAAGGGAAAAGCAUUGGCAUGGUAUAGGCUAUGUGAUGAUAUUGGAUCAUGGAAUUGGAAUCGUUUGAAAUUGAAGUUCCACCAAAUUUUUUAUCAUAUAUAUAUAUAUAUAUAUAUAUAUAUAUAUAUAUAUAAUUUUUGGCCUCGUGAAGGAGAAAUUAUCGCUCUAGCUUCGGGGAGGCUUAAGUCAAUGUUAUAUUCAUGCCCCAAUCAUGAGCUCUCAAGAGAAAUUAUUAUCCAGAGUUUUUAUGCUCGGCUUUCUCGUAAUGAUCAAACCAUGUUUGAUACUUCUUGUGCUGGUUCAUUUAUAAAGAAGACUAUUGAAUUCUGGUGGGAUCUUUUGGAAAGAAUUAAACGCAACUCUGAAGAUUGGGAACUCGACAAAGGUAAAGAGUCAGGUAUUAAACUUAAGUAUGAUUGUGUUAAAUCUUUUAUGGAUACCGAUGCUUUUCAAAAGUUUAGCACUAAAUAUGGACUUGACUAUGAGAUAGUAGCCCCCUUUAGUGAAUCAUUUGCUACUCAUGUUGAAAUCCCUAAGGAGAAGUGGUUUAAAUAUCACCCAACCAUUAAAGAACCAAUACCAGUUAAAUAAGAAACUAUACUUUAUAAUGUUGAUCCAGUUGUUCCUUCUGCUUAUAUUGAGAAACCACCUUUCCCUGUUAGGAUUAAGGAACAUGCUAAAGUUUCAACUGUGAUUAACAAAAGUUAUAUUAGAACACCUAAACUUGAUGAACAAAUUAAAGUUGAACCUAGUAUUGCUAUGGUUAAAGAUCUCCUGGAAGAAGAUAUGGAUGGGCAUGUUAUUUACUUCUGUGAAGAAGCUGCUAGAAUUGCUAAACUUGAUAAAAGAGAUAAACAUAGACCUGUUGUUGGCAUGCCUGUUAUUUCAGUUAAAAUAGGAGACCACUGUUAUCAUGGUUUAUGUGACAUGGGUGCUAGUGUGAGUGCUAUUCCUUACACUUUAUAUGAAGAAAUCAUGAAAGACAUAUCACCUGAUAACCCAUGAGUAUAGGGGAUCACAACAGUUUUCAAGGGUAGAGUAUUCAACCGAAAUUUAUUGAUUCGACACAAGGGGAGCCAAAGAAUAUUCUCAAGUAUUAGCAGCUGAGUUGUCAAUUUAACCACACCUGGAAACUUAAUAUCUGCAGCAAAGUAUUUAGUAGCAAAGUAAUAUGAUAGUAGUGGUAAUGAUAGCAAAAGUAACGGUAGCAAAAGUAAUGUUUUUGGUAUUUUGUAGUGAUGAUAACAAUGGCAACAGAAAAGUAAAUAAGCGAAGAACAAUAUAUGGAAAGCUCAUAGGUAAUGGAUCAGUGAUGGAGAAUUAUGCCGGAUGUGGUUCAUCAUGUAACGGUCAUAACCUAGGGUGACACAGAACUAGCUCCAAUUCAUCAAUGUAAUGUAAGCAUGUAUUCCGAUUAUAGUCAUACGUGCUUAUGGAAAAGAACUUGCAUGACAUCUUUUGUCCUACCCUCCCGUGGCAGCAGGGUCCUAGCAGAAAUUAAGGGAUAUUAAGGCCUCCUUUUAAUAGAGUACCGGACCAAAGCAUUAACACAUAGUGAAUACAUGAACUCCUCAAACUACGAUCAUCACCGGAAGUGGUCCCGAUUAUUGUCACUUCGGGGUUACCGGAUCACAACACAUAAUAUGUGACUAUAGACUUGCAAGAUAGGACCAAGAACUCUCAUAUAUUGAUGAAAACAUAAUAUGUUCAGAUCUGAAAUCAUGGCACUCGGGCCCUAGUGACAAGCAUUAAGUAUAGCAAAGUCAUAGCAACAUCAAUCUCAGAACAUAGUGGAUACUAGGGAUCAAACCUUAACAAAACUAACUCGAUUACAUGAUAAAUCUCAUCCAACCCAUCACCGUCCAGCAAGCCUACGAUGGAAUUACUCACGCACGGGGUGAGCAUCAUGAAAUUGGUGAUGGAGGAUGGUUGAUGAUGACGAUGGCGGCGAAUUCCCCUCUCCGGAGCCCCGAACGGACUCCAGAUCAGCCCUCCCGAGAGGUUUUAGGUCUUGGCGGCGGCUCCGUAUCAUAAAACGCGAUGAAUCCUUCUUAUUUAUUUUUUCUCCCCGAAAGCAAAUAUAUAGAGUUGGAGUUGAGGUCGGAGGAGCUCCAGGGGGGCCACGAGGUAGGGGAGCGCGCCCAGGGGGCAGGUGCGCCCCCACCCUCGUGGCUAGGGUGUGGGCCCCCUGGUCUUCAUCUUUUGCAAGGAUUUUUUUUAUGAUUUCCAAAAAGACGUUCCGUGAAGUUUUAGGUCAUUCCGAGAACUUUUGUUUCUGCACAUAAAUAACACCAUGGCAAUUCUGCUGAAAACAGCGUCAGUCCGGGUUAGUUCCAUUCAAAUCAUGCAAGUUAGAGUCCAAAACAAGGGCAAAAGUGUUAGGAAAAGUAGACACGACGGAGACGUAUCAACUCCCCCAAGCUUAAACCUUUGCUUGUCCUCAAGCAAUUCAGUUGACAAACUGAAAGUGAUAAAGAAAAACUUUUACAAACUCUGUUUGCUCUUGUUGUUGUAAAUAUGUAAAGCCAGCAUUCAAGUUUUCAGCAAAGAUUAUGAACUAACCAUAUCCACAAUAAUGCUCAGGUCUCAUGUUUACUCAUAUCAAUGGCAUAAUCAACUAGCGAGCAAUAAUAAUAAAUCUCGGAUGACAACACUUUCUCAAAACAAUCAUAAUAUGAUAUAACAAGAUGGUAUCUCGCUAGCCCUUUCUGAGACCGCAAAACAUAAAUGCAGAGCACCUUUAAAGAUCAAUGACUGACUAGACAUUGUAAUUCAUGGUAAAAGAGAUCCAGUCAAGUCAUACUCAAUGUAAACUAACAGUAAUGAAUGCAAAUGACAGCGAUGCUCUCCAACUGGUGCUUUUUAAUAAGAGGAUGAUGACUCAACAUAAAAGUAAAUAGAUAGGCCCUUUGCAGAGGGAAGCAUGGAUUUGUAGAGGUGCCAGAGCUCGGUUUUGAAAUAGAGAUGAAUAAUAUUUUGAGCGAUAUACUUUCAUUGUCAACAUAACAACCAAGAGAUGGCGAUAUCUUCCAUGCUACACACAUUAUAGGCGGUUCCCAAACAGAAUGGUAAAGUUUAUACUCCCCCUCCACCAACAAGCAUCAAUCCAUGGCUUGCUCGAAACAACAAGUGCCUCCAACUAACAAGAGUCCCAGGGGGAGUUUUGUUUGCAAUUAUUUUGAUUUGAUUUGCAUAAAGCAUGGGAAUGGGCAUCCCGGUGACCAGCCAUUUUCUCAUGAGUGAGGAGCGGAGUCCACUCCUCUUGAGAAUAACCCGCCUAACAUGGAAGAUACGGACAACCCUAGUUGAUACAUGAGCUAUUCGAGCAUACAAAACAGGAUAUUUAUUUGAAGGUUUAGAGUUUGGCACAUACAAAUUUACUUGGAACGGCAGGUAGAUACCAUAUAUAGGUAGGUAUGGUGGACUCAUAUGGAAUAACUUUGGGGUUUAUGGGAUUGGAUGCACAAGCAGUAUUCCCGCUUAGUACAGGUGAAGGCUAGAAAAAGAUUGGGAAGCGAUCAGCUAGAGAGCGACAACAGUCAUGAACAUGCAUUAAAAUUAAUCAACACAGAAUGCAAGCAUGAGUAGGAUAUAAUCCACCAUGAACAUAAAUAUCCCGACGGCUAUGUUGAUUUUGUUUCAACUACAUGCGUGAACAUGUGCCAAGUCAAGUCACUUAAAUCAUUCAGAGGAGGAUAGCACCCUAUCAUACCACAUCACAACCAUUUUAAUAGCAUGUUGGCACGCAAGGUAAAUCAUUGUAAGCUCCUAGCUAAUCAAGCAUGGCACAAGAAACUAUGAUCUCUAGUUGUCAUUGCAAACAUGUUUAUUCAUAAUAGGCUGAAUCAGGAACGAUGAACUAAUCAUAUUUACAAAAACAAGAGAGGUCGAGUUCAUACCAGCUUUUCUCAUCUCAGUCAGUCCAUCAUAUUGUCAUAAUUGCCUUUCACUUGCACGACCGAACAAUGUGGAUAAUAAUAAUAGUGCAUGUGCAUUGGACUAAGCUGGAAUCUGCAAGCAUUCAAUAAACAGGAGAAGACAAGGCAGUAUGGGCUCUUUUGUCAAAUCAACAAUAAUGCAUAUAAGAGCCACUUCAACAAUUUAAUUAUGGUCUUCUCCUAUCGACCCCCAAAGAAAAGAAAAGAAAUAAACUAUUUACACGGGAAAGCUCCCAACAAGCAAAAGAAGAACAAGAAAUAUUUUUGGGUUUUCUUUUUAAUUAAUACUACAAGCAUGGAAAUUAAAACUAGAUAAAAGCUACAACUAUUUUUUUUGUUUUUCUUAAGGUUUAUUAAACACACAAGAAGAAAGCAUAAAAAGGAAAUAAACUAGCAUGGAUGAUACAAUGAAAUGUAUGAGCACCGACAUCUAGCAAUGAGUGUGUGAACAUGAAUAUAAUGUCGGUGAGAAAUACGUACUCCCCCAAGCUUAGGCUUUUAGCCUAAGUUGGUCUAUGGCCACGGUUGGCCUGGCGGAUAUCCAUAGUAAUAGUUGGGGUCAUACUGCGAUGCAGCAGUCAUUGCAUCGUGGGCUGCAGCUUGGAGGCAAGCUAUCUCAGCUCUCCUCUUAUACUCUUCCGCCUCCUCUUUGGUUAUAAAAUAUCUCCUUUUUGCCUGAAAGUCAACGAAAGUAGAAGCAGGGAGAGCGACGUGAUAGGUGCGUCGUCUCUCAAAGAUUAGUCGGUACUGGAGGAACUGAUCGUUCCUCUCAACAAACUGGUGACGAACCAUAGCCUCAUAAUCCAAAUAAGCAGGGGGCAACUCAAUAUCAUCUUCACGUAUGGUUAUACCAAGAAAAUUAGCUAUGCGGGUUGCAUAAAUUCCACCAAAGAAAUCUCCAUUAAAUCUAUUAAGAUGCAACCUACGUGCAACAAUGGCUCCCAAAUUAUAAGAUUUAUCUCCUAACACAGCACUCCUAAGAAUACUGAGGUCAGGGACACACAUGUGACAUGCCUCGUCUUUACCAUUCAUGCACCUACCUAUGAAGAGAGCAAAAUAAUGUAUAGCAGGAAAAUGAAUGUUCCCUAUGGUAGCUUGUGCUAUAUCUCUAGAUUCCCCCACAGUUAUACUAGUAAGAAAAUCUCUAAAUUCAGAUUUGCGAGGUUCACUAGCACUACCCCGUUGUGGAAGUUUGCAAGCAGUGGUAAAGUCCUCUAAGUCCAUAGUAUAAGAAUUUUCAUAAAGAUCGAACAGGACAGUUUGAGAAUUGCGUGAAGAUGGAAAUUCAAACCUCCUCACAAAGGAACUAGGGAGAUAGUGGUACUGACGGCACUUUUCUGCCUCGAAGCUCACAAGAUUAGCGUUACGCAAAUAUGCGUUAAAUUCUUCCUUAGUUCCUGCUCGAUCCAUGAAGUCCUCUAACGGCCAUUCACAAGGCCGCAUUGGGGCGUCCCUUGGUGGUUCAUCAUUAGCAUCACGCAUUGCAAGCCUGGGUCCUUGCUUCCUUGAAGAACCACCUUGGUACAUUUUCCUAAGCAUAUUUUUUCCUCUGAAAUUUUUAGUAACUUCAAAUAAAAGUAAACCAAACUCAACAAUAUUGAUAGCAACUACUCCUACAAGUGCCUAGAGCAUAUAUCAUGCAUUAGAACUACUUGGAACCAUAUAAAUUUGACAUGCAAGCUCAAGAACAUGGUCACCUAGGCAGCACAAAUUUGCAAUGAAUAAAACACUAGAACAAAAACUAAUUGGACCAAUGGAGGAGUCACAUACCAAGGAACAAUCACCCAAAACAGUUUUGUGAGAGGUGCUUUGAGCAAGGAGAUCGAAAAUCGCAGCAAAAUGAGCUAGAACUCGUGCUUGAGCUGGAUGGUGAUUUUUUUGGGAGGAAGAAGAAGUGUGUGGGUGCAGGAAUAAGUGGAGGGGAGCCACCAUGGGCCCACGAGGCAGGGGGCGCGCCCAGGGGGUGGGCGCACCCUGGACCCUCGUGGCCAGGUGCUUGCUCCCCCUGCUGUGUUCUCAGUGCCAGAUAUUCUCAAAUAUUCCAUAAAAAAUCAUAUUUAAAUUUCAGGGCAUUUGGAGAAUUUCAUUUUCGGGGUAUUUUUAUAUUGCACAGAUAAUUCAGAAAACAGACAGAAAUUACUAUUUUUGCUUUAUUUAAUAUAAAUAACAGAAAGUAAAAAGAGGGUACAGAGAGUUGUGUUUUCUAACUUCAUCCAUCUCAUGCUCAUCAAAAGGAAUCCACUAACAAGGUUGAUCAAGUCUUGUUAACAAACUCAUUCCGAGUAUCAUGGAACCAGAGAAUUUUCGAAUAACACUAGAUUACCUCAACGGGGAUAUGGACAUCCCCAACAACAAGAAUAUUAUAUUUCCUCUUGACAGUAGGAAGAGGAAAUUCAAAACCUCCAAAAAUAAUCGAUGGGAUUUCUCCAAUAGAAUUGAUACUGUGAACUUGAGGUUGUUUCCUCAGAAAGUGUACCGUAUGCUCAUUACCAUUAACAUGAAAAGUGACAUUGCCUUUGGUGCAAUCAAUAACAGCCCCUGCAGUAUUCAAAAAAGGUUUUCCAAGAAUAAUAGACAUACUAUCGUCCUUGGGAAUAUCAAGAAUAACAAAGUCCGUUAAAAUAGUAACGUUUGCAACCACAACAGGCACAUCCUCACAAAUACCGACAUGUAUAGCAGUUGAUUUAUCAGCCAUUUGCAAAGAUAUUUCAGUAGGUGUCAACUUAUUCAAAUCAAGUCUACGAUAUAAAGAGAGAGGCAUAACACUAACACUGGCUCCAAGAUCGCAUAAAGCAGUUCUAACAUAGUUUCUUUUAAUGGAGCAAGGUAUAGUUGGUAGUCCGGGAUCUCCUAGUUUCUUAGGUAUUCCACCUUUAAAAGUAUAAUUAGCAAGCCUGGUGGAAAUUUCAGCUUCCGGUAUCUUUCUUUUAUUAGUAACAAUAUCUUUCAUAUACUUAGCAUAAGGAUUCAUUUUAAGCAUAUCAGUCAAACGCAUACGCAAAAAGAUAGGUCUAAUCAUUUCAGCAAAGCGCUCAAAAUCCUCAUCAUCCUUUUUCUUGGAUGGCUUAGGAGGAAAAGGCAUGGGUUUCUGAACCCAUGGUUCUCUUUAUUUACCAUGUUUCCUAGCAACAAAGUCUCUCUUAUCAUAACGUUGAUUCUUUGAUUGUGGGUUAUCAAGAUCAACAACAGGUUCAAUUUCUAUAUCAUUAUCAUUGCUAGGUUGAGCAUCAACAUGAACAUUAUCAUUAACAUUAUCACUAGUUUCAUGUUCAUUACCAUAUUGUGGUUCAGCAUCAGAAAUAGAAAUAUCAUUUGGAUUCUCAGGUGUUUCAGUAAUGGUUUCACUAGAAGCAUGCAAAUUCCUAUCAUUUUUCUUUUUCUUCCUUUUAGAAGGGCUAGGUGCAUCUAUAUUAUUUCUCUGAGAAUCUUGCUCAAUUCUCUUAGGGUGGCCUUCAGGAUACAAAGGUUCCCGAGUCAUUUUACCACCUCUAGUCAUAACUCUAACAACAUUAUCAUUAUUCUUACUAUUCAAUUCAUUGAGCAAAUCAUUUUGAGCUUUAAGUACUUGUUCUACUUGAGUGGUAACCAUAGAAGCAUGUUUACUAAUAAGUUUACCUUUGACAUUAGCCAUAUAAUCACCCAAGUUUUCAAGCAUAUCAGCACUACGUUUUAAUUCUCUACCAAAAUAAGCAUUGAAGUCUUCUUGCUUAACCAUAAAUUUAUCAAACUCAUCUAAGCAUGGGCUAGCAAACUUAGUAAAUGGGAUUUCAGCUUUAUCAUAUCUAUAGAGAGAAUUUACCUUUACUACAUGUGUCGGGUUAUCAAGAUCAUGUAUUUCUUCAAUAGGUGAUGGAUUAAAACUAUGCAUUUCUUCGACAGGCGGUAAAUUAAGACCAUGUAUUUCUCCAAUAGGAGGUAAAUUCUUAACAUCUUCAUCUUUAAUACCCUUUUCUUUCAUGGAUUUCUUUGCCUCUUGCCUAUCCUCAGGGCUGAGAAAUAGAACACCUCUCUUCUUCGGAGUUGGUUUAGGAAUAGGCUCAGGAAGUGUCCAAUUAUUUUCAUUAGUCAACAUAUUAUUCAAUAGAAUUUCAGCUUCAUCCGGUGUUCUUUCCCUAAAAAGAGAACCAGCACAACUAUUCAGGUAAUCUCUGGAAGCAUCGGUUAGUCCAUUAUAAAAGAUAUCAAGUAUUUCAUUUUUCUUAAGAGGAUGAUCAGGCAAAGCAUAAAGUAAUUGGAGAAGCCUCCCCAAGCUUGUGGGAGACUCUCUUCUUCAAUUUGCACAAAAUUAUAUAUAUCCCUUAAUGCAGCUGGUUUCUUAUGAGCAGGGAAAUAUUUAGCAGAGAAGUAAUAAAUCAUAUCCCGGGGACUACGCACACAACCAAGAUCAAGAGAAUUAAACCAUAUCUUAGCAUCACCCUUUAAUGAGAACGGAAAUAUUUUAAGGAUAUAGAAGUAGCAAGUUCUCUCAUCAUUAGUGAACAAGGUGGCUAUAUCAUUUAAUUUAGUAAGAUGUGCCACAACAGUUUCAGAUUCAUAGCCAUAAAAAGGAUCAGAUUCAACCAAAGUAAUUAUAUUAGGAUCAACAGAGAAUUCAUAAUCCUUAUCAGUAACACAGAUAGGUGAAGUAGCAAAAGCAGGGUCAGGUUUCAUUCUAGCAUUAAGGGAUUGUUGCUUCCAUUUACCUAAUAACCUCUUUAGAUCAUAUCUAUCAUUGCAAGCUAAAAUAGCUCUAGCAGAUUCUUCAUCCAGAAAAUAACCCCCAGAAACAACAAGCAAUUCAUAUUUAUUAGGGGGAGAGUCUUCAUUAUCACUUUUGUCAAUAUUAUCAGUUUCAAUAAUUUCAUUCUCUCUAACCCUAGCAAGUUGUUCAUCAAGAAAUUCACCAAGUGGCAUAGUAGUAUCAAGCGUAGAAGUAAUUUCAUCAUAAGUAUCAUGCAUAGCAGAAGUGACAUCAUCAAUAACAUGCGACAUAUCAGAAUGAAUAGUAGAAGCAGGUGGAGUAUUCAACCCAAAUUUAUUGAUUCGACACAAGGGGAGCCAAAGAAUAUUCUCAAGUAUUAGCAGCUGAGUUGUCAAUUCAACCACACCUGGAAACUUAAUAUCUGCAGGAAAGUAUUUAGUAGCAAAGUAAUAUGAUAGUAGUGGUAAUGAUAGCAAAAGUAACGGUAGCAAAAGUAAUGUUUUUGGUAUUUUGUAGUGAUGAUAACAAUAGCAACGGAAAAGUAAAAAAGCGAAGAACAAUAUAUGGAAAGCUCGUAGGCAAUGGAUCAGUGAUAGAGAAUUAUGCCGGAUGUGGUUCAUCAUGUAACAGUCAUAACCUAGGGUGACACAGAACUAGCUCCAAUUCAUCAAUGUAAUGUAGGCAUGUAUUCUGAAUAUAGUCAUACGUGCUUAUGGAAAAGAACUUGCAUGACAUCUUUUGUCCUACCCUCCCGUGGCAGCGGGGUCCUAGCGGAAACUAAGGGAUAUUAAUGCCUCCUUUUAAUAGAGUACAGGACCAAAGCAUUAACACAUAGUGAAUACAUGAAGUCCUCAAACUACGGUCAUCACCGGAAGUGGUCCCGAUUAUUGUCACUUCGGGGUUACCGGAUCAUAACACAUAAUAGGUGACUAUAGACUUGCAAGAUAGGAUCAAGAACUCUCAUAUAUUGAUGAAAACAUAAUAGGUUCAGAUCUGAAAUCAUGGCACUCGGGCCCUAGUGACAAGCAUUAAGCAUAACAAAGUCAUAGCAACAUCAAUAUCAGAACAUAGUGGAUACUAGGGAUCAAACCCUAACAAAACUAACUCGAUUACAUGAUAAAUCUCAUCCAACCCAUCACCCUCUAGCAAGCCUAUGAUGGAAUUACUCACGCACGACAGUGAGCAUCAUGAAAUUGGUGAUGGAGGAUGGUUGAUGAUGAUGAUGGCGACGGAUUCCCCUCUCCGGAGCCCUGAACGGACUCCAGAUCAGCCCUCCCGAGAGGUUUUAGGGCUUGGCGGGGGCUCCGUAUCGUAAAAUGUGAUGAAUCCUUCUUCUCUAUUUUUUCUCCCCGAAAGCAAAUAUAUAGAGUUGGAGUUGAGGUCAGAGGAGCUCCAGGGGGCCCACGAGGCAGGGCACGCCCAGGGAGGGGGGCAGGCGCGCCCCCACCCUUGUGGCUAGGGUGUGGGCCCCCUGGUCUUCAUCUUUUGCAAGGAUUUUUAUUAUUUCCAAAAAGACGUUCCGUGAAGUUUCAGGUCAUUCCGAGAACUUUUGUUUCUGCACAUAAAUAACACCAUGGCAAUUCUGCUGAAAACAACAUCAGUCCGGGUUAGUUCCAUUCAAAUCAUGCAAGUUAGAGUCCAAAACAAGGGCAAAAGUGUUUGGAAAAGUAGAUAUGACGGAGAUGUAUCAGCACCCACUGAGAUAGAAGAAAUAGAUGUCACUAUUAAACUUGCUAAUAGAGACACCAUAUCACCAAUUGGGAUUAUUAGAGAUGUUGAAGUCUUGUGUGGGAAAAUAAAAUACCCUACUGAUUUUCUUGUUCUUGGUUCCCCACAAGAUGACUUUUGUCCCAUUAUCUUUGGUAGACCUUUCUUGAAUAUAGUUAAUGCUAAGAUAGAUUGUAAGAAACAAACUGUUGGUGUUAGCUUUGGUGAUGAGUCUCAUGAGUUUAAUUUUUCCAAGUUUAGUAGAAAUCAUCAUGAAAAAGAAUUGCCUAGUAAGGAUGAAUUAAUUGGUCUUGCUUCUAUUGUUGUUCCACCUACUGACCCUUUAGAACAAUAUUUGCUAGAGCAUGAAAAUGAUUUACAUAUGCAAGAAAGAAAUGAAAUUGAUAAGGUUUUCUUUGAACGGCGUGCUCUGCUUAAACACAAUUUGCCUAUUGAAACUCUAGGAGGUCCUCCUCCACUUAAAGGUGAUCCUGUGUUUGAAUUAAAACAAUUGCCAGUCACUUUGAAAUAUGCUUAUCUCGAUGAAAAGAAGAUAUAUCCUGUUAUUAUUAGUGCUAACCUUUCAGAACAUGAAGAAGGAAGAUUAUUGAAAGUUCUAAGGAAGCACCGGGCUGCUAUUGGAUAUACUCUUAAUGAUUUAAAGGGCAUUAGUCCCACUCUAUGUUAGCACAAAAUUAAUAUGGAACCUGAUGCUAAACCCAUUGUUGAUCACCAACGUUGGUUGAAUCCAAAAAUGAAGGAAGUGGUAAGAACGGAAAUCUUAAAACUUCUAGAAGCAGGUAUAAUCUAUCUUAUAGCUGAUAGUAGAUGGGUAAGUCCUGUUUAUUGUUUCCUUAAGAAAGGAGGUAUUAUUGUUGUUCCUAAUGAUAAGAAUGAACUUAUUCCACAAAGAAUUGUUACAGGCUAUAGAAUGGUAAUUGAUUAUAGAAAAUUAAACAAAGCAACUAGAAAAGAUCAUUACCCCUUGCCUUUUAUUGAUCAAAUGCUUGAAAGAUUAUCUAAGCACACACACUUUUGCUUCCUAGAUGGAUACUCUAGCUUUUCACAAAUACCUGUUUCUCAACCUGAUCAAGAAAAUACUACUUUUACUUGUCCCUUUGGAACUUAUGCUUAUAGACGUAUGCCUUUUGGUUUAUGUAAUGCACCGGCUGCCUUUCAAAGAUGUAUGACUGCUAUAUUCUCUGACUUUUGUGAAAAGAUUGUUGAUGUUUUCAUGGAUGACUUUUCUGUUUAUGGGAAGUCUUCUGAUGAUUAUUUAAGCAAUCUUGAUCAAGUUUUGCAGAGUUGUGAACAAACAAAUCUUGUCUUGAAUUAGGAGAAGUGUCACUUUAUGGUUAAUGAAGGCAUUGUCUUGGGUCAUAAAAUUUCUGAAAGAUGUAUUGAAGUGGACCAAGCUAAGGUUGAUGCAAUUGAGAAAAUGCCAUGUCCUAAGGACAUCAAAGGUAUUCGUAGUUUCUUGGGUCAUGCUAGUUUCUAUAGGAGAUUUAUCAAAGACUUUUCUAAAAUUUCUAGGCCUCCUACUAAUCUUUUGCUAAAGGAUAUUCCUUUUGUUUUUGAUGAUGAUUAUUCAGAAGCCUUUGAAACACUCAAGAAAGCCUUAAUAUCUGAACCUAUUGUUCAACCACAUGAUUGGAACUUGCCUUUUGAAAUUAUGUGUGAUGCUAGUGAUUAUGUUGUUGGUGCUGUUCUAGGACAAAGAGUUGAUAAGAAACUUAAUGUUAUUCAUUAUGCUAAUAAAACUCUAGACAGUUCUCAAAGAAAUUAUGCUACUACUGAAAAAGAAUUCUUAGCAGUGGUGUUUGCUUGUGAUAAAUUUAGAUCUUAUAUUGUUGAUUCCAAAGUAACUGUUCACACAGACCAUGCUGGUAUUAAAUAUCUUAUGGAAAAGAAAGAUGCUAAACCUAGACUUAUUCGUUAGGUUCUCUUGUUACAAGAAUUUGAUUUGCGAAUCAUUGAUAGAAAAGGAGCCGAGAACCCCAUAGCUGAUAAUUUGUCUAGGCUUGAAAAUGUGCUUGUUGACCCACUACCUAUUGAUGAUAGUUUUCCUGAUGAGCAGUUAGCUGCAAUAAAUGUUGCUAAUAGUACUCCUUGGUAUGCUGACUAUGCUAAUUACAUUGUUGCUAAAUAUUUACCACCUAGCUUUACAUACCAGCAAAAGAAAAAAAAUCUUCUAUGAUUUAAGACAUUACUUUUGGGAUGACCCACAUCUUUAUGAAGGAGUAGAUGGUAUUAUUAGACAUUGUGUACCUGAGCAUGAACAGGGACAAAUCCUACGGAAAUGUCACUCUGAGGCUUAUGGAGGGCAUCAUGCUGGAGAUAGAACUGCUCACAAGGUAUUGCAAUCUGGAUUUUAUUGGCCUACUCUAUUCAAGGAUGCCCGUAAGUUUGUCUCUUUUUGUGAUGAAUGUCAAAGAAUAGGUAAUAUCGAUACGCGUCAAGAAAUGCCUAUGAAUUAUUCACUUGCUGUUGAACCAUUUGAUAUUUGGAGAUUUGAUUACAUGGGACCUUUUCCUUCCUCUAAUGGGUAUACACAUAUUUUGGUUGUCGUUGAUUAUGUUACUAAAUGGGUAGAAGCCAUUCCAACCAGUAGUGCUGAUCACAACACCUCUAUUAAAAUGCUUAAGGAAGUUAUUUUCCCAAGGUUUGGAGUCCCUAGCUAUUUAAUGACUGAUGGUGGUUCACACUUUAUUCAUGGUGCUUUCCGUAAGAUGGUUGCUAAGUAUGAUGUUAACCAUAGAAUUGCAUCACCAUAUCAUCUUCAGUCUAGUGGUCAAGUUGAACUUAGCACUAGAGAAAUAAAAUUAAUUUUACAAAAUACUGUUAAUAGGUCCAUGAAGAAUUGGUCUAAGAAAUUAGAUGAUGCACUUUGGGCUUAUAGAACAACAUAUAAAAAUCCUAUGGGUAUGUCCCCUUAUAAAAUGGUUUAUGGAAAAGCUUGUCAUUUGCCUCUUGAGUUAGAACAUAAAGCAUAUUGGGUAGUUGAAGAACCCAAAUAUGAUUUCAAACUUGCUGGUGAAAAGAGGUUAUUUGGUAUAAGCUCCUUAGAUGAAUGGAGAACCCAAGCUUAUGAGAAUGCAAAGUUAUUCAAAGAAAAAGUAAAAAGAUGACAUGACAAAAGAAUUCAAAAGCGCGAGUUUAAAGUUGGAGAAUAUGUUCUUUUGUACAACUCUCAUUUUUGAUUUUUUGCAGGAAAGCUCCUCUCGAAAUGGGAAGGCCCAUACAUCCUCGAGGAGGUUUAACAGUUUGGAGCCAUCAAAGUAAAUAACUCCGAAGGUACUAACCCGAAGGUUGUCAAUGGGCAACGAAUAAAGCAUUAUAUCUCAGGUACACCUAUCAAUGUUGAAAGUAAUAUUAUCUAACUUUGACACCGGAAGAACACAUAAAAUAGUCCUUCCGGAACACUCUAGAAUCGUGAAAUAAAGAAGUACGUGAUACGGUAAGUAAACAGACUCCGAAAAGUCCACAAAAAUAUUUUUUAUCAGUUUUGGAAUAUUUUAAAAUUUUGGAAAUAAAGAAACUUCCAGGAAGCGUCCCCUGGUGGGCACAAGACACCAGGGCGCGCUAGGCUGGCAUGACCAGGUGGGUUGUGCCCACUUGGGACACCUUCCGUACUCUGUUUUUCUAUCAUAUACUUGUCCUCCAAGAUAAAAAAUCUAUAUAUACUUCCCAAACCUGUUGAUCACCGUAUUGUGAAGAAAUCCUCUGUUCUCUUUCCUUGCUGUUUCUGGUUAGAUUUAUCAAGCCAGGCAUCAUGUCUUCUUGCUCCUCCAACAACAUGGAAGAAGAUGCUUGGCUGAUGAAGAUCAAGAUGAAGCAGGAGGAGCCUACGGACGCCCUCAAGGGAGACAAGGGCAAGAAAGCUACCUUGGAUCCACCCCCGGUGGCAGCACGAGAUCUGCUGGCCGAGGAGGAGGAAGAGGAUAUCCUUAAAACCUACCUUCCUCAUCUUACUCCCACUGAGAUUGAGGCUUUUCGCGUCAUUGAAAUAGUUCGCAUGCAGAAUAAGUAUCUUACUCGUGAAAAUAUUUUGCAUCAAGAGCAUAUCAUCCAUCUCCAGAGUGUCAUCCAAUGGUUGGAGAACCUCUUGAUCCUUAAGGAUAGGAUCGCUUCAUCACCACCAUCAUCUUCUUCACCACCAAAGGAGAAUUGAGUAUCGGGUAUGGGCACUCCCCUUGGCUUCCGCCAAGCUUGGGGGAGGUGCCCCUGUAUCGUAUCAUCCCACUAUCUCUUUGCUUUUACUUAUCCUAGUUCGAUCAUUUGCUUUUAGAUGAAAUAAAGUUUACUUCGAUUCUUUCUUCUUUGAGAUUUUGCUUAGUGAUCUAUCCUUGUAAUCGUGUGCAAGUUAUAUAAUAAAGUUAGUUUGAGUUUUUGCUUUCUUUACUUUCAUGUUGCAAAUAAAGAAAAGAAAAAAGAAAAAAAGAGAGAAAGGAAAUAAAUGAAGAAAGGAAAUAAAUCAAUAAGAUUAUAUACUAAUCCUAUGGUAGGUGAUGGCACCACAUAAGGAAAAGUAUAAAUAGAAAAUUUUAUAGAGAUUGACAAACAUAGAAUUAGUCAAUGAUGCAAUUCAUGAAAGAAUUAAUAAGGGAAGAGAAGAUUCACAUAUAGAUAUACUACACUAGAAAUCUUUUGUGAUUGUGAGCCCCCAUAAAAAUAUUAUAUGUCAAAAUUGUUGACAUUGGACAAGGAAGACAACUUAAUGGUUUAUGUUUGUUUAUAUUCACAUAGAAGUCAUAUUGUCAUAGAUCCUUUAACAUGUGAUGCUUGCCCCCUGUCUUUGCUAGCCAAAAAUUCUGUACUAAGUAGAGAUACCACUUGUGCAUCCAAAAACCCUUAAACCCAAAUCGUUUUCAAGUGUCCACCAUACCUACCUAGGGAUUGAGCAAGAUCCCUCAGGUAAUUUGUCAUCGGUGCAAAAAGGCAAUAAAUAUUGCUUCUAAAAGUGUGAGAUCAUUUAGUGUAAGAGAAAAUUGAGCGUUGUACGAACUUGGAUGACAAAGAAUAAAAGCGACAUACUGCAUAAUAAAGGUUGUCAUCUUAAGGGUCAUUACAACGUGACAUUCUCUUGCACUAAGGGAUUGAGCAUACAAACAAAUAAGCGCAUGGCAACUGUCGGUGUCAAAACCGGCGGAUCUCGGGUAGGGGUCCCGAACUGUGCAUCUAGGAUUGAUGGUAACAGGAGACGGGGGACACAAUGUUUACCCAGGUUCGGGCCCUUUCUAUGGAGGUAAUACCCUACUUCCUGCUUGAUUGAUUUUGAUGAAUAUGAGUAUUACAAGAGUUGAUCUACCACGAGAUCGUAAUGGCUAAACCCUAAAAGUCUAGCCUGGCUAUGAUUAUGAGGAUCUAUCUACGGACCUAGCCCUCUGGUUUAUAUAGACAAUGGAGGGAUAUAGGGUUACACAAGGUCGGUUAUAAAGAAAGGAAUCUUCAUAGUUGAUCGCCAAGCUUGCCUUCCACGCCAAGGAGAGUCCUAUCCGGACACGAGUAGAGUCUUCGGUCUUCGUAUCUUUACGGCCCAUCAUUUCGGCCCAUAUCCAAUAGAUCGGACACCCGAGGACCCCUUAGUCCAGGACUCCCUUAGUAGCCCCUGAACCAGGCUUCAAUGACGAUGUGUCCGGCGCGCAGAUUGUCUUCGGCAUUGCAAGGCAGGUUCCCUUUUUCGAAUACUCCAAGAUAGUCUUUGGAUGAAACAAAAUGUGUCCGGAUCUACAACACAAGUACCCCACACAGCCAAGUAGAGCAUAAUAUUUCACGAGUCCAACCUGCUGACAACUUUUUGUAACGUGGCAUCAUGUUUGCCCGGUCGUUAUUUCGAACCGUUUCCUGUUCCACGUUUCGAGGCAUGGUUUUUAUUGGCACGUUCUGUCGAAGCAGAGAUCGUGUCCCCUUAUUGUGGGAUCCUCAUUAAUACAAGCGUGGGUAACCCAACCGUUCCACUAGAAAGAUUUCUUAGGAAUGGGUAGGUUUUUAGGCUUAGGAGGAGGCGUUCGAUACCCGCUGCCUUUGUAAAGGAACCAAGGGCCGUCCUUUCAUGCCAAACCACUCCUCAACCUUUCCAACCUCGAGCUCUAGCACCCAAGAUUCAACUUCAUUGCUUCAAGCUUCCCCAUCAUGUCCGGACCCACCCAUCAAGGUCGAUAGGUGGCUUCCUCCGUCACGGAGGAGGAUAUUGCAAAGCUUCGGGCGGCCAGAUACCUGACCGCGGAGAUCCACCACAGGCUCCCUGCUCAAGGACAGUGUCGUGGAAUUGUCACAGCAGAUGUCCUAGUAGAAGGACCUGGUCAUAGGGCCAUCGCAACUAGGAAGCUUAAAGGGGUUAAUCGGGACAAAGGACACGAGAGGUUUUAUACUAGUUCGGCCCCUUACGAUGAAGGUAAAAGCCUACAUCUAGUUGUGUUGAGAUUGCUGGGGUUUCGAUCACCAAGAGGCUAGUUCACCGGCUUGGUUAUCGAUCUCUUGUUUCUUGCCCUAAGCCACCACCGGGUCGUCCCCUUAUAUACACGCGUUGACGCCUGGUGGCCUACAGAGUCCUGGCCAGCUCAUAAAUCGUGUCCGGCUCGGUGACUUCUUUUACAUUCCUUUCCUUACAAGUCUUUCCUUACAUACGGUGGUUUACAAUAUUGGGCCUUAAACCACCUCUAGGCCUUUAGGCCUUCUAUAAGAUUUAAUAAACUAUCAUCUUGAAUGUCUACUGGGCUUCCUUUGUGACCCGCCAUUGGGGCUGACCCGGCCCCUCCUGGGCGGGUCAUAACUGAUAGCUAUAUCCCCAACAUUAGGCCCCAGGUUGACUUUGAACUUUGUUCUUUGUCAAUCUUCAACACUUAAACAAAAUCCAUCUUCUUAUCCUCGUAGAGGUUUUUGUAACCCGCCAUGACAUCAUCUCUUGAAAACACGAAAAAAAUUUAUGACGUCAUCUCCCAACGGAUCUUCAUAUUUAAUGCCUUCCGAGAAUCGAGGCGUCCAUUUAGUUAGAUAACCAUUAUCCGGGUCUUCCUUGAUUUUCGUGCCCACCUGUUCGCUUAUGCCCUUAUAAAUAGGCACGCCCCGGUCUUUUCUCAUUCCUCUCUCUUCUUCGUCUUCUUCCUCUCGCAACUCCACUGCAGCUCAAGCCCCGCCGCCAUCGCAGAGCAUCUCGUCGUCGUCGACUUUGGCCGCUGCAUCAACCAGAAUCGGUUCAGAGAACGGCGGCGAUCUUUCAUGGAGGAUCCGUGGCCGUAAGUAUUUGCCCUCCAUUCCUCAGAUCCACAUUUAGAGCUUCUAGGUUUUCCUGCAUGUUCUUUGUAGUUCUUCGCGGUUCUUCGCAGUUCUUCCACUGCCGCCUCUUCUUGAUCCAAAAAGAGAUGUAUGCUUAUGCGGUAGUUGUUUUGUGCUUGCUCUUGACACUGGUAGAUCCCUUUUCCCCAAUCUAGGGCCUCAUUAGGACUUACAAAUUCAUCUGCGCUAAACUUUUUAGGUCUAGAAUUUUUUCCAUUUUUGAACAGCCAUUUGAUCUAGAAUAAUACCAAGCAAUUUGGGAAACUUGUUUGUCUCAACACUUAGCUGAAUCUGCUUUCUCAAAUAUCUAUAGUCAUGGUGGCUUACUGUGCCGGCUUACUUUUCCUUAUAUGACAUUAUCCCUUACUUAAGCCGCAAUUACUCCCCUGUACCAUUACCACUUAAUUUAACCAUUAUCAUUGAAUUGAACCGGCAUGCUGCUUUCCUUUCAGUCCGUUUUUGAACAUCAUGCCGUCCAAAGCGCCAACUGUCUGCAACUGGGUUCCCUCAAUAGUCACCGAGGACACUCUGAAGGAAUUCUUUACCAUAGGUUUUUUGCCAGGGAAGAAUGUUAUGUCCUACCGUGCGCCUGACCCGGAGGAGGAACGGCCCAAUCCAAAAGAUGGUGAAGUUAUCGUCUUUUCUGAUCACAUGAACUGUGGCUUUUACCCACCCGGCUCAAAGUUCUUCAGAGAUGUCCUCCAUUUUUUCAAACUCCACCCUCAAGACCUCGGGCCUAAUUCCAUAUCCAAUAUUUGCAACUUCCAAGUUCUCUGCGAGGUGUACCUUCAAGAAGAACCGACUGUAGAACUCUUUAGAGAGUAUUUUUAUCUGAACCGCCAGAAUGAGUGCACCAAUGGCCCUAGCCUAGAACUUGGAGGUAUCUCAAUUCAGCAUUGACAAGGCGCCGUCUUCCCCCUAAUAGUCUUGCCAAGUCAUCCCAAGGACUGGAAUCAUACUUGGUUCUAUUGUCAAGACACUUCACCAGCAAAUGAGCAUCCACUGCCGGGUUAUCGCUCAGAGCGUCUUGAUUCCAAAUUUGCACUCCCUGACAAACUCACUGCCGCUGAACGCACGAAGCUGAUACCAUCCAUUAAAAGGAUUAAUGCUUUAUUGGGGAACGGCUUAACUGGAGUUGACUUGACCCGUUGCUGGGUUGCGUGGCGGGUCAUCCCUCUAAGUCGUCGAUCAAAAUUGAUGUAUGAAUAUGGUGGAGGCCCAGAUGACUCUCUUCGUCACAGCUCCGUUCAAUUAACUGAAGAAGAUAUUGUUUCAAUGUCAACCUUUUUGGUGAACGGAAAAUACGAAGACUGCAGUAAAGUCGGGUUAAACCCUUUCUGCAAGCUUAACCCGGUGCCAGAGGUAAAGAACCUCUGCUCUCUUCCUCUUUGCAUUUUUCUCAGCUGUUUUAAAUACUUGCAUGGCCUUUCAUCUUGCUUGUUUAUUUAUAGGCCAAAUCUGAUUUCUGGAAAGCCAAGUACGAUCACGAAGCCGCCAAGAAAGCCAGAGCCGCCGCCAUAACCACCAAAAAGACGACCCGGAGAUCUAAGAAGAAAAAGAAAAGCACCGCUGAAGAUCCGUUGAAGCUUGAUGAUAAUUCUUCUGAGUCGGAGGUAGCCCUUGACUCCCUUGGCCAGCUUUUUAACAAUCUUAUUAACACUGAUCAUUGCCAGGACGACACGGGGGCCUGUCAGGCCAUGGAAGAAGAGGUAACUAUUUCCUCCGACUCAGCCCAUUUGCCAAGACUGAAACUUCGAGUCGUAACCCGAAAAGUAAGGUUUUCACACCCUUUGGCUUAUCUGGACCCUCAUUUUCUUUUGAAAAAGCAGCAACAUGAGAGCCAUCGGCAGACCCAGAAUGAUGAUGAACCACCUGUUGUUCUUCAACAGACUCCUCAAAAACGCCUGAAUGAGGUUUAUUUCUUUGUCUUUGACUUUCUGUUAAUGGAUCUUCUCCCUUGCAUUACUUAUUUUGUUUUAACUUUGUAGGAGGUGUCUCGCUCUUCUGGCGACUCAUCUUAGACCCAAUUUCCGGCCUUCAAGACUGCCCCUGGGUAAGGAAAAAAAAUACUCUUUCCUCCGUGUUUUCAAAACUGUCUCUUUAUACUGACAGUCCCGUAACAUUUCUCUUAGUGGUCAAGCUAAGUCCAAGAAGGCCAAGGUAACUAAGCCGGUGGAAGACCCGCCAGUCCUUGCACCUGAACCGGCAAUGCCACCUUCUCCUCCAUUAAUUGAAGCUCUAGAAGAUCCGCCUGUCAACGCUGAAGUAAAUCCUCCUGAGCCGUCAGUUGACGAUACCACCGUUAAUCCUUCUGCAACUGGACCAUCCAGCUCAACCAACCCGCCAUCACCAUCUGCGUAAGAUGUUCUGAUCACCGGAAGCCGCUUUGUUGAGCCGGGGAAUCCCACCGUGUUGGCUCGUCACACGGCGAAACAAGAGGCGUUGGAGAGACAGAAAGUGCGUUUUGAUAUUUCGCAUUAUGGCCAUCUGAAUGCCAACGACAUAUUAUCCGACUAUCUCAGCCAUGUGCACUCCAGCCGUGACUCAGAGAUCAAAAUGGUCAAGCAGUUGUAGUUGAAGUACGAGGUAUGUUCUUCCAGCUUAUUUAUAUUCUGCCAGCCCCAAGUCUUCAGAUUAUGAGAAAACCGGAAUGAUAUGUAGACUUUAUGAUAUAGGCUAAGACUUUACCUUUAGAUUUUUCUGAAGUCCAAUAAAAUAGAACAAAGCUUCACCUGUAGUCCCCAAGGGCCGGUUCACUUAACCAUAAAUGAGCCGGUACUUUGAAUUUCAUAACUGUCUUGUACCGAAUCCAACAAAUAUUGUAAUCCGGCUUAACCUUGAGAGACUUUGCUGAAUAUCAUACAUUAGCCCCCAAGUGCCAAGUGUUGUUACUUUGUAAAGUACUUGGGACUUGAAGUAUUUUAGAGUCAUAAGAAAUUGUUUUGGCAUACAUUAGCCCCCAAGUGUCAAGUGGUUUUGCAAUGCAAAAGUACUUGAGACUUGAAUCUUGACUCUUGGACUUUAAUUGAAACCUUGACACAUCUGUGUAUAUUUUGUAGAAUGCCUUAUCUGAAUUGAGCUCGCAAUUAACUGAUGUAAAGACCCGGCUGGCGGAUCAGGAAGCAGAAAUCAAGUCCGUUGACUCCAAUCUGCAACUGAGUCUUGCUGAGACGGAAAAUUUGAAAACCAGCUUGACUAUCAAGAAAAAAACCUGGGCUGAGGAAAAAACGUUGCUGACACAACGCGUCGAGAAAGCUGAAGCAGCCCUUGAAGAGGUUACGACGGAGCUGACCGGAUUAAUAGACCGGGUGUCUCAAAUGGUGUCCGCCAUCUUCGGUAAGUCAUAUGUACUGACCUUUUUGACCUUCUUUUGACCUGGAAUACAAACCGCUAGCCGACCCUUUGUCUAAAAAACCAUGUGCAGGCCCACGAAGCAAGAACCUGAGCCAAGACAACAUGACUAAACUAAAGGUAGUGUAUACCUUAGUGGAGCAAUUGUACAUUGGCACACAAUGGGCACUCGCCGCUAUCUCUCCUGCCAAUCAAGGACCCAACUGGCUUAGUGAUGUCUUAAAGAAGCUGUCAAUCUUACCCGCCAGGUUCCAAGAAGUCAAGCGCUCCUGUGCUAGAGCCGGGGCUUUAACUGCCCUAAGCCGCUCAAAGGCUUGGGUGCCAUAUAUAGACCCGGCGGAUGUAGCCAGAGGGUACCCCACGGUAAAGGAAGACGGGUCACUGUUUGAACAGGAUGACUUCGUCACUUGUGUGAGGGAGGUGCGACCUUAGGACACCAUUCUUGGAGAUGAAACAAAUAUCGAUAAAUACCAACCGGGUUUUGACUUGGACAAUAAGAAGGUGGCGACUCUCUCCUACAAAGUGACCGACCUUAUCCCGCCGGUUCGUCAACAUACUUUUGCUCCGGAUAUUGAUCCAGCUGGCUUGAUUGAUGAAGAAGCAGAAUUUACUGCUGUAGACGGUUUUGACUGGUCAAAACCUAACUUCCAAUUAGUAGAAGGCGGUGAGCCGGCGAGGGAGGAGUGAAGACCAUCUUCAUGGGCUUUUAAAAGCCUUAUAAUAGAUUAGCUGUGAAAACACUGCAUAAUUUGCCUAUGCCAUCACGCAUAAGACACCGUGUGUGAUUCUGUGUUUGCUGAUGUCAAUAUAUGCAUUAUAUUUAUGGCUGUCCCUGCAAUAUUUCCGCUCUGUUCCUAUAGAUAAAAAGAAAAAACUGGCUUGGCGGCUUAGUACCGAACGGGUCAGAACACCCGGUUUAUAGCCAAUAUUUUUUAUCAUAGUAGAAAAUAGAACCAGACGUAAAAAGAAAACAAGGUUGAAAUAACUUUUGAUUAAUACAGAAGGAAUCUGUUUAUAAACAAUAGCCAUACCCGUAUCUUUGACCUCCAGACCAUCGGUUUUAUAUGACCCGGGUGAUGAGGUUGAUAAUCAAGUCUUUGCGAGAAGUCAAUGCUUCUGAAUACCUGAUGAUUAUCAUGCCCUGGCGGCUUAUUGUCAAAUAGUCAAGCCGGUGAAAAGACCAUGAUUGAUUAUUUUGAAAUUGAGACAACAAAAAACCAAUAAGACAAAUAACAGGUGGUAAACAAAAUUAGCCUUGUAACUAAAGGUUGGGGGUUUUCUGAUUCGAAUACGAUCAGUAAACCGGACCAAAGGGGUUAAGCUAAGAUUCGAAUACGAUCAUAUAGCCCCCAGUGGCUUUGGCGUUGCGUCGAUCAAGAGGGUACCGACAUCUAUGUUCUCUUUGGUUCGAAUACGACCUAUGUUUGAACAGGAGCCCCCAAAUGACCUUGAGAGGUUUUUAACAACCCUGAUUCGAAUACGAUCCAAGUCGGAUCCAAAAGUGGUUAAGCUGUGAUUCGAAUAUGAUCAAGUGACGUGGAUUAUCAACCCGGGGAGGGUGAUCCUCUCUGCUCCACACAAUAGGCUGUUCUGACCACCGUAAGUAACGUGGUAUCGCCGGCUCAACAGAUUGACAACCCUCUUAUAAAGUUUCUGGUCCCUCUUGCACAAACUAGUGGUAAAUACAUGGUAUUGCCCACUAUUCAAUUGUUUUGGGUUGCUCUGAUAUCUGGACUGUUGCUGCUGAUUGCCUUGGCCGGAUUGUUGAUUGUAACUUCCCUGGUUACCUGCAUGGCCUUGACCGUGAAAACCACUUCCACUUGAACCGGCGCCCGGGCCCUGAAAGCCGCCUCCACCUGAACCGCCGCUCGGCCCGUGACCUCCGUCAAACGCGUUUGAAUUCUUAAAUGCCUUCAUGAUCGUAUAGUCUUUCCACAUAUGAGUUGCUGGCUUCUCCCGAGUGCCGUGUCUUGGGCAAGGUUCAUUCAAUAGUUGCUCGAGGGUGGGACCUGACCCGCCUGACCGAGGGGUUUGCCUGCCCUUGCGAUGUUGAUUGUUUCCCUGUGUAUUGGUGUUAGCCACAAAUUCGUCAGCCUUACGUUUAUUACCUCCUUUAUUUGCCGGGUUAUGCUGGUGACCCUUUCCGUUGCCGUUCUUCUUUCCCUUCCCUGCUUUCUCCUCGUCAGACAAGGGAUCCUUGGUAUUAUUAGAAUCAGCAUAUUUAACCAGAGCCGCCAUCAACUGGCCCAUGUUAUUGCAGUCACGCUUGAGCCGCCCCAGCUUCUGUUUCAGAGGUUCAAAACGGCAAUUUUUCUCCAACAUUAAGACUGCCAAUCCGGCAUCCAUCUUAUCAGAUGAAUGUAUUAUCUCCUUGACCCGACGCACCCAAUGGGUUGUGGACUCCCCUUCCUCUUGCUUACAGUUAGUCAGGUCCACGAUUGACAUAGGUUGCUGACAUGUGUCUUUGAAGUUUUGGAUGAACCGGGUUUUCAUCUCCGCCCAUGAGGCGAUGGAAUUGGGUGGCAACCCUUUCAACCAAGUGCGAGCCGUUCCAUCCAACAUCAUGGUGAAGUACUUAGCCAUUGCUGCAUCACUGACCUCCAAAAGCUCCAUUGCCAUCUCGUAACUCUCAAUCCAUGCCCCAGGCUGCAAAUCGGUCGUGUAAUUAGGCACCUUACGAGGCCCCUUGAAGUCCUUUGGCAAACGCUCAUUACGUAUGACAGGCACCAGGCAAGGGACACCUCCGGUUCCCGUGGCCACUCCUGCCUCAACCGAGCCGCCUACUCUGCUGCCAGUUGAACCGCUCGCUCAGCCUCUUGUCGGAUCCUCUCUUGAUUCGCUAGGUUAAGGGCUCCAGCCUGUACCGGUUCAUGCCUGUGCGGCCGGUUGCGGCGUUGAGCAUUGCUUGACAUAUCAACUGAGUCCAUAUAUCUACUGUAGCUUGGGCUCCGGCUCAGGCGAGGGGUUGAAUGGAUUUUGUCUCGACUGUAAGAGUAUGCAUCCUGCUAUGCCAGAGCUGUUUGAAGAAGUUCCCUCAUCCAUCGCGUUUCGAUCACCGCCGGAGAGUCGCCUUCCAUCGGGAGAGCCGCCAAACGAGCCGACGCAACAAUAAGGUUUUUCAAGGGAUUGGAGAAGUCACCGGGUGGUGUUGGCACAUAAUGAGGCGGAGCGGUAUUGUGACGCCCAGAUAAUUAAGCUACAAUAAACCUCUACUAAUUAUGCCAUGUCACAGACGUGGAGUAUGUGAUCGCGAGCUCACAGGAGCUCGCUAUCUGUGCCGUCGAGUAUAGCUUUGUGAUUUGAUAUUUUGAAUGCGUGUGUCAGUAUGACGUCCACUUGGUACAGAUAAGUCCAGAUAUACAUCGCUGAACCGACCUGUCUUGUGGGUCCUCGGCUGCACGGGCGUUUGGACGCCGUGGACGGCGCGAGCCAGAGCCGUGGCUCGACUUGUCGCCGGCGUCCUGAUCCGUGGAUCAGCUCCGGUGCAUUCCGGUAAACGACGGUAGAGGCUGCAGUAAAUGCUCGAUCCGGGUCGCUCCGAGCACCUGUCUCCUACCUCCAGACCUAGGUCAUCCAUUGUUGGGAGCGGCGACCGCGGUGGACAAAUCUGGUGUGGCAAGGCGACUUGGGGUGAGGCAACCAUGGAGUUCUUGAUGCAGCCGAUAAAUAGGUACGAAUCUCCUUCCCAUUGCUUGUUGUUCGCCCAUGAAUUUAGGAUUUGGUACUUUCAGAUAGAUCUCAUUUUCCAAACUGCGGAUGCAGCAGAACUCUCCUAGAAGAGAAGAGGUGGACGAGAACAACACUUGGAUCCUGUUCAUUAUCCUGUAAGCACGCCGCCCGUAGUACAGCUGCCAGCCAGGUCCGCGUCGAGUGCUAACAGCAAGAUUUGUGCUAAAAUGCUGUUCCAGGGGCAGGCAGUGCAGACAAAGAACAAACUUCAGAGCACUCCAUCGAGCAGGUUGACCUAAAAAAACCUGGAUGAUGCAAAGGUACUUCAGUUAGUGGUAGAACCUAUUUUAAAGUAAACUGAUAUACUCCAAUACAGUUCUGAAUCAGCUGCCUUGCAUCUGCUGUUGUUACGAAGUCUCUGAAAAAAGUAUAAGAAGCGUGACUAGAGGGCAAACUGUUAUCUGAACAAACUUGCAUAGCAAAAAAGAAAGUAUCUGGAAGCUUGGCCAUGGGUAUGGGUACAUAAAACUAAAUUUAUUAUGCUGCGCAUUAGAAAUGAAAUAAUUUAAGCGAUUCCUGUCCAAACAACUUGUCAACAAAGUUUUCUGAUGGGGGUGUGUGGUGAGCAAGUAUUCAUUAUUAUUAUGACAUGCAUAGAUUUUGCUCGGUGGUCUCUUUAACUGUAAUACCAGACUCUUUAGGUUAAGACACUUUCUUUGAAUUGCAGAGUGUGGGUUGGGGCUGCUGCGCUUGGCAGGGCGCCGUGUGCUAAUAGAGUUUCCGCACUACGGAAAACUGUCCAGCAAUUUGCUGAAGAGCCUGGUGACGUUGUCACUGUGCCUAAACUAGGAACAAGUUUUGACACACUUGGUGAGGCUUAUGAUUUCUACAACUUAUACUCAUGGAGAAAGGCUUUGGUAUCGGAUAUGGAAAAGGCAUGCUGAAUGUAAACCGGACAAAAUGCAUGCAGGAGAUUACAUGUGGCUGUGCGGUAGUAAAAAAUUUCUUGUUCCACAAUUCAAUUUUUUUUAGCUGGUCAUGAAGGUAUUAAGCUGUUGUUAACUGACUUAUUGUUUAUAAAACUGUUUGCAGGGCAAACCAAUAACAUUGUGGAGCAUCCAGAUGAGCACAAUCAUUCAUUGUCCGCGACCUAUGGAUAGACUAUACACUGGCCAUCCCACAAGCAUAUUGACAUGUACAACACAGACCUUGUGAAGCAAUUGCGACAGAACAACGUCAAUCUCGCGAAGGUCUACAACAUAAUUGGGAGCUUCUUUGGUAGGAUGGAGAAUGUACCAUUCACGAAGAGAGCAUUACAUAAUCUGUGUGAUAAAUUUAGCCGUGAACAAGCAGAAGAUGAUGUCAGGAAAACAAUGGAGGUGUUUUAGGAGCUCUUAUCAAAGGAUUCACAAUUCAUCUAUCGAGUUCAGGUUAACAAAGAAGGGAGGAUUAGCACUCUAAUGUGGGCUACUGGAAACAGCAGAUUCCAUUAUACCUUUUUUGGGGUUGUUGUGACAUUCGAUACGACAUUGACUAAUCCAUACGACAUGUCAUUUGGUCUUUUUGUGGGUGUUAACAAUCAUUUCCAGAGCAUUGUACUAGCUGGGGUGCUGAUUCGUGAUGAGAAGGUUGAAACAUUCGAAUGGGUUUUUGCAGAAUUCAUUAGGAUAAUGGGUGGAACUGCACCGCAAAACCAUCCUUACAGGUAAUAUAUUCUGAAUUACUACUGAAUCAUAUAAGAAGGGGAGCCUUGGCGCAGUGGUAAGGCUGCUGCCUUGUGACCAUGAGGUCAUGGGUUCAAGUCCUGGAAACAGCCUCUUACAGAAAUGUAGGGAAAGACUGCGUACUAUAGACCCAAAGUGGUCGGACCCUUCCCUGGACCCUGCGCAAGCGGGAGCUACAUGCACCAGGUUGCCCUUUUUCUUUUUUACUGAAUCAUAUAAAAACUAUAAUCAGUUUAGCAAGAAUAAUAAUGUGUUGUUGAUGAUUUUCAGAUCAAAAUUGAGCGAUGGAAGUAGCAAUACAAAAUGUCAUGCCUGACACAGCUCAGUGGUGGUGCAAGUGGCAUGUGCUGAAGAAGGCCAAAGAGUCUUUGGGUCCUCUGUACUCCAAGAAGAGUGACUUCCACCCUGAGUUUCACAAGGUUGUUAAUCAUAUGCUAACAAGUAACAAUAGAUGAAUUUGAAGGAGCAUGGAAGUAUUUAGUAGAGAAGCACAACCUGAAGAAUCACACAUACAUGACACAAUUGUAUGAAAUCCGUCACAAAUGGGCGAAGCCUUAUUUCAAAGGUAUAUUCUGUGCAAAGAUGACAAGUACGCAGCGGAGUGAAAGUACAAACCAAAUGUUGAAGAAUUAUGUCCCUCCUGGAUGCCCCAUGCAUAUGUUUGUCAGGAAGUACAUGAGAUUGCUCUUUUCACAGAGAAUCUGAAGAAAAUUACAAGGAGAAACGGACCAGAAUUGUAAGGCAGAGACGCCACUUCUUUUUGUACCCCACAAUAAUUUUCUGGACUAAGUAAUUAAUGAUUUUGCAGGGGAGGCCACUUCUGCGUGCAAACAUGGCAACUGAACGGCAUGCUGGGAAGAUAUACACAAGAGCUAUCUUUGAGCAGUUUGGGCAUAUACUAUAUGAGUGCGGUGCAUACCAGGUGGAGGAGAUUGAGAAAGGAAAAUCAUAUGUCGCAAUACAUACUGAAGCGGAUCGCAGGGAGAAGUGGUGUAGGACUUCAUACAAAUUUACAGUGUUAGAUGGUGGAGAUGAAUUUGAUUAUGAAUGCAGACAGUUUGCACACAUGGGUUUGCCUGGCAGCCAUGUGUUAAAGAUAAUAUCAGCAGAUCAUAUUCAUGCAUAACAUUUGAAAGAAAAAAGCAGACUUGUAAUCACUAGAUGGUUGUUGACUCUUUUUAUGCAGGUCCUGGACUUUAUAUGCGUUACUGAAAUCCCUAAGAAGCAUAUAGUAAAACGAUGGGCACAAGAUCCACGUGAUAUCCUCCCGCCGCACCUGACACUGCUGGAGGGACCAUGCUCAAGAGAACCCAUUCAGUUUCAGGCAUUUUAAUUAAUAUGUGUACGCACGCAAUGGAGCUUGUGCGGAUGGGAGACAGCAACGUAGAAGCAUAUGAGCAUCUGAUAAAACUGUUCAGCUGAGAUGAAGCCAUUCAUUUAGAUGAGAGACGGGUUGGGAUUGGAGGACCGAUUGGCCGAAAAUGGAGGUGUUUUGAAUCAGGUUCAGUGAGAAGGAGUUGUCGUAGCUGCGGCAGUAGGGACACAUGUUGACAUGGAUAACGACAAGAAUAGUUCAGUAAAUGAGUCUGGGAAUAUGCUGGAAGCGUUAUUACCUCCGGCUAAGCGCAAGGAGAUGGGUAGGCCUACCACAAGUAGGGAGAAGGCACCGUACGAAGGAUUGAGUAAACGAACCAGAUUCUGCAGCAUUUGUUGAUGACAAGGACACAAGCGAGUCUCAUCAUGGAGAUGUACCUAAACAACCUCGGAAGCCUGCGAGAUGCAAGAAUUGUGGUGUGGAAGGUCACCGUCGGAACAAUUGUCAUAAGGUGGUUGAGCUUAGACUUAUGUAAUUGUGUGCACUUUCAGUGAAGGCAACAGACAUAACUUUGCGACAGUAUCCAGGAUGCUUGUGUACAAAGAUGGCAUGAUGACCAGAUUCUUAAAUCAUCCUGAUGUGUUUUAUGUUGAACUCAAGAAGUGUGAAUAAGCAACAAAGCUUCUGAAGAGAUCAGUGCAUCAUCUCUUAUGCAACUGCUACUGCAGUUGACUCCUUUCCAAGCACUGGUAAAAUCUUUCUACAGAUCUUAGCGCUCUUCUUAAAUUUACCGGGAUUUUAUAUAGUUGUUUUUCCUCUAAUAAGGUGCAUCAUGCUUACUGUUGAAUCUUUGCAUCUUUAAUCAGACCAUGCUUAUUGUUGGAUUUGCACAUGAAUAACUAAAAACGCCAUUGCAUUACACAGUUCCUUCAUUUUAGCAAUUAAACUUACUUAUGUAUCUGGUGUUAAUUUAGUAUGAUUUCUUGUUCAAAGUGUAUAUUCAUAGGAAGGUCUUUAUGUGGCUUUGGUCAUCCUAAAUUUUGUGUGGAUUAUUUUUUCAGCCCUGGUUAGCUUUCAUCUGCACACGCCCAAUUUCCUUAUGCACUGCUGAUGUUGAAGGACGGCGACAUGUUUAACUCGUGUUUAAUAUUGUCAGAAGAGAAAAUGUAGAGAAAGGGUUGCUUGCAUGCCAUCCAUGUCAUAGAGAAAAUGUUAAAUUCCCUCUCUCCAUUUCCUUACCAUGAAUCCAACGCUUUAUUAUUCUGUUUUUAGCUUCUAGAUGUUCUGCAAUUAUAUAAACAAUGAGUAGUAUGCCAAAUAAUAGUUACUGUCUGUCUGAACUGUAGUUCCACUCCAUGAGAAGCUGAAAUAAACUGAGAAUGGGGCAAACAAAUUCCAACGCUUCCUGCUCGUAGGCGGUGCCCGCUAUGAUUCUACCGCAGCGGCGCAGGCGGAGUCGACAUCAACCACGACCUUCCACCGCCGCCCCUGCGGGUAAAGCCGGAGGCUGAGGAGGCGGAGGCAGUCGACAUCAACCACGACCUUCCACCGCCGCCCCUGCGGGUAAAGCCGGAGGCUGAGGAGGCGGAGGCGGAGUACCAAGACGCCCUCGAGGAGGCCCUGCAUCAUGCGCUGGAGGCGAGCCGGCUUGAGGAGGACACCCAUUGGGAUGGGCUGGAGCAAGCCCUAGCUUUGUCCGCGGCGGGGGACUCCGUCUAGGCGCCCUUAUUCGUGCCUCCACUGCCGUCAGCGCGGCCCCUCAUCGGGCCCAAGGCUGAGACGGAGCCGGAGCGCGAGCCAACUCCCACGCGCAAGCGUUCACCGCCGGCCCCCACUUGGCAGAGUCCUAUUCGUGGACCGGCCAGCUCCGCGAGUGGGUGAACGCGUCUCCCUGCCACUACGCCGCCACGACGGAAGAAGAGGCGGCCCACCUUGAGCGCUGGAAGGCGCAUUGGCUCGCCGAGGAGGGGGCCGAGGGCGAGCGGCAGAUGCGAUAUGAGAAGAUGAUGCGCCGCAAUGAGGAGGCUCUGCGGCUUGAGGAGGAGGAGCGCGCCCGCCUCGCCGCUAUGCCGCCGUCCCAGCAGACGCUGGAGGAGGCUGCCCUGGCGGUGUAUCAAGCCGCGUUCGGGUGGGCUGGGCCUCCCCCCGUGUUCAUUGACCUCACCGGCGGCGACGACGACGACGGGAAGGGCAAGGGCAAGGCGGUCUACUAGGGCACCGUGCUAGCGUUUAUUAUAGUUUUUAAAUUUGUAAUUAUGUUUAAGUGGACUUUGGCCGGCGUUUGACCGGCCAUUUAUGUAUAAUUAUGCUUAAUUCGUCUGUUUCGGCCACGUUGGUAUAAAUGGGUCGACCCCCCUUUGAACGCACCUACAUACCUAAAUAAAAAAGCAGUUGCGCACGUCUAUCUGACCGACUCAAACGGACGAAAAACGGACAAAGCGUUCAUCCGCUUGGAUCGGCGCGUUGGAGUUGCUCUAAGUUUGCGGCAGUGUCUAAGAUGCUCGUGUACAAAGAUGGCGUGAUGUACAGGGACUGGGAAAUAAAAAUGGCGUCACAUUUUCGAUUUGGGUUUUGUGGUGAGUUCUACUGAAUAUUAUAUUGUUUUUAGACAGUACUGAAUAUUAGAUAAACCAUGUUUUUUUUUGACGGGUAACUAGGGACUUUAUUAAUCAGUAAUCAACAUCGGAAUACAAAUAAUGUCUGGUACUGUCCCUAGCCAAAUGUGGCGGCCUAUAGCAAAAGAAGAUACCGCUUUCGCCAGUGCAUGGGCUUCGAAGUUAUUUUCUCUAUGUUCAAACUUGAACUUGACAUGGUGGAAAUCCCUUCUCCUCUCCGAUAUUUCAUGUAACACCGAUGCAUAGUGUGUCGCCGAUGCUGUUUCUAUCCUGUUCAGCACUUCAAGACAAUCGGAGGCAAUCAGCAAUCGGGUUAGAUGCAGGUCCGUAGCCAAGGCAAGAGCCUCAUUGCAUGCGUGUGCCUCCAGAACAGCCGCAUCGUUCAAACCGUCAAAAACCAGUGCCGAAGCCUCCCAGAUAAACCAUGUUCGUAGCUGCCACAGUGCGUAUUAAUAAAUGGGCUUAACGGGACAAGUUAGUCCAGAAUCUACAGAGAGCCGGCCCAGUACAUCCAUCUCCGUCCUGAUCCGUGACGAUGCUAACCAACGGAAUUAGCAGGGCGUCAUCUGACUUGUGGGCCAUAUCCGGAACAGUGGAAAACCGUAACCUGUUCCGAUUCCUGUAGCUGCACUUAUCACGAGUUGAACUGGCGACACAGAUUCCGGGAGCACAGCAGCUCGGGCUCACAUUAGUAUUUUCGCCAUGUCACUGCUAUUACUGUUAUUAAUCUCACGGUGGUUCAAAAACAAUUUAAAUUUCAAAUAACAAGUUAAAUUCUUAUUUAUUCAAAAUCUCAAAUAAAAAUGUUCGAGGGUUUACAAAUAUUCACUUAGUAUUUAACAUGUAGGAACCAACAUUAAAUGGAUUUUAAAAUUUCCCCUAGGAAUAAUUAAUGUUGACAAGCAACACUUAUUAUGCCCAUUUAAAUAUAAACCUAUUUUCAAACAUUUUCCAAAUAACCUCAAACUUUUUAGACCACCAAGAUAUCAGUAGGUAAUGUUGUGGGAAGUUUCAACUUUAACUAAAAUCAUUUAGUAUUUAGGCUAAAUACAAAACAGUGGCUAAAAUAGAAAAUAGAAAUAUAUAUAAAACUAAACUACUCUUUGGACUCACGGCCUACUAGCUACAGGAACCAGCCCAGCCCAACUUGGGCCAUCCCCAACCUCGCUACAUGAGACAUGGGAAUCGUGUCGGCCAUCCACCGGCAUGGCCGCGCCAUGCCGUGCGUGUCGGCCAUCCAGCACACCUCGGUGCCCUACAAAACACCGCCGCACCCCUUGGCCGAAACCCUAGCUCCUAAUUCUGUCCCCCAUUUCCUCGUUUGAUCUAGAACUCGCAUCCGAACGUAGCCGUCACCGCUUUGCCGUUGUCGUCGUGGCCACUUGCAUCCCCGCCGGCUGAAACUUCGCCAGGAGACGCGUCGGCCUUGUCUACUUCGACUACGACCACCAGAUCGAGCUGGGGCGCCGUCAAGCUUCGGGAUCGACGGCUUCUUCGCGCUUCGGUCGCCGGAGUUCCUCACCGAAUCCACCACCUCUGCUGCUCCUAAGCCACUCGACGGGCCUCCUUGCGCCUGCUCGGUGAGCACCUCCUCUCCCCUCCCGUUCUUGCGCCGUAGGCCGCCGUCCCCGAGUUCGCCCGAGCCCCCCGCGUACGCAUACACGUAUGUGUGUGCGUGUUGUGCUGCUCCUGUGCCGCUGCUCCGUCGUGGUUGCCCGCCUACGCGUCGCGAGCGCCGCGACCCGCGUCGUCCCUAGCCCUCUCCUCUGCCUUGCCUCGCUGCGCUCGCCUACUCGCCCACACGCGCUCGCGCUCACCGGCGCCCUGCCCGCGUCCGCCCGCUUGCUCUGCUGCUGUACUCGCCCCAGCGCGCCCCUUCCCCUCCUCCCCUCCCACGCGCGGCGCUAUUGCUUCUGCAUCUGCUGCUGCGGCCGCCCCGUUCGCGAGCUCCACCGGUCGCGGCCUCGCCUUGUGCAUGCAUCGUGUGCUCGUGCGCGUCUCCUGCAGCCACCUGCGCCCAUCGCCGCUGCCGCUUGCGCCUGCCUACGUGUGGCUUCGCCCGCGCCCUCGCGUGACCCAAGCUGCUCUGCCUGUGGCUGCUGUUGCGCCUCGCUCGGUUGCAGCGCCCGAGCCACGCUGUUGCUUACUGUACUGCUGAUGCUAGUUACUGUAGCGGCUACUAGCUAGCUUUUCUGAUUAUACAUUGACUAACCCUCUAGACAUCCUCUUAACAACGUCUAAACAGCUGUUAACUUGGGUGAAAUUAAUAUGAGUAGAAAGUAUACUUGACAAACUUCAUUUUAUCCCACUGGACCAAAUCCUUUCGAUGCAUGGUUUAAAUCCUACAAAAAUCACAAAAUGCUAAGUUCCGUUAAGUGAAAAAAACCGAAAACAACUUUAUUUUCAUAGCUACUUUAGAGCUGUUGAUGAUCAAGCAAAUGAACUCUAAUUUGGACGAAAGUGCUUCUAUCUUGUAUAUGACAGAAAAAUGCUCAAAAUUGAUAUAAGGCAUAUAAUCAUAGGAGGUAUAGAUCCAUAGUUGUAGCCUUUUGAAAACAGCUAAAAGACGUUUAAAACUGAUAAAUUCUCACACUUAGCAAAAUUUCAGGAAUUUUCAGAAUAUGGCUAAAACUUCGGAAAAUCAUAAAAAUUAAUCCGUAACUUGGAUGAAAAAGUUUUCUACAUGAAAGUGGCUCAGAAUGACGAGACGAAUCCAAACACAUGGUCCGUUCAUCUGUCACAUGCCGCUAGCAUAGCGAACACGCAACUUUUCCCCUCCGAUUCAUCUGUCUGAAAACGUGAAACACCGGGGAUAUUUUCCCUGAUGUUUCCCUCCUUCGUCGGUAUCCCCUCCUACUGUGUUAGGUCACCCUAGCACCACGUAUUGCCAUGUUAUGCUUUGGGAAGCCUUGAUUGCUCUGUUAUUUAUUGUGUUCCCCCUCCGUUAUUUCUUUACGAUAGACCCCGAGACUGCGGUUAAACCAGUGAUCGACUACUUCACCUUCGAGGGUCCGUUUCUGUCUGCAGAGCAACCAGGCAAGCCCCCCCUUGAUCACCAGAUAUCGCCUACUCUUCUCUAUACUGCUUGCAUUAGAGUAGUGUAGCAUGUUACUGCUUUCCGUCAAUCCUAUCCUGAGGCAUAGCCUGUCCUUGCUACUACUGUUGUUACCUUUACCGCAAUCCUAAUGCUUAGUAUAGGAUGCUAGUUUAUCAUCAGUGGCCCUACCUACUUGUCCAUCUGCCAUGCUCUACUAUCGGGCCGUGAUCACUCGGGAGGUGAUCACAGGUAUAUACUAUAUACUUUAUACAUGAUACAUGUGGUGACUAAAGUCGGGUCGGCUCGUGGAGCACCCGCGAGUGAUUCACGGAUUGGGGGCUGAAAGGACCUUUGUCCCAACGACCCUCUGUGUGGAUCUUUGUGGCGAAGCGACAGGGCAGGUUGAGACCACCUAGGAGAGAGGUGGGCCUGGCCCUGGUCGGCGUUCGCGGUUAUUUCAAGAUAACACGUUUAACGAGAUCUUGGUAUUUGAUCUGAGUCUGGCCACUGGCCUAUACGCACUAACCAUCUACGCGGGGACAGUUAUGGGCACUCGACAUCAUGGUAUCAUCCAAAGCCUUCGUGACGUCAGCGACUGAGCGACGCGUGUCGGUGUUCUGGGAACGGGGGUCCCCAGACUUGCCUGCCUGCGGCCCGCGGCGUGGCUCAAAAGGGGGCCCAGCGCGGCCCAUCUUCAUCAACAUAGACCCAAGACCCUCGCGAGGGGCCAAGCCUCGCGGGGCGGAUGACACGGAGCUUCCUCAGGCAUGGCCUCUUCAGGCUGGCUCGUGAGGAGGCGGAGAGAUCAAGGCGGGGUACCUCACGAGGUGCCCGUGACGCAAGCCAUGACGACCAAAGGCGCCAGGCGGGCGCCUGCCGCGCAGUGUCCUCCUUUCCUAUUUGGUGCAAAGGGAGCAAGCGCAGGCGAGAGCAUCAAGCAAAGGCACCCGUUUCGGUGCAACGAGACCAAGACCAGUCCAACGGCAGGGAGGAAGUCCUUGUGGAGUCCAAGCCAGCGUCAUCACCAGAGCCUUUGGCAGGCGAGGACCAACUUUAGUUAGGUAACUGUACCAGAUGUUCCCCUUCAAAAUGGCCAAUUGUUGGCGCCCUUCCCGCUCAAUAUUUGGGAAGAGGCCCAGGGCCUGUGCCUAUAAAUAGGACUAGCCACCCACAGGGGAGAUGGGAGAUCACAUCGAAAUCGGAGGGAGAAUCAAGAAGGGAGAGAGAGAGAAGGGCGACUGAACUCCUCCUAGCAGUUCAUCCCCCCAGCAAAGAAUAGACCCUCGUGAGGCUGUUCUUCCUUGUAUUGCUCAUCAUCAUCAGCCCAAGAGGCAAUCCACCACACCACACACUAGAGUAGGGUAUUACACCACAACGGUGGCCCAAACCAGUAUAAACCCUGUGUCUCUUGUGUUGUUCUUUCCAUAGCUUAGAUCUUAGCGAGGCGGAGGGGUGCAGGUAGGUAGAAGGCGAAAUCUCCGCGCGCACCCCAGUGUUCGAACCUCAAGGGUCUGCCGGAACCCGAAAUCCGACAUUUGGCGUGCCAGGUAGGGGUGCGCCAGAAUUCGUCUUCCACCACCCCAUUCUCCUCCGACCAUCGCGUCCAUGUCUAACGCUCGUCGAGCCCGCGCCAAGUGCCGGGCCACUCUUGCUUCCCGCGUCGCCCAGACGGCUCCUGUCGGCGGGUGUCCUCGCCGUUCCCCGUCACCUGCCGUCAACGCCGCCACCGGCCCGGCGGGGGACGAGCAGCAAGCGUCGUCUCAGCAUCCGUCCGUGCGGCAAGACAGCCGCACCGCUACUCCCUGCUCACCCCAGCUAGUUCUUCGUCCCGCACGCUCCGCGCACCCAUGGAGGCUCGAGCUGUGCUCAUCGCGGCAAAUGAGCUCCUGCGCUACCGUCCCGUCGACGAUGUCUACGAAGAAUGGCUCGACCGCGUCGUCGAGCUCGUCCGUGCCGCAGGGGGUUCUCCUGCGCCGUCUGUUCCGCUGCACCGCACCCCGCCCCGCAUGGGCGACGAAGCUCCGGCGGUGCCCCAGCCGCCUCCUCCUCAAGAAGGCGCCAUGGCUCCAAGGCGCGUGGCCCCUGGGCGGAACCCGCCCCGUCAGGUGCCAACGCGGCAAGAGCAGAGCUGCCAAGAAGUCCCUCGCCCGCAAGAAGCUGCCCGGGCGCUCCCUGCUCCAGCACGUCACGACCAUGCUCCUGCUCCCGCACGUCAAGACCCCGCGCUGCUCCCAGCUGCAGCGCGUGGGGACAUGCAAGACCAAGCUCUCCGUCACCCAAGGCCUCCCGUGGCCACAACAGGCUGUCGUGCCUUCACCAUCAAGCUACGCAGCGUCACGUGGCCCGGUAAGUUCAAGCCAGACCUGCCUCCUCAUUAUGAUGGCACGGCCGACCCUGCGGAGUUCCUCCAGCUCUAUGAGCUGGGCAUCGAAGCUGCCAACAGAGACGAAAAGGUCAUGGCGAACUGGUUUCCCAUGGCGCUCAAGGAUGGGGCCCGCACCUGGCUCCUGAACCUGGCUCCAGGCACGAUCUCCUCCUGGGACGAGAUGCGCACCCGCUUCAUCGCCAACUUCCAAGGUACUCGCGACCGGCCACCCGCCAUGAGCGACAUGCGCCGCAUCAAGCAACAACCCGGAGAGACCCUACAGAAGUACAUCCAGCGCUUCAACAACGCACGCCUCAAGAUUCCCAAGGUGACCGAGGAGGCCAUCAUCUCAGCCUUCUCUGACGGCGUGCGCGAUCUCAAGAUGAAGGAGGAGCUGGCGAUGCAUGAAGACUUGUGCACUUCCUUGGAGUUGUUCAACUUGGCAACCAAGUGCGCCAGGGCUAAAGAAGGGCAUCUCUCCCUCCUCGAGCUGCCUGCCGCGGACCCAGAAGAGAAGAAGCCCAAGGCCAAGGAUGUGAAGCGCAAGGGGGCUGCCGUGCUUGCGGCAGAACCAGACACCAAGCGGGGCAGAGAUCAGCCCGAAUCUUCCAAGGGCAGUCGGUAUUGUGUGUACCACGACCUCCACACCCACAACACCAACGAAUGUCAAGAGCUCCGAGCCGUGCGAGAAGGAAGGAUCGGCCGUCGCCCCGACCGCGGUGACCGGGGCUACGGUCGAGGAGGAGGAAGGAACGCAGGACGCUGGGAAGACCGCUGCCCGCGCCAAGGGUGGCGCGACUGACCUCGCGAGGAUCGAUGGCAAGACCCGCCUCGCGAGGGAGACUGGAGGAAUCAGCCUCACGAGGAUCGCCCGCCAGGCAACGCAUGCCUCCCUCCGCUGCCGCCGCAGCCAAGGAGAAACGAGGACCGCCAUCAGGACGAGGGGGCUGGGGGCUUCCAGGAGCCGCGCGCGAUCGCCUGCAUCCUGGGCGGGGCUCAAGCCCCAGCCUCUCAACGCAUCUUCAAGCAGUUCGCCAGCGAAGUGAAUGCAGUCCUCCCCAAGCUCGAAGCCACACGCCCUCUCAGGUGGUCGGCGUGCGCCAUCACGUUCAUCUCAGCAGAUCAGCUCAAGUGUGUGGCCACGGCCGGAGUCCUCCCGAUGCUUUGUUCCCCAAUCAUCAGCAACGUGGUGGUCACCAGGACCCUCAUCGAUGGCGGGGCAGGGCUCAACGUCUUGUCCAUGGAAACAUUCAACAAUCUCCAAGUGCCCUACAACCAGCUUCAGCCAACCAAGACUUUCUCCGGAGUCACCGACGGCUCCACGGUCCUGAUUGGGCAGGUCCGCCUCCCUGUCACCUUCGGGGCACGCGACAACUACCGCACCGAGCUCAUCGACUUCGACGUCGCUCACAUUCGCCUGCCGUACAAUGCCAUCCUUGGGUACCCAGCGCUGUCCAAGUUCAUGGUUGUAACUCACCACGGCUACAACGUCCUCAAGAUGCCAGGAAGUGGUGGAGUCAUCACGGUGCCGUGUGAAGAGAAGGACGUGGUGUGUUCCCUGGAACGAGCCUUUUAGGCCGCAUCGCUGGAAGACCCGGAUCGCGGAAGCAGGAGGCUUCCCGAGACCGCCCCCAAGAAGAAGAAGACAUCGUCCGGCCCGGCCCCUCAGGAGGCAGGCCCCUUAGGGCCCGCGCCUGCCCAGGGGGAACCUCCUUCCAUCGCAUAGGAAAGCGCGCCCGGCGCCCUCCUCAGGCAGGGCUCGGGGGCUCUCCCCUGGAGGGCCACUGACCUGGCUAAGGUCACGAGGGAGGUGCAUGGGCACCACAUGAAGGCGUGUUUCGAAGCACGUUUCCCUCAAGAAGGAGUAAGGCAAGGAGGGCCAGACCCUCAGGAGUUCGUCAGUAAGGCCAUUCAGGAGCUACAGGAGUCAAGAGUCAUGAGAGGCGGCCGCCGCCUACCAGCUGUGGCUCCCCAUCCAGGCGAGGAUGGUGGGCUGCGCGUCUGCAUCGACAUACCAGGGCUCAAUCGAGUCGCCUCUCUGGAGCGCCUCUGGCCCUCGCGAGUGGGGCACUGCGAAGGUCCACCCCACAGCUACGUUUGCAUGCCUUACGGCUUGCCGAACGCGGCUGCCACGUACCAGCACCUCAUGAGGGGCAUCAUGGAGGCUCAAGAGGCCAGGCGUUCCGCAGCCCUGGCGGAGAUGGAGAUGGUUCGCGAGGAGCCACCAGCGCCUCCGGAGCCUCCCGAGGCCCCUGGGCCUGGGGGCUCAUGAGGAUCGGCUUCCGCAGCCCACCGAGUCUGCUACGCCAAUACUCCUUCGUCCUCAACAUCAUCAGGUGACAUCUUUCAAGAUUCAUUUCCAGCUGGGAGCGGCCCCCAGGGCUGCAUUAUUCCCAGGCCACGUGGGUCCGUCCCUGCGGCAUGUAUCCCUUUUAUUUUAUGUUGUUAGCUUACCUUGUUGGGGACGCCCCUCGGGCUGCAUCGUCCCCCAAGUCGCUCGGGCCAGACCCAGCGGCAUGUAUCCCCUUUUGCGUUUAUUUCCGGCUAUGCGUUCGACCCACCAUGCUUGAUUAUUUGAUGCCUGUCCACGGCACUUCUUCUUCUCCAUGCCGACCACUUGCACGUUAAAGGGGGGGGGGUACCUGAGCAUCGCGACUCAGGGCUCUUACUGGCUCUCCAGCCCUCACCCUCUGGCCUUGUCCACAGCAUCGCGACCUGGCAUACCAGCGACGACUGAGACCAGCUCGAGGGCCGGGACCCGAGGACGUAGAGUGCCGGCAUCUAACCAAAUUUGUAGGGACACAUCACAAGAUAAGGCCCAGUGCCAGGUGCAACCCGCCUAGAGGUAGGGCCCCGUGAGUCCCGCGCUGGCUCACGGGUGCCCAGAUACACCUCGCCAGGCCCUACCAUGCCAGCCACGUGUCAGGGCAGGGCUGUACACGUAGCCCCCUCCCACGUACCAGUGGAAGCACCAUGCUCUGCGCUGGCUGACGACACUGCCGAGGAGCGGCUAUGCCCGUACACAUACGGAAGCGUUAUGCUCCGCGCUGGUGAUAAACAACUGAGGGCGGCCCCCGGGCUGCAUCAACCUCAGGGAGCCCAGAGCUCAGUGUCUAGCCUCAUCGUAACGCCUCCCCUCGGGAGUGCCGCACGAGGGGGCUGGGCACGGGGGCUGCGCCUGGGUCACGCCCAGACGCACGCCACCCAGCCAGGCCCCCCCGGGCCUGGUUCGUCGCGCGUCUCUCCCCGAGCGGAGCCAAGGUAUGAAGGCUGUUUGAGCGUCAAGGGGGACUCCUGAGCAUCGCGACUCAGGAGCCUAACUGGUCACGUAGCCCCUCACUCCUUAGUUCCGAAAGGCUAACGGCGGUUGAGGUAUGCGCGCGGCCGGGCUCUGUAGACGUAGAACGGUAGAUCCACCCACAUCACACCUCCCUACUUGAUGUUCGUGCGCCAAGGGGGACUCCUGAGCAUCGCGACUCAGGAGCCUAACUUGUCACGUAGCCCCUCACUACUUGGUCCCAUCCUAGUUUCCGGUCGGGGCUAACGGCGGCUGAGGUAUGCGUGGGGCCGGGCUCUGCCGGCGUAGAACAUAAGCAAGUAGGAAGGAAAAGCGUAAAUUUCAAGGAAUUCAAAAGCAAAUAUUACAGUCCACACUGUUAUCUCAAUGCCAAACGCAAGGUUAAACGCCUCCCCGAGGCAUGACACAUGUGCAGGAAUUAAAGGCAGGACAGGAGCCACAACGGAGUCACUUGUCGGUGGUGGAGCAGCGCAGAGUGGGUUCGCCUCAUGGAGCAGCAGGGUCGGCAGCGCCUUGCUUCGGCUUGGUGCUGAAGGCCCGGAACUUCCCCAGCAGAGCCUCCGCGCGACCCUUCACGGCCUUGGCAGCGGCAGCGGCACGCUCACCGCUUACUGGCUCCAGCAGGCUGUCGAGGUCGACGCCGGGAUCGCGAAGGUAGAUGUGGUGAGGACCCGCGUCAGCGCUGCAGAAGACAAGACACGCGCCUCGGCCUCGGCUGUGGGGCCAAGGCCAAGGGUGACAUCUUCAAGAGCGCGAACCAGGAAGGGAAGCAUCUUGGCGGGGCCGUCCUCGGCGCCAGCCAGCGGGCUCUCCAGGCCGCUGUCGUAAAGCGUCCUCAGCGAGGAGCGAGCCUUCGCCUCCAUCUCCGCGAAAGCCACGCGGUCCUCGACAAGAACCUGGGCCUUGUCGUCCAGCUCGACCUUGCUCGCCCCCAACUCCUGAUCCAGCGUGCCUAGGCGGUCACGGCGCCUCCUGAGCUUGACCUUCCUCCCCUUGACGGCCGCCUCGCGAGCCUUCAUGCCUUCUUCCUGCUCCUGGUGAAGGCGGGCCUCUUUCGCGAGAUGGUCCCGCAGGCCUUGCAGCUCGUCCUCCAGCGCCUUGUAGCGACCACGGACGUCGACCACCUCCCCCAGUGCUGCGUCACGAGCAGCCUUCGCCUCAAGGACGGCCUGCCUCUCCUCAUCGCAAGCCGUCGAGGCCUGGACCAGCGCCGCCCGAAUCGAAGCGUCGGAGAGAAUCCAUCCUGAAGCCAUCUCCAAGCGCCCGGCCACCAAGCGAGGGUCGGCGCCAAGAAGAUCCUGCCGCAGCCGGUCCAGCUCAGCAGCAGGACGAUCCAGAACGGUAGGAGGAGUCGGAGAGACAACAGUCGGUGGAGUAGGAGGAGAAGGCGGCAGCGCGACCACAACAUCCUGAGGCGGAGCCUGCUGCGCCCCAACGGAUGUAGUGGCGGCAGCAGGCAAAGGCACCUCGGGAGUCACUUGGGCCAUGGGGGCUGAGCUCACCCCAGCCGGCUCAGCCAGGCCUCGCGAGGACGACCGGGCAGGAGAAGCCCGUGCGUCGCGGUCACCUUCCUUCGCGGGCAGAGGCGCUGCCACAGAUGGAACCUCGGGAGCUCCCUUCGGCUUCUUUGCUGCGGGCGCCAGCCUGUCCAAAAGAUGUGGACGUCAAGCCUCAGUAGUAGAACAAGAAAUAAAGACAAGAAUCAAGCGCUUAUGGGUCGUCGCCAGUGAGCUCAGGCAGCCUCCGGCCAAAUUUGAAGCCUGAAAGCCGGCUGGAAGGGUCAACCUUGGGAAGCUCGGGAGCGGAAGGCGCGUCUGUGGUCCGCCUCGGGGCCGGGGCAGACCCGCGGGAGAUCAGCCCGAUCCUGUCCUUCUUCGGGUUCGGGGGCAAGCUCCCGCCGCCCUGCUCGUCAUCAUCCUCGUCGUCAUCGCUCGGAGAGAGGCGGAGAGCGCGGGACCUGCGCCGGGGGAGAGGAGCCCUCGACUCUCCAUCAGUCGCCUCGGAGUCAGGCCCUUUUUCCCGCUCCCCUCCUUCCUCCUCUUUGCUGGAGUCGUCGGAGGACACGUCCAUCGAUUCCCUUGGAGUUUCGAUGGGCACGGGCCCGUCCCCGUUGAAGACGGGCAUGGACUCCACUACCUGCUCCCAGUCGUCGCGGAGGAACAAGGGCGUAGGAGCGCCCUCCAACCUCGCCACAUCGCCCCCGACCAGAGAUUGGAGGACCGCAGCCGGAUCUUCGUCGGCCAAGGCCGCGGUGCUCGGAUGGGGCCUCCACAUCGGAAGUGAGUACUGCCGAAGCGGAGCCAGCUGGUGCUCCAGGAAUUCCCUCAGCAGUGACGCGCCGGUCAGCUUCGCCGCCGCCAUGUUGGCCGGCCUCAGAUCCGCGUCCAUCUUCUCCAACACCAGCUUCGCACGGGGGUCCGUGAGCUCCACUCGACCCCAAUCGCUGGAGCUCGUGGGUUGCUCCGUGGGCAAGAUCAGCCGAGGGUGGAUGCGCCUAGCAUCUGCGAAGACCCACUUGCUCCUGAAGCCCUCAAUCCUUUUCCCGGGGUUCGAAAUGGCAAUGGCGCCACCAUACGCGAUGAAGCUCGCGCACGCGGAAGUAGGACCGCGAGAGGUCCGGAGGUAGAAGUAGUGGCGCAGCAAGGCCACUGAGGGCUGCACCCCAACGUGAGCCUCGCAGUAAUAGGCGAAGAUUGCCAGGAGAAGGACGGAGUUGGGGUGGAGAUGCAAAGCCUGUAGCUUAUAAUGGCGGAGGACAAAGAAGAAGAACUCCGAGAAGGGAGGCACCAGGCCAGCAGCAAUGGCGCUUACAAAGAACGGAUAGAAGGUGCUCCCUUGGCCCUCAGGGGUGGCGGAGCCGGCCUUGAACACCUUCGCCCCGUCGAAGCCCUGCGCCACCGCCAUCCGGCGCAACCGGGCGAGGCUCGCCUCAGACACGUUCGACAAGUCCAGGGCAGACGAGUACCAAGCUCCGGCCGGGGACCGAUGAGGCGCCAUGGCUUCCUAGGUCACGCGGUCGAAGUAGAUCUGGAAAUUUUAGAGGAAGGAAGGAGAGGCGCAAGAAAGGGGAUCUGAGCAGCAACCGGAGAAAGCAAAAAGCAAAGCCUAGGCAGAUGCCACUCCCUUAUCAACUCACGCGGUUGCUGAGGCGCCCACGUCCAGUCAACCGCCACGCGGCGCCCAAGGUCGCAGGCUGUUAGGGCCCGCUGCGCUUCGCUCUUGCCCUUUCGCCUCCCUGCACGGCCAAGUCCGGACGCGCCUUGGGCCCGGGGGCUACUGUCGGCGUUCUGGGAACGGGGGUCCCCAGACUUGCCUGCCUGCGGCCCGCGGCGUGGCUCAAAAGGGGGCCCGACGCGGCCCAUCUUCAUCAACACAGACCCAAGACCCUCGCGAGGGGCCAAGCCUCGCGGGGCGGACGACACGGAGCUUCCUCCGGCACGGCCUCAUCAGGCUGGCUCGCGAGGAGGCGGAGAGAUCAAGGCGGGGUACCUCACGAGGUGCCCAUGACGCAAGCCAUGACGACCAAAGGCACCAGGCGGGCGCCAGCCGCGCAAUGUCCUCCUUUCCUCUUUGGUGCAAAGGGAGCAAGCGCAGGCGAGAGCAUCAAGCAAAGGCACCCGUUUCGGUGCAACGAGAUCAAGACCAGUCCAACGGCAGGGAGGAAGUCAUUGUGGAGCCCAAGCCAGCGUCACCACCAGACCUUUGGCAGGCGAGGACCAACUUUAGUCAGGAUAAGUGUACCAGAUGUCCCCCCUUCAAAAUGGCCAAUUGUUGGCGCCCUUCCCGCUCAAUAUUUGGGAAGAGGCCCAGGGCCUUUGCCUAUAAAUAGGACUAGCCACCCAUAGGGGAGAUGGGAGAUCGCAUCGAAAUUGGAGGGAGAAUCGAGAAGGGAGAGAGAGAGAAGGGCGACUGAACUCCUCCUAGCAGUUCAUCCCCCCAGCCAAGAACAGACCCUCGCGAGGCUGUUCUUCCUUGUAUUGCUCAUCAUCAUCAGCCCAAGAGGCAAUCCACCACACCACACACUGGAGUAGGGUAUUACACCACAAUGGUGGCCCGAACCAGUAUAAACCCUGUGUCUCUUGUGCUGUUCUUUCCAUAGCUUAGAUCUUAGCGAGGCGGAGGGGUGCAGGUAGGUAGAAGGCGAAAUCUCUGCGCGCACCCCAGUGUUCGAACCUCAAGGGUCUGCCGGAACCCGAAAUCCGACAGCGCGCGCCGAGUUGGACCGCGUAACGCAACUUCCUUUGUAAUGGAGGUUGCUAGGUCUGCUCUCCGGCCGCCCUCGCAACGUGCAGGUGUGCAAUGGGCGAUGGGCCCAGACCCCUGCGCCAUAGGAUUUAGACCGGCGUGCUGACCUCCCUGUUGUGCCUAGGUAGGGCUGCGACGUGUUGAUCUUCCGAGGCCGGGCAUGACCCAGGAAAGUGUGUCCGGCCAAAUGGGAUCGACCGUGUUGGGUUAUGUGGUGCACCCCUGCAGGGAAGUUGAUCUAUUCAAAUAGCCGUGUCCCUCGGUAAAAGGACGACCCGGAGUUGUACCUUGACCUUAUGACAACUAGAACCGGAUACUUAAUAAAACACACCCUUCCAAGUGCCAGAUACAACCGGUGAUCGCUCUCUCACAGGGCGACGAAGGGAGGAUCGUCGGUUAGGAUUAUGCUAUGCGAUGCUACUUGGUGAACUUACCAUCUACUCUCUUCUCUUGCUGCAAGAUGGAGGUUACCAAAAGCAUAGUCUUCGAUAGGACUAGCUAUCCCCCUCUUAUUCCGGCAUUCUGCAGUUCAGUCCACAUAUGAUACCCUUAUUCCAUUUGAUACCAAUGCAUACAUAUGUAGUGUGGCUCCUUGCUUGCGAGUACUUUGGAUGAGUACUCACGGUUGCUUUGCUCCCUCUUUUCCACCUCUCUAUACCCGAUUGCUGCGACCAGACGAUGGAGCCCAGGAGCCAGACAUCACUAUCGAUGACGACUACUACUACUCGGGAGGUGCCUACUACUACGUGCAGCCCGCUGACGAUGACCAGGAGUAGUUUAGGAGGAUCCCAGGCAGGAGGCCUGCGCCUCUUUCGAUCUGUAUCCCAGUUUGUGCUAGCCUUCUUAACCAAACUUGUUUAACUUAUGUCUGUACUCAGAUAUUGUUGCUUCUGCCGACUCGUCUAUGAUCGAGCUCUUGUAUUCGAGCCCUCGAGGCACCUGCCUUGUAAUAUGAUGCUUGUAUGACUUAUUUUAUUUGUAGAGUUGUGUUGUGAUAUCUUCCCGUGAGUCCCUGAUCUUGAUCGUACACGUUUGCGUGUAUGAUUAGUGUACGGUCAAAUCAGGGGCGGCACAAGUUGGUAUCAGAGCCGACUGCCUGUAGGAAUCCCCCUUUCCAACUCCUUGGCUGAAGUCAAGUCUAGUCAUUGAAAACCUUUUACUAACAUGGUUGUGUGGCUUAUGGGCCCACGUCGCCAUUGGGUGGUAUUAGGAUCUUUUACUCCUUGUUUAUACUCUGGGACUCUGAUCUCUCUUCUAUUCGGGUUAAAUGAAUUUUGCUAAAUCUAACAUUAGGAUCUCGUUAUCACUUCCACCCGGAGAGCCCCUUAUCACAAAUGAUCGCCUGCUGCACCAGAAGAUUCCAAAAAUACUCUCCGAUGUUCUCCCGAGAACAUAUGCUCAUCCUCUUUGCAACUCCCUACCACCGUAAUAUCCUUAUGUAUAACUACAUACACUUGCUAUUCAUACAAUCAUUCCCUGUUGAUCUUGUUAUUACAAGAUACCCCGAAUUUCUCCCUAUUGUUCCGAGAAUACUUGUGCCUACUGCCUUGUAGUUCCUUGCCACGGAAAUACCCCUAUGGAUAAUUCCUUGCACUUAUCAAGUAUCCGCUCAUCCCUCAUUGAUCAUGAGUUUCACAAAAUUCUUUGAAAUGCUAUUCGAUCUUCCAAAUUCCCGAGCAGUCUAUUGCUUUUAAGACUCUCGCUUGCUUGCACUAUGGUUAAUACCAUAAGUCUAGUAAUCUUAUUGUCAUCCUUUGUCAUUAUCAUUUUGAGUCCGUUGAUACAAUAUGUUGCGAAUGCUCGCAAUCCUCAAUCAGAUCCUAGAAUUCAUCCUUCCGGCUUAGACGUCAUUUUAACAUGAGCUGGAUCUCAACCAAUCAAAUUGCCAUCGAUUGUACCCCUAAGGCUAUUCAACUUAUCCAUCUCUAAUUAGAGCAUUGCUAUUGAUCCCUUGUCUUGGAAUUCAUAAUUCCUUUGCAUUUGAGCUUUGAGUUAGUCAGUUGUUUCUAUAAUCUGAUCUCCUUGCUUUCUUUCUUCCUCUUGUUGAGUACCGAUGCUCACAUUGGAUCCCUUGUGGACCACCACACCCUUUGGCGGAUUUUAUCCAACAACGUCCUUCAUAUUCAAUAAGCUUGUGAGCCUUUCCUUGGAUACAUAAUGCCUUUGGUAAAUUGUAUCCUCUGCUUUCUCAAGCAUGCUGUAUUAUCGAGCUUGUGUUAUUUACUCUGAAGUUUGUGGUAUAUGCUCCUAAGAUGCCCUGAUGGGUUGAACCUACGCCUUCCCUAAUCUGUGUGAACCUAAAAGAUUUCACGGGUCAUACUUAUCUGGUAUUGCACCAGGUAAAAACUUUCAACAACUAAAUCAUUUUUAUUUAGAGCAGUGAAUGAAUGGUCAUGCAUUGGAGAAGUGGGAGUCGACCUUGAACCUUGCGUUCAUGCCCAUGGACACGAUGCUAAUAUUAUCAUGGAUGCUUCUCUUAAACCCUCUUUGGUAUAAGUUCAUCUUAUAUAUGGGAAUUGGUCUUUUGCAACCGUGCUUCCGACCAAAUUUUUUUUCUUGAUUCCAUCUCUUGGACAAGUUAGAGUACUUGCCUUCUGCAGAUCAAUACACCUGCCCAACCUCUAUUUUUGAUCUGCUUUCUUGUAUUACCCCCAUGGUAUCUCGAGGAUAUAUCUUAUGAAUUUCUGAUGAAGUAGUACCUUCCCUGUCAUAGUGACUCCACGGGUUCUGGGUUGUCGUCAACCGAGAACAUCGAUAAGUGAAUCGAUUCCGCGCUCCGAUACGAUAACUCUAAGUAAUUUUUGUUGCUUAUGAGUUUAAUAAUCCUUCAAGUCAUGCCUAGCCUAAUUGGCUAUAUCCUUAUCGUGCUAAAUUGUAACUGUGCUACCUGGUCCUUCUUCCCAGAGCACAACUAUCGAUGAUGAGCUAAGCUUACGUCGAUCUUCCUCAUCUUAUCAUUUCGCCUUGAACCGCAAGCUUGGUCUCGAGUUUGUGUCGUACCCGUGGUUCCAAUAAUCUUUCGCUUCAUCAUUCCUUUGACUUUAUGUCAUCGCCGAUCGAUUACAUCUUCAGGUAACCUCUCGACAAAUGUGUCUUGAUCAUCAUCAACAUAUUGAUCUCUUUCAAGAUACCCAUCGAAUUCAUGAUGAGCAAUACCAUCCUUGCCCCUCGAUGAUGUGUGUUAUCAUCGACAACAUUCUUGCCUUCCCACAACACAAACUUGUUCAUGUUAUGAAUGCAACUUGCUAUCCAGCUUGUAUGAUGUUCCACCUUGAAGUAUUAAUGUCCUUUAUGACAAGGAUGUUGUGAGGAUUGCUCCACCUCUUAAGAAUUCUUGGUAUAGUGAUGCUUCUCACCAUCACCAUUCUUUCUUGGUCCUUGUGUUGAUUCCAACCAGUGUACCAACAAGUGAACGGUGCUGUUUGGAUUCUGCCCUUCUAGCAACCCUAUUGCUUUGAAGUUGAUGGUCGAUAGUUCGUUCUUAGACUAUUGGUUGUUGAACCACCAUUCUAACGUUGAUCAUGCUACCUAAGCCCAUCUUUUGUGCGCACCUUUCAACCAAUGUUAAUUAUGUGUGUUUUCCUUGAGCAUACCUCAUUAUAUCAUUUGAUGUGACAAAUGUUAUCUCCUUGUUCACCUAAUUGUGGAAAUCCAUCUUUUGGAAAUCUCGAUGAAUUGUGGCUGAGUUCAUCAGCCACCUCCUCAUUCUCUCCUUGGUUUAAGGAUGUUUCGGAACUCGUUUCCAUAGUUCAUUUCCCGAGAAUCUUACAAUGUCAUCUUGUCAAUUUGUGUUGCACUUUUUCUCCUCAGGCAUCCUGAGUCUGAGGUAAUUUGACACCAACCGGAUCUGAAUCUCGGUCAGAUAUGAUGGUUGGGACAUAUUUCCAAGAGUUAUAACAUUCGUCUUCAUGUGACCCGGUAAGGUGAUGUCAUGCCUAGCACACCUGGCCGGAGGACCUGCUGUUAUAGUUUCCUUUUUAGCAAGGUUAACCAUUCUUCCAUGAGGAAAUUGAAUGACUUGUUUAAUAAGUUUUUCCCGAUGGAUCCUUUGUGUAUCAAGGUCCGACCUUUGCUUGAAGACCUUCUCAGUGCGAUCUCGAAGCAUGUUGGUGGUACUCCGAUUUUCAAUAAGAGCAUUUGAAGAACAAUGCUAAAUCUUCUUUGUCCAUUAUCCAAACACCGUUGUUUGGGUUAUGUCAUGAAAUUCCUCUCCCCUUACCUAAAUGGUUUUCUACUUUCUAUCUUGUCAUGGAUAUCAUGCUCUGCUUGUCCUUUGGAAGGAUAUAUCCCUGAAACAUGUGUUUAAACACAUUUUCCUUUCCAUUGUCUGUUUAAUCUGAUGAUCACCUUUUCCUUUCCAUUGUUUUAUUUAAACUUACUGGUGAUCAAUAUGAUCUAAGUAGUAAUAUUCUCCUGCUUAGGUAAGCACCUCAUUGAACCACUCUGUCAGUAAGACCCUGUUAAUAUUGUUGAUAACAUUCCGGUAACCACCGAUGGACGAGAACUUUACCUAUUGGUCCGCCUCGUUCAACGAGCAGGAAGAUGGUUCUCUUCGUCCCUCGCCCUUGGUACCGAUGUUGUUGCCGACAUAACUGACAGACUAUCCUCUAACAUGCCUGGCUUACCUGAUUGUACAAGAUGUCACCGACCUUCCUACUUGUAAACCACAUGGUGGGCCCAUAACCCACAGUUCCACAGGGUCGAAACCUGACUCUCCUGUACAUCCCUGUUUCAAAGUUAUCCCUUGCGCUUCAUUUCGUAUGUAAUUCGCGAGCCACCCUCCUAGUUAUAAAUUCUAGUAUCGGACACAAUACUUAUUCCCGUUGCUCUGAACCCCUUUCACACUCUGUUUCAGGCAAUAAACGAUUGCCUAUCCGCUCGAAACUUCUUAUUGCACUGUCUUACUUGCUCUCGAUGUUUUCUUAAGUUUCAAUUCGAGAGUUACUUUCCGCCACCUUCCCUGGUGUUAUCUACCGGCUUAGCAACCUUGUAGAGUUUUGUUCUUCCGAAGCUACCCAUUAUCCUUUUCGUAAGUACGAUGGAGUUCCCGAAGAAAGGAUGCCGACUUCAUCAUGAUGACCUCAAGCUGAAGUAUGAAAACAUCAGCAUUAUGGAUCGACCACUUCGAGGAGAGCAACUAAGACCGAGUACACUCUAUAGAAUUUCGUAACUAGAACCCCCCUUACGCCUCUUAAAUCUCGGGACGAGAUUUCUUGUAGUGGAGGAGAAUUGUGACGCCCAGAUAAUUAAGCUACAGUGAACCUAUGCUAAUUAUGCCAUGUCACUACUAUUACUGUUAUUAAUCCCGUGGUGGUUCAAAAACAAUUUAAAUUUCAAAUAACAAGUCAAAUUCUUAUUUAUUCAAAAUGUCAAAUAAAAAUGUUUGAGGGUUUACAAAUAUUCACUUAGUAUUUAACAUGUAGGAACCAACAUUAAAUGGAUUUUUAAAUUUCCCCUAGGAAUAAUUAAUGUUGACAAGCAACACUUAUUAUGCCCAUUUAAAUAUAAACCUAUUUUCAAACAUUUUCCAAAUAACCUCAAACUUUUUAGACAACACCAAGAUAUCAGUAGGUAAUGUUGUGGGAAGUUUCAACUUUAACUAAAAUCAUUUAGUGUUUAGGCUAAAUACAAAACAGUGGCUAAAAUAGAAAAUAGAAAUAUAUAUAAAACUAAACUACUCUUUGGACUCACGGCCUACUAGCUACAGGAACUAGCCCAGCCCAACUUGGGCCAUCCCGAACCUCGCUACAGGAGACAUGGGGAUCGUGGCGGCCAUCCAUCGGCAUGGCCGCGCCAUGCCGUGCGUGUCGGCCAUCCAGCACACCUCGGUGCCCUACAAAACACCGCCGCACCCCUCGGCCGAAACCCUAGCUCCUAAUUCUAUCUCCCCUUUCCUUGUUCGAUCUAGAACUCGCAUCCGAACGUAGCCGUCACCGCUUCGCCGUUGUCGUCGUGGCCACUUGCAUCCCCGCCGGCUGAAACUUCGCCAGGAGACGCGUCGGCCUCGUCUACUUUGACUACGGCCACCAGAUCGAGCUGGGGCGCCGUCAAGCUUCGGGAUCGACGGCUUCUUCCCACUUCGAUCGCCGGAGUUCCUCACCGAAUCCACCACCUCUGCUGCUCCUAAGCCACUCGAUGGGCCUCCUUGCGCCUGCUCGGUCAGCACCUCCUCUCCCCUCCCAUUCUUGCGCCGUAGGCCGCCGUCUUCGAGUUCGUCCGAGCCCCCCACGUACGCAUAUGUGUAUAUGCGUGCGUGUUGUGCUGCUCCUGUGCCGCUGCUCCGUCGUGGUUGCCCGCCUACGCGUCGCGAGCGCCGCGACCCGCGUCGUCCCUAGCCCUCUCCUCUGCCCCACCUUGCUGCGCUCGCCUACUCGCCCACACGCGCUCGCGCUCACCGGCGCCCUGCCCGCGUCCGCCCGCUUGCUCUGCUGCUGCACUCGCCCCAGCGUGCCCCCUGCUCCUCCUCCCCUCCCACGCGCGGUGCUGUUGCUUCUGCAUCUGCUGCUGCGGCCGCCCCGUUCGCGAGCUCCACCGGUCGCGGCCUCGCCUUGUGCAUGCAUCAUGUGCUCGCGCACGUCUCCUGCAGCCACCUGCGCCCAUCGCCGCUGCCACUUGCGCCUGCCUACGUGUGGCUUCGCCCGCGCCCUCGCGUGACCCAAGCUGCUCUGCCUGUGGCUGCUGUUGCGCCUCACUCGGCUGCAGCGCCCGAGCCACGCCGUUGCUUACUGUACUGCUGAUGCUAGUUACUGUAGCGGCUACUAGCUAGCUUUUCUGAUUAUACAUUGACUAACCCUCUAGACAUCCUCUAAACAACGUCUAAACAGCUGUUAACUUGGGUGAAAUUAAUAUGAGUAGAAAGUAUACUUGACAAACUUCAUUUUAUCCCGCUAGACCAAAUCCUUUCGAUGCAUGGUUUAAAUCCUACAAAAAUCACAAAAUGCUAAGUUCUGUUAAGUGAAAAAAAAACCGAAAACAGCUUUAUUUUCAUAGCUACUUUAGAGCUGUUGAUGAUCAAGCAAAUGAACUCUAAUUUGGACGAAAGUGCUACUAUCUUGUAUAUGACAGAAAAACGCUCAAAAUUGAUAUAAGGCAUAUAAUCAUAGGAGGUACAGAUCCAUAGUUGUAGCCUUUUGAAAACAACUAAAAGACGUUUAAAACUGACAAAUUCUCAGACUUAGCAAAAUUUCAGGAAUUUUCAGAAUAUUGCUAAAACUUCGGAAAAUCAUAGAAAUUAAUCCGUAACUUGGAUGAAAAAGUUUUCUACAUGAAAGUGGCUCAGAAUGACGAGACGAAUCCAAACACAUGGUGCGUUCAUCUGUCACAUGCCCCUAGCAUAGCGAACACACAACUUUCCCCCUCCGAUUCAUCUGUCCAAAAAUGCGAAACACCGGGGAUAUUUUCUCGGAUGUUUCCCUCCUUUGUCGGUAUCCCCUCCUACUGCGUUAGGUCAUCCUAGCACCGCGUAUUUCCAUGUUAUGCUUUGGGAAGCUUUGAUUGCUCUGUUAUUUAUUGUGUUCCCCCUCCAUUAUUUCUUUCCGGUAGACCCCGAGACUGCGGUUGAACCAGUGAUCGACUACUUCACCUUCGAGGGUCCGUUUCUGUCUGCAGAGCAACCAUGCAAGCCCCCCCCCUUGAUCACCAGAUAUCGCCUACUCUUCUCUAUACUGCUUGCAUUAGAGUAGUGUAGCAUGUUACUGCUUUCCGUUAAUCCUAUCCUGAGGCAUAGCCUGUCCUUGCUACUACUGUUGUUACCUUUACUGCAAUCCUAAUGCUUAGUAUAGGAUGCUUGUUUAUCAUCAGUGGCCCUACCUACUUGUCCGUCUGCCAUGCUAUACUAUCGGGCCGUGAUCACUCGGGAGGUGAUCAUGGGUAUAUACUAUAUACUUUAUACAUGAUACAUGUGGUGACUAAAGUCGGGUCGGCUCGUGGAGCACCCGCGAGUGAUUCACGGAUUGGGGGCUAAAAGGACCUUUGUCCCAACGGCCCUUUGUGUGGAUCUUUGUGGCGAAGCGACAGGGUAGGUUGAGACCACCUAGGAGAGAGGUGGGCCUAGCCCUGGUCGGCGUUCGUGGUUAUUUCAAGAUAACACGUUUAACGAGAUCUUGGUAUUUGAUCUGAGUCUGGCCACUGGCCUAUACGCACUAACCAUCUACGCGGGGACAAUUAUGGUCACUCGACAUCGUGGUAUCAGCCGAAGCCUUCGUGACGUCAGCGCCUGAGCGGCGCGCGCCGGGUUGGAAUGCGUAACGCAACUUCCUUUGUAAUGGAGGUUGCUAGGUCUGCUCUCCGGCCGCCCUCGCAACGUGCAGGUGUGCAAUGGGCGAUGGGCCCAGACCCCUGCGCCAUAGGAUUUAGACCGGCGUGCUGAACUCUUUGUUGUGCCUAGGUAGGGCUGCGACGUAUUGAUCUUCCGAGGCCGGGCAUGACCCAGGAAAGUGUGUCCGGCCAAAUGGGAUCGAGCGUGUUGGGUUAUGUGGUGCACCCCUGCAGGGAAGUUGAUCUAUUCGAACAGCCGUAUCCGUCGGUUGAAAGGGACGACCCGGAGUUGUACCUUGACCUUAUGACAACUAGAACCGGAUACCUAAUAAAACACACCCUUCCAAGUGCCAGAUAAAACCGGUGAUCGCUCUCUCACAGGGUGACGAAGGGAGGAUCAUCGGUUAGGAUUAUGCUAUGCGAUGCUACUUGGUGAACUUACCAUCUACUCUCUUCUCCUGCUGCAAGAUGGAGGUUACCAGAAGCAUAGUAUUCGAUAGGACUAGCUAUCCCCUCUCUUAUUCCGGCAUUUUGUAGUUCAGUCCACAUAUGAUACCCUUAUUCCAUUUGAUACCAAUGCAUACAUAUGUAGUGUAACUCCUUGCUUGCGAGUACUUUGGAUGAGUACUCACGGUUGCUUUGCUCCCUCUUUUCCACCUCUCUAUACCCGAUUGCCGCGACCAGACGAUGGAGCCCAGGAGCCAGACACCACUAUCGAUGACGACUACUACUACUCGGGAGGUGCCUACUGAAGGAAAUAUGCCCUAGAGGCACUAAUAAAGUUAUUAUUUAUUUCCUUAUUUCAUGAUAAAUGUUUAUUAUUCAUGCUAGAAUUGUAUUAGCCGGAAACAUAAUACAUGUGUGAAUACAUAGACAAACAAAGUGUCACUAGUAUGCCUCUACUUGACUAGCUCGUUAAUCAAAGAUGGUUAUGUUUCCUAACCAUAGACAUGUGUUGUCAUUUGAUUAACGGGAUCACAUCAUUAGGAGAAUGAUGUGAUUGACAUGACCCAUUCCAUUAGCUUAGCACCCGAUCAUUUAGUAUGUUGCUAUUGCUUUCUUCAUGACUUAUACAUGUUCCUAUGACUAUGAGAUUAUGCAACUCCCGUUUACCAGAGGAACACUUUGUGUGCUACCAAACGUCACAACGUAACUAGGUGAUUAUAGAGGAGCUCUAUAGGUGUCUCCAAAGGUACAUGUUGGGUUGGCGUAUUUCGAGAUUAGGAUUUGUCACUCCGAUUGUCGGAAAGGUUCUCUGGGCCCUCUCGGUAAUGCACAUCACAUAAGCCUUGCAAGCAUUACAACUAAUGAGUUAGUUGCAAGAUGAUGUAUUACGAAACGAGUAAAGAGACUUGCCGGUAACGAGAUUGAACUAGGUAUUGAGAUAUCGACGAUCAAAUCUCGGGCAAGUAACAUACCGAUGACAAAGGGAACAACGUAUGUUGUUAUGCGGUCUGACCGAUAAAGUUCUUCGUAGAAUAUGUGGGAGCCAAUAUGAGCAUCCAGGUUCCGCUAUUGGUUAUUGACUGGAGACAUGUCUCGGUCAUGUCUACAUUGUUCUCGAACCCGUAGGGUCUGCACGCUUAAGGUUUUCGAUGACAGUUAUAUUAUGAGUUUAUGAGUUUUGAUGUACCGAAGGAGUUCGGAGUCCCGGGUGAGAUCGGGGACAUGACGAGGAGUCUCGAAAUGGUCGAGACGUGAAGAUCGAUAUAUUGGACGACUAUAUUCGGACAUCGGAAAGGUUCCAAGUGAUUUGGGUAUUUUUCGGAGGACCGGAGAGUUACGGGAAUACGUAUUGGGCCUUAUUGGGCCGUACGGGAAAGAAGAAAAAGGCCUCAAGGGUGGCCGCACCCCUCCCCUUGGUCUGGUCCGAAUUGGACUAGGGAAGGGGGGCGCCCCCUUCAUUCCUUCUCCUUUUCCCUUCCUCUUUUCCUAUUCCAUAUGGGAGGUGGAAUCCUACUAGGACUAGGGAGUCCUAGUAGGACUCCACACUUGGCGCACCCCCUCCUAGGGCCGGCCUCCUCCUCCCUUGCUCCUUUAUAUACGGGGGCAGGGGGCACCUCUAGAUACACAAGUUGAUCCGCGUGAUCAUAUUCUUAGCCGUGUGCGGUGCCCCCUUCCACCAUAAUCCUCGAUAAUAUUGUAGCGGUGCUUAGGCGAAGCCCUGCGACGGUAGUAAGAUCGUCACCAUGCCGUCCUGCUGACGGAACUCUUCCCCGACACUUUGCUGGAUCGGAGUCCGGGGAUCGUCAUCGAGCUGAACGUGUGCUAGAACUCGGAGGUGCCGUAGUUUCGGUGCUUGAUCGGUCGGGCCGUGAAGACGUACGACUACAUCAAUCGCGUUCUGCUAACGCUUCCGCUGUCGAUCUACAAGGGUACGUAGAUCACACUCUCCCCUCUCGUUGCUAUGCAUCACCAUGAUCUUGCAUGUGCGUUGGAUUUUUUUUGAAAUUACUACGUUCCCCAACAGUGGCAUCCGAGCCUAGGUUUUAUGUGUUGAUGUUAUAUGCACGAGUAGAACACAAGUGAGUUGUGGGCGAUAUAAGUCAUACUGCUUAUCAGCAUGUCAUACUUUGGUUCGGCGGUAUUGUUGGAUGAAGCGCCCCAGACCGACAUUACGCGUACGCUUACGCGAGACCGGUUCUCCCGACGUGCUUUGCACAGAGGUGGCUAGCGGGUGACAGUUUCUCCAACUUUAGUUGAACCGAGUGUGGCUACGCCCGGUCCUUGCGAAGGUUAAAACAGCACCAACUUGACAAACUAUCAUUGUGGUUUUGAUGCGUAGGUAAGAUUGGUUCUUGCUUAAGCCCGUAGCAGCCACGUAAAACUUGCAACAACAAAGUAGAGGACGUCUAACUUGUUUUUGCAGGGCAUGUUGUGAUGUGAUAUGGUCAAGACAUGAUGCUAAAUUUUAUUGUAUGAGAUGAUCAUGUUUUGUAACCAAGUUAUCGGCAACUGGCAGGAGCCAUAUGGUUGUCGCUUUAUUGUAUGCAAUGCAAUUGCGCUGUAAUGCUUUACUUUAUCACUAAGCGGUAGCGAUAGUCGUGGAAGCAUAAGAUUGGCGAGACGACAACGAUGCUACGAUGGUGAUCAAGGUGUCGCGCCGGUGACAAUGGUGAUCACCACGGUGCUUCGAAGAUGGAGAUCAUAAGCACAAGAUGAGGAUGGCCAUAUCAUAUCACUUAUAUUGAUUGCAUGUGAUGUUUAUCUUUUAUGCAUCUUAUCUUUCUUUGAUUGACGGUAGCAUUUUAAGAUGAUCUCUCAAUAAUUAUCAAGAAGUGUUCUCCCUGAGUAUGCACCGUUGCGAAAGUUCUUCGUGCUGAGACACCACGUGAUGAUCGGGUGUGAUAGGCUCUACGUUCAAAUACAACGGGUGCAAAACAGUUGCACACGCGGAAUACUCAGGUUAUACUUGACGAGCCAAGCAUAUACAAAUAUGGCCUCGGAACACGGAGACCAAAAGGUCGAGCGUGAAUCAUAUAGUAGAUAUGAUCAACAUAGUGAUGUUCACCAAUGAAACUACUCCAUCUCACGUGAUGAUCGGACAUGGUUUAGUUGAUUUGGAUCACGUAAUCACUUAGAGGAUUAGAGGGAUGUCUAUCUAAGUGGGAGUUCUGAAGUAAUAUGAUUAAUUGAACUUAAAUUUAUCAUGAACUUAGUCCUGGUAGUAUUUUGCAAAUUAUGUUGUAGAUCAAUAGCUCGCGUUGUUGCUUCCCUGUGUUUAUUUUGAUAUGUUCCUAGAGAAAUUUGUGUUGAAAGAUGUUAGUAGCAAUGAGGCGGAUUGGAUCCGUAAUCUGAGGUUUAUCCUCAUUGCUGCACAGAAGAAUUAUUUCCUUGAUGCACCGCUAGGUGACAGACCUAUUGUAGGAGCAGAUGCAGAUGUUAUGAACGUUUGGCUAGCUCAAUAUGAUGACUACUUGAUAGUUUAGUGCACCAUUCUUAACGGCUUAGAAUCGGGACUUCAAAGACGUUUUGAACGUCAUGGACCAUAUGAGAUAUUCCAGGAGUUGAAGUUAAUAUUUCAAGCAAAUACCCGAGUUGAGAGAUAUGAAGUCUCCAACAAGUUCUAUAGCUAAAAGAUGGAGGAGAAUCGCUCAAGCAGUGAGCAUGUGCUCAGAUUGUCUGGGUACUACAAUUGCUUGAAUCAAGUGGGAGUUAAUCUUUCAGAUAAAAUAGUGAUUGACAGAAUUCUCUAGUCACCAUCACCAAGUUAGUAGAACUUCGUGAUGAACUAUAAUAUGCAAGGGAUAACGGAAACGAUUCCCAAGCUCUUCAUGAUGAAAUCGAUGAAGGUAGAAAUCAAGAAAGAGCAUCAAGUGUUGAUGGUUGACAAUAUCACUAGUUUCAAGAAAAGGGCAAAGGAAAAAAGGGGAACUUCAAGAAGAACAGCAAGCAAGUUGCUGCUCAAGUGAAGAAGCCCAAGUCUGGUCCUAAGCCUGAGACUAAGUGCUUCUACUGCAAAGGGACUGGUCACUGGAAGCGGAACUACCCCAAGUGAUUGGCGGAUAAGAAGGAUGGCAAAGUGAACAUAAGUAUAUUUGAUAUACAUGUUAUUGAUGUGUACUUUACUAGUGUUUAUAGCAACCCCUCAGUAUUUGAUACUAGUUCAGUUGCUAAGAUUAGUAACUCGAAACGGGAGUUGCAGAAUAAAUAGAGACUAGUUAAGGGUGAAGUGACGAUGUGUGUUGGAAGGGGUUCCAAGAUUGAUAUGAUCAUCAUCACACACUCCCUAUAAUUUCGGGAUUAGUGCAUGAAUAUGAUUUGAUCAUGUUUAUUAUAAUACGGUUAUUCAUUUAAGUAAGAGAAUAAAUUGUUGUUCUGUUACAUGAAUAAAACCUUAUAUGGUUACACACCCAAUGAAAAUAGUUCAUUGGAUCUCGAUCGUAGUGAUACACAUAAUCAUAAUAUUGAAACCAAAAGAUGCAAAGUUAAUAAUGAUAGUGCAACUUAUUUGUGGCACUGCCGUUUAGGUCAUAUCGGUGUAAAGCGCAUGAAGAAACUCCAUACUGAUGGACUUUUGGAACCACUUGAUUAUGAAUCAUUUGGUACUUGCGAACCGUGCCUCAUGGGCAAGAUGACUAAAACGCCGUUCUCCGGUACUAUGGAGAGAGUAACAGAUUUGUUGGAAAUCAUACAUACUGAUGUAUGUGAUCCGAUGAAUAUUGAGGCUCGUGGCAGGUAUCAUUAUUUUCUAAUCUUCACAGAUGAUUUGAGCAGAUAUGAGUAUAUCUACUUGAUGAAACACAAGUCUGAAAUAUUUGAAAAGUUCAAAGAAUUUCAGAGUGAAGUGGAGAAUCAUCGUAACAAAAAUAAAAAUUUCUACGAUAUGAUCGCAGAAGUAAAAUAUUUGAGUUACGAGUUUGGCCUUCAGUUAAAACAAUGUGAAAUAGUUUCACUACUCACGCCACCUGGAACACCACAAUGUAAUGGUGUGUCCGAACGUCAUAACCAUACUUUAUUAGAUAUGGUGCGAUCUAUGAUGUCUCUUACCGAUCUACCACUAUCGUUUUGGGGUUAUGCAUUAGAGACAGAUGCAUUCACGUUAAAUAGGGCACCAUCUAAAUCUGUUGAGACGACACAAUCUGAACUGUGGUUUGGCAAGAAACCAAAGUUGCCGUUUCUUAAAUUUUGGGGUUGUGAUGCUUAUAUGAAAAAGUUUCAUCCUGAUAAGCUCAAACCCAAAUGGGAGAAAUAUGUCUUCAUAGGAUACCCAAAGGAGACUGUUGGGUACACCUUCUAUCACAGAUCUGAAGGCAAAUUAUUCAUUGCUGAGAAUGGAUCCUUUCUAGAGAAGGAGUUUCUCUCGAAAGAAGUGAGUGGGAGGAAAGUAGAACUUGAUGAGGUAACUGUACCUACUCCCUUAUUGGAAAGUAGUUCAUCACAGAAAUCUGUUCCUGUGACUACUAGACCGAUUAGUGAGGAAGCUAAUGAUGAUGAUCAUGUAACUUCAGAUCAAGUUACUACCGAACCUCGUAGGUAAACCAGAGUGAGAUCCGCACCAGAGUGGUACGGUAAUCCAGUUCUGGAGGUCAUAUUACUUGACCAUGACGAGCCUACGAACUAUGAGGAAGCGAUGAUGAGCCUAGAUUCCGCGAAAUGGCUUGAGGCCAUGAAAUCUGAGAUGAGAUCCAUGUAUGAGAACAAAGUAUGGACUUUGAUUGACUCGCCCAAUGAUCGGCGAGCCAUUGAGAUUAAAUGGGUCUUCAAGAGGAAGACGGACGCUGAUAGUAGUGUUACUAUCUACAAAGCUAGAAUUGUCACAAAAAAAAUGUUUUCGACAAGUUCAAGGUGUUGACUACGAUGAGAGUUUCUCACUCGUAUCUAUGCUUAAAUCUGUCCGAAUCAUGUUAGCAAUUGCCGCAUUUUAUGAAAUGCGGCAAAUGGAUAAACAAAACUGCAUUCCUUAAUAGAUUUAUUAAAGAAGAGUUGUAUAUGAUACAACCAGAGGUUUUGUCAAUUCUAAAGGUGCUAACAAAAUGUGCAAGCUCCAGUGAUCCAUCUAUGGACUGGUGCAAGCAUCUCGGAGUUGGAAUAUGCGCUUUGAUGAGAUGAUCAAAGCAUAUAGUUUUAUACAGACUUGCGGUGAAGCCUGUAUUUACAAGAAAGUGAGUGGGAGCACUACAACAUUUCUGAUAAGUAUAUGUGAAUGACAUAUUGUUGAUCGGAAAUAAUGUAGAAUUAUUCUGCAAAGCAUAAAGGAGUGUUUUCAAAGAAGUUUUUCAAAGAAAGACCUCGGUGAAGCUGCUUACAUAUUAAGCAUCAAGAUCUAUAGAGAUAGAUCAAGACGCUUGAUAAGUUUUUUCAAUGAGUACAUACCUUGACAAUAUUUUGAAGUAGUUCAAAAAUGGAAUAGUCAAAGAAAGAGUUCUUGGCUGUGUUACAAGGUGUGAAAUUGAGUAAGACUCAAAGCCCGACCACGACAGAAGAUAGAAAGAGAAUGAAAGUCAUUCCCUAUGCCUCAGCCAUAGGUUCUAUAAAGUAUGCCAUGCUGUGUACUAGAUCUAUUGUAUACCCUACACUGUGUUAAGCAAGGGAGUACAAUAGUGAUCUAAGAGUAGAUCACUGGACAGUGGUCAAAAUUAUCCUUAGUGGAAUAAGGAAAUAUUUCUCAAUUAUGGAGGUGACAAAAGGUUCGUCGUAAAAAGUUACGUCGAUGCAAGUUUUGACACAGAUCUGGAUGACUCUAAGUCUCGAUCUAGAUACAUAUUGAAAGUGGGAGCAAUUAGCUAGAGUAGCUCCGUGCAGAGCAUUGUAGACAUAGAAUUCGCAAAAUACUUACGGAUCUGUAUGUGACAGACUCGUUGACUAAAAUUAUCUCACAAGCAAAACAUGAUCACACCUUAGUACUCUUUGGGUGUUAAUCACAUAAACGAUGUGAACUAGAUUACUGACUCUAGUAAACCCUUUGGGUAUAGGUCACAUGACGAUGUGAACUAUGGGUGUUAAUCACAUGCUGAUGUGAACUAUUAGUGUUGAAUCACAUGGCGAUGUGAUCUAGAUUAUUGACUCUAGUGCAAGUGGGAGACUGAAGGAAAUAUGCCCUAGAGGCAGUAAUAAAGUUAUUAUUUAUUUCCUUAUUUCAUGAUAAAUGUUUAUUAUUCAUGCUAGAAUUGUAUUAACCGGAAACAUAAUACAUGUGUGAAUACAUAGACAAACAAAGUGUCACUAGUAUGCCUCUACUUGACUAGCUCGUUAAUCAAAGAUGGUUAUGUUUCCUAACCAUAGACAUGUGUUGUCAUUUGAUUAACGGGAUCACAUCAUUAGGAGAAUGAUGUGAUUGACAUGACCCAUUCCAUGAGCUUAGCACCCGAUUGUUUAGUAUGUUGCUAUUGCUUUCUUCAUGACUUAUACAUGUUCCUAUGAGUAUGAGCUUAUGCAACUCCCGUUUACCAGAGGAACACUUUGUGUGCUACCAAACGUCACAACGUAACUGGGUGAUUAUAAAGGAGCUGUACAGGUGUCUCCAAAGGUACAUGUUGGGUUGGCGUAUUUCGAGAUUAGGAUUUGUCACUCCGAUUGUCGGAAAGGUAUCUCUGGGCCCUCUCGGUAAUGCACAUCACAUAAGCCUUGCAAGCAUUACAACUAAUGAGUUAGUUGCAAGAUGAUGUAUUACGGAACAAGUAAAGAGACUUGCCGGUAACGAGAUUGAACUAGGUAUUGAGAUAUCGACGACCGAAUCUCGUGCAAGUAACGUACCGAUGACAAAGGGAACAACGUAUGUUGUUAUGCGGUCUGACUGAUAAAGAUCUUCAUAGAAUAUGUGGGAGCCAAUAUGAGCAUCCAGGUUCCGCUAUUGGUUAUUGACUGGAGACGUGUCUCGGUCAUGUCUACAUUGUUCUCGAACCCGUAGGGUCCGCACGCUUAAGGUUUUCGAUGACAGUUAUAUUAUGAGUUUAUGAGUUUUGAUGUACCGAAGGAGUUCGGAGUCCCGGAUGAGAUCGGGGACAUGACGAGGAGUCUCGAAAUGGUCGAGACGUAAAGAUUGAUAUAUUGGACGACUAUAUUCGGACAUUGAAAAGGUUCCGAGUGAUUCGGGUAUUUUCAGGAGUACCGGAGAGUUAUGGGAAUACGUAUUGGGCCUUAUUGGGCCAUACGGGAAAGAAGAAAAAGGGCCUCAAGGGUGGCCGCACCCCUCCCCUUGGUCUGGUCCGAAUUGGACUAGGGAAGGGGGGCGCCCCCUUCCUUCCUUCUCCUUUUCCCUUCCUCUUUUCCUAUUCCAUAUGGGAGGUGGAAUGCUACUAGGACUAGGGAGUCCUAGUAGGACUCCACACUUGGCGCGAGUCUCGAAAUGGUCGAUACGUAAAGAUCGAUAUAUUGGACGACUAUAUUCGGACAUCGGAAAGGUUCCGAGUGAUUCGGGUAUUUUUUAGAGUACCGGAGAGUUACGAGAAUACGUAUUGGGCCUUAUUGGGCCAUACGGGAAAGAAGAAAAAGGGCCUCAAGGGUGGCCGCACCCCUCCCCUUGGUCUGGUCCGAAUUGGACUAGGGAAGGGGGGCGCCCCCUUCCUUCCUUCUCCUUUUCCCUUCCUCUUUCCCUAUUCCAUAUGGGAGGUGGAAUCCUACUAGGACUAGGGAGUCCUAGUAGGACUCCACACUUGGCGCGCCCCCUCCUAGGGCUGGCCUCCUCCUCCCUUGCUCCUUUAUAUACGGGGGCAGGGGGCACCUCUAGAUACACAAGUUGAUCCGCAUGAUCAUAUUCUUAGCCGUGUGCGGUGCCCCCUUCCACCAUAAUCCUCGAUAAUAUUGUAGCGGUGCUUAGGCGAAGCCCUGCGACGGUAGUACAUCAAGAUCGUCACCACGCCGUCGUGUUGACGGAACUCUUCCCCGACACUUUGCUGGAUCGAUCCGGGGAUCGUCAUCGAGCUGAACGUGUGCUAGAACUCGGAGGUGCCGUAGUUUCGGUGCUUGAUCGGUCGGGCCGUGAAGACGUACGACUACAUCAACCGCGUUGUGCUAACGCUUCCGCUGUCGAUCUACAAGGGUACGUAGAUCACACUCUCCCCUCUCGUUGCUAUGCAUCACCAUGAUCUUGCGUGCGCGUAGGAAUUUUUUUGAAAUUACUACGUUCCCCAACACCUACUACUACGUGCAGCCCGCUGACGAUGACCAGGAGUAGUUUAGGAGGAUCUCAGGCAGGAGGCAUGCGCCUCUUUCGAUCUGUAUCCCAGUUUGUGCUAGCCUUCUUAAGCCAAACUUGUUUAACUUAUGUCUGUACUCAGAUAUUGUUGCUUCCGCUGACUCGUCUAUGAUCGAGUUCUUGUAUUCCAGCCCUUGUGGCCCCUGCCUUGUAAUAUGAUGCUUGUAUGACUUAUUUUAUUUGUAGAGUUGUGUUGUGAUAUCUUCCCGUGAGUCCCUGGUCUUGAUCGUACUCGUUUGCGUGUAUGAUUAGUGUACGGUCAAAUCGGGGGCGGCAUAGGUAUGUACACGAGGUGGUUCCAUGGCGCGCGGCUAAACCGGUGCCCCAGGUGUCAUGAUCCGAUUUGCCUCCGGCGGGUUACUUGUCCCGGCCCCGGGUGUAUGAAAUAGGUUCCUAGGAUCGAGCGUCAGAGGUAAACGUGACUGAGUUUUCCGAUGCCUUCUCCUCAUGACCUCGUUUGACGUGUUCAGAUCCACCGAGAGCCGGAAAGUCUCCGCUUGAAGCUGUUGAGCACGAGCGUCCAAAGCCGCCCGCUCCGCAGCCAUCCUGACCUCUUCUGCUGCUAAAUUUUCUUUAGCUUGUACCAUCUCUUCAUGUACGCGUACCACCUCUGCAUCAUGCUGAGCUUUAUCUGCCGGCUCUACCAUGGCAGUCAACAGAGUCGUCAGUUUAUCCAUGAGGUCCAUUNNNNNNNNNNNNNNNNNNNNNNNNNNNNNNNNNNNNNNNNNNNNNNNNNNNNNNNNNNNNNNNNNNNNNNNNNNNNNNNNNNNNNNNNNNNNNNNNNNNNNNNNNNNNNNNNNNNNNNNNNNNNNNNNNNNNNNNNNNNNNNNNNNNNNNNNNNNNNNNNNNNNNNNNNNNNNNNNNNNNNNNNNNNNNNNNNNNNNNNNNNNNNNNNNNNNNNNNNNNNNNNNNNNNNNNNNNNNNNNNNNNNNNNNNNNNNNNNNNNNNNNNNNNNNNNNNNNCCGGGCUGCGUGAUACGUCUCCAAUGUAUCUAUAAUUUUUGAUUGUUCCAUGCUAUUAUAUUAUCAACCUUGGAUGUUUUAUAUGCAUUUAUAUUAUAUUUUAUAUGAUUUUUGGGACUAACCAAUUAACCCAGAGCCCAGUGCCAGUUUCUGUUUUUUUCCUUGUUUUAGAGUAUCGCAGAAAAGGAAAAUCAAACUGAGUCCAAUUGACCUGAAACUUCACAGAACUUAUUUUUGGAAGGAAAGCAACCCGGGAGACUUGGAGUCCACGUAAGGGAAGCUUCGAGGAGGCCACAAGGUAGGGGGGCGCGCCCUCCACCCUCGUGGGCCCCUCGUGGCUCCCAUGACGUACUUCUUCCUCCUAUAUAUCUCCAUAUACCCUAAAAACAUCCGGGAGCACAAUAGAUCGGGAGUUUCGCCACCAGAAGCCUCUGUAGCCAUCAAAAACCAAUCUAGACCCGUUCCGGCACCCUACCGGAGGGGGCAAUCCCUCUCCGGUGUCCAUCUACAUCAUCCUGGUGCUCUCCAUGACGAGGAGGGAGUAGUUCUCCCUCGAGGCUGAGGGUAUGUACCAGUAGCUAUGUUUUGAUCUCUCUCUCUCUCUCUCUCUCUCUCUCUCUCUCUCGUGUUCUUGAGGUGAUACGAUCUUGGUGUAUCGCGAGCUUUGCUAUUAUAUUUGGAUCCUAUGAUGUUUCUUCCCCCCUCUACUCUCUUGUAAUGGAUUGAGUUUCCCCUUUGAAGUUAUCUUAUCGGAUUGAGUCUUUAAAUAUUUGAGAACACUUGAUGUAUGUCUUGCCGUGCGUAUCUGUGGUGACAAUGGGAUACCACGUGAUUCACCUGAUGUAUGUUUUGGUGAUCAACUUGCGGGUUCCGCCCAUGAACCUAUGCAUAGGGGUUGGCACACAUUUUCGUCGUGAUUCUCCGGUAGAAACUUUGGGGCACUGUUUGAGGUUCUAUGUGUUGGUUGAAUAGAUGAAUCUAAGAUUGUGUGAUGCAUAUCGUAUAAUCAUACCCACGGAUACUUGAGGUGACAUUGGAGUAUCUAGGUGACAUUAGGGUUUUGGUUGAUUUGUGUCUUAAGGUGUUAUUCUAGUAUGAACUCUAGGGCUGUUUGUGGCACUUAUAGAAAUAGCCCAACAGAUUGAUUGGAAAGAAUAACUUUGAGGUGGUUUCGUACCCUACCAUAAUCUCUUCGUUUGUCCUCCGCUAUUAGUGACUUUGGAGUGACUCUUUGUUGCAUGUUGAGGGAUAGUUAUGUGAUCCAAUUAUGUUAUUAUUGUUGAGAGGACUUGCACUAGUGAAAGUAUGAACCCUAGGCCUUGUUUCAAUGCAUUGCAAGAGCAUUUGUGCUCACUUUUAUCAUUAGUUACCUUGCUGUUUUUAUAUUUUCAGAUUACAAAAACUAUUAUCUACUAUCCAUAUACCACUUGUAUCACCAUCUCUUCGCCGAACUAGUGCACCUAUACAAUUUACCAUUGUAUUGGGUGUGUUGGGGACACAAGAGACACUUUGUUAUUUGGUUGCAGAGUUGCUUGAGAGAGACCAUCUUCAUCCUACACCUCCUACGGAUUGAUAAACCUUAGGUCAUCCAGUUGAGGGAAAUUUGCUACUGUCCUACAAACCUCUGCACUCGGAGGCCCAACAACGUCUACAAGAAGAAGGUUGUGUAGUAGACAUCAAGCUCUUUUCUGGCGCCGUUGCCGGGGAGGUUAGCGCUUGAAGGUAUAUCUUUAGAUCUUGCAAUCGAAUCUUUUUGUUUCUUGUUUUAUCACUAGUUUAGUUUAUAAAAGAAAAUUAAAAAAUGGAAUUAAGUUUGCCUCAUACGCUUCAUCUUUUUAAUAUCUUUUCGUGAGUAUGAUGGAAAGGAAAAUUGUGCCAAAGUGUUAGAAGAAGAAUGCAUUAGAAUCUUUGGCACUAAAUAUUUGAAUGAUGAGCAUGAUUGCAAUGUUGUUUGUAUGAAUUCCUUGAAUAUCCAUGAUGCUAAUGAUAUGCAAAGCCACAAGCUUGGGGAAGCUAUGUUUGAUGAAGAUGAUAUUUUUUGUCCCCCAAGUUUUGAUGAGCAAAUUUAUUAUGAUGAAUGAAUGCCUCCUAUUUAUGAUGAUUAUAUUGAUGAAAGUGGAUUUGGAGAGGUCAUGAGUUUAUUUGGUGAUGAAUCCACUAUUUCAGAAGAGGUUCCAAUUGAUUAUGAGAACAAAGUUGCUAUCUAUGAUGAUUAUUGCGAUGACUUGUAUGCUAUAAAGAAUAAUGAUAUCCAUGAAACUUGUCAUCAUGAUUUUAGUUUUCAAUUGGAUUAUUCCUCACAUGAUAAUUAUUUUGUUGAGUUUGCUCCCACUAUUAUUCAUGAGAAGAAUUUUGCUUAUGUGGAGAGUAGUAAAAUUCCUAUGCUUGUAGAUCAUGAAAACAAUGCUUUAGGUGCUGGUUAUAUUGUUGAAUUCAUCCAUGAUGCUACUGAAAAUUAUUAUGAGGGAGGAAUAUAUGCUUGUAGGAAUUGCAAUAAUAUCAAGUUUCCUCUCUAUGUGUUGAAAAUCUUGAAGUUAUGCUUGUUUUGCUUUCCUAUGCUAGUUGAUUAUUGUUCCCAUAAAUUGUUUGCUCACAAAAUCCCUAUGCACAGGAAAUGGGUUAGACUUAAAUGUGUUAGCAAUAUGCUUCAUGAUGCUAUCUUUAUAUUUCAAUUCUUAUCUUUUAUGUGAGCAUCAUUGAAAUCAUCAUGCCUAGCUAGGUGCGUUAAACGAUAGCGCUUGUUGGGAGGCAACCCAACUUUAUUUUUGUUAUUUGCUUUUUAUUCCAGUUUAGUAAUAAAUAAAUUAUCUAGACUCUGUUUUGGUUGUGUUUUUUUGUGUUUAAUUAGUGUUUGUGCCAAGUAGAACCUUUGGGAAGACUUGGGUGAAGUCUUUAUGAUCAUGCUGUAAAAAACCGAAACUUUAGCGCUCACGAUAAUUGCUGCCAUUUUUAUUUGCAGAGUGAUAUUUAGUUAAUUCAUUUUUCAUAUGAUUAAUAGAUAAAUUCCUUACGUCCAGCAAUUUAUUUUAGAAUUUUUGGAGUUCCAGAAGUUUGCGUUAGUUACAGAUUACUACAGACUGUUCUGUUUUUGACAGAUUCUGUUUUUCGUGUGUUGUUUGCUUAUUUUGAUGAAUCUAUGGCUAGUAAAAUAGUUUAUAAACCAUAGAGAAAUUGGAAUACAGUAGGUUUAACACCAAUACGAAUCAAUAGUGAUUUCAUUACAGUACCUUGAAGUGAUUUUUUUUUCUUUCGCUAACGGAGCUUACGAGUUUUCUGUAAGUUUUGUGUUGUGAAGUUUUCAAGUUUUGGGUAAAGAUUCGAUGGACUAUGGAAUAAGGAGUGGUAAGAGCCUAAGCUUGGGGAUUCCCAAGGCACCCCGAGGUAAUAUUCAAGGACAACCAAAAGCCUAAGCUUGGGGAUGCCCCGGAAGGCAUCCCCUCUUUUGUCUUCGUUCAUCGGUAACUUUACUUGGAGCUAUAUUUUUAUUCGCCACAUGAUAUGUGUUUUGCUAGGAGCAUCAAUUUAUUUUGUUAGCAUUUGCUUGAUGUUUGAAUAAAAUACCAAGAUCUGAAAUUCUUAAAUGUUAGAGAGUCUUUACAUAGUUGCAUAAUUAUUCGACUACUCAUUGAUCUUCACUUAUAUCUUUCAGAGUAGUUUGUCAUUUGCUCUAGUGCUUCACUUAUAUCUUUUUAGAGCACGGUGGUGGUUUUAUUUUGAAGAAUUAGAUGAACUCUCGUGCUUCACUUAUAUUAUUUUGAGAGUCCUAAACAGCAUGGUAAUUUGCUUUGGUUAUGAAUUUAGUCCUAAUAUGAUGGGCAUCCAAGAGGGAUAUAGUAAAAACUUUCAUAUGAAGUGCAUUGAAUACUAUGAUAAGUUUGAUACUUGAUGAUUGUUUUGAGAUAUGAGGAUGGUAAUAUUAGAGUCAUGCUAGUGAGUAGUUGUGAAUUUGAGAGAUACUUGUGUUAAAGUUUGUGAUUCCCGUAGCAUGCACGUAUGGUGAACCGUUAUGUGAUGAAGUCGGAGCAUGAUUUAUUUAUUAUUUGUCUUCCUUAUGAGUGGCGGUCGGGGACGAGCGAUGGUAUUUUCCUACCAAUCUAUCCCCCUAGGAGCAUGCGCAUAGUAAUUUUUUCGAUAACUAAUAGAUUUUUGCAAUAAGUAUGCGAGUUCUUUAUUACUAAUGUUGAGUCCAUGGGUUAUACACACUCUAAACCUUCCACCAUUGCUAGCCUCUCUAGUACCGCGCAACUUUUGCCGGUACCAUAAACCCACCAUAUACCUUCCUCAAAACAGCCACCAUACCUACCUAUUAUGGCAUUUCCAUAGCCAUUCCGAGAUAUAUUGCCAUGCAACUUUCCACUGUUCCGUUUAUUAUGACACGCUCCAUCAUUGUCAUAUUGCUAUGCAUGAUCAUGUAGUUGACAUCGUAUUUGUGGCAAAGCCACCGUUCAUAAUUGUUUCAUACAUGUCACUCAUGAGUCAUUGCACAUCCCGGUACACCACCGGAGGCAUUCAUAUAGAGUCAUAUUUUGUUCUAAGAAUCGAGUUGUAAUUCUUGAGUUGUAAGUAAAUAAAAGUGUGAUGAUCAUCAUUAUUAGAGCAUUGUCCCAGUGAGGAAAGGAUGAUGGAGACUAUGAUUCCCCCACAAGUCGGGAUGAGACUCUGGACGAAAAUAAAUAAAUAAAAGAGGCCAAAGAAGCCCAAAUAAAAAAAAGAGGAGAAAAGAGGCCAUAAAAAAAGAGAAGGCCCAAAUAAAAAAAAUAAAAAUGGGAGAAAAAGAGAGAAGGGACAAUGCUACUAUCCUUUUACCACACUUGUGCUUCAAAGUAGCACCAUGAUCUUCACGAUAGAGAGUCUCCUAUGUUGUCACUUUCAUAUACUAGUGGGAAUCUUUCAUUAUAGAACUUGGCUUGUAUAUUCCAAUGAUGGGCUUCCUCAAAAUGCCCUAGUUCUUCGUGAGCAAGCAAAUUGGAUGCACACCCACUAGUUUCUUUUGUUGAGAUUUCAUACACUUAUAGCUCUAGUGCAUCCGUUGCAUGGCAAUCCCUACUCACUCAUGUUGAUAUCUAUUGAUGGGCAUCUCCAUAGCCUAUUGAUACGCCUAGUUGAUGUGAGACUAUCUUCUCCCUUUUGUCUUCUCCACAACCACCAUUCUAUUCCACCUAUAGUGCUAUAUCCAUGGCUCACGCUCAUGUAUUGCGUGAAGAUUGAAAAAGUUUGAUAACAUCAAAAGUAUGAAACAAUUGCUUGGCUUGUCAUCGGGGUUGUGCAUGAUUUAAAUAUUUUGUGUGGUGAAGAUAGAGCAUAGCCAGACUAUAUGAUUUUGUAGGGAUAGCUUUCUUUGGCCAUGUUAUUUUGAGAAGACAUGUUUACUUGGUUAGUAUGCUUGAAGUACUAUUAUUUUUAUGUCAAUAUUAAACUUUUGUCUUGAAUCUUAUGGAUUAGAAUAUUCUUUCCACAAUAAAGAGAACUACAUGUAUAAAUAUGUUAGGUAGCAUUCCACAUCAAAAAUUCUGUUUUUAUCAUUUACCUACUCGAGGACGAGCAGGAAUUAAGCUUGGGGAUGCUGAUACGUCUCCAACAUAUCUAUAAUUUUUGAUUGUUCCAUGCUAUUAUAUUAUCAACCUUGGAUGUUUUAUAUGCAUUUAUAUGCUAUUUUAUAUGAUUUUUGGGACUAACCUAUUAACCCAGAGCCCAGUGCCAUUUUCUGUUUUUUCCUUGUUUUAGAGUAUCGCAGAAAAGGAAAAUCAAACGGAGUCCAAUUGACCUGAAACUUCACGGAACUUAUUUUUGGAAGGAAAGCAACCCGGGAGACUUGGAGUCCACAUAAGGGAAGCUUCGAGGAGGCCACAAGGUAGGGGGGCGCGCCCACCCCCCUGGGCGCGCCCUCCACCCUCGUGGGCUCCUCGUGGCUCCCCUGACAUACUUCUUCCUCCUAUAUAUCUCCAUAUACCCUAAAAACAUCCAGGAGCACAAUAGAUCGCGAGUUCCGCCGCCAGAAGCCUCCGUAGCCACCAAAAACCAAUCUAGACCCGUUCCGGCACCCUGCCGGAGGGGGCAAUCCCUCUCUGGUUGCCAUCUACAUCAUCCUGGUGCUCUCCAUGACGAGGAGGGAGUAGUUCUCCCUCGGGGCUGAGGGUAUGUACCAGUAGCUAUGUGUUUGAUCUCUCUCUCUCUCUCUCUCGUAUUCUUGAGGUGAUACGAUCUUGAUGUAUCGCGAGCUUUGCUAUUAUAUUUGGAUCCUAUGAUGUUUCUUCACCCCUCUACUCUCUUGUAAUGGAUUGAGUUUCCCCUUUGAAGUUAUCUUAUCGGAUUGAGUCUUUAAAGAUUUGAGAACACUUGAUGUAUGUCUUGCCGUGCGUAUUUGUGGUGACAAUGGGAUACCACGUGAUUCAGUUGAUGUAUGUUUUGGUGAUCAACUUGUGGGUUCCGCCCAUGAACCUAUGCAUAGGGGUUGGCACACGUUUUCGUCGUGAUUCUCCGGUAGAAACUUUGGGGCACUCUUUGAGGUUCUAUGUGUUGGUUGAAUAGACGAAUCUAAGAUUGUGUGAUGCAUAUCGUAUAAUCAUACCCACGGAUACUUGACGUGACAUUGGAGUAUCUAGGUGACAUUAGGGUUUUGGUUGAUUUGUGUCUUAAGGUGUUAUUCUAGUACGAACUCUAGGGCUGUUUGUGACACUUAUAGGAAUAGCCCAACGGAUUGAUUGGAAAGAAUAACUUUGAGGUGGUUUCGUACCCUACCAUAAUCUCUUCGUUUGUUCUCCGCUAUUAGUGACUUUGGAGUGACUCUUUGUUGCAUGUUGAGGGAUAGUUAUGUGAUCCAAUUAUGUUAUUAUUGUUGAGAGGACUUGCACUAGUGAAAGUAUGAACCCUAGGCCUUGUUUCAACGCAUUGCAAUACCGUUUGUGCUCAUUUUUAUCAUUAGUUACCUUGCUGUUUUUAUAUUUUCAGAUUACAAAAAGUAUUAUCUACUAUCCAUAUACCACAUGUAUCACCAUCUCUUCGCCGAACUAGUGCACCUAUACAAUUUACCAUUGUAUUGGCUGUGUUGGGGACACAAGAGACACUUUGUUAUUUGGUUGCAGGGUUGCUUGAGAGAGACCAUCUUCAUCCUACGCCUCCUUUGGAUUGAUAAACCUUAGGUCAUCCACUUGAGGGAAAUUUUCUACUGUCCUACAAACCUCUGCACUUGGAGGCCCAACAACGUCUACAAGAAGAAGGUUGUGUAGUAGACAUCACUACGUGCCUACCAUGAAGACUCCGGCCCGAUUCGGCGGCUCAGAGGGGUCUGGAAUACUGCUGCCAUUGGAACAGCCCCCGAGCAUGCCAUCCUGCAGAUGAUACAAAGAGUCCGUUUCGCCCGUUGAUGAUGUAGCGUCAGAACAGAUGGCCGUCUCACCGCCAUCCACCGAUCCUUCAGAAUAUUCACCGCCGUGGAUGCAACCCACAAAGGCAUGCUUCAUGACAGAUUGAACACGGGCGGACCUCGCGCGCUGAGCCGUUUCGGCGAGGUUAGUGUGGACGUCCGGCUCAGGGCCUGACUCACCGAUCCGGCCGAUGAAGACAUGAAUUCCGCUGAAGGGGACCCGGUACCCAUACUCAAUUGAGCCGGCCUCGGGGCCCCAGCCUUUGUCGUCGAUGUAGAGCUUGCCGCGACGACUCUUGGUCAUCCAGCCCACAACGUAUCCCUUGAGCCCUUCGAAGUUGCCCUUCAAGAACUCAAAUCCACCGCGUGCUGGCCCCACGGUGGGCGCCAACUGUCGUGGAAUUGUCAUGGCAGAUGUCCUAGCAGAAGGACUUAGUCGUAGGGCCAUCGCAACUAGGAAGCUUAAAGGGGUUAAUCAGGACAAAGGACACGAGAGGUUUUAUACUAGUUCGGCCCCUUACGAUGAAGGUAAAAGCCUACGUCUAGUUGUGUUGAUAUUGCUGGGGUUUCGAUCACCAAGAGGCUAGUUCGCCGGCUUGGUUAUCGAUCUCUUGUUUCUUGCCCUAAGCCGCCAUCGGGUCGUCCCCUUAUAUACACGGGUUGACGCCUGGUGGCCUACAGAGUCCUGGCCGGCUCAUAAAUCGUGUCCGGCUCGGUGACUUCUUUUACAUUCCUUUCCUUAGAAGUCUUUCCUUACAUACGACAAUUUACAAUAUUGGGCCUUAAACCUCCUCUAGGCCUUUAGGCCUUCUAUAAGAUUUAAUAAACUAUCGUCUUGAAUGUCUGCUGGGCUUCCUUUGUGACCCGCCAUUGGGGCUGACCCGGCCCCUCCUGGGCAGGUCAUAACUGAUAGCUAUAUCCCCAACAGACAGGUUAUUCCAACCCCCAGAUCUAGCGAGAGGGUUGUAUUUAUCUCUCACUUCCUCCGAGGGCUAGGGUUUGCUCUCCACCCCUUUGUCCGGAGGCUAAUGUUUUAUUACGAACUAGAUUUUCAUGAUCUAGCUCUGGAUUCUUUCCUUCACGUCUCGGUGUUUACUGUCACAUGCGAGGCCUUUCUCCGACNNNNNNNNNNNNNNNNNNNNNNNNNNNNNNNNNNNNNNNNNNNNNNNNNNNNNNNNNNNNNNNNNNNNNNNNNNNNNNNNNNNNNNNNNNNNNNNNNNNNNNNNNNNNNNNNNNNNNNNNNNNNNNNNNNNNNNNNNNNNNNNNNNNNNNNNNNNNNNNNNNNNNNNNNNNNNNNNNNNNNNNNNNNNNNNNNNNNNNNNNNNNNNNNNNNNNNNNNNNNNNNNNNNNNNNNNNNNNNNNNNNNNNNNNNNNNNNNNNNNNNNNNNNNNNNNNNNNNNNNNNNNNNNNNNNNNNNNNNNNNNNNNNNNNNNNNNNNNNNNNNNNNNNNNNNNNNNNNNNNNNNCUCAAGACCUUUGGUGUGAAGCCAAAGUUAGUCGACGGGGAACAAGUGGAGUGCGGCGGUGUUGUAGUAAGACGGCUUACCAACACUCCCUGGCCAAAAGGCUCUUUCACCGAAGCUUCCAAUCAAUGGCAGCGAGAGUGGUUUUACGUUACGGAACCCCGUAGCACCAAGUGGGCAGCUACACCUACGUUCCGUUCCGUCCCUCCAUUACAGAUUGCAUCAUGAGUCAAUAAGGGGCUGGACUGGGGAUCAGUUGAUGAAGUGCGACUCUAUAGAGCCUCAUCCGAGCCCUCCUCAGGAGGGACAUCAAUCUUGUCAACGUGAUUCAAGUAAUGCUGAUCCGCCGAAUCCUGCCAUGCCAGCGUAGGCCUCUCCGCAUGUGGGAGUUUAAUCCGGAAGGGCCACAAACCCUCCAACACUUCUUCGGUGCUACGCACAAAGGGAUGUGGAAGAUGUUUUUUGGGAAACGAAAACAUUGGCCGGACACCUCCGAAGACGUCGGCCUUGACUGCAACCGUCCGAACACCCCGGUAAGCACUUGUCUUUCGAACACUUUGUAGUUAAGUAUGUCGUGGUAUGUUACUGAGCAAACUAUAUUCUUUCAGGGAUGGAUAAAGAAAGCGGAACUAAUUAGGUGUUCAGCCCCCCUCCCCGAAGCUUUAGCGGAUCCCGUAUUAACAAGGAUGCUGGCCCCUGCACCAUACCAGAUGUCUGCGAAGGAGGACAAGACGGGGAGCGGGAGGACCAAAGAAGGCCUCCAUCCCAAAGAUAUUUUAGACACCGUGUCCGGGGAGAUGAAAAUCCCAUCGCUCGAAGGCAAAAGUAAAGGAGAAGCCAACAUUCAUUCCCCCUAUGGUAAGAAAAGGGCCGUCUCCGAAGAUUGGGAAGGAAAGGCUCCCAAGCGAGGUAAGAUGCCCCUGUCAGGUGACUCGGGCUUGAAGGACGACAUUAUCGCGCAGUCCUCCAGUGAGGCCAAACCUAAAUCAUAAGUGAACAAGGGUGUUUUACACAUACUUCGUUCCUCUCCUGUGACCAGGGUAACAUCUAAAAUGUAUGAUUUUUUGCAGCUCGGCGCACAAUCUUUCUCAACAAUCAACUUCCUCGGGAGAUCUUCUCCCAAAGAUGAUGGAAAGCGAGAUACCUCCACCAGUCUCCUCGCCUAAUAAGGCGGAUGAUUUCGAGGUGUCAUCCCAGAGGGUUUCUCCUGAUCCGCAAGUGAUGCGAGGUGUGAUGAAAACACGAACCGAAUACGAUACUUUGGAAGCCCAGGGUCCAGGGGCCAACAAUAAAGGCCCCGAACUGUCCGACUUUUAGCCGGAGACAACUCCGGGGGCGAAUGAACGAAUCCAUUUGAAGGAGGGCCGUUGUCGGUGUCAAAACCGGCGGAUCUCAGGUAGGGGGUCCCGAACUGUGCGUCUAGGCUGGAUGGUAACAGGAGGCAAGGGACACGAAGUUUUACCCAGGUUCGGGCCCUCUUGAUGGAGGUAAAACCCUACGUCCUGCUUGAUUAAUAUUGAUGCUAUGGGUAGUACAAGAGUAGAUCUACCACGAGAUCGGAGAGGCUAAACCCUAGAAGCUAGCCUAUGGUACGAUUGUUGUUUUGUAUGUUGUCCUACGGACUAAAACCCUCCGGUUUAUAUAGACACCGGAGAGGGUUAGGGUUACACAAAGUCGGUUACAAUGGUAGGAGAUCCACAUAUCCGUAUCGCCAAGCUUGCCUUCCACGCCAAGGAAAGUCCCUCUCGGACACGGGACGAAGUCUUCAAUCUUUGUAUCUUCAUAGUCCAGGAGUCCGGCUGAAGGUAUAGUCCGGCCAUCCGGACACUCCCUAAUCCAAGACUCCCUCAGUAGCCCCUGAACCAUGCUUCAAUGACGACGAGUCCGGCGCGCAGAUUGUCUUCUACAUUGCAAGGCGGGUUCCUCCUCCAAGUACUUCAUAGAAGAUUUUGAACACAAAGAUAGUGUCCGGCUCCGCAAAAUAAGUUUCCACACAUUGCCAUAGAGAGAAUAAUAUUUACACAAAUCUAAUCUGCUGACGUAUUCCGUAGUGUGACAUCGCACCACGGCCAAGCCUUUAUUCGAAUCGUUUUAUUACCCCACCUCAGCGUGUCAUGCAAGGCGGUUUCCUUGGCACGCCUUGUUAAAGCAGAGAUCGUGUCCCCUUAUUCCAGGAUUCUCAUCGGUACGGGCGUGGGUAACCCAACCGCUUCUAGGACUCCUAGACUAUAGGCAAGUCCAAACGACCACGGAGAGGACGCUUGAUACUCACCCUCUUUAUAAAGGGACAAGGCUUUUAUUUCUUCCCUCCCGUGCUCAAUCGAAUCCUUACCCCACCUCAAGCUCAAACACCCAAAGUUCAGGUCAGGUGCUCCGAACCUUCAAUCAUGUCCGGAUCUAGCCUUCAAGGCCGAUGGAUGCCUUCCUCCGUCACGGAAGAAGACAUCAAAAAGUUGAGGGAGGCCAGAUAUCUGACCGCCGAGGUUUCGCAUCGGCUGCCUGCCCGAGGGCAGGCUGUCCCCUCCCCCGAACCCAACGAGAACGUCGUAUUCCUCCGAGGUCUAGGCCUUGCUCUGGAUCCUUUCGUCAGGGGUUUGAUGUUUUUUUAUAGGCUAGAUUUCCAUGAUCUAGCUCCGGACUCCUUUCUUCAUAUCACGACAUUUAUUGUCAUGUAUGAGGCCUUCCUCCGGGUUACCCCUCACUUUGGCCUGUGGCUCAAGACCUUUGAAGUAAAGCCGAAGAUGAUCGAGGGGCAACAUGCAGCGUGCGGAGGUGCCUCAAUAUUCAAGAUGACGGGAGCUCCAUGGCCCAAAGGUUCCAUUCCAGAGGUGCCUGAAUUGUGGCAACAGGAGUGGUUCUACAUCACGGCUCCUAGAAGUGCCAAGUGGGUGGCCGCCCCUGUUUUCCGCUCAGGCCCUCCACCACAAGUAAUGUCAUGGAUCAGCAGAGGUCUGAGCUGGGGUCCAGCCAAGGACGUGCCUAUACUGCAAAGCCGCAUUCGAGAUCUCUUCAGUGGAGAUUUUAGUUUGGUUGCAGUAAUACAAGUUAUGCUGGUUCGUCAAGUCCAGCCUUGCAAACGCCGGCCCCUUCGCUUGUGGGAGUCCAAUCUCGAGGGACCGCGUGUCAUUCAAAAUUUCCUCGGCCUGACGGAUGAGGAGAUGUACAAGUCAUUCUUCGGACCUCAGGUAGAGUGUCCGGAAAUCACCGAGGAUGUGGGCCCGAGAAGUAAUCGCGCCGCUGAACAGGUAAUGAAUCUUUCGGCCGAUCAUACUAUCUCUCAUUUGUUACGAAGUUAUUUCUGAGAGUUUGCUUUUUGACCAGGACUGGCUAACAAAGGCGAAGUUGAUUCGGUGUUCGGCCCCCCUCCCUGAGGGUUUGGACAAUCCGGUAUUGGAAAAGAUGCUCCAGGUCGCACCUUGCCCGGAGCCCUUGAAGGAAGAUACUGGGGAGGAUAAUAUGGGCAGACACGGGCCCCCAACGCUGCCCAUUUUAACCGAGGGAGCGAGCGUCUCCAUGAAGGAAGACGACCGGAGGAGGAAAAGGACCGCGCCCGGGGGUUCAGAAGCUGAAGCUUCCAAACAGGAGAAGAAGUCUCCCACAGAGGGUCCUACCUUGGGGGGUGCUUUUGCCGCACAAAGUCCGCGGGGGAUCAAUUCUCCAGCGAGUCGUAAGUGACCCGAAAUACCUUAAUAGUACAGGUAUGCCAUCUUUUUCUUCUGAGAAAAUAACCACCGCAUAUAUCUUUGCAGUUCGGGCCUUAGCCCCUCUCAAAUGAACUCGUCUUCGGGGGAUCUUCUUCCAGAGAUGAUGGAGAGCGAAACGCCUCCUCCGGACUCCUCCGCUCCUGAAGUGGGUGACCCCGAAGUGUCGUCGUGGAGGGCCUCUCCGAGUCUGGUGAGGCCAGAAGAUAAUCCCAUUGACCCCCAAGCUCCCAGUGUCCGGCUCCCGAAGAGAGCAGACAAAAGAGUCCGACACCGUCUGGUGUGCAAUCGGAUGUUCUGAGGGAGUUGGUGGGGCGAGCGGCCAUCUCAGAUGAACACCGUAUGCUGAUGAAUACAGUGAUGGAGAGAAUCUCGUCCGCCGAAAGUGGAUUGCAUGAAGCUUUUAUGAGUCUACUGACAGGCUUUGAGGUACGUAAAAUAAUGUAUGAUAGUCCUGCACAUGCUAGGUGUGCCCUAUGUAGAUGGUAGCCCCUGAGACUCUGGUUGUCGUCGGAAAUGACGACGAACAGAGGAUCAUAUUCCCAGGUAAUAACCAUACCGCCUCUAUGUGCAUGUGAUGGAAGCUCCGGUGGCUAGCCGGACUAGCGAGUUUGCCCAUUUAAAACGGCAGUUGGAUGCGGCAGACGCCAACAUCGAGCUUGUUAACAAAAGGCUUGACGAGGCACAGGGUAAGUGUCAUUAUCUGGUAAACACCACAUAGUAAGAGCAGCAUGAUGCCAGUAUCUUUAAUAUGUUGUGACUGUAGAUGGAGCUGCCACUGUUGAAGCCUUGAGGGCAGAACUUGCCCGAGCCAAGGAACAAGCAAGGUUUGGUAAUGCGGCUGCUUUGAAGGCGUACGAAGAGUUGAUAGCCGAGAAGGCCGUUCAUGGCGAGAGUCGAGAUAAGAUGGCCAAGAUGGCCAUAGAAUUAAAAGCCACCGCCGACCGUUGCCGGGUUCUUGAAAAGGAAAACCUAGCGAAGGCAUCGGACCUUGAGAAGGCUGCUGCGACGAGAAAAGACAUCCACUCUGCUAUGAGGGCAAAGAAGGAGGAGCUGCGGGAAGCCGGGGAUAUUGUAGCUGGGAAAUCCUUUAUGUUGCGGAGGAAGUUCGGAGAUCCACGGUAUGCCCCUCUGGAUCGGCUGUGGAGUUCGGAGGAUGUGUAUAUGGAUUUGGCGGCGAGCGCUGCCGAUGCGGCCAAGUACUUCCAGGGUCAGACGGACCGUGAAGUGGACCAGCUGUUUUGGACACAAUUCCAUUCUCCCAAGCAUCCGCUUUCAUUGACUGACCAAUUAGCCGAAUGGGCCGAACUGAAUAGGUUGUCCGGACUCGCCAUGAGGUCUGUUGUGGAUCAGCUAUGGCCGAAAAGGCCAAAACCGAACAGCUAUUUCAGCUUGGUGCAGCAGUUCCUUGACAUGGUGCCGUGCAUUAAUGUGAUGAAGAGGUCGGCGUGCAUAGAGGGCUCAUGGAUGGCCUUUGCUCGUGUUAAAGCAUACUGGGCGGAGAUGGAUGCUACCACUGUUGUAGCGCGGGAUUCGGCCAUAGGCCGAAUGGUUGCUGAGCACUAAUUUGAAGAAGUUCUUGAGGGUGCUCGUUUGAUAGAGACCCAGUGCUCAAAAAAUAUUAUGUUUGAGUGAUAUGUAAUCUCAUUGUAAGCGAAAUGCUUUUAUAAAUUUUUAUAAGGCUAUUUUUAUACUUUUGCCUGAAAGUAAUAUGAUGCCUCUUGGGCGGCCGUUUAUGUAUACAUGUGUAUAACCUGAAAGAUUGCAGCCGUCGGCUUUGACCCCCACACAUAUAAUGCGAAGGUGCUCGCAAAAAACACACGUUCACACUUAACCCAACGUCUUGGUCCUAUUAAGGAGGUGAUAGCGGAGCGAGCGAGGCAACCGAACUAUAAUGCUUUAGCACUUUCACUUAGCCAUAUGAGUUUGACAGUGGGGCUACUAGAUAGCCCUCGGUGGCUCCGCACUCUCCCGAUCCCGGGGUGCGUACAUGCCUGGCCGGAAAACGGCCCUUUGUUAAGGCGGAGGAAUUCUAACAUUCCAACAGGUCAUCGAGUGGUUGACCAGUCUCAUGCUAUAUCAUGACAGUCAGUUUUCGGCUUUCUCUACUGAGGUGCUCGUCCGGAUGAACCAGGGCACAGUCGCAGUAGUUCUCCUGGUGCUACCUUAGCCGGUAAAGCGGAACAUAAGGCACCAAAACACAGGAGCUAGGCAAACCCAACAUUUGACCAAAGACAAUGAUUCAGAGCUGAUGCAUAUAGGGCCAAACUCGCGACGCCGACACUCCCUAAGGUAUUCGGUCUUUGUGGUAUAAACCGGGCCUAAAUAAUGGCCUUUGUAAGAAGCCCCUUGUGUCCAGGUACGUGCAUUGUUCUGGUGUGGCCACAUGCCAAGACGCCAACAUCCUUCUCAACGGUGGAUAUGUAUCAACAAGAGACAGUAAAAAAGGUUUACGCAGGGUCUUAAUCUAAAAAGAAUCCUUGGAGCGGGUCCCUGCUGCACGUCUACGCCUAUGUCUCCGUUGUGCCAUAUCCUGGAUGGGUGUAGCAUGAUGAUCAUCUGUAUAAGAGAGGAAUUUAGGUGAAAAAGUUGUCGUGCAAAAAGAUAGUUUUUAAAGAAACCAUGUAUAAUUCAAGAUGAGAAAAAAAUUGCCACUUGUCUGCGCGUGUUGAGCCCCUUGUAUUGACAAAUAGGGGUGUGACCAUUUAUUCGGCAUAAAUAGCGUCGCCGGACUUGAUUAGUUGUGUCUGAGGUCUUGACGACCUAUUGGAUGCUUUCGCUGGUCCGGGCGCCUCUAGUGUGCGGCUGCCAAGGCAGCCGCACUCUCUUCGGCAUGCAGAGAUCACUUGAUAUUUCCGUUCACUGAAAUGAUGCCACGUGGACCGGGCAUCUUGAGUGUGAGGGAGGCAUAGUGUGGUAUUGUAUUAAAGCGAGCAAAAGCUUCGCGUCCGAGCAGUGCUUGAUAGCCACUUUGGAACGGAGCGAUGUGGAAGGUUAAAUGCUCGCGACGGAAGUUAUCGGGGGAGCCAAAUAUAACUUGUAGUAGGAGGGAGCCCGUACAACGAGCCCCUGGGCCUGGCGUUACUCCUUUAAAGGUAGUAUUGCUAUGGCGAAUUUUUGUUGGGUCUAACCCCAUCCCGCGGAUUGUAUCCUGAUAUAUUAGGUUUAGAUUGCUGCCAUCGUCCAUCAAGACUUGUGUGAAGUGAUAUCCGCCAAUUACUGGGUCUAAUACCAGGGUAGCCCAUCCUGCGCGUCGGAUACUUGCUGAGUAAUCGCGAUGGUCGAAAGUGAUCGGUUGAGACGACCAGUGGCCGGACUUCACGGUGACAGGCACUUGGGUAUAUUUUCCUGGGAGUGCCGCGUUGUUUUUUCCCUUGAUCAUGUGUAACACGUUUACUGUUUUGACCUCUGGUGGAAAUUUCUGUUGUUCCCCAGUGUCUUGCUUGGGAGGCUCGUCCUCGUCUUCACUUGGUGUAUCCUCCCCCUUGUGUACGACGUUGAGCUUGCCAGACUGCUUGAAGACCCAACAUUCUCUGUGGGUAUGAUUAGCAGGUUUACCAGGGGUACUAUGGAUCUAACAUACUUGGUCCAAAAUUUUGUUGAGGCUGGACAGUUCAUCCUUGGUGCCUUUAGAGGGCGGCUUUUGCUGACCUGGCCGAGAGAUUUUGGAUCCGGCGUUUACUGUCGUUCCCUUCGUGCUAUCUUCUUUAUUCCAGCGUUUGUUAUUGUUGUUGCGCCGUGAUUUCCCGUUUCCAUCUCUAACUUCAGAUGUACUGGGGUCGCUGGUGCUGCAUCUGGCUAGCCAGCUGUCCUCACCCGCGCAAAAGCGGGUCAUGAGGCUUGUCAACGCGGCCAUUGUUCUCGGCUUAUUUCGGCCGAGGUGUCUGGCGAGCCAUUCGUCACGGACGCUAUGCUUAAAGCUGCCAAGGCUUCGGCAUCCGGACAGUCGACAAUCUGGUUCUUUUUAGUAAGAAACCUGUUCCAAAGCUUUCGGGCUGACUCUCUGGGCUGUUGAGUUAUAUGACUCAAAUCGUCUGCAUCCGGAGGUCGGACAUAAGUCCGUUGAAAAUUUGCCCGAAAGGCGUCUUCGAGCUCUUCCCAACUUCCAAUGGAGCUUUCGAGGAGGCCUUUAAGCCAGUGACGAGCUGGCCCUUUGAGCUUGAGGGGUAAGUACUUGAUGGCAUGGAGAUCAUCUCCUCGAGCCAUAUGGAUAUGAAGGAUGUAGUCCUCAAUCCAGACCCCAGGGUCUGUUGUUCUGUCGUAUGACUCUAUGUUUACGGGUUUGAAUCGCUCUGGAAAUUCAUGGUCCAACACCUCAUCGGUGAAACAUAGGGGGUGUGCGGCACCCCUGUAGCUGGGUGUACCGCGUUGUUCGGAUGUUUGUUGUGUUGCAUUGUAUGCUGGGGCGCGCUUGCGUGGUCCAUAGAUGGAUCUUGUUGCGCCGUCCUUUGGGUGCGAGCCCUCGCAUGGCUCGCGUGUUGUAUUGUGAGUGGCGUUGUAUGCCGCUCUGUGUUGGUAGAGGGGUCGUCUAUCCGGCUAGGUGGUUGCUUUGAUAUUUGGUUGUGGGGGGUCUGAGGCCUCCUCAUCGAAUUCAGGUAGCAGCUUCCGCUUUGGGUAGCUCUUGGAGGGUGAUUGUCGCCGUACCUUGCUGCUGUGUUGAGUAUUUUAUUCCAUCUGAUUUGGAGUGUGUCUUGUGCAGCCUUGAGCCUUUGCUUCUGCAUUUUAAGACUUCUCGCGGUGGCAACAAGCCUUUUACGGGCAUUCUGCUGCUCCAGGUGCCUGUGCGGCGUUAUGUCGUCCGGACUAUUAUCCUUGAUAGAAUUUGUUUGUUCAGUUUGAUUAUCCGGAUUGCUGUUGUCCAGCAGCGGUUCGCCCUGCUCCAGCACUGGGUCUGUGUGAUCGUUAUUUCUGUCGAGGCGGGAUUUGGGGCGGUGCUUGCGUCGCUGCUUUGACUGCUUCUUGAGGGAACAAGCCUUCGGUGUGUCCUUCCGCUCCUCGUCGUCAUCUUUUGGUGCAUCCACCAUGUAUACGUCAUAUGAUGAGGUGGGCGUCCAGCGCCCUGUGGGCAGUGGUUCUUCUUCGCCUCCCGCAUCGUCGUCCAUACCAUCGAUAUUUUCAGAGUCGAAGUCGAGCAUGUCAGUUAAAUCAUCGACAGUGGCUACAAAGUGGGUGGUGGGUGGGCGUCGAAUUUCUUCGUCUUCCGCAUCCCAAUCCUGCUGGCCAUGAUCCGAGCAGGGCUCUCUUGACAAAGAGAGAGACUUUAGUGAUUUCAUAAUAUCGCCGAAGGGCGAGUGCUGAAAGAUGUCCGCGGCGGUAAACUCCAUGAUCGGCGCCCAAUCGGAUUCGAUCGGUGGGGGCGCGGAAGGUUCGGAUUCCGGGGAGGAGUCUGGCUCCUUGGAGUCAUGAGUCUCGUGGAGGGCGGGGCUGGUGUUCGGCUCGAUCGUCGUUGGGAUCGCAGCCCCCGAGGCGGCGUCCAACCACCCAUCCUCGAUUGGCGCAGUUGGCUCCGAAUUAAGGGUCGAAGCCGAUGCGGGUGCGGCCUCCAGGGCACUGUUCGGCAGCAGAGCUAGAUCAUGCCCGUCGUGAUAGUGCAACACGUUCGGCAGUGGCUCGACUCCGUCGAAGAUCAAGUCCCCGCGGAUGUCAGCCGUGUAGUUUAAACUUCCAAACCUGACCUAACGGCCAGGGGCGUAGCUUUCGACCUGCUCCAGAUGGCCAAGCAAAUUAGCCCGCAGUGCAAAGCCACCGAAGACAGAGAUCUGUCCGGGUAGAAAAGUUUCACCCUGGACCGCAUCACUAUCAAUGAUAGUAGGAGCCAUCAAACCUGAGGGCGACGACAUAGAGGAACUCUCAAUGAAAGCACCAAUGUCGGUGUCAAAACCGGUUGAUCUCGGGUAGGGGGUCCCGAACUGUGCGUCUAGGCUGGAUGGUAACAGGAGGCAAGGGACACGAAGUUUUACCCAAGUUCGGGCCCUCUUGAUGGAGGUAAAACCCUACGUCCUGCUUGAUUAAUAUUGAUGAUAUGGGUAGUACAAGAGUAGAUCUACCACGAGAUCGGAGAGGCUAAACCCUAGAAGUUAGCCUAUGGUAUGAUUGUUGUUCUGUAUGUUGUCCUACGGACUAAAACCCUCUGGUUUAUAUAGACACCGGAGAGGGUUAGGGUUACACAAAGUCGGUUACAAUGGUAGGAGAUCCACAUAUCCGUAUUGCCAAGCUUGCCUUCCACGCCAAGGAAAGUCCCUCUCGGACACGGGAAGAAGUCUUCAAUCUUUGUAUCUUCAUAGUCCAGGAGUCCGGCUGAAGGUAUAGUCCGGCCAUCCGGACACUGCCAAAUCCAGGACUCCCUCAGUAGCCCCUGAACCAGGCUUCAAUGACGACGAGUCCGGCGCGCAGAUUGUCUUCGGCAUUGCAAAGCGGGUUCCUCCUCCAAGUACUUCAUAGAAGAUUUUGAACACAAAGAUAGUGUCCGGAUCCGCAAAAUAAAUUUCCACACAUUGCCAUAGAGAGAAUAAUAUUUACACAAAUCUAAUCUGCUGACAUAUUCCAUAGUGUGACAUCGCACCACGGCCAAGCCUUUAUUCGAAUCGUUCUAUUACCCCACCUCAGCGUGUCAUGCGAGGCGGUUUCCUUGGCACGCCUUGUUAAAGCAGAGAUCGUGUCCCCUUAUUCCGGGAUUCUCAUCGAUACGGGCGUGGGUAACCCAACCGCUUCUAGGACUCCUAGACUAUAGGCAAGUCCAAACGACCACGGAGAGGACGCUUGAUAUUCACCCUCUUUAUAAAGGGACAAGGCUUUUAUUUCUUCCCUCCCGUGCUCAAUCGAAUCCUUCCCCCACUUCAAGCUCAAACACCCAAAGUUCAGGUCAGGUGCUCCGAACCUUCAAUCAUGUCCGGAUCUAGCCUUCAAGGCUGAUGGAUGCCUUCUUCCAUCAUGGAAGAAGACAUCAAAAAGUUGAGGGAGGCCAGAUAUCUGACCGCCGAGGUUUCGCAUCAGCUGCCUGCCCGAGGGCAGGCCAUCCCCUCCCCCGAACCCAACGAGAACGUCGUGUUCGUCUCCCACUUCCUCCGAGGUCUAGGCCUUGCUCUGGAUCCUUUCGUCAGGGGUUUGAUGUUUUAUUAUGGGCUAGAUUUCCAUGAUCUAGCUUCAGACUCCUUUCUUCAUAUCACGACAUUUAUUGUCGUGUGUGAGGCCUUCCUCCGGGUUACCCCUCACUUUGGCCUGUGGCUCAAGACCUUUGAAGUAAAGCCGAAGAUGAUCGAGGGGCAACAUGCAGCGUGCGGAGGUGCCUCAAUAUGCAAGAUGACGGGAGCUCCAUGGCCCAAAGGUUCCAUUCCAGAGGUGCCUGAAUUGUGGCAACAGGAGUGGUUCUACAUCACGGCUCCUAGAAGUGCCAAGUGGGUGUCCGCCCCUGUUUUCCGCUCGGGCCCUCCACCACAACUAAUGUCAUGGAUCAGCAGAGGUCUGAGCUGGGGUCCAGCCAAGGACGUGCCUAUACUGCAAAGCCGCAUUCGAGAUCUCUUCAAUGGAGAUUUUAGUUUGGUUGCGGUAAUACAAGUUAUGCUGGUUCGUCAAGUCCAGCCUUGCAAACGCCGGCCCCUUCACUUGUGGGAGUUCAAUCCCGAGGGACCGCGUGUCAUUCAAAAUUUCCUCGGCCUGACGCACGAGGAGAUGUACAAGUCAUUCUUCAGACCUCGGGUAGAGUGUCCGGAAAUCACCGAGGACGUGGGCCUGAGCAGUAACCGCGCCGCCGAACAGGUAAGGAAUCUUCCGGCCGAUCAUACUAUCUCUCAUUUGUUACGAAGUUAUUUCUGAGAGUUUGCUUUUUGACUAGGACUGGCUAACAAAGGUGAAGUUGAUUCGGUGUUCGGCCCCCCUCCCUGAGGGUUUGGACAAUCCGGUAUUGGAAAAGAUGCUCCAGGUCGCACCUUGCCCGGAGCCCUUGAAGGAAGAUACUGGGGAGGAUAAUACGGGCAGACACGGGCCCCCAACGCUGCCCAUUUUAACCGAGGGAGCGAGCGUCUCCAUGAAGGAAGACGACCGGAGGAGGAAAAGGACCGCGCCCGGGGAUUCGGAAGCUGAAGCUUCCAAACAGGAGAAGAAGUCUCCCACAGAGGGUCCUACCUUGGGGUGUGCUUUUGCCGCACAAAGUCCGCGGGGGAUCAAUUCUCCAGCGAGUCGUAAGUGACCCGAAAUACCUUAAUAGUACAGGUAUGCCAUCUUUUUCUUCUGAGAAAAUAACCACCGCAUAUAUCUUUGCAGUUCGGGCCUUAGCCCCUCUCAAAUGAACUCGUCUUCGGGGGAUCUUCUUCCAGAGAUGAUGGAGAGCGAAACGACUCCUCGGGACUCCUCCGCUCCGGAAGCGGGCGACCCCGAAGUGUCGUCGCGGAGGGCCUCUUCGAGUCCGGUGAGGCCAGAAGAUAAUCCCAUUGACCCCCGAAGCUCCCAGUGUCCGGCUCCCGAAGAGAGCAGACAAAAGAGUCCGGCACCAUCUGGUGUGCAAUCGGAUGUUCUGAGGGAGUUGGUGGGGCGAGCGGCCAUCUCAGAUGAACACCGUAUGCUGAUGAAUACAGUGAUGGCGAGAAUCUCGUCCGUCGAAAGCAGAUUGCAUGAAGCUUUUAUGAGUCUACUGACAGGCUUUGAGGUACGUAAAAUAAUGUAUGAUAGUCCUGCACAUGCUAGGUGUGCCCUGUGUAGAUAGUAGCCCCUGAGACUCUGGUUGUCGUCGGAAACGACGACGAACAGAGGAUCAUAUUCCCCGGUAAUAACCAUACUGCCUCUAUGUGCAGGUGCUGGAAGCUCCGGUGGCUAGCCGGACUAGCGAGUUUGCCCAUUUAAAACGGCACUUGGAUGCGGCAGACGCCGACAUCGAGCUUGUUAACAAAAGGCUUGACGAGGCACAGGGUAGGUGUCAUUAUCUGGUAAACGCCACAUAGUAAGAGCAGCAUGAUGCCAGUAUCUUUAAUAUGUUGUGACUGCAGAUGGAGCUGCCACUGUUGAAGCCUUGCGGGCAGAACUUGCCCGAGCCAAGGAACAAGCGAGGUUUGGUAAUGCGGCUGCUUUGAAGGUGGCCGAAGAGUUGAAAGCCGAGAAGGCCGCGCAUCGCGAGAGCCGAGAUAAGAUGGCCAAGAUGGCCAUAGAAUUAAAAGCCGCCGCCGACCGUUGUCGGGUUCUUGAAAAGGAAAACCUAGCGAGGGCAUCAGACCUUGAGAAGGCUGCUGCGACGAGAAAAGACAUCCGCUCUGCUAUGAGGGCGAAGAAGGAGGAGCUGCGGGAAGCCGGGGAUAUUGUAGCUGGGAAAUCCUUUAUGUUGCAGAGGAAGUUCGGAGAUCCACGGUAUGCCCCUCUGGAUCGGCUGUGGAGUUCGGAGGAUGUGUAUAUGGAUUUGGCGGCGAGCGCUGUCGAUGCGGCCAAGUACUUCCAGAGUCAGACGAAUCGUGAAGUGGACCAGCUGUUUUGGACACAAUUCCAUUCUCCCAAGCGUCCGCUUUCAUUGACUGACCAAUUAGCCGAAUGGGCCGAACUGAAUAGGUUGUCCGGACUUGCCAUGAGGUCUGUUGUGGAUUAGCUAUGGCCGAAAAGGCCAAAACCGAACAGCUAUUUCAGCUUGGUGCAGCAGUUCCUUGACGUGGUGCCGCGCAUUAAUGCGAUGAAGAGGUCGGCAUGCAUAGAGGGCUCACGGAUGGCCUUUGCCCGUGUUAAAGCAUACUGGGCGGAGAUGGAUGCUACCGCUGUUGCAGCGCGGGAUUCGGCCAUAGGCCGAAUGGCUGCUGAGCACUACUUUGAAGAAGUUCUUGAGGGUGCGCGGGAUUCGGAGGAUCAAAAAUAGUUAUCCAGGGAAUAAUCUAACUGUUUGGAACAUAGGCUAUUACCUCCCCUACAACUGCCCGAUCCGCGGAGGUUGCGGAUCUGCAGCGGAAGAUUGAUGAGGUGGGUGAUGACAUCACGCUGAUCAAUAGGCGUCUUGACGAGGCGCAAGGUAUGUUUUCGGGUCAGCCAGUAUAUUUAUGCAUGAUAAUCUGAGCAUGAAGUUGGAAUUGUAUACCGAGACAUGCAUCACUACAGACGGUGCUGCUGCGGUGGAGGCCCUUCGUGCUUAGCUUUUCCUUGCCAAGGAAUGAACCCAGAUGAGUAAUUUGGCUGCCCAUAAGGCGGCUGAAGAGUUAAAAACCGAACAGGCUGUUCGGCGCCUAUGUGAGGAAAGAAUUACUACCAUUGCGCGCAAGCUGGAGGAGGCCACCAUCCAGUGCGAAUUCCUUGAGAAGGAUAACAAGGCCAAAGCGGCCGAUCUCGACAAGGCCUUACAAGAGGCGAAACAAGCGAGGCCUGAGUCUAGAGCGGCUCUGGAAGAGAUCCGGCAAGCUGGGGAGAUAGUGGCUGGUAAGCCUUUCUUGUUACAGACGAAGUUCGAAGAUCCGAAGUAUUCCCCGCUUAACCAAAUGUGGAGUUCUCCGGACACCUUUUUGGACCUACCGAAGAGUGCCUCCGAUGCGUCGUAGUUUUACCAAGUGCAGGAAGGGUGUGCCACAGAGAAGCUUUUUUGGUCACAGUUCGGCGCGCCAAAGCGUCAGUUGUUACUAAAUGAACAGAUGGCCCAGUGGGCCGAGCUCCAUAGGAUAUUUGGUUCCGCCAUGAAGGACAUCAUAGUCCAGCUAUGGCCUACUGAGCCCAUUCCGAAUAGUUACUUCGGUUUGGUGCAGCGGCUUGUGGAUGCGGUGCCGCGUAUCGACGUCAUUAAGCGUUCAACGUGCAUUGAAGGUGCACGGAUGGCCUUUGCCCAUGUCAAAACAUACUGGGCCAAGAUGAAGGCCACUGACAUUGCAGUGAGGAGUCCCCCCAAGGGUAAGGAUCAUCACGCACCCGAACAUUAUUUUGAGGAUGUCUUAAAGGGUGCCCGCUUGAUAGAGGGCCAGUGCUCGAAAGAUAUGAUAUUUGAAUGAAAUGUAUUGAAUUGUAAAAGAUAGUAUGAUGAUAAUAUUAUGAUUUUUGCUUAAAAGUUUUUGGUUCCUCCUGUGCGACCGUUGUUUGCAUAAUCUGAAAGUUUUCUAGUCGUCGGCUUCAGCCCCCACAUAGAAAAUACAGGGGUGUUCGGAAAAGCAUUUGAUCACUCUUAACCCAAUGUCUUGGUCCAUGAAUGGAGGUGUCAAUGCAGUGAACGAGGCAACCGGACUAUAGGGCGUUAACACUUUCACUUGGCCAUAGGAGUUUUAUGGUGGGUCUAUGAUAUAAACCCUGGUAUGUACGCUGUUAUCCCAAUGUGGUGCGUUCACAUGUAUGACUUAAAGAAAGGUCCUUCGUGUAAUACGGAGGGAAUCACGAAAGAUUCUGAUAAGUUGUCGAGUGGUUGACCAACUCUCGCGGCAUCAUGACAGUCAGUUUUCGGCUUUCUCUACUGAGGUGCUCGCCUGGGUAAACUAGAGCACAAUCGCAGUAGUUCUCCCUUUACUACCUUAGCCGAUAGAGCAGAAUGUAAGGUAGCAAGCACAAGAGCCGGGCAACCCAACUAUUGACCCAAGACAUGAUUCAGAGCUGAUGCAUAUAAGGCCAAACUCGCGACGCCGAAGUAUGCUAUAAAGCUGUUCGGACUUGUUGGCAAUUUAGCUUGUUCCCAUAUCGAGCCCCUGGCGGGGCAUGUGAAAUAACACAAGGAGCAAAAUACAAUUUUUUAGAGGAAAGUGAAUAAUUAUAUUCACUAGAACUUGAGUGACAAGCCAAUCAUUGUUUUGUAUAUAAUAACGCCACCACCCUGGCUAUUUGACAUGCCAAGUGUCGAUGGCUGAGGUAGAAGGCACUUUACAGGCUCGCAAAAUAGAGAGUACGGUCUAAAAAAGUUGUUUUGGACCUCCUUUCGCACGUCUGCGCCGCCUUUCCUUGAUGAAGGGGCUCCUUAAGGGGAGUAACUUUUGGAUGAAUGUACAAACCGGAACUCCGAUGGAGUCGGUGAGAUGACCAGCCUAUGAGUCACCUAUGAUAAAACGAUAAUGAAAAAAGAAAAAGUCAUCAAAAAAGAAUUGAAAAGAAGGGGGUUAUAGAAGUACUUGUAGGCCUGUCCGUAUUAUGCCUCCGCCGACGCCCAUGGUAUUUUAAGUGCAUAGUUAUGUACGCCCAGUAUAGAUUUCGCAGGUGUAUGAGGUGGACGGCGGAGGCCGAACUGCUAGUCCAGCUCCAUAAUUUGUCGGUCCUGCCGAAUGGGGACCGACGACUUUAUGGCCGACAAGGUACAUGGUUUAAUAAGGCCGACUUGUACUCCGGCUGGAGGGAACGUAGUAUGGUCCUCAGUCCGGAGGGAGUAUGUCUCGUGCUCCUCUGUAGGGGCGUGUGUCAAGUAUACCAUGUUCACCGUUUUUACCUCGGGGGGAAAUUGCUUCUGACCCCCGGUAUUUGGUUGGUGAAUCUCUUCGUCAUUGCUAUCACUGGGCGGUCUUUUCCCUUAUGUUCGGUGUUGAGCCUGCUAGCCUGCUUGAAGACCCAACAACUUCUGUUGGUGUGAUUGGCUGGCUUAUCGGGAUUGCCAUGAAUCUGGCAGGGUCGAUCCAAUAUCUUGUGUAAGGUGGAUGACUCGUCUCUGUUUGCCUUGAAUGGCUUUUUCCGUUGACCGGAUUUGGGGCCACUGAAUCCGGCGUUGACCGCUGUAUCGCGCAUUCUCUCAUUAUCAUUGCGACGUUUGAGUUUGCUACGUCGUGGUUUGCCAUUGCUGUCUCGGACUUCGGAAGUGCCCGGAUUGCUGGCACUGUUACUUCUACGAGCGAGCCAGCUGUCUUCUCCAGCGCAAAAGCAAGUCAUCAGAGCAGUAAGGGCUGACAUGGAUUUUUGGUUUUUCUUGACCGAUGUGGCGGGCGAGCCAGUCGUCCCGGACGCUGUGUUUGAAGGCCGCUAGGGCUUCCGCGUCUGGAUAGUCGACGAUUUGGUUCUUUUUAACUAAGAACCUAGUCCAGAGCUUCCUGGCUGACUCUACGGGCUGUUGAACUAUAUGGCUUAAGUCAUCGGCGUCUGGUGGCCGGACAUAUGUACCUUGGAAGUUGUCGCGGAAGGCGUCUUCCAAAUCCUCCCAGCUGCCAAUAGAGUCUUCGGGCAGACUGUUUAACCAGUGCCGAGCUGGACCAUUGAGUUUAACGGGAGGUAUUUGAUGGCAUGAAGGUCAUCUCCACGGGCCAUGUGGAUAUGGAGAAGGAAAUCCUUGAUCCAUACCACGGGAUUAGUUGUUCCAUCAUAUGAUUCGAUAUUCACGGGUUUAAACCCUUCGGGGAAUUCGUGCUCCAUUACUUCGUUUGUGAAGCAAAGAGGGUGUGCGGCGCCUCUAUAUUGGGCCACAUUGCGACGUAGCUCUGAUGGAGUCCGUCUGCGGUUUUCGGCCCAGGUGUGACUAGGCUUGUCACGUCCGAAUAGAUAGCCGUUGUCAUGUGUCGGGGCACAUCCUCGCGAUCCGUAGACUGAUCUGGUAUGUCCUGCUCUAUUGUCCAGGUCUUGCUAAAGGUCAUAUGUGUGACCACGAGCUGUGUUGUCUCUGCCUUUAUGGUGAGGAGGGGCGGGAUGGUGUUCGGCUUGAGUUGCCGCUUUGUCCCGACCACGUGGUGGUCGGUUAGCCGCAUUGCGCGGUGAUGGUAUGGGCUCCGGUGCCUCGUCAUCGAACUGAGGUAGCAAUUUGUGCUUUGGGUAAAUUUUGACUGGGCGCUUGAGGCCGUGUUCUUCGGCUGCUAGGACAUUAGUCCAUCUAUCGUUGAGCAGAUCUUGGUCAGCUUGAAGCUGCUGUUGCUUCUUUUUCAGGGUCCUUGCAAUGGCUAUUAGCCGGUGCUUAAAGUGCUCCUGCUCCUGAGGUUCCUCAGGCAUGAUAAAAUCCUCGUUGCCAAGACUCACCUCAUCCUCGGAGAGUGGAAGAUAAUUACUGUCCUCCAGGUCGUUGUUUAUGGCAUGUUCGUCAGGGCUAACUUGCCCGUUUUCGCGAUCGUCCUGUUCGGAAGUUCGUUCGUCGGGAUCUUCUCUGUCUUCGGCACCGUCCGGAGUGUUGUCCUCUCCUGUGUCCGUAUCGCUGUUUAUUCCAUGACUUGACUUAGAGCGGUGCUGCUGACGCCGGCGUUUUGGUUGUAUCACAGGAGGUUUGUCCUCAACUAGAUCUGCCUUCUCAUUGUCAUUAGUUCUCUUAGGUGUAUCCACCAUGUAUACGUCGUAGGAAGAGGUGGCUGUCCAGGGUUCGGUAAACGGUGGGUCUUGGACCGGUUCCUCAUUGGCAUCAUCCUCUAUACUGUCGAUGUCUUCGGAGCCGUAGUCGAGCGUGUCGGUUAAGUCUUCGACAGUGUGUAUGAAGUGGGCGAUGUGCGGGAAGAAAAAUUCUCUGUUAUCAAUCUCUAGUUCGAACCGGAUAGAGUUCGGAUGUGAGCCCCCCGCUAAAGAUAGUGCUCUUAACGAGUUUAGCACGUCGCCCAGAGGCGAAUGCCGGAAGAUGUCCGCGGCACUGAAUUCGGUGAUCGAUGAACGAUCGUGCUUGAUAGGCGUGGACGUGCAUAGUUCGGAACUUGUAGCCGGAGACGGGUCCGUAGUUCUGGUGACAUAGAUGUCACUUGAAGUUAAGUCUAUGUGCGGCUCCAACGCCGCUGAGACCACGGCUUCCGCGGCGGGGUUGAGCGUCCCGUCUUCGGAUGGCGCGAUUUGCUAUGGAUCUAUGGCUGGAGCAGCUACAUGUACUAUCUCCUGCGUGUGGACCGAUGACAGAUUUAGGUCAUGUUCAUCGUGGUGGCAGAGAGCGACUGCCGUGGUCUCGAAUCCGUCGUAGAUCAAGUCUCCACGGAUAUCUGCGACGUAGUUCAAGUUUCCAAAUCUGACCUGGUGGCCAGGUGUAACAUCCCAAAAUUCUAAAUUUUGGAAUGUUAUAUUAAUUAAAUAAAUUUUAUUGUUUGUUUGAUUGAUUGACUGAAAAUGAGUGGAAUUUGAAACAAACAAAAAAUCGAAUGAGAGGGAAUAAAAGGACUUUCCCAAUUUUUUUUCUAUUUGAAUCCCUAUUUGAUUUUUAGUUUGAAUCUUGUAAAAAUUCACUGAUAAAAAAUAAUAUGAGAGGAGGAAAAUGACACUCCAAAAGAUCAAAGACAAUGUUUGGAUUGAGAUUCAAAUUUGAAAAAAAACAUUUGCAAAUUAUUUGAAACUCAAUUCUAUUUUGGAGUUAUUUAUAAAACAAAUGUUUUUUAGUAUUUUAUUUGGCCGCCUAGAUAUGUUCAUGUUUUAGAAAAUCUUUUUCUGAAAAUUUUGGUAUAUAAUAUGCCUAUAUAACAUAUUUUGUUUUUCUUCAGUUUAUUGGUUUUCCUCGCUGUUAAAAGGCUGAAAAUGUUUUUUUAUACGACCGGCCCGAUCAGCAGGCCAAGGCCCAGCCCAACGCUGGCGCUAGCGCUAGCGCACCCGUGCAUGUACGCUCGAACUGCCUCCAGCGCUGCGGCCACCUCUCCCUCACGUGCGCCCUCUCUCCCUUUCCAUGGCGCUGGACCCCACCCGCCAUCUUCUCCCGUCGCACGAAACAUGAGGAUCCCAGCUCGGGCACGGUUGCCAUGCCGCACGCGCAAACGACGGAAACCCUAUCUAUGGCUUGCCCUCUGCCUCAAGAACAUGUCCUAUAAAUACCCAGCCACCUCCUCGUCCCACGCCCCCAAAACGCCACGCCGAAACCACUUCUACCGCACGUGAUCUUCAUUUGGAUCUCGCUGGAGCCGAGACGGUUCACCGUAGUUCCCGAUGUCGGUGAGCAACCCCGAACCACCAAAUCUUGUCCAACAUACUUCUCUCGUCUUUGUGCAUCUCCUUGACAUCGUUUCCUCAUCUAGGGAGCACCGGAGCCUCGCCAUGGACCUCGCCCGACAUUGCCGGAGCACUGAGUUCAUCUCGACGCUCCGCUCAUGUCCGUCAUCCCCGACCUUCACCUUCAACUAAAAAUCGGACCCCCUCGGAGUCCUCCACCCGCUGGACAUCGCCGCCUCCACCGCGAGCCGCCGGAGCAAUCGCCCUUGCCGGCGCUCUUCUUCUCUCCCAUCGACACCCUCUCUGUAAGCAACGAGUGCCUCCCUUCAUUUGUUUUUUGGAAACAUUAAGUGCAAAAAAAAUAUUAGAUCGGUUUAGUAGAUCGGUUUUCCUUAUAGAUCGGUUCCUCGAUUUAGAUCGAACCGGCUCCCCGGUCUUCUGUUAAAUAAACGCACGUGUACGUAUUUAUAAGUUUCGCCCGAGUGUUUGGUAGCUACAGAUCGCACCCCCCUAGGCCCGAUAGCGCCCGUUUUUUUCUUCUGUAUUUCCGUUUCUGUUUUUAAAACAGAAAAGUUUCAGUUUCGUAAAUUCUAUAUCUCUUAGGUUAUUUGGAGUUUUUGAUUGAUUCUUUUUGCUCUAGUCUGAAAAUUUCUUAAUGUUUCUGUAUAAAAUAAUUUCGGCCAUGUUUGUAGUUUUAAAAAUUGUUUUAUUUGGGUUUUAGUCAGAUUAGUAUUUCUGCUAUAAAAUGAGCUAGAAUUAAUAAUUUUUGGCGAUUCAUUUUGCCACUGCUUUGUUUUGACCUUGCCUAACAGUAGGAUUAAUUUGGGUAUUUAUAGAUUUUUUUAAAAUUUGUUUUUCACGAAAACAACACAGUGCUGGUUAUUUUUAACUUGCUGCUGUUUUCUGUUGUUUUAAUUAUUUUUAAAACUUAUUUUAACCUCUGUUAUAUUUUAUUUCAGAUUUGUUUCUGUAGUUAUAGAGGGUGAAAUUUUAUUUACAAAAAAAUAUAAUGUUUAUUUCUUUUUCUUGUUUUGUUUUAAUCGUAACUAGAGUUUUUUAAAAAAUAGUUUUUAGGUGUUUCUUUUUGCUAAUAAAAGUUUAUGAAAAAUACCUUCUAUUAACUUAAUUGUUUUUCUUUGUAUUUUAUGUUAAUUUAUUAUUUUAUUGUUUUAAUUGUUGUUAAGUUUUUACUUAGGACAAAACUGUUUUGUGAUAUGUCUUAGAGUUUUCUUUAGUAGUUUCACUGUGUAGUUUUCCUUUGUUCUUAUUUGGUGUCCCUUGUUGUUUUGCAAUUUAUUUGUUGGUUUAAUAUGAGUGUUAGAAUUGCUUGCUAGUAUGUUUGCUUAUAUGAAUGAUAUGUUUGAAUACAUAGAUUUUCAAUGGAGUGAAGAAUAGUUCUACUAAGUCAUUAUUCUGAGAGCGUUGUUAUCUUCAUCAAGUAAUACGAGGCAAGUUCACUUUGACCAUGUUUUCCAUACCUAUGUUUAUUUGCAUGUAGUAGCGCCCUUUCAACAACCCCUCCAGUAAUGUUAUUGAAUCUUGUAGAUGAGUAGAAUGCAUGAGGUAGAAAACCAUCUCCCUGUUACCAAACCUGGGACGUUACAUAGUUUUAAUGCUACGCUAUAGUAGACGGGGUUUGGUAUGAGUGCAUGAGAGUGGUGUGAAGAAGGACUCUACGUCAAUGGCGACAACUUCAUGAUGGCACCGACAAGGACUGCAUCUUCAGGAUUUCGAGACUCGAGACAAGAAUUCAAUACACACUACUGGGUGAAGGACGGUUGACGGGCACCCUGGAGAAACCAGUGGUUGGCCGGGAUGCAUGGAGAAGCGCCAUGACAUCUUGCGGAAAGCUUCACCCAGACUCAAAGAGACGGAAGGAUACUUCAUCCCCGGAAGCUUACUUGUGCAACCGCAAGUCACUAUGGGCUCUGGCUUGGUUGACCUUAGUGGUGACUCUGGCUGGGACGGUGCUAGCAGAUGUAGAACUACGGUAGGAUUGGAUGAGCACCGGACAGUGGUCAGAGGAACUCUUUGGAAGACCAUGUUUCGGUCAUCUUGUUCUCAAACACCCUGAAGUGCGAGAAUGUAAAGAGAGGGAUCGAAUCUUGCGGGUAAAGUGUACAAACCUUUGCAGAGGGUUAAAACCUAAUCGAUUAGCCGUGUCCCCGGUUACAGACAAUUUGAGCCUCUAGACUUGGAUCUAUCUCGGAACUCUCAACACCGGACUGAUAACAUAAUUGUGGGCAACUUAUGAUGAUUUGGGUAUGAGACAUCGGUUGGCGGAACCAUGUCAUGACAGAAAAAUCCGUAGUACAGACUCCUGAUAUUCCUUUGUUGUAGGGAAAAUAAAACCAGCUUUUACGCAAAAACAUCAGACACAUAGCCACAAGGCCAUAUUGCAUAUAGAAUAGUUUUAUCAUCUGCUUUCUCAUAUUGUGAUCUUGCCGGAACAUUCAAUGUACUGACCUACACGGCUGCAACAUCUCAUGUUGCAGAUAUGUUCCUUCCGACGAGUAAGAGUACGGUAGAGGGUUACAGUCUACACUCAACCUGCCGAUGGCGUUGAUGGGACUCCACACCCGAUUGUUUGUUUCCGCCGAGACCUAUGAGGUAUAUAUCAGUUUUACAUUAUUUAUACAUGUGAUUGCACUUUGAUAUAUACAUUGAUGUACUAUGUGUGCCAGCAUACCGAUCCAGGGAUGGCACAGAUACACAGAGGCUUGACCGUCUGAGGUCGGGUUGCUACACCAGGGGCGUAGAUUUCGAUCUGCUCCAUAUGGCCAAGCGAGUUGGCCCACAGUGCGAAGCCGCCGAACAUGAAGAUCUGUCCGGGGAGGAAGAGUUCUCGUUGGACAGCAUCGUUGUAGAUGAUUGAAGGAGCCAUCAAACCUUUUGAGGACGACAUAGUGGAACUCUCAAUGAAAGCACCAAUGUCGGUGUCAAAACCGGCGGAUCUCGGGUAAGGGGUCCCGAACUGUGCGUCUAGGAUUGAUGGUAACAGGAGAGGGGAGACAUAAUGUUUACCCAGGUUCGGGCCCUCUCUAUGGAGGUAAUACCCUACUUCCUGCUUGAUUAAUCUUGAUGAAUAUGAGUAUUACAAGAGUUGAUCUACCACGAGAUCAUAAUGGCUAAACCCUAAAAGUCUAGCCUAGCUAUGAUUAUGAGGAUCUAUCUACGGACCUAGCCCUUUGGUUUAUAUAGACACAGGAGGGAUCUAGGGUUACACAAGGUCGGUUAGAAAGAAAGGAAUCUUCAUAGUUGAUCGCCAAGCUUGCCUUCCACGCCAAGGAGAGUCCUAUAUGUACACGGGUAGAGUCUUCGGUCUUUGUAUCUUUACGGUCCAUCAGUCCGGCCCAUAUCCAAUAGAUCGGAAACCUGAGGACCCCUUAGUCCAGGACUCCCUCAGCAACAUCUGCUUCCCUCUGCGAAGGGCCUAUCUUUUCUUUUAUGCAAAGGGUCAAAGUUUUUCUCUCUAUUACUUUUAUUUUUCUCCUUUGGCAAGCCCCUAUCUUUCUAUGUGUCCGGUUGAAACGUUUUGCUCAUGGGUACGAGGUGAGUGUUAGCAAUCAUUGAAGACUAUAUGAUGGUUGAGUAUGUGGACUUGCCUAAAGGCUUCGACACGCGACCCUUCCUGAAAAGAUGAUGAAUUGUAGUUGCAAAGUUGACUGAUAACAUAGUUUGUCGGUUUCUAAUAGAGUUUUGCUUUAUACUUUGAUUGUGUGAUGAACUAUUACUUAUGCAUGAGAAGUAUAUGAUAAAAGUUCUAUGAUAAAAGUCCUAUGUUUAAUGUUGUUGCUGUUAUAAUAAUCAACAUGAUGCUUCUAUGUCCGUAUUUUGUUUUUAUCGACACCUCUCUCUCAAAGCAUGUGGACAUGUUUUUCAAUUUAGGUUUUCGCUUGAGGACAAGCGAGGUCUAAGCAUGGGGGAGUUGAUACGUCCAUUUUGCAUCAUGUUUUCUUACUGUUAUUUAUAAUGUCUUUAUCCAUAAUAAUGCUUUUUGGAGUAAUUCUAAUGCCUUUUCUCUCAUAAUUUGCAAGGAACACACCAAGAGGGAGAAUUCCGGCAGCAAGAAAUCUGGACCUGGAAAAUCUACGCCAGGCCACCUAUUCUGCACAACUCCAAAUGAGCUGAAAGUUCAGGAGAUUUUUUAUGGAUUAUUUAAGAAAUACUGGAGCCAAUAAACACCAGAGGGGGGCCACCAGGUGGGCACAACCCACCUGGGCGCGCCCUGGUGGGUUGUGGCCUCCUCGUCCCACCUCCGGUGCCAAUCUUCUGGUAUACAAGUCAUUUUGACCUAGAAAAAAUAAGGAGAGGACUUUCGGGAUGAAGCGCCGCUACCUCGAGGCAGAACUUGGGCUGGAGCACUUUUGCCCUCCGGCGGAGUGAUUUCGCCGGGGGAACUUCCCUCCCGAAAGGGGAAAUCUCGUCAUCAUCUUCACCAACAACUCUCCCAUCUUGGGGAGGGCAAUCUCCAUCAACAUCUUCAGCAACACCAUUUCCUCUCAAACCCUAGUUCGUCUCUUGUGUUCAAUCUUGUUACCAGAACUAUAGAUUGGUGCUUGUGGGUGACUAGUAGUGUUGAUUACAUCUUGUAGUUGAUUACUAUAUGGUUUAUUUGGUGGAGGAUUAUAUGUUCAGAUCCAUUAUGCUAUUUAAUACUCCUCUGAUCAUGAACAUGUUUAUCAUUUGUGAGUAGUUACUUUUGUUCUUGAGGUUACAGGAGAAAUCAUGUUGCAAGUAAUCAUGUGAACUUGAUAUGUGUUUGAUAUUUUGAUAGUAUGUAUGUUGUUAUUCCCUUAGUGGUGUCAUGUGAACGUCGACUACAUGACACUUCACCAUAUUUGGGACUAAGAUAAUGCAUUGUGGAGUAGCAAUUAGAUGGUGGGUUGCGAGAGUGACAGAAGCUUAAACCCUAGUUUAUGCGCUAUUUUGUAAGGGACCGAUUGGAUUCAAAAGUUUAAUGCUAUGGUUAGAAUUUAUUCUUAAUACUUUUCUCGUAGUUGCGGAUGCUUGCGGGAGGGUUAAUCAUAAGUAAGAGGUCUAUUCAAGUAAGAACAUCACCUAAGCACCAGUCCACCCACAUAUCAAAUUAUGAAAGUAGCGAACACAAAUCAAACCAAAAUGAUGGAAGUGACUAGAUAUUCUCAUGUACCCUCAAGAAAGCUUUGCUUAUCAUAAGAGACCAUUUUGGCCUGUCAUUUUCCUCAAAAGGAUUGGGCUACCUUGCUGCACUUUUGUUACUAUUAUCGUUACUUGCUCGUUACAAAUUAUCUUGCUAUCAAACUACUCUGCUACUUACAAAUUCAGCACUUGCAGACAAUACCUUACCGGAAACUACUUGUCAUUUCCUUCUGCUCCUCGUUCGGUUCGACACUCUUACUUAUUGAAAAGAGGUACGAUUGAUCCCCUAUACUUGUGGGUCAUCAAUGUGAUCCGCAGAGGGCUUUGCCUAAGCAGUACGUGAAUAUGACGGAGGAGUAAACCGUGGAGGGAGACGCCGCACACGGCUUGGAACAAUUGGUGUGUCUCCAAUGGGUGCCCUGCCCACGUAUAUAGAGGAGGGAGAGGGAGGGGGCCGACCAGGGGGCGCGCCAUAGGGGGGGGGGACUGACUAGGACUCCCAAUCCUAGUCGCCCCCCUUUCCUUUCUUUCAGAGGGGGGAAAGGGAAGGAGAAGGAGAGGGAGAGAAGGCCGCGACCCUCCCCUUUGUCCAAUUCGGACUCCCUUGGGGGGGGGCACCCCUUGCGGGAUCCCCUCNNNNNNNNNNNNNNNNNNNNNNNNNNNNNNNNNNNNNNNNNNNNNNNNNNNNNNNNNNNNNNNNNNNNNNNNNNNNNNNNNNNNNNNNNNNNNNNNNNNNNNNNNNNNNNNNNNNNNNNNNNNNNNNNNNNNNNNNNNNNNNNNNNNNNNNNNNNNNNNNNNNNNNNNNNNNNNNNNNNNNNNNNNNNNNNNNNNNNNNNNNNNNNNNNNNNNNNNNNNNNNNNNNNNNNNNNNNNNNNNNNNNNNNNNNNNNNNNNNNNNNNNNNNNNNNNNNNNNNNNNNNNNNNNNNNNCCUCCCGGUACUCCGAAAAAUACCCGAACCAUUUCGAAACCAUUUCGGUGUCCGAAUACCAUCGUCCAAUAUAUCAAUCUUUACCUCUCGACCAUUUAGAGACUCCUCAUCAUGUCCGUGAUCUCAUCCGGGACUCCGAACAAUCUUCGGUCACCAAAACACAUGACUCAUAAUACAAAUCGUCAUCGAACGUUAAGCGUGCAGACCCUACGGGUUCGAGAUGGCCGAGACAUAUCUUCGGUCAAUAACCAACAGUGGAACCAGGAUGCUCAUAUUGGUUCCUACAUAUUCUACGAAGAUCUUUACCGGUCAAACCGCAAUGACAACAUACGUUAUUCACGUUGUCAUCGGUAUGUUACUUGCCCGAGAUUCGAUCGUCGGUAUCCUCAUACCUAGUUCAAGCUCGUUACCAGCAAGUCUCUUUACUUGUUCCGUAAUGCAUCAUCCCACAACUAACUCAUUAGUCACAUUUAUUGCAAGGCUUAUUGUGAUGUGCAUUACCGAGAGGGCCCAGAGAUACCUCUCUGAUACUCGGAGUGACAAAUCCUAAUCUUGAUCUAUGCCAACCCAACAAACACCUUCGGAGACACCUGUAGAGCAUCUUUAUAAUCACCCAGUUAUGUUGUGAUGUUUGAUAGCACAUAAGGUGUUCCUCCGUUAUUCGGGAGUUGCAUAAUCUCAUAGUCAAAGGAAUAUGUAUAAGUCGUGAAGAAAGCAAUAGCAAUAAAACUUAACGAUCAUUAUGCUAAGCUAACAGAUGGGUCUUGUUCAUCACAUCAUUCUCCUAAUGAUAUGAUUCCAUUCAUAAAAUGACAACACAUGUCUAUGGUCAGGAAACUUAACCAUCUUUGAUUAACAAGCUAGUCAAGUAGAGGCAUACUAGGGACACUUUGUUUUGUCUAUGUAUUCACACAUGUAUCACGUUUCUGGUUAAUACAAUUCUAGCAUGAAUAAUAAACAUUUAUCAUGAUAUAAGGAAAUAUAAAUAACACUUUAUUAUUGCCUCUAGGGUAUAUUUCCUUCAGUCUCUCACUUGCACUAGAAUUAAUAAUCUAGAUUACAUAGUAAUGAUUCUAACACCCAUGGAGUCUUGGCGAUGAUCAUGUUUUGCUCGUGGAAGAGGCUUAGUCAACGGGUUUGCAACAUUCGAUUCUGUGUGUAUUUUGCAAAUCUCUAUGUCUCCCUCCUUGAAUUGAUCGCGGAUGGAGUUGAAGAGUCUCUUGAUGUGUUUGGUUCUCCUGUGAAAUCUGGAUUCCUUCACUAAGGCAAUUGCUCCAGUAUUGUCACAAAAUAUUUUCAUUGGACCCGAUGCACUAGGUAUUACACCUAGAUCGGAUAUGAACUUCUUCAUCUAGACUCCUUCAUUUGCUGCUUCCGAAGCAGCUAUGUACUCCCUUCACACGUAGAUCCCGCCACGACGCUCUGCUUGGAACUGCACCAACUGGCAGCUCCACCAUUCAAUAUAAAUACGUAUCCGGUUUGUGACUUAGAGUCAUCCGGAUCAGUGUCAAAGCUAGCAUCGACGUAACCAUUUACGACAAGCUCUUUUCCACCUCCAUAAAUGAGAAACAUAUCCUUAGUCCUUUUCAGAUAUUUUAGGAUGUUCUUGACCGUUGUGCAGUGAUCCACUCCUGGAUUACUUUGGUACCUCCCUGCUAAACUUAUAGAAAAGCACACAUCAGGUCUGGUACACAACAUUGCAUACAUGAUAGAACCUAUGGCUGAAGCAUAGGGAAUGACUUUCAUUUUCUCUCUAUCUUCUACAGUGAUCGGGCAUUGAGUCUGACUCAACUUCACACCUUGUAACAUAGGCAACAACCCUUUCUUUGACUGAUCCAUUUUGAACUUCUUCAAAACUUUAUCAAGGUAUGUGCUUUGUGAAAGUCCAAUUAAGCGUCUUGAUCUAUCUCUAUAGAUCUUGAUGCCCAAUAUAUAAGCAGCUUCAUCGAGGUCUUUCAUUGAAAAAUUCUUAUUCAAGUAGCCUUUAUGCUAUCUAGAAAUUCUGUGUUAUUUCCAAUCAACAAUAUGUCAUCCACAUAUAAUAUUAGAAAUUCUACAGAGCUCCCACUCACUUUCUUGUAAAUACGGGCUUCUUCAAAAGUAUGUAUAAAACCAUAUGCUUUGAUCACACUAUCAAAGCGUAUAUUCCAACUCCGAGAGGCUUGCACCAGUCCAUAAAUGGAUCACUGGAGCUUGCACACUUUGUUAGCACCUUUAGGAUCGACAAAACCUUCUGGUUGCAUCAUAUACAACUCUUCUUUAAAAUGCGGCUUUGACGUCCAUUUGACGUCCAUUUGCCAAAUUUCAUAAUCAUAAAAUGCGGCAAUUGCUAACAUGAUUCAGACAGACUUAAGCAUCACUACGGAUGAGAAGGUCUUGAUAUGUCUCCAACGUAUCUACUAUUUCUCAUGCUUUUCAUCAUGUUUUGGACUCUAAUUUGCAUGAUUUGAAUGAAACUAACCCCAGACUGUCGUUGUUUUCAGCAGAACUACCAUGGUGUUGUUUUUGUGCAGAAAUAAAAGUUCUCGGAAUGGAACGAAACUUUGCAAGGAUUUUUUAUAUCAAUAAUAAGAAUUUCUGGAGCCAAGACCUGCCGGAGAGGGGCACCUGGGUGGGCACAACCCACUAGAGCGCGCCCCCUCUCCUGGCGCACCUAGGUGGGUUGUACCCACCUGGUGGCCCCACUGAUGACCCCCUGAUACUAUAAAAUCACAUUAUUCCAGAAAAAAUCAGGGAGAAAGAAUUACCGUGAUCCACGAGAAAGAGCCACCGCCAAGCCCUGUUCUUCCUCGGGAGGGCGGAUCUAGAGUCCGUUUGGGGCUCCGGAGAGGGGGAUCUUCGUUCUUCGUCAUCACCAACCCUUCUCCAUCGCCAAUUCCAUGAUGCUCCCCACCGGGAGUGAGUAAUUCCUUCGUAGGCUUGCUGGUCAGUGGGAGUUGGAUGAGAUUCAGCAUGUAAUCGAGUUAGUUUUGUUAGGGCAUGAUCCCUAGUAUCCACUAUGUUCUUAGAUUGAUGUUGCUAUGACUUUGCCAUGCUUAAUGCUUGUCACUUUGGGCCCGGGUGCCAUGAUUUCAGAUCUGAACCGUUUAUGUUAUCACCAUUAUAUCCAUGUUCUAGAUCCAAUCUUCCAAGUUAUAGUCACCUACUACUUGUUAUGAUCCGGCAACCCCGGAGUGACAACAACCGGGCCCACUCUCGGUGAUGACCGUAGUUUGAGGAGUUCAUGUAUUCACUUUGUGCUAAUGCUUUGUUCCGGUUCUCUAUUAAAAGGAGGCCUUAAUAUCCCUUAGUUUCCAAUAUGGACCCGCUGCCACGGGAGGGUAGGACAAAAGAUGUCAUGCAAGUUCUUUUAAUAAAGCAUGCAUGACUAUUUACGGAAUACAUGCCUACAUUAUAUAGAUGAACUGGAGCUAGUGCCGUAUUGCCCUAGGUUAUAACUGUCACAUGAUGAAUAUCAUCCAACAAGUCACCGAUCCAAUGCCUACGAACUUUUCCAUAUUGUUUCUUCUAAGUUACUACUGUUAUCAUCAUCGUUACACUUGCUACAAAAUGACGGUUAUCACUGUUACUGUUACUAUUGCUGCUAUCACUCCUAUCAAAACUAUCAAACUACUUUGCUACUGAUCACUUUGUUGCAGAUAAUUAAUCUCUAGGUGUGGUUGAAUUGACAACUCAGAUGCUAAUACCUUCAAAUAUUCUUUGGCUCCCCUUGUGUCGAAUCUAUAAAUUUGGGUUGAAUACUCUACCCUCGAAAACUGUUGCGAUCCCCUAUACUUGUGGGUUAUCAAGACCUUUUUCUGGCGCCGUUGCCAGGGAGCACAACUAUAUUUGCCGAGUCACUUGGGAUUAUUAUCAUAUUAUCACUAUGAAGAAUCUGAAGGAUCCAAAGACUAAGAUAUUUCCCUCAAAGACGAGGGGAGGUAAGGAACUGCCAUCCAGUUCUAAUUUAGAUUCACCUUUUGUUUUGAGUAAACUUGCAACACCACCACAUGCUAUUAAUUCUUAUAUGUCGCAAGUUAUUGAUGAUGCUACUUCUACUAUGAAUGAUUCUUAUGAUGAUGGUAGUACCUUGCUUGAUAAUGAUGAUGUGUCACUUGGUGAAUUUCUUGAUAAACAAAUUGCUAGAGUAAUACAACAUGAUGUUGUUGAAUCUGAUGAUGAGCUUGAAACUGAAUCUCCUAAAACACCUACUAGAACUAGCCUUCCUAGAUAUGAAUUGCCUAAGGUACCGGAAGGUUAUGUUAUGAGUGAAGAAACAACUAGAGAUAUUCUUGCGUGCAAGGAUAGAGAUGAUCUAGAGAAAUUACUACACAAGUAUAAAGAAAAAUCUCUAAAUGCUAGAAUGAAGUGUGAUCCUAAGUUUGCAACUUCACCUAUCUUUAUUGAUGAUAUGGACUAUGAAUUCUUUGUCGACCCAGAGUUAAUUAAUCUGGUUGAAUCUGAUCCUUUCCAUGGUUAUGAAACUGAAACUGUUGUGGCACGUCUUACUAAGUUGAAUGAUAUCGCCACCCUUUUUACUCAUGAUGGGAAAACUCGCUACUACUUUAUUCUCAAAUUAUUUCCUUUCUCAAUAAAGGGUGAUGCUAAAGCUUGGUACAAUACUCUUGCUCCUGGUUGUGUGCGUAGUCCCCAAGAUAUGAUUUAUUAAUUCUCUGAAAAAUAUUUUCCUACUCAUAAGAAACAAGCUGCCUUACAGGAAAUAUUUAACUUUGUGCAAAUUAAAGAAGAGAGUCUCCCACAAGCUUGGGGGAGGCUUUGCCAGUUACUUAAUGCUUUGCCUGAUCAUCCUCUUAAGAAAAAUGAAAUACUUGAUAUUAUAAUGGACUAACCGAUGCUGCUAGGGACUUCCUAGAUAGUUGUGUUUUCAGGGAACGAACUGUUGUACAAGCUGAAGAAUUAUUGAAUAACAUAUUGAAAAAUUAUGAUGAUUGGUCUAUUCCUGAACCACCGCCUAAACCUACUCUGAAGAAGAGGGGUAUAUUAUAUCUCAGCCCCGAAGAUAUGCAAGAGGCAAAGAAAUCUAUGAAGGAAAAAGGUAUAAAAGCUGAGGAUGUUAAAAAUUUACCUCCUAUUGAAGAAUUACAUGGGCUUAAUACACCACCAAUGCCUAAGGUGGUAGAGGUAAAUUCUCUUAUGAAGUAUAAUGAUAGUGAUAAUCCUCACAAUAUGCAUCCUAGUCAAUUCCUUUAUGAGUUUGAAAACAACAUUAGAAAACAAGAUCACUUCAAUGCAAAUGUUAUGAAACAAUUGAAAUAUAAUUAUGAUAUUAUUGCUCGCUUGAGUGACUUGUUAUUUAGAAUAUCAAAUGAUGUUAGAGGUGUUGGAAAGCAUGCUUCUAUGGUUCAAACUCAAUUAGAGCAAGUUGCUAAAUCUCAAAGAGAAUUGCUUGAUGAAAUAAAUAAUAAUAUGCAUGACUUUGCUAUUAGAGUUGCAACUAGAGGAGGUAAAAUGACCCAGGAACCACUUUCCGGAGGGACACCCUAAAAGAAUUGAACAGGAUUCACAAAGAGCUAAUACUAGUGCACCCAGUCCUUCUAGAAAGAAAAAGAAAAAUGAUAGGACUUUGCACACUUCUAGUGAACCUGAAAUAGAAAAACCUCCUGAUAAUGAAAAUGAAACUUCUAUCUCAGAUGCUGAAACUCAAUCUGGUAAUGAACACUCACCUAAUGAUAAUGAAAAAGAUAAUGAUGACGUUCAUGAAGACUCUCAACCAACCAAUGAUAAAGAACCAGAUAAUGAUGUUGAGAUAGAACCACCUAUUGAUCUUGAUAACCCACAACCUAAGAAUAAAAGAUAUGACAAAAGAGACUUCGUUGCUAGAAAAACACGGUAAAGAGAGAGAACCGUGGGUUCAACAACCUAUGCCUUUUCCACCCAAGUUAACUAAAAAGAAUGAUGAUGAAGAAUUUGAACGCUUUGCUGAAAUGCCGAGGCUAGUCUUUUUGCGUACUCGCUUGACUGGUAUCUUGGAAAUGCCUCCUUAUGCAAAGUAUAUGAAAGACAUCAUCACAGAUAAGAGAAAAAUACUAGAAGAUGAAAUCUCCACUAUGCUGGCUAAUUACAGUUUUAAAGAUGGAGUACCUAAAAACUUGGAGAUCCGGAAAUACUAACUAUACCUUGCUCUAUCAAAAAUAAUUAUGUGAAAACUACUUUGUGUGAUUUAGGAGCUGGUGUUAGUGUUAUGCCUUUCUCUUUAUAUAAAAGACUUGAUUUUAAUAAACUCACACAUACUGAAAUAUCUUUGCAAAUGGCUGACAAAUCAACUGCCAUACCUAUCGGUAUCUAUGAGGAUGUGCCCGUUGUUGUUGCUAAUGUUACUAUUUUGACUCACUUUGUUAUACUUGAGAUGCCCGAGGACGACAACAUGUCGAUUAUCUUUGGUAGACCCUUCUUGAAUACUGCAGGGGCUGUUAUUGAUUGCAAUAAAAGGAAUGUCACUUUUCAUAUUAAUGGCAAUGAGCAUACGGUGCACUUUCCGAAGAAACAAUUCCAAGUGAAUGGUAUUAAUGUUAUUGAAAAAUCUCCGACAAUCACUAUUGGAAGUUUUCAAAUACCUCUACUGAUAACCCACAAGUAUAGGGGGUCGCAAUAGUUUUCGAGGGUAGAGUAUUCAACCCAAAUUUAUAGAUUCAACACAAGGGGAGCCAAAGAAUAUUUGAAGGUAUUAGCAGCUAAGUUGUCAAUUCAACCACACCUGGAGAUUAAUUAUCUACAGCAAAGUGAUCAGUAGCAAAGUAGUUUGAUAGUUUUGAUAAUGGUGCUAGUAGCAACGGUAACAAUAACAGUGAUAGCAGUAGUUUGUAGCAAGUGUAAUAGUGAUGAUAGCAAUAGUAACACAUCAAGAUCAAUAAGGAUAAAUUCGUAGGCAUUGGAUCGGUGACUUGUUGGAUGAUAUUCAUCAUGUGACAGUUAUAACCUAGGGCGAUACGACACUUGCUUCAGUUCAUCGAUAUAAUGUAGGCAUGUAAUCCGUAAAUAGUCAUACGUGCUUUGUUAAAAGAACUUGCAUGACAUCUUUUGUCCUACCCUCCCGUGGUAGCGGGGUCCAUAUUGGAAACUAAGGGAUAUUAAGGCAUCCUUUUAAUAGAGAACCAUAACAAAGCAUUAACACAUAGUGAAUACACGAACUCCUCAAACUACGGUCAUCACCGGGAGUGGGCCCGGUUGUUGUCACUCUGGGGUUGCCGGAUCAUAACACGUAGUAGGUGACUAUAACUUGCAAGAUCGGAUCUAGAACAUGGAUAUAAUGAUGAUAACAUAAACGGUUCAGAUCUAAAAUCAUGGCACUCGGGCCCAAAGUGACAAGCAUUAAGCAUAUCAAAGUCAUAGCAACAUCAAUCUAAGAACAUAGUAGAUACUAGGGAUCAAGCCCUAACAAAACUAACUCGAUUACAUGAUGAAUCUCAUCCCACUCCUCACCGACCAGCGAGCCUACAAAGGAAUUACUCACUCCCGGUGGAGAGCAUCAUGGAAUUGGCGAUGGAGAAGGGUUGGUGAUGAAGAAGAACGAAGAUCCCCCUCUCCGGAGCCCCAAACGGACUCUAGAUCCGCCCUCCCGAGGAAGAAUAGGGCUUGGCGGUGGCUCCGUCUCGUGGAUCGUGAUAAUUCUUCCUCCCUGAUUUUUUUCUGGAAAUAUGUGAAUUUAUAGUAUCAUGGGGUCUUCAGCGGGGCCACCAGGUGGGUACAACCCACCUGGGCGCGCCAGGAUAGGGGGGCGCGCCCUGGUGGGUUGUGCCCAUCCAGGGCCCCCUCUCUGGUGGGUUUUGGCUCCAGAAAAUCUUAUUAUUGAUAUAAAAAAUCCUCGCAUAGUUUCCUUCCAUUUCGAGAACUUUUAUUUCUGCACAAAAACAACACCAUGGUAGUUCUGUUGAAAACAACGUCAGUCCGGGGUUAAUUUCAUUCAAAUCAUGCAAAUUAGAGUCCAAAACAAGAGGAAAAGCGUGAGAAAAAGUAGAUACGUUGGAGACGUAUCAUCUACCUACUGUCAAAAAGAAAUAUGAAAUGCUUAUUCUUGGGGAAAUGCAUAUCCCCAUUGAGGUAACUUAGUGAUUUACGAAAGUUCUUCGGUUUCAUGUGAAUCGAAAGUGGUUGUUAAUAAGACUUGAUCAACCUUAUUAAUGGAUCAUUUUUGAACAGUAUGAAGUUGAUGAAUUCAGUAAGCACUACCCUCUGUCCCUACCUUUUUUCUCUGUUUUUAUUAGUUAAAUAAAAUAAGAUGCCAUGUUUUGUCUAUUUUCUGAAUUUCCCGUGCAAUAAAAAUGACCCAAAAAUAAAAGUUCUCAGAAUGCCUUGAAAAAUUUACAUGAUUUUUUCUGAAUAUUUGAGGAUUUUUGGCGCAAUAAACAUCAAAGGGAGGUGCACCAGGUGGGCACAACCCACCUGGGCACGCCAGCAUCCCCAGGCGCGCCUUCGUGGGUUAUUGUCCCCACGUGGGCCCCCUCACUUAUCUCUUUAGCCCACAUCAUCACUUACCUCCAGAAAAAAAAUCCCCAUUGCUCUCUCUCCCGUGUUCUUGAGCUCAAACCCGUGAAUUUUGAUCUCUUUGCUCGAAGCUCCGUUUCCGAAACUAUUUCGAGGGAUUGUUGCUUGGUAUGUGACUCCACCAUUUGUUCGAUUAGUUUUUGUUUUAGUGGUUUAUACUUUGAAUAAUUAGCUACUCUUGGUGCUGCUGUAGAUGUGCUUGCAUGUUGAAUUCUUAGUGUUCUAAGUAGUUUGAAUGCUUGUUAUGGCCUCUAUGUGUCCCUAUGAGUAGUUGCUAUCAAUCUUAUAAAGUUUUGUUGACAAAAUUUUGUCACCCCAAAAUUUUGUUUUCAGAAAAUUGUACACGGACAUGAUGAACCUAUUUGGAAGGAGUUCUUCGAGGAGACGAUCCUCGGGGGCAUCUUCUAGUGACAGUUCCGCUCGUCGGUCUUAUGUUGAACCAAGUGAAAGUUCCACGUGAGAUGCCACCAUCAAGACAUGUUUAUGGCCUAGCGAUGAAUAUAUGGUGCGUGUGGGCUUUAAGGAGGAAUUUUAGUAAAAUGUUCACAAUGCCGACCUCGAUCCCUACCUUUCAGAUAAGCGUGAAUAACACCAACUUCUCACUGAAUCAUUUGUCAAAGGAUUUAAAUAUUUUCCACGUGAGUCUAGGGUGUCGUUUAUGCUUUAUGAUAAUCCAUUUACUAUCCCACUAGAGAAUUUUGCUUACCAUUGCAAACUUCCAUUUUGGGGUUCGCUUGAUGAGCCACCAAUGGUUGAGUUCGAGUCUUGCUUGACUAGCCUUUUCUAUGGUGAAAAUAUUUUGCAUUAUUUAAUGGGAAAUGCAUAGUAGGCAAGCAAGACUAUAGCAUACUUUGUGCGCCAGACUUGAGCCUCAUUCACACCACUCUCACUAGUGAAAGGAAUUAUAACCUUGGAGCGAUUGUUGCACGUAGACUUCAGCACAAUGCUAACAGUGGUUGGUUCUAUGGUUGAAUUUAUGCCACGCGUUUAGCACGAGAGCUUGGUGUUUCGCCUUUGCCCUUUGAUCCUAUCCUACCCACGCGGUAUUUAGAUUUUGGCACUUUGAAAGAACACAAGAUCCUUAAGGGAAAAGUUGAUAAUUUCACUUACAAUCUAAUGUUUAACCAAAAAUCUAUUGUGGACACAUAUUUGCCUGCGCCUGCUCUUUUUGAUUAUAACAACAAGGGAAGAUAUUUUGUUCUUGAGAGCGAGGUCCGAGCUCAUAACGCAGCAGUGGUGGCGACAUGGUGUGCUGAGUUAUCCGCACCGAGAGCCUCCGUGAGCUACCACGCCGACUACUACCCUCUAGGCUACUGAUUGACUACCAAGUUAGGACAAAAGCCUAAGCUUGGGGGAGUACGUGUUUCCACCGACUCUACAUUUAUGUCCACUUAUUUCAUUUGUCGGUGUUCACACUUUUUCAUUGUAUCAUCCAUGCUUAGAUUCAUUUUCUUGCUUUCUUCUUGUGUGUUUGAAAAACUUUAGAAAAACCAAAAAAAAUUAGUUGUAGUUAAUUUACUUUCUAUGCAUGCUUAGUAGUAGUACUAAAAAGAAAACCCAAAAAGAUUUCCUUAUUCUUCUUUUGCUUGUUGGGAGCUUUCUCGUGUAAAUAGUUUUUCUCCUUUUUUGUUUUCCCUUUUAUUUGCUUGUUGAAGAAAACCAAAAACUCCAAAAAUAUUUCAGUGUGUUUCUCUAAAUUUCUUUUCUUUUUAUUCGAGUUGUAUCAAGGAGAAGACCACGAUGAAAAUGUUGAGUAGCUCUCAUAUGAAUAAUUGUUGAACUAAUAAAGAGCACAUUUUACCUUGUCUUCUCCUGUUGAAUAAAAUGUUUUGCAGAUUCCAGCUUAGUCCACGACACUCUUGCACUAUUACUAUUUUCAUAUCGGUCGGUCGUGCAAGUGAAAGGAAAUAAUGACGACAUUCGAUGAGCUGGCCGUGGCAAAGAGAAACUGGCUGAAAUCAACUUGUUAUGUUUGUGUAAAUAUGUUUAACCUAGUAUCCAGGCUUCAGCCCAUUAUGAUUAAACAUGUUUGCAAUGACAAUCGGAGAUUAUAGUUUCUCAUGCCAUGCAUAAGUAGCUAGGAGUGAAUAAUGAUUUAUCUUGGAUAUCAACAUAACGUUAAAAUGAUUGUGAUGUAGUAUGAUGAUAUGGUAUCCUCCUCUGAAUGUUCAAGUUGCUUGACUUGGUGCACGUUCAUGCAUGUAGUUGAAUCAAAACCAACAUAGCCUUUAUAAUAUUUAUGUUCAUGUUUUCAUAUCCUACUCAUGCUAGUGUCCAAUGUUACUUACGCAUAAUGCAUGGUUAUGAUCGUUGUUGCUCUCUAGCAGGCCACUUCUCAAUCUAAAUUGCUAGCCUUCGCCUGUACUAAGUGGGAAUUCUGCUUGUACAGCAAACACCUUUAACCCAAAGUUAUUCCAGAUGAGUCCACCAUACCUACCUAUAUGCGGUAUUACCCUGCUGUCCCAAGUAAAUUUACAUGUGCCACCUUAAAAAAAUUCUAAAGAAAUUAUCCUUUUUGUGUGUCUGGAUCGUUCAUGGAACGACAGGAGGUGGUCGAUAUCUUCCAUGCUAAGCGUGUUAUUCUCAGGUCUAGUGUUUAUUCACUCGCCAUCGCACGAGAAAAUGGGUUGUAAUAGGGAUUCCCAGUCCCGAACUAAAAAAAUGCAAAUAAUUAAACAAAACUGCCCCGGGACUGAUGUUGGUAGGGACGGCACCCGUUGUUUCGGACAAGUCAUGUAGUGUGAUUGAUGGUGGAGGGGGGGGGUAAACCUUUACUUUUAUCGCUUGGGAACCGCUACUAGUGUGCUUAGCAUGGAAGAUGUUGAUAACUGAUGGUCGUGAAGUAAAUGAGAAGGGUGCAUGUCUCAAAAUAUCAUUUAUCUCUGUUUUAAAAAUUGAGCUCUGGCACCUCUGCUAAUCACUGCUUCCCUCUGCGAAGGUACUAUCUCUUUAAUUUUAUGUUGUGUAACCACCCUCUAAAACAAGCGCCAGAAACUGAGUAGAGCACAACUGUCAUGAUUUAUGCAUUGUGUGUAGCUAAUGUUGGGUGCAUCAUAACUGGAUCUUUGUUGGGGAAUGUAGUAAUUUCAAAAAUUUCCUACGCACACACAAGAUCAUGGUGAUGCAUAGCAACGAGAGGGGAGAGUGUUAUCCAUGUACCCUCGUAGACCGAAAGCGGAAGCGUUAGCACAACGCGGUGAUGUAGUCGUACGUCUUCACGAUCCGACCGAUCCAAGUACUGAACGCACGGCACCUCCGAGUUCAGCACACGUUCAACUCGAUGACGUCCCGCGAACUCCAAUCCAGCAGAGCUUCACGGGAGAGUUCUGUCAGCAUGACGGUGUGAUGAUAGUGAUGAUGUUGCUACCGACGCAGGGCUUCGCCUAAGCAUGGCUACGAUAUGACCGAGGUGGAAUAUGGUGGAGUGGGGGCACCGCACACGGCUGGGAGAGAUCAACAGAUCAACUUGUGUGUCUAGAGGUGCCCCCUGCCCCGUAUAUAAAGGAGCAAGGGGGGAGGCCGGCCGGCCCUCUAUGGGCGCGCCAGGAGGAGGAGUCCUCCUCCUAGUAGGAGUAGGACUCCCCUUUCCUACACCUACUAGGAGGAGGAAAGGAAGGAGGAGAAGGAGAAGGAAGGAGAGGGAGGAAAAGGAGGAAAGGGGGACCGACCCCUAGUACAAUUCGGUUUGGGCUAGGGGGGCUGCACGCCCUGCCUCCUCUCUUCCACCACUUGGCCCAUGAGGCCCAUUACUUCUUCCUCGUAUUCCCGUAACUCCCUGGUACCCCUGAAAAUACCCGAAUCACUCGGGACCUUUCCGAUGUCCGAAUAUAGUCAUCCAAUAUAUCUAUCUUUACGUCUCGACCAUUUAGAGACUCCUCGUCAUGUACCCGAUCUCAUCCGGGACUCCGAACUACCUUCGGUACAUCAAAUCACAUAAACUCAUAAUACAAUCGUCACCAAACUUUAAGCGUGCGGACCCUACGGGUUCGAGAACUAUGUAGACAUGACCGAGACAUGUCUCCGGACAAUAACCAAUAGCGGAACCUGGAUGCUCAUAUUGGCUCCUACAUAUUCUACGAAGAUCUUUGUCGGUCAAACCGCAUAACAACAUACGUUGUUCCCUUUGUCAAUGGUAUGUUACUUGCCCGAGAUUCGAUCGUCGGUAUCUCAAUACCUAGUUCAAUCUCGUUACCGGCAAGUCUCUUUACUUGUUCCAUAAUACAUCAUCCCACAACUAAAUCAUUAGUUGCAAUGCUUGCAAGGCUUUAAGUGAUGUGCAUUACCGAGAGGGCACAGAGAUACCUCGCCGACAAUCGGAGUGACAAAUCCUAAUCUUGAAAUACGCCAACCCAACAAGUACCUUUGGAGACACUUGUAGAGCACCUUUAUAAUCACCCAGUUACGUUGUGACGUUUGGUAGCACACAAAGUGUUCCUCCGGUAAACGGGAGUUGCAUAAUCUCAUAGUCAUAGGAACAUGUAUAAGUCAUGAAGAAAGCAAUAGCAACAAACUAAACGAUCAAGUGCUAUGCUAACGGAAUGGGUCAAGUCAAUCACAUCAUUCUCUAAUGAUGUGACCCCGUUAAUCAAAUGACAACUCAUGUCUAUGGCUAGGAAACUUAACCAUCUUUGAUUCAACGAGCUAGUCAAGUAGAGGCAUACUAGUGACACUCUGUUUGUCUAUGUAUUCACACAUGUAUUAUGUUUCCGGUUAAUACAAUUCUAGCAUGAAUAAUAAGCAUUUAUCAUCAAAUAAGGAAAUAAAUAAUAACUUUAUUAUUGCCUCUAGGGCAUAUUUCCUUUAUUAUUUACCAUGAAUUACAAUGUUUAGUCGCUCCUUGAACUUUGGAGGUGCUCUGCGUUUAUGUUUUGCGGUCUCAGAAAGGGCUAGCGAGAUACCACUAUUGUCAUAUUAUAUCAUGGUUGUUUUGAAAAUGUGUUGUCGUUUGAGAUAUCUUAUUAUUGCUCGCUAGCUGAUUAUUGAAGGAAAUAUGCCCUAGAGGCAAUAAUAAAGUUGUUAUUAUAUUUCCUUAUAUCAUGAUAAAUGUUUAUUAUUCAUGCUAGAAUUGUAUUAACCAGAAACUUAAUACAUGUGUGAAUACAUAGACAAACAGAGUGUCACUAGUAUGCCUCUACUUGACUAGCUCAUUAAUCAAAGAUGGUUAAGUUUCCUAGCCAUGGACAAAGAGUUGUCAUUUGAUAAGCAGGAUCACAUCAUUAGAGAAUGAUGUGAUUGACUUGACCCAUCCGUUAGCUUAGCACGAUGAUCGUUACAGUUUCAUUGCUAACGCUUUCUUCAUGACUUAUACAUGUUCCUCAGACUAUGAGAUUAUGCAACUCCCGAAUACCAGAGGAACACCUUGUGUGCUAUCAAACGUCAUAACAUAACAGGGUGAUUAUAAAGAUGCUCUACAGGUGUCUCCGAUGGUGUUUGUUGAGUUGGCAUAGAUCAAGAUUAGGAUUUGUCACUCCGUGUAUCGGAGAGGUAUCUUUGGGCCCUCUCGGUAAUGCACAUCACUAUAAGCCUUGCAAGCAAUGUGACUAAUGAGUUAGUUGCGAUAUGAUGCAUUACAGAACGAGUAAAGAGACUUGCCGGUAAUGAGAUUGAACUAGGUAUUGAGAUACCGACGAUCGAAUCUCGGGCAAGUAACAUACCGAUGACAAAGGGAACAAUGUAUGUUGUUAUGCAGUUUGACCGAUAAAGAUCUUUGUAGAAUAUGUAGGAACCAAUAUGAGCAUCCAGGUUCCGCUAUUGGUUAUUGACCGGAGAUGAGUCUCGGUCAUGUCUACAUAGUUCUCGAACCCGUAGGGUCCACACGCUUAACAUUCUGUGAAGAUUGUUAUUAUGAGUUAUGUCAUUUGAUGACCUAAGUUUGUUCGGAGUCCUAGAUGAGACCAGGGACAUGACGAGGAGUCUCGAAAAUAUCGAGACUUAAAGAUCGAUAUAUUGGAAGACUAUAUUCGGACAUCGAAAAGGUUCCGAGUGAUUCGGGUAUUUUUCGGAGUACCAGAGAGUUACGGGAAUUCGUAUUGGGCCUUAAUGGGCCAUACGGGAAAGGAGAGGAAGGCCUCAAGGGUGGCCGCGCCCCUUCCCCAUGGACUAGUCCGAAUUGGACUAGGGAAAGGGGGCGCCCCCUUCCUUCCUUCUCCUUCUCUCUUCCCUUUUUCCUAUUCCAUGUGGGAGGUGGAAUCCUAGUAGGACUAGGGAGUCCUAGUAGGACUCCACACUUUGGGCGCGUCCUAUGAAGGUCGUCCUCCUCCUCCCUCCAUCCUUUAUAUACGUGGCCAGGGGGCACCCCAUAGGCACACAAGUUGAUCAUUGAUCCCUUAGCCGUGUGCGGUGCCCCUCUCCACCAUAAUCCACCUCGGUCAUAUCAUAGCGGUGCUUAGGCGAAGCCCUGUUCCGAUAGCAUCAUCAUCACCGUCAUCACGCCGUCGUGCUGAUGGAGCUCUCCCUCGACACUCAGCUGGAUCGAGAGUUCGUGGGACGUCACUGAGCUGAACGUGUGCAGAUCGCGGAGGUGCCGUACUUUCGGUACUAGGAUCGGUCGGAUCGUGAAGACGUAUGUACAACUACAUCAACCGCGUUGUCAUAAUGCUUCAGCUUACGGUCUACGAGGGUACAUGGACAACACUCUUCCCUUCUCGUUGCUAUGCAUCACCAUGAUAGAUCUUGCGUGUGCGUAGGAUUUUUCUUGAAAUUACUGCGUUCGCCAACAGUGGCAUCAAAGCCAGGUCUAUGCGUAGAUGUUAUAUGCACGAGUAGAACACAAAGGAGUUGUGAGCGUGGGUAUAUACAUAUUGCUUGCCGUCACUAGUUGAUUCUUGAUUCAGCGGUAUUGUUGGAUGAAGCGGCUCUGACCGACAUUAUGCGUACGCUUUCGCGAGACUGCUUCUACCGACGUGCUUCGCACACAGGUGGCUGGUGGGUGUCAGUUUCUCCAACUUUAGUUGAAUUAGAUUCAGUGAACAUGGUUCUUUCUGAAGAUCAAAAAGCAAUCACUAUACCGUGUUGUGGUUUUUGAUGCGCAGGUAAGAACGGUUCUUGCUCAGCCCGUAGUAGCCAUGUAAAACUUGCAACAACAAAGUAGAGGACGUCUGACUUGUUUUUGCAGGGUAUGUUGUGAUGUGAUAUGGUCAAGACAUGAUGAGAUAUAAAUUUUUUUAUGAUAUGAUCAUGUUUUGUUGAAGUUAUCGGCAACUGGCAGGAGCCUUAUGGUUGUCUCAUUAUUGCAUAACAUGCAAGUGCCAUGUAAUUGCUUUACUUUAUCGCUAUGCAAUAGCAAUAGUUGCAAAAGCAAUAGUUUGCGAGAUGACCAUGUGAUGACACAUUGAUAAAGAUCAAGAUGAUGGAGAUCCUAGUGUCAUGCCGGUGACGGUGGAGAUCAUGACGGUACUUUGGAGAUGGAGAUCAAAGGCACAAGAUGAUGAUGGCCAUAUCAUGUCACAUAUUUUGAUUGCAUGUGAUGUUUAUCUUUUAUGCAUCUUAUUUUGCUUAGUAUGUCAGUAGCAUUAUAAGAUGACCCCUCAAUAAAUUUCAAGGUAUAAGUGUUCUCCCUGAGUAUGCACCGUUGCGACAGUUCUUCGUGCUGAGACACCACUUGAUGAUCGGGUGUGAUAAGCUCUACGUUCACAUACAAUGGGUGCAAGCCAGUUUUGCACACACAGAAUACUCGGGUUAAACUUGAUGAGCCUAGCAUAUGCAGAUAUGGACUCGAAACACUGGAGAUCGAAAGGUCGAGCGUGAAUCAUAUAGAAGAUAUGAUCAACAUAGAGAUGUUCACCAUUGAAAACUACUCCAUCUCACGUGAUGAUCGGGCAUGGUUUAGUUGAUAUGGAUCACGUGAUCACUUAGAUGAUUAGAGGGAUGUCUAUCUAAGUGGGAGUUCUUAAGUAAUAUGAUUAAUUGAACUUUAAUUUAUCAUGAACUUAGUCCUGAUAGUAAUUGCAUAUCUAUGUUGUAGAUCAAUACCUUGCGAUGUAGUUUCCCGUUUAAUUUGUUAUGUUCCUAGAGAAAAAUAAGUUGAAAGAUGAUAGUAGCAAUGAUGUGGACUUGGUCCGUGAUCUAAGGAUUAUCCUCAUUGCUGCAUAGAAAUAUUAUGUCCUUGAUGCACCGCUAGGUGACAGACCUAUUGCAGGAGCAGAUGCAGACAUAAUGAACGUUUGACAAUGCUCAGUAUGAUGACUACUUGAUAGUUUAGUGCACCAUGCUUUAUGGCUUAGAACCGGGACUUCAAAAAUGUUUUGAACGACAUGGAGCAUAUGAGAUGUUCCAAGAGUUGAAAUUGGUAUUUCAUACUCAUGCCCGUGUCGAGAGGUAUGAGACCUCUGACAAUACUUUGCCUACAAGAUGGAGGAGAUUAGCUCAACCAGUGAGCAUGUGCCCAGAUUGGCCGGGUACUAUAAUUGCUUGAAUCAAGUGGGAGUUAAUCUUCCAGAUAAGAUAGUAAUUGACAAAGUUCUCUAGUCACUAUCACCAAGUUACUAGAAUGUCAUGAUGAACUAUAAUAUGCAAGGGAUAACAAAAACUAUUCCCGAGCUCUUCGCGAUGCUAAAAUCGGCGAAGGUAGAAAUCAAGAAAAGAAUCAAGUGUUGAUGGUUAACAAGACCACUAGUUUCAAGAAAAGGGCAAAGGGAUAGAAAGGGAACUUCAAGAAGAAUGACAAACAAGUUGUCACUCCCGUGAAGAAGCCCAAAGAUAGACCCAAGCCUGAAACUAAGUGCUUCUACUACAAAGGAAAUGGUCACUGGAUGUGGAACUACCUUAGAUACUUGGAGGAUAAGAAGGAUGGGAAAGUAAACAAAGUUAUAUUUGAUAUACAUGUUAUUGAUGUGUACUUUACUAGUGUUUAUAGCAACCCAUCAGUGUUUUAUACUGGUUCAGUUCCUAAGAGUAGUAACUCGAAACGAGAGUUUCAAAAUAAACAGAAACUAGUUAAGGGCGAGGUGAUGAUGAGAGUUGGAAGUGAUUCCAAGGUUGAUAAGAUCACCAUCACACACUCCCUUUACCUUCGGAUUAGUGUUGAACCUAAAAUAAAUGUUAUUUGGUGUUUGCGUUGAGCAUAAAUAUGAUUGGAUCAUGUUUAUGCAAUACGGUUAUUCAUUUAAGUCAAAGAAUAAUUGUUGUUCUAUUUACAUGAAUAAAACCUUCUAUGGUCAUACACUUGAUAUAAAUGGUUUAUUGAAUCUCGAUCAUAGUAAUACACCAUAAUAUUGAAGCCAAAAGAUGCAAAGUUAAUAAUGAUAGUGCAACUUAUAUGUGGCACUGCCGUUUAGGUCAUAUUGGUGUAAAGCGCAUGAAGAAACUCCAUGCUGAUGGACUUUUGGAAUCACUUGAUUAUGAAUCACUUGAUGCUUGCAAACCAUGCCUCAUGGGCAAGAUGACUACGACUCCGUUCUCCGGAACAAUGGAGCGAGCAACUGACUUAUUGGAAAUAAUAUAUACUAAUGUAUGCGAUCCGAUAAGUGUUGAGGCUCGCGGUGGGUAUCGUUAUUUUCUGACCUUCACAGAUGAUUUGAGCUGAUAUGGGUAUAUCUACUUAAUGAAACAUAAGUCUAAAACAUUUGAAAAGUUCAAAGAAUUUCAGAGUGAAGUGGAAAAUCAUCGUAACAAGAAAAUAAAGUUUCUACAAUCUGAUCGCGGAGGCGAAUAUUUGAGUUACGAGUUUGGUCUUCAUUUGUAACAAUGUGGAAUAGUUUUGCAACUCACGCCACCUGGAACACCACAGUAUAAUGAUGUGUCCGAAUGUUGUAAUCGUACAUUAUUGGAUAUGGUGCGAUCUAUGAUGCCUCUUACCGAUGUAGCACUAUCAUUUUGGGGUUAUGCAUUAGAGACAGCUUCAUUCACGUUAAAUAGGGCACCAUAUAAAUACGUUGAUAUGUGUAACAUCCCAAAUUUUCAAUUUGGAAUGUUAUACACUAGAUCAUCAUUGCAUAUCAUAUUUUAUUGCAUUUUGGCUGAUCCUAGAAAAUUCUACGCAAUUCAAGGACCCUCGGAGAGAGUUGGGGAUUUCAUUAUUUUCAUAUUUGAGUUUUCUCAAAUUUUGAAAAUAGGAUCAUUUGAUUUUAUUUAUUUUAUCUUCAAUUAUUUCUAUUACAAAAAUAUGAGAGAGGGAAUAAAAUGACUUUCCCAAAAUAGAGAAAUAUUGAGGAUGUAAUAAAAAAUCAAAUAAGAUUUUAUUUUGGUUUUAUUUGCUAUUUUAUUUGAAUUUAGGAAAAAUGCGCGUUUUUCAAAAUUGCAUUUAGGUCCCAAAUAAAUGUUCAUCCUGUGCGGCUUGAUUUUAGAAGCCGGGGAAAAUUUAUUCCGGGAUUUUUGGAGUCCGUUUAGUAUUCCUUUUGUUUUUUUUUCUGAGUGUAACUAUUAAAAAAACGCAACCGACCUAGCGGGCCGUGUCCGACCUGGACACUUGGCCCAGCCGGCUUUAUAAGCCGGGGAGGCCCAGCCGGACCCCCCCAAACCCUAGCCGCCUAGCCACCCCGCCGCCGCCGCCGGACCGCCGCGCCGCCCGCCGCCCCGCCACCCCGCCGCUCGCCAGAGGUAGACCUCGCCACCGCCGGUUUUUCUCAAAAGACCGAUCGGUUUUCCGUCGGUUUUGUUCGGUUUUUUUGUUUCGGUUUUAAUAGAUCGAUUUUUCCGGUUUAUUUAUUUAGCGAGCGUUCGCUCGUUCGUUCAAUUUAACAAACACGUUCAUCGUUUAGAUCCGGUUAACGAACGUUCGUUUGUUAGUCUAUUCGUUGUUUUCUUUUUCUCGGAUUAAAUCCGCGAUUUUCUGAUCGCGAUUCCUGAUCCGUUUUUCGUUCUAGUAUAACUUUUCGCUCGUUUAUCAGAAUCAGGCGAUUCAAGCGCCUGGAGUUUUGUCUCGAAACCAUCUUUCCAUUUAACCAACUCAAACAAGUUUUUGCCACUAUAAAAAUUUCCCUAGAUCCAGAAUAGUAAACGAAGCUUGUUUCUUUUGCCGUUUGUCUUUUGUUGCUUCGUUCGAUUUGAUUCAUUUUGCCAACCGGAGUUCUGAAGUUGAAGUUUCUGGUUAGAUCUCUUAUUUGAGUUUUACCUGUGCAUUAGUUGAGUACUUAUUGUAUGCUUGUUUGUUUUCGAUAGAGUACCGGAGUGCGCCGCUUGCUACUUCGAAUCGCUAGGUUUCACGGAUCAUCCGCAAGGCAAGUAACACUUUGAUCAUACUUCCAAUUACCUAGUUUUAUUGCAUUAGAUCAAUCCUCACACAUUGCAUGAUUAGGAUCUAAUUAAAUUGUGGGUUUGGGAAGUAGUUGAGGUAGUGCCUAUUACCUGUUUAUUAUCAAACCUUUGGGAGUUACUUCUACGUUUGCUUAUUAUGCCAUGCUAUGCUAGUAGACGUGGAUUGGGUGAAUGAAAUCCAUGACAUAUGUGAGAGUGUUAAAUUAAAGGUUUAUCUAAGGUGGCAACUUAAAUACACAUCUGGGUGGAUUGAGGCACCUGGGUAUUCCAGCGAUUGCCUGUUUUCUUUUGGACCGCCACCCAGGCUCAAAGGGAUCAUGAGAUUAUUCAUGCUAGAAACUUCCGUGUGCAGCCACAAGCAAUUAUGGGCUCUAGCAUAGUUGAUUAAGUCGUGCGAACUCUUAUAGUGGUAGACUAGCAGAUGUAGGGGAAAGUAGGUGUAACGGUCUACCCGAUCGUAAGGUGCUAGCGCUUCUGAAAGACUAUGUCUCGGUCAUUCAUUUCUCAAACACCAUGUAGUGCGAGAAAUCAAACGGAGGCGAUCGAGUCUUGUGGGGAAAAGUGUGCAAACCUCUGCAGAGUGUAUAAACUAAUCGUGAUUAGCCGUGUCCCCGGUUACGGACAUCUUGAGUAUCUAGUACCUGGAUUAUCAUGUGAAUCUCAUCAUGUUACUCUAAAAUUAAUUUUGUUAGGUUUUGUUUAAUGAUGAUGCUUAAUUGGGAUUGAGAAUGCUGUCAACCAUUCUCAAUGUUUAACAACCACCAUGAUAGUUAAAUAAAAUUUAUUCCUUUGCAGUAUGGAAAAAUUGGUUUUACGCAAAACUGUAACCAUAGAGCUUUCCGCCAGCCAAAUAUGCAUGUAGUAUAGCUUAUUCUUUCAUUACCCUCUAUGUGUUACAUUGCCAGCAUAUUCCAUGUGCUGACCCAUUUCGGGCUGCAACGUUAAUGUUGCCGACUUUUUAGGCGAUGAUUAAGGUGCCUUUAGGUCGUGUUUCUAUACUCAGUGAUGUUGUUGGAGUUGAUGGACUCACUUAUCUUCCAAGCCUUCCAUUGUUAUCGUUAUUAGAUGGCCUUAAGCCAUAUUUAUUGUAAUAAGUUAUCUUUUGAGACACUCGAUGUAAUAAGUGUGCAAUUGCUACUCUGUUAUAAAUCCUUCAAGUACUGUGUGGUGUCAGCAUUACUGAUCCAGGGAUGACACCUGAGCAUAGAGAUUGGACCGUUUGAGGUCUGGUCGCUACAAUAUGACACUGUAUGAACUAUGAUUUGGCAAGAAACCAAAGCUGUCAUUUCUUAAAGUUUGAGGUUGUGAUGCUUAUGUGAAAAAGUUUCAAACUGAUAAGCUCGAACCCAAAUCAGAGUAGUGCAUCUUCAUAGGAUACCCAAAAAAACUAUUGGGUACACCUUCUACCACAGAUCCGAAGGCAAGAUAUUUUGUUGCUAAGAAUGGAUCCUUUCUAGAGAAGGAGUUUCUCUCGAAAGAAGUGAGUGGGAGGAAAGUAGAACUUGAUGAGGUAAUUGUACCUUCUCCAGAAUUGGAAAGUUGUUCAUCAUAGAAAUCAGUUUCAGUGAUUCCUACACCAAUUAGUGAGGAAGCUAAUGAUGAUGAUCAUGAAACUUCAGAUCAAGUUACUACAAAACCUCGUAGGUUAACCAGAGUACGGUCUGCACCAGAGUGGUACGGUAAUCCUGUUCUGGAAGUCGUGUUACUACACCAUGACGAAUCUACGAACUAUGAGGAAGCGAUGAUGAGCCCAUAUUCCGCAAAAUGGCUUGAGGCCAUGAAAUCUGAGAUGGGAUCCAUGUAUGAGAACAAAGUAUGGACUUUGAUUGACUUGCCCGAUGAUCGGUGAGUCAUUGAGAAUAAAUGGAUCUUCAAGAGGAAGACUGACACUGAUAGUAGUGUUACUAUCUACAAAGCUUGAAUUGUCGCAAAAAGUUUUUGACAAGUUCACGGUGUUGACUACGUUGAGAUUUUCUCACUCGUAUCGAUGCUUAAAAGUCUGUUAGAAUCAUGUUAGCAGUUGCCGCAUUUUAUGAAAUCUGGCAAAUGGAUGUCAAAACUGCAUUCCUUAAUGGAUUUCUUAAAGAAGAGUUGUAUAUGAUGCAACCAGAAGGUUUUGUCAAUCCUAAAGGUGCUAACAAAGUGAGCAAGCUCCAGCGAUCCAUCUAUGGACAGGUGCAAGCAUCUCGGAGUUGGAAUAUAUGCUUUGAUAAAGUGAUCAAAGCAUAUGGUUUUAUACAUACUUGCGGUGAAGCCUGUAUUUACAAGAAAGUGAGUGGGAGCACUACAACAUUUCUGAUAAGUAUAUGUGAAUGACAUAUUAUUGAUCGGAAAUGAUGUAGAAUUUUCUGGAAAGCAUAAAGGAGUGUUUGAAAGGAGUUUUUCAAAGAAAUACCUCGGUGAAGCAACUUACAUAUUGAGCAUCAAGAUCUAUAGAGAUAGAUCAAGACGCUUGAUAUAUUUUCAAUGAGUACAUACCUUGACAAGAUUUUUAAGUAGUUCAAAAUAGAAUAGUCAAAGGAGUUUUUGCCUGUGUUGCAAGGUGUGAAGUUGAGUACGGUAGAAAAUGGAAAGAGAAUGAAAAGUCAUUCCCUAUGCCUCAGUCAUAGGUUCUAUAAAAUAUGCUAUGCUGUGUACCAGACCUAUUGUGUACCUCACCAUAAGUUUUGCAAGAGGGUACAAUAGUGAUCCAGGAGUGGAUCACUAGACAACGGUCAACAAUAUCCUUAGUGGAAUAAGGAAAUGUUUCUCGGUUAUGGAGGUGACAAAGAGUUCGUCGUAAAGAGUUACGUCGAUGCAUGCUUUGACACCGAUCUGGAUGACUCUAAGUCUCGAUCUAGAUACAUAUUGAAAGUGGGAGAAAUUAUCUAGAGUAGCUCCGUGCAAAGCAUUGUAGACAUAGAAAAUUUGCAAAAUACAUAUGGCUCUGAACGUGGUAGACCCGUUGACUAAAUUUUUCUCACAAGCAAAACAUGAUCACUCUUUGGGUGUUAAUCACAUAGUGAUGUGAACUAGAUUAUCGACUCUAGUAAACCCUUUGGGUGUUAGUCACAUGGAGAUGUGAACUAAUCACAUAAAGAUGUGAACUAUUGGUGUUAAAUCACAUGACGAUGUGAACUAGAUUAUUGACUCUAGUGCAAGUGGGAGACUGGAGGAAAUAUUCCCUAGAGGCAAUAAUAAAGUUGUUAUUAUAUUUCCCUAUAUCAUAAUAAAUGUUUAUUAUUCAUGCUAGAACUGUAUUAACCAGAAACUUAGUACAUGUGUGAAUACAUAGACAAACAUAGUGUCACUAGUAUGCCUCUACUUGACUAGCUCGUUAAUCAAAGAUGGUUAAGUUUCCUAGCCAUGGACAAAGAGUUGUCAUUUUAUAAGCGGGAUCACAUCAUUAGAGAAUGAUGUGAUUGACUUGACCCAUCCGUUAGCUUAGCACGAUGAUCGUUACAGUUUCAUUGCUACUGCUUUCUUCAUGACUUAUACAUGUUCCUCAGACUAUGAGAUUAUGCAACUCCCGAAUACCGGAGGAACACCUUGUGUGCUAUCAAACAUCACAAGGUAAUUGGGUGAUUAUAAAGAUGCUCUACAGGUGUCUCCGAUGGUGUUUGUUGAGUUGGCAUAGAUUAAGAUUAGGAUUUUUCACUCCGUGUAUCGGAGAGGUAUCUCUGGGCCCUAUCGGUAAUGCACAUCACUAUAAGACUUGCAAGCAAUGUGACUAAUGAGUUAGUUGCGGGAUGAUGCAUUACAGAAUGAGUAAAGAGACUUGCCGAUAAUGAGAUUGAACUAGGUAUUGAGAUACCGAUGAUCGAAUCUCGGGCAAGUAACAUACCGAUGACAAAGGGAACAACGUAUGUUGUUAUGCGGUUUUACCAAUAAAGAUCUUCAUAGAAUAUGUAAGAACCAAUAUGAGCAUCCAGGUACCGCUAUUGGUUAUUGACCGGAGAUGAGUCUCGGUCAUGUCUACAUAGUUCUCGAACCCGUAGGGUCCACACACUUAACGUUCUGUGACAAUUUGUAUUAUGAGUUAUGUGAUUUGAUGACUGAAGUUUGUCGGAGUCUCGGAUGAGAUCGAGGACAUGACGAGGAGUCUCGAAAUGGUCGAUAUGUAAAGAUCGAUAUAUUGGAAGGCUACAUGCGGACAUCGGAAAGGUUCUGAGUGAUUCGGGUAUUUUUCGGAGUACCAGAGAGUUACGGGAAUUCGUAUUGGGCCUUAAUGGGCCAUACGGGAAAGGAGAGAAAGGCCUCAAGGGUGGCCGCGCCCCUUCCCCAUGGACUGGUCCGAAUUGGACUAGGGAAAGGGGGCGCCCCGUUCCUUCCUUCUCCUUCUCCCUUCCCUCUUUCCUAUUCCAUGUGGGAGGUGGAAUCCUACUAGGACUAGGGAGUCCUAGUAGGACUCCACACUUUAGGCGGGCCCUAUGAAGGCCGGCCUCCUCCUCCCUCCAUCCUUUAUAUACAUGGCCAGGGGGCACCCCAUAGACACACAAGUUGAUCAUUGAUCCCUUAGCCGUGUGCGGUGCCCGCUCCACCAUAAUCCACCUCGGUCAUAUCGUAGCGCUGCUUAGGCGAAGCCCUGUUCCGGUAGCAUCAUCAUCACCGUCAUCACGCGAUCAUGCUGACGAAGCUCUCCCUCGACACUCAGCUGGAUCGAGAGUUCGUGGGACGUCACCGAGCUGAACGUGAGCAUAUUGCGGAGGUUCCAUACUUUCGGUACUAGGAUCAGUCGCAUCGUGAAGACGUACGACUACAUCAACCGCGUUGUAAUAACGCUUCUGCUUAUGGUCUACGAGGGUACGUGGACAACACUCUUCCCUUCUCAUUGAUAUGCAUCACCAUGAUAGAUCUUGCGUGUGCGUAGGAUUUUUUUUUUGAAAUUACUGCGUUCCCCAACAAUUAUGUCAUUGAUAUGAGUCAUUAUAAUCUUUAGGAGUUAUUGUUGACAUGGUUAGUUGUAAUGCUGGCUGAAACCCUGGCCGCUAAGCUUAUUUAUGCAAACAAAAGAAAAGACUUUCAGUUUAUCAACUGAAUUGCUUGAGGACAAGCAAAGGUUUAAGCUUCGGGGAGUUGAUACGUCUCCAACAUAUCUACUUUUUCUCACGCUUUUCCUCUUGUUUUCGACUCUAAUUUGCUUGAUUUGAAUGAAACUAACCCCGGAGUGACGCUGUUUUCAGCAUAACUACCAUGGUGUUGUUUUUGUGCAGAAAUAGAAGUUCUCGGAAUGGAACGAAACUUUGCGAGGAUUUUUUAUAUCAAUAAUACGAAUUUCUAGAGCCAAGACCUGCCGGAGAGGGGCACCUAGGUGGGCACAACCCACCAGAGCACGCCCCCCUCUCCUGGCACGCCCAGGUGGGUUGUACCCACCUGGUGGCCCCGUAGACCUCAACCAUGACACUAUAAAUUCCUAUUUUUGGAGAAAAAAUCAAGGAGAAAGAAUUAUCACGAUCCACGAGAUGGAGCCGCGCCAAGCCCUGUUCUUCCUCGGGAGGGCUGAUCUGGAGUCCGUUUGGGGCUCCGGAGAGGGGAAUCUUUGUUCUUCGUCAUCACCAACCAUUCUCCAUCGCCAAUUCCAUGAUGCUCCCCACCGGGAGUGAGUAAUUCCUUCAUAGACUCGCUGGUCGGUGAGGAGUUGGAUGAGAUUCAUCAUGUAAUCGAGUUAGUUUUGUUAGGGCCUGAUCCCUAGUAUCCACUAUGUUCUUAGAUUGAUGUUGAUAUGACUUUGGCAUGCUUAAUGCUUGUCACUUUGGGCCCGGGUGCCAUGAUUUCAGAUCUGAACCGUUUAUGUUAUCACCAUUAUAUCCAUGUUCUAGAUCUGAUCUUGCAAGUUAUAGUCACCAACUAUGUGUUAUGAUCUGACAACCCCGGAGUGACAACAACCAGGCCCACUCUCAGUGACGACCGUAGUUUGAGGAGUUCAUGUAUUCACUUGGUGUUAAUGCUUUGUUCCGGUUCUCUAUUAAAAGGAGGCCUUAAUAUCCCUUAGUAUCCAAUAUGGAUCCCGCUGCCACGGGAGGGUAGGACAAAAGAUGUCAUGCAAGUUCUUUUAAUAAAGCAUGCAUGACUAUUUACGGAAUACAUGCAUACAUUAUAUCGAUGAACUGGAGCUAGUGUCGUAUCGCCCUAGGUUAUAACUGUCACAUGGUGAAUAUCAUCCAACAAGUCACUGAUCCAAUGCCUACAAACUUUUCCAUAUUGUUUCUGCUAAGUUAGUAUCAUCACUUUUACACUUGCUACAAAAUUACUGCUAUCACUGUUACUAUUACUAUUGCUGCUGUCACUACUAGCAAAACUAUCAAACUACUUUGCUACUGAUCACUUUGCUGCAGAUAAUUAAUCUCCAGGUGUGGUUGAAUUGACAACUUAGCUUCUAAUACCUUCAAAUAUUCUUUGGCUCCCCUUGUGUCGAAUAUAUAAAUUUGCAUUGAAUACUCUACCCUCGAAAAUUGUUGCGAUCCCCUAUACCUAUGGGUUAUGAGGUCUCAUCGUAGUCAACUCCUUGAACUUGUCGAAAACCUUUCGCAACAAGUCGAGCUUUGUAGACAGUAACAUUACCAUCAGCGUUAGUCUUCUUCUUGAAGAUCCAUUUAUUCUCUAUGGCUUGCCGAUCAUCAGGCAAGUCAACCAAAGUCCAUAUUUGUUCUCAUACAUGGAUCCCAUCUCAGAUUUCAUGGCAUCGAUCCAUUUUGUGGAAUCUGGGCUCAUCAUCGCUUACUCAUAGUUUGUAGGUUUGUCAUGGUCUAGUAACAUGACUUCCAGAACAGGAUUACCGUACCACUCUAGUGCGGAACGUACUCUAGUUGACCUACGAGGUUCGGUAGUAACUUGAUCUGAAGUUUCAUGAUCAUCAUCAUUAACUUCCUCACUAAUAGGUGUUGGCAUCAUUGGAAAUGAUUUCUGCAAUGAACUACUUUCCAAUUCGAGAGAAGGUACAACUACCUCAUCAAUUGCUACUUUCCUCCCACUCACUUCUUUUGAGAGAAACUCCUUCUCUAGAAAGGAUCCAUUCUUAGCGACAAAUAUCUUGCCAUCGGAUCUGUGAUAGAAGGUGUACCCAAUAGUUUCUUUUGGGUAUCCUAUGAAGACGCACUUCUCCGAUUUGGUUCGAGCUUAUCAGGCUAAAGCAUUUUCACAUAAGCGUCGCAACCCCAAACUUUAAGAAAUGACAGCCUAGGUUUCUUGCUAAACCACAGUUCAUACGGUGUCAUCUCUACGGAUUUGGAUGGUGCCCUAUUUAACGUGAAUGCAGCUGUCUCUAAUGCAUAACCCCAAAAUGAUAGUGGUAACUUCGUAAGAGACAUCAUAGAUCGCACCAUAUCUAAUAAAGUACGGUUACAACAUUCGGACACACCAUUACGCUGUGGUGUUCCAGGUGGCGUGAUUUGCAAAACUAUUCCACAUUAUUUCAAAUGAAGACCAAACUCAUAACUCAAAUAUUCGCCUCCGUGAUCAGAUCAUAGAAACUUUAUUUUCUUGUUACGAUGAUUUUCCACUUCACUCUGAAAUUCUUUGAACUUUUCAAAUGGUUCAUACUUAUGUUUCAUUAAGUCGAUAUACCCAUAUCUACUCAAAUCAUCUGUGAAGGUUAGAAAAUAAUGAUACCGCCGCGAGCCUCAACACUCAUCGGACUACAUACAUCAGUAUGUAUUAUUUCCAAUAAGUCAGUGGCUCGCUCCAUUGUUUCGGAGAAUGGAGCUUUAGUCAUCUUGCCCAUGAGGCAUGGUUCACAAGCAUUCAUAAUCAAGUGAUUCCAAAAGCCCAUCUGCAUUGAGUUUCUUCAUGCGCUUUGCACCAAUAUGAACUAAACGGCAGUGCCACAAAUAAGUUGCACUAUCAUUAUUAACUUUGCAUCUUUUGUCAUCAAUAUUAUGAAUAUGUGUAUCACUAUGGUCCAGAUUCAACAAAAAUAGAUGACUCAUCAAGGGUGCAUGACCAUAAAAGAUAUUACUCAUAUAAAUAGAACAACUUCACUAAUUUAAAUGAAUAAUCGUCUCGCAUCAAACAAGAUCCAUAUAUAAUGUAAAUGCUCAACGCUGGCACCGAAUGAAAAUUAUUCAGGUCUAAAACUAAUCCCGAUGGUAGAUGUAAAGUUAGCGUGCCGACGGUGAUCACAUCGACCUUGGAACCAUUUCCGACGUGCAUCGUCACCUCAUCCUUAGCCAAUCUUCGUUUAAUACGUAGCCCCUAUUUCGAGUUGCAAAUAUGAGGAACAGAACCAGUAUCAAAUACCCAAGCGCUACUACGAGCAUUAGUAAGGUACACAUCAAUAACAUGUAUAUCAAAUAUACCUUUCACUUUGCCAUCCUUAUUAUCCGCCAAAUACUUAGGGCAGUCCCGCUUCCAGUGACCAGUCCCUUUGCAGUAGAAGCACUUAGUUUCAGGCUUAGGUCCAAACUUGGCUUCUUCCCGGGAGCAGCAACUUGGUUGCUAUUCUUCUUGAAGUUCCCCUUCUUCCCUUUUCCCUUUUUCUUAAAACUAGUGAUCUUGUUAACCAUCAACACUUGAUGCUCCUUCUUGAUUUCUACCUCCGCAGCCUUGAGCAUUGCAAAGAGCUCGAGAAUUGUGUUGUUCAUCCCUUGCAUAUUAUAGUUCAUCACGAAGCCUUUAUAGCUUGGUGGCAGUGAUUGAAGAACUCUGUCAAUGACACUAUCUUCAGGAAGAUUAACUCCCAGCUGAGUCAAGUGGUUAUGGUACCCAGACAUUCUGAGUAUGUGUUCACUGACAGAACUAUUCUCCUCCAUUUUGCAGCUAUAUAACUGAUGUCUACCACACAACCUUCUUCUUGUAGAUGUUGUCGAGCCUACAAGUGCAGAGGUUUGUAGGACAAUAGCAAAUUUCCCUCAAGUGGAUUACCUAAGGUUUAUCAAUCCAUGGGAGGCGUAGGAUGAAGAUGGUAUCUCUCAAACAACCCCGCAACCAAAUAACAAAGAGUCUCUUGUGUCCCCAACACACCCAAUACAAUGGUGAAUUGUAUAGGUGCACUAGUUCGGCGAAGAGAUGGUGACACAAGUGCAAUAUGGAUCGUAGAUAUAGGUUUUUGCAAUUUGAAAGUAUAAAAACAUCAAGGUAACUAAUGACAAAAGUGAGCGAAAACGGUAUUGCAAUGCGUUGAAAAAAGGCCUAGGGUUCAUACUUUCACUAGUGCAAGUUCUCUCAACAAUAAUAACAUAAUUAGAUCAUAUAACAAACAGCCUAGAGUUCGUAGUAAAAUAACACCUUAAGACACAAAUCAACCAAAACCCUAAUGUCACCUAGAUACUCUAAUGUCACCUCAAGUAUCUGCGGGUAUGAUUAUAUGAUAUGCAUCACGCAAUCUCAGAUUCAUCUAUUCAACCAACAUAAAGAACUUCAAAGAGUUCCCUAAAGUUUCCACUUGAGAGUCAAGAUGAAAACGUGUGCCAACCCCUGUGCAUAAGUUCACAAGGUCACUGAACCCACAAGUUGAUCACCAAAACAUACAUCAAGUAGAUCACGUGAAUAUCCCAUUGUCACCAUAGAUAAGCACAUGCAAGACAUACAUCAAGUGUUCUCAAAUCCUUAAAGACUCAAUCCGAUAAGAUAACUUCAAAAGGAAAACUCAAUCCAUUACAAGAGAUAGAGGGGGACAAACAUCAUAAGAUCCAACUAUAAUAGCAAAGCUUGUGGUACAUCAAGAUCAUGCCACAUCAAGAACACGAGAGAGAGAGAGAGAGAGAGAGAUCAAACACAUAGCUACUGGUACAUACCCUCAGCCCCGAGGGUGAACUACUCCCUCCUCGUCAUGGAGAGCGCCGAGAUGAUGAAGAUGGCCACCGGUGAUGGAUCCCCCCUCCGGCAGGGUGCCGGAAUAGGGUCCCGAUUGGUUUUUGGUGGCCAUAGAGGCUUGCAGCGGUUGAACGCCCGAUCUAGGUUUCUUUUCGGGGGUUUCUGUAUUUAUAGGAAUUUUUGGCGUCGGUCUCACGUCAGGGGGGGUCUCCGAGUCGUCCACGAGAUAGGGGGAUGCGCCCAGGGGGGUAGGGCGCGCCCUCCACCCUCGUGGAUGGCUCGGGACUCUUCUGGCCCAACUCUUUUACUCCUGGGGCUUCUUUUGGUCCAUAAAAACAUCAAAAAUUGGCAUGUCAAUUGGACUCCGUUUGGCAUUCCUUUUCUAUAAAACUCAAAAACAAGGAAAAAAUAGAAACUGGCACUGGGCUCUAGGUUAAUAGGUUAGUCCCAAAAAUCAUAUAAAAUAACAUAUAAAUGCAUAUAAAACAUCCUAGAUGGAUAAUAUAAUAGCAUGGACCAAUAAAAAAUUAUAGAUAUGUUGGAGACGUAUCAAGCAUCCCCAAGCUUAAUUCCUGCUCGUCCUCGAGUAGGUAAAUGAUAAAAACAAAUUUUUUGAUGUGGAAUGCAACCAAACAUAUUUAUCAAUGUAAUCUUAUCUAUUGUGGCAAGAAUAUUCAGAUCCAUAAGAUUCAAGACAAAAGUUUAAUAUUGACAUAAAAAAUAAUAAUACUUCAAGCAUACUAACAAAGUAAUCAUGUCUUCUCAAAAUAACAUGACCAAAGAAAGUCCAUCCGUACAAAAUCAUAUAGUUUGGCUAUGCUCCAUCUUCGUCACACAAAAUAUUCAGAUCAUGCACAACCCCGAUAACAAGCCAAGCAAUUGUUUCAUACUUUAGUAUUCUCAAACUUUUUCAACUUUCAUGCAAUACAUGAGCAUGAGCCAUGGACAUAGCACUAUAGGUGGAAUAGAAUGGUGGUUGUGGAGAAGACAAAAAGGAGGAAGAUGGUCUCACAUCAACUAGGCGUAUUAAUGGGCUAUGGAGAUGCCCAUCAAUAGAUAUCAAUGUGAGUGAGUAGGGAUUUCCAUGCAACGGAUGCACUAGAGCUAUAAAUGUAUGAAAGCUCAACAAGAAAACUAAGUGGGUGUGCAUCCAACUUGCUUGCUCAUGAAGACCUAGGGCAUUUGAGGAAGCCCAUUGUUGGAAUAUACAAGCCAAGUUCUAUAAUGAAAAAUUCCCACUAGUAUAUGAAAGUGCCAACAUAGGAGACUCUCUAUGAUGAAGAUCAUGGUGCUACUUUGAAGUACAAGUGUGGUAAAAGGAUAGUAGCAUUGGCCCUUCUCUCAUUUUUUGUUUUGUUUUUUUGGGCCUUCUCUUUUUUCCCAUUCUCUUUUUUUAUUUCCUCACAUGGGACAAUUGCUCUAAUAAUGAAGAUCAUCACACUUCUAUUUACUUACAACUCAAGAAUUACAACUCGAUACUUAGAACAAAAUAUGACUCUAUAUGAAUGCCUCCGGCGGUGUACCGGGAUGUGCAAUGACUCAAGAGUGACAUGUAUGAAAGAAUUAUGAUCGGUGGCUUUGCCACAAAUACAAUGUCAACUACAUGAUCAUGCAAAGCAAUAUGACAAUGAUGAAGCGUGUCAUAAUAAACGAAAUGCUGGAAAGUUGCAUGGCAAUAUAUCUCGGAAUGGCUAUGGAAAUGCCAUAAUAGGUAGGUAUGGUGGUUGUUUGGUGGGUUUAUGGUACCGGUAAAAGUUGCAUGGUACUAGAGAGGCUAGCAAUGGUGGAAGGGUGAGAGUGCGUAUAAUCCAUGGACUCAACAUUAGUCAUAAAGGACUCACAUACUUAUUGCAAAAAUCUAUUAGUUAUCGAAGCGAAGUACUACGCGCAUGCUCCUAGGGGGAUAGAUUGGUAGAAAAGACCAUCGCUCGUCCCAGACCGCCACUCAUAAGGAAGACAAUCAAAAAAAAUCUCAUGCUCCAACUUUGUUACAUAACGGUUCACCAUACGUGCAUGCUACGGCACUCACAAACCUUAACACAAGUAUUUCUCAAAUUCACAACUACUCACUAGCAUGACUCUAAUAUCACCAUCUUCAUAUCUCAAAACAAUCAUAAGGAAUCAGACUUCUCAUAGUAUUCAAUGCACUUUAUAUGAAAGUUUUUAUUAUAUCCCUCUUGGAUGCCUAUCAUAUUAGGACUAAAUUCAUAACCUAAGAAAAUUACCAUGUUGUUUAAUAAUCACAAAAUAAUAUAAGUGAAGCAUGAGAUUUCAUCAAUUUCUUCAAAAUAAAACCACCGUCGUGCUCUAAAAAGAUAUAAGUGAAGCACUAGAGCAAACGACAGACUACUCCAAAAGAUAUAAGCGAAGAUCCAGGAGUAGUCAAAUAAUUAUGUAACUAUGUGAAGACUCCUUCUCAUAAAUAAAAUUUCAGAUCUUAAGUACUUUAUUCAAACAUCAAGCAAAACAAAAUAAAAUGAUAUUGCAAGGAUAGCACAUAUCAUGUGAAGAAGCAAAAACUUAGGCUCAACCGAGGCUAACCAAUAAUUGUUGAUGAAGAAAGGUGGGAUGCCUACCGGGGCAUCCCCAAGCUUAGAUGCUUGAGACUUCUUGAAAUAUUAAUUAGGGAUGCCUUGGGAAUCCCCAAUCUUGAGCUUUUGUGUCUCCUUAAUUCCUCUCAUAUCAUAGUUUCCUGGAAUCUUAAAAACUUCAUGCACACAAAACUCAACAAGAACUCGUGAGAUAAGUUAGUAUAAAUCAACGCAAAACCUUAUCAUUCUCUACUGUAGAAAAUCAAUAAAAUUAUAAUUUGACAUUGCAUACUAAAUGCCUCUGCAUAUUUAAUAGUUCUAUCCUCAAAUAGAAUCAUUAAACAAGCAAACAUAUGCAAACAAUGCAAACAUAACAUCAAUCUGUCUAAACAGGAUAGUCUGUAAAGAAUGCAAGCGGAAUCAUACUUCUUUAACUCCAAAUAUUCUGAAAAAUUACCACACUGUAUAUAAUUUAUUUUUACUCAUUGUGUAAAAAGUUUAAGAUUUUAUCAUGUUCUGACUAUUUACAAAUAUUCAAAACAUAACAGCAAACUUUCUGUUUUUAAAACAGCAACAUAUAGACUUGCAAAAUAAGCAUGGUAAAGGCUAUACUUGACCUUUUUACUGAACUAAAAGAUGCAAAACAUUACUCUAAAUGACAGCAAGCAAAUCCUAAUAAAAUAAAAUGACGCUCCAAGAAAAACACAUAUCAUGUGGUGAAUAAAAAUAUAGCUCCAAGUAAGGUUACCGAUGAAACGAAGACGGGAUGCCUUCUAGGGCAUCCCCAAGCUUAGGCUCUUGGUUGUCCUUGAAUAUUACCUUGGGUUGCCUUGGGAAUCCCCCAUCUUAGGAUCUUGCCACUCCUUAUUCCGUAGUCCAUCGAAUCUUUACCCAAAACUUGAAAACUUGACAACACAAAACUUAACAGAAAACUCGUAAGCUCCGUUAGUAUACGAAAGCAAAUCACCACUUAGGUACUGUCAAGACAAUAUUCAUAAUUUUCUCACAUGAUACCUACUGUGCCCUAUCAUUUCUACAAUUUAUAUUAAUCAAUAUAAGCCACAGGAACUAGAAAACAAGCAAACUAUGCAUCAAAAAUAAGAAUCUGUCAAAAACAGGACAGUCUGUAGUAAUCUGUAACUCCAGAAUACUUCUGUAACUCCAAAAAUCCUGAGAAAUUAGGAAGUCCUAGGAAUUUUUUUAAUAAUCCUCUACAAAAAGAAUCAAUAUUUUAUCAUGCUUCUGUUAAAAAUUAAAACUAAUCUCCUGGGCACAAAAGUUUCUGUUUUUCAGCAAGAUCAAAUCGACUAUCACCGUAGAUCAUCCCAAAGGUCUUACUUGUCACUUUAUUAAACAAAAGCUAUAAAACAUGAUUACUACAGUAGCUCAAUCAUGUGAACACACAAAAACAGUAGGGGUAAAUGUUGGGUAGCAUCCCUACAAGCGCUUUUCUUUAAUGCCUUUUUAGCUAGGCAUGAUGAUUUCAAUGAUGCACACAUAAAAGCUAAGAAUUGAAACAAAAUGGGAUCACCAUGAAGAAUAUGACUAGCAUAUUUAAGUAUAACCCACUUCCUAUGCAUCAAGAUUUUGUGAGCAAACAAUUUAUGGUAACAAGAAUCAACUUGCAUAGGAAGGUAAAGCAAGCAAAACUUCAAGAUUUUCAACACACAGAGAGGAAACUUGAUAUUAUUGCAAUAUGUAAAAGCAUAUGUUAAUCUCUCGUAAUAAUUUUCAGUGGCAUAAUGACUGAAUUCAACAAUAUAACCAUCACACACAACAUUCUUUUCAUGAUCCACAAGCAUAGAAAAUUUACUACUCUCCACGUACGCAAAAUUCUUCUCAUUCAUAAUAGUGGGAGCAAACUCAACAAAAUAACUAUCAUGUGAGGCAUCUCAUUAGCAUAAUGGAUAUUCAAAGAAUUCAUACUAACAACAUUGCAAUCAUGCUCAUCAUUCAAAGAUUUAGUGCCAAACAUUUAAAUGCAUUCUUCUUCUAACACUUUGGCACAAUUAUCGGAAUCCUUAUUUUCAUGAAAGAUAUUAAAAAGAUGAAGCAUAUGAGGCAACCUCAAUUCCAUUUUUUUGUAGUUUUCUUUUAUAGACUAAAGUAGUGAUAAAACAAGAAACAAAAAGAUUCGAUUGCAAGAUCUAAAGAUACACCUUCAAGCACUAACCCCCCGGCAACGGCGCCAGAAAAGAGCUUGAUGUCUACUACACAACCUUCUUCUUGUAAAAGUUGUUGGGCCUCCAAGUGCAGAGGUUUGUAGGACAAUAGCAAAUUUCCCUCAAGUGGAUGACCUAAGGUUUAUCUAUCUGUGGGAGGCAUAGUAUGAAGAUGGUCUCUCUCAAACAACCCUGCAACCAAAUAACAAAGAGUCUGUCGUGUCCCCAACAUACCCAAUACAAUGGUAAAUUGUAUAGGUGCACUAGUUCGGCGAAGAGAUGGUGAUACAAGUGCAAUAUGGAUGGUAGAUAUAGCUUUUUGUAAUCUGAAAAUAUAAAAACAGCAAGGUAACUAAUGAUAAAAGUGAGCGAAAACGGUAUUGCAAUGCGUUGAAACAAGGCUUAGGGUUCAUGCUUUCACUAGUGCAAGUUCUCUCAACAAUAAUAACAUAAUUAGAUCAUAUAACUAUCCCUCAACAUGCAACAAAGAGUCACUCCAAAGUCACUAGCAGAGAACAAACGAAGAGAUUAUUGUAGGGUACGAAACCACCUCAAAGUUAUUAUUUUCGAUCAAUCCAUUGGGCUAUUCCUAUAAGUGUCACAAACAUCCAUACAGUUCACAGUAAAAUAACACCUUCAGACACAAAUCAACCAAAACCCUAACGUCACCUAGAUACUCCAAUGUCACCUCAAGUAUCCGCGGGUAUGAUUAUACGAUAUGCAUCACACAAUCUCAGAUUCAUCUAUUCAACCAACACAAAGAACUUCAAAGAGUGCCCCAAAGUUUCUACCGGAGAGUCAAGACGAAAACGUGUACCAACCCCCAUGCAUAAGUUCACAAGGUCACUGAACCCGCAAGUUGAUCACCAAAACAUACAUCAACUAGAUCACAUGAAUAUCCCAUUGUCACCACAGAUAAGCACAUGCAAUAUAUACAUCAAGUGUUCUCAAAUCCUUAAAGACUCAAUCCAAUAAGGUAACUUCAAAGGGAAAACUCAAUCCAUUACAAGAGAUAGAGGGGGACAAACAUCAUAAGAUCCAACUAUAAUAGCAAAGCUCACGGUACAUCAAGAUCGUGCCACAUCAUGAACACAAGAGAGAGAGAGAGAUCAAACACAUAGCUAUUGGUGCAUACCCUCAGCCCCAAGGCUGAACUACUCCCUCCUCAUCAUGGAGAGCACCGGGAUGAUGAAGAUGGCCACCGGUGAUGGUGAGGGAGACCUGGACUAAGGGGUCCUCGGGCGUCGGGCCUGUUACCCAUGGGCCGAACUGAUAGGCUAUGAAGACAUGAAGGCUGAAGACUGUACCUAUGUCCGGAUUGGACUCUCCUGGGCGUGGAAGGCAAGCUUGGCGAGCGACUAUGAAGAUUCGUUCUUAUGUAACCGACUCUAUGUAACCCUAGAUCCCCCCCGGUGUUUAUAUGAACCAGAGGGGUUAGUUCGGAAAGAUACACUCAUUACCAUAGUCAUACAAGCUAGGCUUCUAGGGUUUAGCCAUUAUGAUCCCGUGGUAGAUCAACUCUUGUAAUACUCAUAUUCAUCAAGAUCAAACAAACAGGAAGUAGGGUAUUACCUCUAUAGAGAGGGUCCAAACCUGCGUAAACAUCGUGUCCCUCAUCUCCUGUUAUCAUCGAUCCUAGACGCACCAGUUCGGGACCCCCUACGCAAGAUUCGCCGGUUUUGGCACCGACAUUGGUGCUUUCAUUGAGAGUUCCGCCGUGCCAUCGACAAAACGUUCGAUGGCCCCUUCAAUUCUCUAUAGUAAUGCUAUCCAAGGUGGAACUUUCCUCCCCAGACAGAUUUUCAUGUUCGGCAGCUUCGUACUGCGGGCCAACUCGCUUGGCUGUCUGGAGCAGGUCGAUAGCUAUGCCCCUGGCCAUCAGGUCAGAUUUGGAGGCUUGAACUAUGUCACGGAUAUCCGUGGAGACUUGAUCUUCAAUGGAUAUGACACCGCGAUGAUCGCCCCCCUCGCUCCGAUGAACGUGACCUAAAUCUGUCAUCGGACCAGGUUCUGGAGAUGGUUCCUAUAACUGCUACGACCUUAGAUCCGGAGCAGUUUGCACCAUUUGAAGCCACAGAGUCUGCGGCGUUGGAGCCGCACACAAACUCAACACCAGGCAAUAUCAGCGUCAACGGAAUUUCGGACUCAUUUCCGACUAUAAGUUCCGAACCUUGCGUGCUCCCGGACACUGAGCUGGAUCGGUUAUCAAUCAGCGAAUUCAGCACCGCAGAUGUCUUCCAACGCUUGCCCUUUGGCGAUGUGCUUAAUUCAUUGAAAAACCUGUCCCCGAUGGGGGACUCAUGGCCGAACUAUGUCCGGUUCGAGCUAGAGGCUGACAAUGGAGAAUUUUGCUUCCCACCCGCCACCAACUUCAUAGCCACUGUCGAGGACUCAACCGACAUGCCCGCUUCUGGCUCCGAAGACAUUGACGACAUAGACGACGAUGCCGAUAAGGAGCAAGGCCAAGACCCGCCAGUCAUCAGGCGUGUGAUGGCCACCCCUUCAUAUGACGUGUACAUGAUCGAUACACUUAAAAUGCCCCGUGACAAGGACAAGGGAGAUCCAGUUAAAACUCCUGAGACACAGCCUAAGUUCGGGCACCCCAAACACCACCCCAAGUCACGUCGCAACAACGAUGGCGCUGGAGAAAAUAGUACUCCGGAUGACGCCGAAAGCAAUGAAGACCCUGUGGGAGCAAUAUCCGAGCAGGAGGAACAGGAAAACGGGCAAGCCAGCCCCGAUGAACAGGCCCCGCCCAGCGACGGUUCGGAGGAAGAAAACUACCUUCCGCUCUCCGAAGAUGAGGUAAGCCUCGGCGACGAAGACUUCAUUGUACCCGAAGAGCCCCUCGUGCAGGAGUGCUUCAAGCGCAGGCUGAUAGCUAUGGCAAGGAGCCUGAAAAAGAAGUAGCAGCAGCUUCAAGCUAACCAAGACCUACUCAAUGACAGAUGGACCGAAGUCCUGGUCACUGAAUAAUACAACCUUAGUGGCCUAGCCAAAAGCUACCCAAAGCACAGAUCGCUAUACUAGUCCGAUAACGGGGCGUUGGAGCCCAUACCAUCGUCACACAAUGCGGCCGGUCACCGACAACUCUGUCCGGAUAAAGAGGCAACUCAAGCCGAAGACCAGACCGCUCCACCUCGCCGUAAAAGCAAGAACAAGCAGGUCACGAUUACCCAGACAACCUGCAGAGGGACUAGGACAAUAGAGUAGGAAACGCAAGACCGAUCUACGGAUCGCGAAAGCAUGCUUGGACACGCGACGAUGGCUACCUAUUCGGACGUGUCAAACCUCGCCAUGCCCGAUCCGAAAACCGCAAAGGGACUCCUUCGGGGUUACGUCGUAGUGUGGCCCAACAUAGAGGCACCGCACACCCACUUUGCUUCACUGAUGAAGUAAUGGAUCAUGAAUUCCCCGAAGGAUUCAAACCCGUCAAUAUUGAAUCAUACGACGGGACUACCGAUCCCGCGGUAUGGGUAGAAGAUUACAUCCUCCACAUCCACAUGGCCCAUGGGGACGACCUCCACGCCAUUAAAUGCCUCCCACUAAAACUAAAAGGGCCAGCUCGGUACUGGUUAAACAACCUUCCCAAAAACUCCAUAGGCAGCUGGGAGAACUUGGAAGAGGCCUUCCUUGAUAACUUCAGAGGAACACAUGUCCGGCCAUCGGAUGUCGAUGACCUAAGUCACAUUGUCCAACAGCCCGGAGAAUCAGCCAGGCAGCUCUGGACUCGGUUCUUAGUUAAAAAGAACCAAAUCGUCGACUGUACGGACGCGGAAGCCCUUGCGGCUUUCAGACAUAGUGUCCGAGAUGAAUGGCUUGCAUGCCACCUCGGCCAAGAAGGACCUAAAUCCAUGACAGCCCUCACUUCUUUGAUGACCCGCUUUCGCGCGGGAGAAGACAGCUGUCUCACUCGUAGAAGCAUUAGCGCCAGCAACCAGGGCACCUCCGAAAUCCGAGACGGCAAUGGCAAGCCACGAGGAAGCAAAAACAACAGUCGCAAUGACAAUGAAAGAUCAGACGACACAACGGUCAACGCCGGAUUCAGCAACCCCAAGCCCGGUCAGCGGAAGAAGCCAUUCAAGGCAAAUCGAGACGAACCAUCCAACCUGGACAGGAUAUUGGACCGACCCUACCAGAUUCAUGGCCACCCCGAUAAACUAGCUAAUCAUACCAAUAGAAACUGUUGGGUCUUUAAACAUGCCGGCAAGCUCAACGCCGAACACAGGGGGAGGAGGCCGCCAAGCGAUAGGGAUGACGGAAAGGUUCACCAACAAAACACCGGGGGUCAGAAGCAGUCUCCACCCGAGGAUCAACUACUCCUACAACGGAAAUAGCAACCCGGCUUCCACCGCCCACUCCUUACAUCUACAAAGUUUGUACCACGCAUACAUCAUUACGCACUCAAGAUACCAUGGGCAUUGGUGGAAGCACAAUAUGGACAAGCCUGCAAGCACUCCAGUAACUUUUAUUAUUAUUAUUAUUUAUUUUAUUUUUAUUUAUUCCUUCGCUAUCUUUUAAAAACAGGUAACAAACAGGAUAAACAUCUGAAACUGGCUCUAUCGGAGUCUGAAUCUGUACACUCACCUAAGGGGCUAUUUCCAUCAAGGAUUCCCCCCACCGAGGACUGGCGGCGCAGACGUGCGACAGGAGGUCCAAAAUAACUUUUUGUAGACCGCACUCUCUAUUUCUCGAGCAUGUACUAUGCCUGUUCCUCCGCCUCCAACCCCAAGCAUGUCAAAUAGCCAGGAGGAUGGCUUUUAUAUAUAUCAUAAGUAAUCAUCGGCAUAUCGCUCAGUUCCCAUUAAACAAUAUCCGAACUAAUCACCCGCAUUGUUUCCCCAACAAAUAUGGCUCUUACGAUUAUUUCACAGAAAUACCUUGGCAUAACAUGCCAGGGGCUUGGUGUGGGAACAAAUGACUUGCGAGUAAAAGUCCGAACAACUCUAUAGCAUACUUCGGCGUCGCAAGUUUGGCCUUAUAUGCAUCAGCUCCGAAUCAUUGUCUUGGGUCAAUAGUUGGGUUGCUCGGCUCCUGUGCUUGCUACCCUAUGUUCCGCUCUAUCGGCUAGGGUAGUAAAGGGAGAACUACUGCGAUUGUUCCCUGGUCUAAACCGGACGAGCACCUCAAUAGAGAAAGCCGAAAACUGACUGUCAUGAUGCGGCGUGAGCUGGUCAUUCACUUGACGACUUCUUGGAAUCUCUAGCGAUUCUCCGUGUCACACGAGGGAUCUUUUUUAGAUCAAAUAUGUAAGGCACCAUACGCCGCAUACAUACCAGGGGCUAUGUCGUAGACCCACAAUAAAACUCCUAUUGCUAAGUGAAAGCGUUAACGCCCUAUAGUCCGAUUGCCUGGUUCGCCGCAUUUAUCACCUCCUUCAUGGACCAAGAUGUUGGAUAAAGAGUGAUGAAAUGCAUUUCCGAACACCCUCGUACUUCCUAUGAGGGGGCUGAAGCCGACGACUGAAAAACUUUCAGAUUAUAUCAAAAUGGCCCCACAGGAGGAAUUCAAGCUUUCAAGCAAAACAUAAAUAGAUUAACUAUAAAAUUGUCUUUUACAAUUUUCAUACACCUCACUCGAACAUUAUGUCUUUCGAGCACUGACCCUCUAUAAAGCGGGCGGCCUCUAGGACAUCUUCAAAAUAAUGCUCCGGUUUCAGGCGGUCCUUGCCUUUGGGUGGACUCUUCGUCGUAACAUCGAUGGCCUUCAUCUUCCCCCAGAAUGUUUUGACUCGGGCAAAAGCCAUUCGCGCACCCUCAAUGCACGAUGAUCGCUUCACAGCAUCGAUACGCGGCACCGCAUCAACAAGCCUCUGCACCAAACCGAAAUAGUUAUUCGGAACAGGCUCGGUUGGCCACAACCGGAUUAUGACAUCCUUCAUGGCAGCGCCAGAUAUCCUAUGAAGUUCAGCCCAUUGCGACAUUUGUUCAUUGAGCAACAGAGGGCGCUUUGAUGCGCCAAACCACGACCAAAAAAGCUUCCCUGUUGCAUAUCCAUCUCGCGCUUGGUAAUACUAUGCUGCAUCGGUAGAACUCUUUGGCAAGUCCAAGAACUCGUCCGGAGAACUCCAUACUUGGUUAAGCUGGGCAUAGUUCGGGUCACCGAACUUAGUUUGCAGCAGAAAGGGCUUUCCAGCCACAAUCUCCCUUGCCCGUCGAACCUCCUCAUGGGCUGCUCUGGAUUCCUACCGCGCUACUCUAGCCUCUUGUAAGGCCUUGUCCAGAUCAGCCAUUAAGGCUUUACUCUCCUUGUCUAGAAAUUCACAGCGGCCAGUAGCAUUCUCCAGUUCGAGCAUCAUAGUGGAUAUCUUCUCCUCAUCUUGGCACCAUGCAGCUUGUUCGGCUUUUAAUUCAGCCGAUGCCUUUUCGGGAGCAGCAUUACUACGACAGGCUAGCUCCUUGGCCCGGGCCAGCUCCGCUCGAAGAACUUCAACGGGGGCAGCACCAUCUACAGCCAUGCAUAUUCCAGCAUCUAAAUCUUAACAUCAUGAUUAUACCACAAAAAUGUAUGAGGAUUGCCCCGAAUACAUACCUUGCGACUCGUCAAGACACAAAUUGAUUAAAGCAUGAUCAUCCCCUGCCACAUCAAGCUUCCGCUGCAAAUCGGCAAUUUCCAUAGUCCGGGAAGCGGCCAAGGGGAAGCAGCCUAUGUUCAAAAUUGAUCAGGUUAGUCCUCAAACGUUCUUUUUCGAUCCUCCAUUUUUCUUCCCAGCGGAAGCCAACCUGAGUAUCAGGGGCUACUACCUAUACACAAGCGUGUCUUUGCAAACAAAACAUAGCUGAAAACAUUAUGUCUCAAACCUCGAAGCCCUUCAGUAGGCUCAUGAACGCCUCAUUUAAUCCGCUCUUCACGGACGAAAUCUAUUCAAACACUGUACCCAUCAAGGUACGUUGUUCCCCCGAGACAGAUGCUUUCCGCAACAUGUCCCACAACAUAUCCGGAGUCCCCGGGUCUCCGGAAGCUGCUCCAAAAGCACAAUCGUCCUUUGAAGGAAUCUGCUCACCCGUCUUCAAAAUCGCUGUCGGUUGUGAACCAGACAGUCCGGGGCCUUUGUUAUCAUCAGCCCCGGAAACCCGGAUGGUUGGAGGUCCACCUUUGGGUAUUGCCUCUUCUGUCCCCUAGUCUAAAGGGACCCUCCACGAUGACACUUUAGAGUCAUCCUCCUUAUUGGGUGAGGAGGUUGGAGGAGGCGUCUCGCUCUCCAUCAUCUCUGGGAGGAGACUCCCCGAAGAAGAGGAUUGCCCGGAAAAAUUCUGUGCCGACCUGUAAAAAUUCAUAAAUGUGUUACGUGUAUCUUCAGUAACAAUAAUGGAGCAGGACGCUAUCAAAGUACUCCGGAUUCUCUCACGGUUUGGCCGAGGGCUUGUCCCCCUGUUGGAGCUGCUCAACGGCGUCACUUUCCAAACCCAAGCCGAUCGACGGUGGCAUCUUGCCCUUCUUGGAAGACCGCCCCUCCCAAUCUUCGGAGGCGGUCCUUUUCCUCCUAUUUGGAGAAGGGAUACCGGGUCCUUUUCCGCCUCCGGGCGAGGAAAGGUCGAUUUCUUCGGACUCAGUGUCCGACUUACCUCCGGAACCAAGGUCAUCUUGGGUCUUUUCUCCCUCCCCUGUUGGUGCCUGGUAUGGCACCGAGGCCAGCAUCCUUAUUAACACAGGAUUAGCUGAGUCUUCGGGAAGGGGAGCCAGACACCUAAUCCGUUCCACCUUCUUUAUCGAGCCCUGAAAAAGGAUGAUAUUGUUGGUAUCUUGCCACUGGGUAUCUGACUAUAAGGUAUUCGGUAAACGGGUACUUACCGGGGUAUCCUGAUGGUUACAGUCUAGGCCGACAUCUUCGGUGGUGUCCGGCCAUUGCCUUCAUUUCCCGAAGAAUAAUCUCCACAUUCCUUUGUGCGUUGUGCCGAAGAAGUGCUGAAGAGUCUACGGCCCUUCUGGAUUGAACUCCCAUAGGCGGAGAGGCCGUCGUUGGCACGGCAGGGUCCGACGAACUAGCAUUACUCGAACGACGAUGGCUAUGUCGAUGUCCCUCUCAAUAAGGCUUCGGAUGCGACUUUGCAGAGUUCGCACAUCAUUCGUUGAUCCCCAAUCCAGCCCCUUGUUAAUCCAUGAUGCAAGCUGAAUUGGGGGUUUGGGUCGAAAUGCGGGCGUAGUUGCCCACUUGGAGCCGCAGGGCUCGAUGAUAUAGAACCACCCCUGCUGCCACAGAUCGGAAGAUUUGGCGAAGGAUCCUUUCAGCCAAACGGUGCUAGCAAGCUUGCUCACUGUAGCACUGCCGCACUCGGCCUGCUCCCCCUCUACCACUUGUGGCUUCACAUCGAAAGUCUUGAGCCACAAGCCGAAGUGCGGAGGAGUUCGGAGGAGGGCUUCACACAUGACGAUAAGUGCCGAGAUAAGAAGAAUAGAGUCCGGGGCCAAAUCCUGAAUGUCUAGCCCAUAAUAGAACAUGAGCCCUCGGACGAAGGGGUUAAGUGCAAACCCUAACCCACGGAGGAGGUGGGACAUGAACACGACCCUCACUCUGGAUCUAGGGGUGGGAAUAACCUGCCCCUCGGCAGGAAGCCGAUGAUGGAUUUCAGCGGUCAGGUACCUCACCGCCUGAAGCUUUGCAAUGUCUUCCUCCACAACAGAAGAAGCUACCCACCGGCCUUGACGGAUGGAUCCGGACAUGAUUGGGGCUGGUGGCGACCGAAACCCCAGUGUUGGAACUCGGGGUAGCAGGGGUUGAGGAAGAGGCAAGCAUGGAAGACAAAUAUGGGUCUGCACCCCUAUAUAAAGGCUGCAAAUAUCAAACGUCUCCUCUUGGGACUAAAAAACUUGCUUGUCUUCAAGGAGUUGUACCCAAGCGACGGCUGGGUUACCCACGUCCGGGUUGACAGGAAUCCCUUAAAAAGGGAGGCACGAUCUCCGCUUGGAUAAGACGUGCCAAUAAGACUACGUCUUGGGACGUGGGGUGACGGGCUGGCUAAAACGGUUCGCAAGUAGUGGCCGGGUAGGCGUGGUGUCAUAUUACCCAAAAAGUGGUCGGUGGGUUGGACCCCUGAAAUAUUAUGUCUCUGCGGUUGUGCAUACAAGUCCAAAAUCAUUACGUCUGAAGAUCAACUAGGAGUUCAGAAGGGGGAACCCGCCUUGCAAUGCCGAAGACAAUCUGCGCGUCGGACUCCUCGUCAUUGAAGCCAAGUUCAGGGGCUACUGAGGGAGUCCUGGACUAAGGGGUCCUUGGGCGUCCGGCCUGUUACCCAUGGGCCGGACUGAUAGGCUGUGAAGACAUGAAGGCUGGAGACUGUACCUAUGUCCGGAUUGGACUCUCCUGGGCGUGGAAGGCAAGCUUGGCGACCGACUAUGAAGAUUCCUUCUUAUGUAACCGACUCUAUGUAACCCUAGAUCCCCCCCGGUGUCUAUAUAAACCGGUGGGGUUAGUUCGGAAAGAUACACUCAUUACCAUAGUCAUACAGGCUAGGCUUCUAGGGUUUAGCCAUUACGAUCUCGUGGUAGAUCAACUCUUGUAAUACUCAUAUUCAUCAAGAUCAAUCAAGCAGGAAGUAGGGUAUUACCUCUAUAGAGAGGGCCCGAACCCAGGUAAACAUCGUGUCCCUCGUCUCCUAUUACCAUCGAUCCUAGAUGCACAGUUCGGGACCCCCUACCCGAGAUCCGCCGAUUUUGACACCGACAGAUGGAUCGUCCCUCCGGCAGGGUGCUGGAACAGGGCCCUGAUUGGUUUUUGGUGGCUACAGAGGCUUGCGGCGGCGGAAAUCCUGAUCUAGGUUUCUUUUCGGGGGUUUCUGUAUUUAUAGGAAUUUUUGGCACCGGUCUCAUGUCAGGGGGUGUCUCUGAGUCGUCCACGAGUUAGGGGGACGCGCCCAGGGGGUAGGUGUCGGUGUCAAAACCGGCGGAUCUCGGUUAGGGGGUCCUGAACUGUGUGUCUAAGGUCGAUGGUAACAGGAGACAAGGGACUCGGUGUUUACCCAGGUUCAGGCCCUCUCUAUGGAGGUAAUACCCUAUUUCCUGCUUGAUUGAUAUUGAUGAAUAUGAGUAUUACAAGAUUUGAUCUACCACGAGAUCGUAAUGGCUAAACCCUAGAGGUCUAGCUUGUAUAGCUAUGAUAAUGAGUCUCCUAUCCGGACUAAGUCCUCCAGUUUAUAUAGACACUGGGAGGAUCUAGGGUUACACAAGGUUGGUUACAAAGAAGGGAAUCUACAUAUCCAGCCGCCAAGCUUGCCUUCCACGCCAAGGAGAGUCCCAUCCGGACAUGGAUGCAGUCUUCGGUCUUCGUAUCUUCACAGACCAUCAGUCCGACCCAUGGCUAACAGGCCGGACGCCCCGAGGACCCCUUAGUCCAGGUCUCCCUAAGUAGCCUCCGAACCAGGCUUCAAUGAUGAGGUGUUCGGCGCGCAGACUGUCUUAGGCAUUGCAAGGCGGGUUCCUCCUCCAACGUCUACCAAGUAAUGUGUUCGGCUUUCAAUUCGAUGUCGCACCCCUCGGCUUCGGUGCAUUUAUGACCUGAUCCUCCACGUGUCAGGAGAAUGUGUAUGGACAGGGUAUUUUUUUCAAAUAACACCCUAGCCCUGCAAAAAAGAAUGUCUAUUUAAAGGGAUUGGAUCUCACAUCCUUUCGGCAUCACGCGGAGAAAAUCCUCAGAUAUUGCCAGGAGAAACCAUUCCAACAUGGCCAACAUUCCUAGCUCCACUUCCCGUUCCAACCUAGAUAGGGGCGAGUGGAAGAGGUGCUCCAUACCCCACAACCAAUUGGUGAAGCUGCAAACGCACGGAUUUCUCCCUCCUGCAGAUCUGGUCCCUGUUCGAGUAGGACUGGCCUCCUUCAAUGGCAAAACCCAGGCGGAGGAUUUCCCCAAUCCGUCUGCGGGAGAACGAGUGUGCUUCGUCCCCUAUCUGUUGAGGAGUGUGGAAUUUCCAAUUCACCCAUUCCUCCAAGGGCUUCUAGAGUACUACGGCCUCCAGCUGCAUAAUUUUACCCCAGCCUCCGUCCUGCACAUCGCGGGUUAUGUCGCUUUAUGCGAACUAUUCCUGGGUUGCGAGGCCCCAUUUCGAUUUGUGAAGAAGACUGUUUUGCCUCGUCCCUCACAAUCAAGGUGCGUCAAUUUUUGAAGUGGGAGGAGCCGAAGUGUGGCGCAUCGCCAGGACCGGAUACCUGUCCGGCACGCCGAAGAAAGCUCCCGAAGAGUGGCCCUCCGAAUGCUUCUACAUCGACGGCGUCGCUCUACCCGACCCCGUCCGCAUGGGCCUCCCCGAGUUUUCAAAUGCUCCACUGAAUAAAUGCCAUAGCUGGCGUCCUCGGAGCCUCGAGGAAGAGGAUAGUGCAGAGAUCAGCCUGCUGCUGGGCAAGAUUAAGAUGCUUGCCCAGUCCGGAUUGUCAAUAGCUGAGGUGAUGGCGAUUUCGAUAACGCGGGGGGAUCCAGCCACUUCAAUAUAGAGGGCUGCCCAUGUGGCAUUAUAAUGGAGAAGACGAUGCCUCACGCUAUGGCCAAAAGGGCCCGAAGACUCCUGCCGCCCUAGCCAAAAUACUGGUCGAGCUGUAUAAAGGGGAGAAGGAGGAGUUCACCCGUCUCCAAAUUCAAGACGAGUUUUCCAUUUAUAAUCCUCCCAGCUGGGUAAAGUUCAGAUCCACUAUUUUAUUCUUGUACCUGAAUCAUUCUUGACAAGCAGCAUCUUAUCUUGCUCAUAACAGGAAUGGCGAACGGCUGUCGAGGGGAUCCAUGACCCUGCCCCUCAGCCGGAGAAUCGCAACCGGGAUCUUGACCCCGAAUAUGAGGAAGACCCGGACAUAUUUGUGGAGCUUGAGGAUGGAAUAUUAUAUCAGAUGAGCUAUGACGGUACAUAUGUACCCAUCAUCGUUGAUUACCCUGGCCUCCUUCCUGCUUCACGUGUAAGUAAUCUGUAGACACCUUAUCCAAAAGAGUUGUCCCAUUCUUCCUUACCCACCGCACUGUCCUAUGCUUAGAAGGGGAAGUGUUCGGCGCGCCAUGCUGCCCCGAGAGCAUCUCCGAAGAGAGCGUCCCCCAUACCAGGCAAGCCUUCUAAGAGGAAGGCAAACGAAGAUACAGCCGAGCCUUCAUCAAAGAGGUAUGAAUUUGCAAGUAUGCACCUUUGCAGUCACAUCCAACUGUGACCUUUCCAUUUACCCUGUAUCGGGAAAAAGGUGUGUCGGACUACACCCGGGGGUCUGGCCGGUCAUACUUCCCGCAGCCAGGAUUCAAAUCCUGCUGUGAAGAACGGGGAUGAUGCGGGGGUGACGCUGGACUGUCCUCCGGCCAAGGACUCGGAUGAUGUAUCCGUCACCAACUCGGAAGUGGAGAGCACCAUGAAUCAUCGGCGCCGUAGGGCCAUUUUACGAGACCAUGGUUUUUCGGAAGAGUCAUUUAACGCCUUCAGCUCAGCCGAUGCGUAUAUCCGAGCUGCUCGAGAUGGGCUUAAUAGAGCCACAAAACAACAUAUAAAAGAUGUGCAGGUAAGUUUGUUUUGUUUGACUAUGAUAACCAUAUGCCAGUAGCCCCCGAGACUUAAAGUAGUUGAAACAACUGAUUUAAGGAUCAAUGUACAACCAGGUGCUUACGGAGAAGAACACCAUGUUAACUCAGGAACUAGAAAAGUGUCGGCGCCAGCUGUCUGCUGCCAAUGCCGAACUGGAGAAAUCCAAGACGGCAUCCCCCGGUAAUGUUUCCCUCCAUCGAGAAAUCAUAAUUGUACACUAACAAUGCUAAUCUGGUUACUUAUCGUUGUAUUGGAUUGUUAGACCAACUGCCGGAGCAGCUGGACGCCGCUUGAGGCGAAGAACACGGAGCCAAAAAACUGCUAGCAGCGGGCGAUCAUGUGUUAACAAAAGUCGUUCAGGAGAAAAAGAAGCUCCAGGAUUCAAACACCAAACUGGGCGAAGAACUGAAAGACAUGCGAGCUCAGCUAGCUGACUCCGUGAAGGAGAACAAAAAAUUGUGAGGCGGUAUAUUCAGUAUGUGGCCGCAUUUAUCUUAUAACAGUUUGGAAGUAACCGUAGUUGAUAUAGCUGUGAUUGCAGGUGUAUUGAUGGGCCACCCUGAAGAGGAGGUGUCCGGAUCAUCAAGUGAUCUUCUGCAAGAGUUGUCGCAGUUGCAUGAGCAAGCUCGGCAGGCAAUGCGGAGUGUAGCCAAGGCCCUAUGGCCAUCUGACUCCCCUCCAGGGAGUAUGGAGAAGCUUGUAGAGAUGUUCAAGGGAGCGUGGCGGCGUAUCCGACUGUGGAAGAUAUCGACCUGCCGAGAGGGUGCGCGAGAAGCCUGGGCCAUGAUAAAAACGUGGUAUACCAAGCUGGAUCCGAAUCACAUGGCCUGGGUUGGACCGCUAGGGUCAAAUGGGGAAGAAAUUCCUGUUAGUUUAGUAUAUGGCCAAGUUGAGGUGGCUGCUAGAUACUCACAACAGGAUUGUAAGUUAGACCGCCUGUUGGACGGUAUAGAGGAGGAAGUUUUUGAGUCCUAAGUGACUAUGUACUUUCCUUCUAGAUGGAUAAUAAAAACAAUUGUCAUGGCCGACCUUUUCGCUUCGACCUCUGGACCUGAAGGCGGAGUGUUUCUGAAUACCCUAACGGUAGAAUAUACUGGGGCAUGCAUGGGAACCAGGCGUAGGGGUCAUAGUUGCUUGAACAGACAAUGUGUAUCCGGCUAGUUAUGUUAUUUUACAUUAUGUAAGAAACAUCUUCUAGAGAGAAUAGUUCCGGUAAGGGUUCCUUUCCCUGGGUGUGCAUGCGUUUAAUGUGCAUGUCCGAACUAUGAUUGAAAAAAUCACAGAGUAUGUAACUUCUGGGGUUUCAUAAUGGAAUGAAUGCGGGGACAUCUUUAAUUUGCCGACUGAAUAUUCCCUUAAGAAUGCUAGCUUUCGGCAUCACCCAGUCUGAGGUACACGUCCGGAUGACCCAGCAGUAACAAUCGCAGAGGUGCUCCCUUUAUGCCCUAGCCGAACUGAAGGGAACGUAAGGCAUAAGCACAGGAGCCAGGCAACCCAGCUUGGCCAAAACUUAAGUCAUAUCGAUACAUAUAAUGGCGAAGAAAAGGUACAUAUGGAAAAACACAUAUGUGGUGAGCUUGAUGCUCAAAGGAUAAUAGCAAGCUUCUGUACGAGAAGCCCCCAGGUAUAAUGAACGUACAUAUGCACAGAUAUACGCAUCAGGUAAGGAUGGUCUAGCCAUACUAAAACCGUAAGGCUAAAGAGCAAAACCAAAAAAAGAUAAAAAAAUGAGAAGAGAGAAAAAAUAACGUUAAUAACAUGAGGGAGGAGACGAACACAGAGUUCAGCGCUAGGCAUAAAAUCAUCGUAGUCUGGCCGCAUUCCAGGGGUUCGGCUCCAGGUGAUUGUCUGACGCAUCACGCAGGCGGUAUGCUCCUCCGGUGAGAAAUUCGUCAGUGAUGAAGGGACCCUCCCACUUGGGCUUCAGUUUGUCCUUUUUCUUCUCCGGCAGGCAUAGAACGAGUUCACCAACGUUAUAACUCUUGGCCUGCACUUCUCUACUUUGAUACCUGCGAGCCUGCUGUUGAUAAAACGCGGAACAGGCUUUUGCGACGUCGCGCUCCUCCUCCAAGGCAUCUAGGCUGUCCUGCCGAUCAAGCUCGGCUUCUCUCUAUUCGUACAUGCGCACUCGAGGUGAGUCAUGAAUAAUAUCAAAGGGUAACACUGCUUCUGCACCGUACACCAUGAAGAAAGGUGUAUAUCCAGCAGUGCGGUUGGGCGUGCUCCGCAGCCCCCAGAGUACGGAGUCAAGUUCCUCCACCUAGUGCUAGUCUAAUUCUUUCAAAGACCGCACUAGUCUAGGUUUGAUGCCGCUCAUAAUAAGACCAUUAUCCCGUUCGACUUGACCAUUUGUCUCUGGAUAAUAGACCGAGGCGUAAUUGAGUUUAAUACCUAGAUUAGCACACCGAGUUUUCACUUCAUCGGCUGUGAAAUUAGAGCCAUUAUCGGUUACUAUGCUGUGUGGGACACCAUAACGGUGUACCACACCAGAUAUGAAAUCUAUUACUGGCCCCGCUUCGGUCGUUUUGACUGGUUUGGCCUCUAUCCACUUAGUGCAUUUAUCCACCAUGACCAGCAAAUACUUUCUCUUAUGGCUUCCUCCUUUAAGGGGUCCGACCAUAUCGAGUCCCCAGACCGCAAAAGUCCAAGUGAUGGGGAUUGUUUGUAAGGCAGUGGGGGCAUAUGGCUUUGGUUGGCAAAGAGUUGGCAUCUGAUGCAACAUUGGACAAGGUCCUGUGCAUCUGCUCGGGCCGUCAGCCAAUAAAACCCUGUAUAGAAGGCCUUGCUAACAAGGGCCCGAGCUACGACGUGGUGACCGCCGAGCCCGGCAUGAAUCUCGGCCAAGAGCUUCCGCCCCACUUCCUCGGAGAUACAUCUUUGAAGGACUCCUGUAGCGCUUUUCUUAUAGAGCUCUCCGUCAUGAACCUUGUAGGCCUUCGAACAUCGGACAAUGCAGGGGGCCUCAUUCUGGUCCUCAGGAAGCUCCUUCCUGUUAAGGUAGGCCAGGAAGGGUUCGGUCCAUGGGGCAAUGACUUCCAUGAUGAGAUGCGCCGACGGUGUUAUUUCAGUGGCUGAGCCUCCGAUGAUGUCGGUGUUUUCGGAAUAUGGGGUUAUGUUCGGAUCCGGACUAGUGUUGCCGUUUUCCCCCUGCCACACCACAGAUGGCUUAAAAAGCCUUUAAACAAAGAUAUUAGGUGGUACGGGGUCACGCUUAGCGCCGAUAUGAGCAAGAACAUCUGCCGCUUGAUUACUUUCUCGAGCCACGUGAUGGAACUCGAGCCCCUCGAACCGGGCCGACAUUUUUAUGAUUGCGUUACGAUAAGCUGCCAUCUUCGGAUCUUUGGUGUCGAAGUCUCCAUUUAUUUGAGAUAUUGCGAGGUUUGAGUCCCUGUGCACUUCUAGGCGUUGUAUGCCCAUGGAGACAGCCAUCCAGAGACCAUGCAAUAAGGCCUCGUAUUCGGCUGCGUUAUUGGAGUCUGUGUAUAGUAUUUGGAGUACAUACUGAAUGACGUCUCCAGUAGGGGACGUUAAAACGACGCCUGAUGAGGAUAUAGACCCGGGGUAGGGUAAUAGGCCUGACCUAUACGUCCUAUCCAAUGUCACUGUCUUAGAAGCAAAGAAGCUAAAGAGACAACAAGGAGGGCCCAACAAAGGUGUCGAGUGCGAUCCACUCGACCUACCAGUCACUCGGAGACCCCUCCUUCCUUAGGUCACUCGACCACUCAAUCACUCGACCAUGCAAGAAUCCAUUCGACUUGUUUGAAGACCAGGAGUCAUCCAGAACGGCAAGGGGCAAGCGUCCACUCUGUAGUCUUUAAGGACAUUCAGGCAUUUAAGACUGGUGUUACCAGUAACGUCACCUCUUCAUGUACAUUGAACUCUUGGUAACGGAGGAUGGCCGGGGUCCUGGUGCACUCUAUAUAAGCCACCCUCCUCCUCUAGCACAAGGUUUCGGACCCCUGUAACACACACACACACACACACACAUAAUCUAGUCGACCGCCUCCGGGCACCGAGAUGUAGGGCUAUUACUUCCUCCACGAAGGGCAUGAACUCGUAAAACUCGCUGUACAACUUUGCCAUAGCUAGGAUCUUGCCUCCUCAUACCUACCCCCCAUUCUAAUGUCACUCUUAGAUCCAUGACAGUUGGCGCCCACCUUGGGGCAGGUGUCUUAGCGACUUUUUGGUGGAGUUGCGAUUUUUCCUAUUCUCGUCAUCAUGGUUUCCGCCAGCGGACUGGUUGAGGGCCGCAAGAUCCGUCUUGGCAUGCAUGUUCAUCGCCGAUGACUCCGCCUGGCUUCAGGAAGCUCCACUCGACGUCGAUGCGCUCCCCGUCCGCAGGGCGACGCACUUUCGCACGUGCGUCCGUGGCCUCCUUCUCCGGCAACCAUCGACACAAUAUCGGUCAGUUCCUAUGGUGUCCUCGUUCCCUGCUAUUCGCCGGCACAAGCGUUUUGGUCGGUUGUGGCUCCAGCGGUGGGUGAGACAUGCGGUGGCCCGCCAGUCGGCCACCUCGCAAGUCACGGCAAUCGAGCCCGAUGAAAGUCUCUACGGCCUGUUCGACCUAUCGACUGGCUCCGUCGAGACCGCAUCCGAGUGCGACAGCAGCGAUCCCGCAGUAGAAGUCUUGAUGGUAAACGGACCACUUAGUCCUCCUGGCUUCCCCCGCGACGAUGGUGGUGAUGGCAGCAGCGAUCCAUCAUGUGUUCACGAAGAGUACCACCCUGAGCCCCUUUCUUCGCAGCGGAGGGAAGAGCUUCGCCGCUGCAACAUGGAUGCACUUCACACUCCAAUCGUUGGAGAAACCCCCGAGGCCCAUGCCUUGGAGGAAGCACGCCUGGCCAAUCUGGUUGAGCGCACUUGACUGGAGAAUCUGUCUCGGCAGCAGAUCCCUGAAUCCAGUCGACGACAGCUUUUUCCACCUCAAACUCAGGUAUACCGCACUCCGAUUCAAAAUCUCACAGCUACGGCCCGAAUAGCAGAGUCAAUCCAGCCCUCCUAGUCGGAGGCAGGCAGAGGUUUGAUGCAGAUCUGGGCCUUGCUCCGAGCAGCUAGGGAGCAGAACACCGUAGUGUCUCAGUCGCGGAAUAGGAUUCAUAGCAGAUCUGUGGUGGCGGAUAUAGUGCAGUCGACCCAUAGCCCAAGAUCGCCCCCUCGCCGUGAGGGACGUGGGCGCAGGCAGGAUCAGUACAGAAACCAUGAGCAAUAUGAUCACCUCCUCGGCCACGACGAUCGACAUCGAGUGCCGACGCCUCCUCUAAGGAGUGGGUCAUAUGUGCCUCGGUGGCAUGAUGACAAAUGCCCUCACAGCGGCGAGCGAAGAAUACCAGUCGACCCAAGGGAGCCAAGCUUUGAUGCGAGAUCUAUUCUCGUUCAAGGUCUGGUUGACAGGAAUAGAGCACACAGAGAAGGCCAUGACAGAGAUUAUCCGACUAGCGACAGAGUGCACGUUUCAGGUCCCGAGUGUUUUAGCAGAGCCAUCAGGGCCGCAGUGAUUCCUCCCAAUUUCAUGUUGGUGACUGGAGUCAGCAAGUUUACGGGUGAUUCUAAGCCUGACACUUGGCUUGAGGACUACUGGGUAGCUGUACAGAUUGGUGGUGGCAAUGAUGAAGUCACCAUGAAACACCUUCCUCUGAUGUGUUGGAAGGCUCGGCCAGAGCAUGGCUGAAUCAGUUGGCACCCGGCAGCAUAUUCAGUUGGGAGGAACUCGCCCGAGUGUUUGUUAGGACUUUUGAAGGUACUUGCAAGCGACCAGCGGGGUUGACUGAAUUGCAGAGUUGUGUGGAAAAACCGAAUGAAACCCUGAGAGACUAUAUCGAGAGAUGGAUCACGUUACACCAUACGGUGGAGAAUGUGUCAGAUCACCAAGCAGUUUGUGCUUUCAAGGAAAGCGUUAAGUAUCGGGAGUUGAAUCUGAAAUUCGGUCAGACAGGAGAUAUGUCCUUGACUCGGAUGAUGGAGAUUGCCACCAAAUACGCCAACGGCGAAGAAGAAGACCGACUCCGGAGUGAAAAGCACAAAACAGUCGCCCAGGACACCGGUGGAGUUACUUCCAAUUGGAAAGAGAAGCGUAAAGCCGAGCCAGUUGCUCCUGGUGAGGCUUUAGUUGUGGCUCAAGGAAAGUUCAAGGGGAAGCCCAAAGGGCCCUAGAACCCCAAGAAAGUGAAAGAUCAAGAUAGAAAUGUUGUGUUGGAUUUGCCAUGUCACAUUCACACCAAGAAAGAUGAAGAGGGUAAUCUGAUUUAUCCCAAGCAAACCACUCGGCAGUAUCGGCUCCUGAUCUAGCAGUUCCGAGAGAAACAACCCAAGGAGAAGGAAAAGGAGUCCGACAAGGACGAGGAUAAGGAAGAGGAUGAUGAUGGUUUUCCCAACGUCAACUCCACUCUGAUGAUUUUUGUUGAUGUUGAGAGCAAAAGUUGAUUGAAAGUUAUCAACAGAGAAGUGAACAUGGUUGCUUCGGCAACACCAAGUUAUUUGAAGUGGUCCCAGACUGCCAUCACAUUCGACCAGUCUGACCAUCCAACACGUAUAGCCACCCCAAGGAGGCAAGCGUUGGUGGUCGACCCAGUUAUUGAAGGCACUCGACUGACUAAAGUGCUUGAUGGAUGGUGGUAGUGGCCUGAAUAUCCUUUAUGCUGAAACCUUGAAGGGAAUGGGGAUUCCGAUGUCCAAGCUCAGCGAAAGUAAUAUGAGUUUCCAUGGCGCUAUACCUGGCAAGAAGGUUGAAUCACUCAGCCAGAUCACCCUUGAUGUGACUUUCGGUGAUUCCAAGAAUUACCGCAAGGAAAAAUUGACAUUUCAAGUAGUGGAUUUCCAGAUUGCUUAUCAUGCUAUUCUGGGUAGGCCUUCCUAUGCAUGUUUCAUGGCUCGACCGUGUUACGUGUACCUCAAACUGAAAAUGCCCAGUCCCAGAGGAGUGAUCACUAUCAUUGGCAAUCGGCAGAAGGCAGAAGAGUGCUUCCAGAAGGGCUCAAAAAUCGCCGAUGCACAAAUGGCAGCAGUCGAAAUGCAAGAAUACCAGAAAAAUGCAGAUUUGAGUGAUUUGCUGCGCUCCAACAAGCCUGCCACAGAUUCUGCAUUUCAGUCUUCUGGUGAAACCAAGACGAUUCAUAUCCACCCGACCGAUCCUAAUGCUGCUCCUACUCAUAUCUCAACAUCGCUCGACAGCAAAUAGGAAGAAGCGCUCAUCCAGUUCCUCCGUGAGAACUGGGACAUCUUUGCAUGUAAGCCUUCUAACAUGCCAGGUGUACCCAGGGGACUGGCUGAGCAUCGUUUGCGAGUCGACCCGAAAGUAAAACCAGUCAAGGAACAUCUUCGACGGUCCACCGUACAGAAGGGAAAAGCAAUUGGUGAGGAAGUGGCUCGGCUCCUGGCAGCUGAGUUCAUCCGUGAGAUUUACCACUCCGAGUGGCUUGCCAAUGUUGUCCUUGUCCCCAAGAAGGAUGACUCACUUCGCAUGUGCAUUGACUUCAAGCACAUCAAUCAGGCCUGCCCGAAAGAUCAUUUCCCUCUCCCUCGUAUCGAUUAGAUUGUCAACUCGACUGCGGGGUGUGAGCGUUUGUCUUUUCUAGACGCCUAUUAUGGGUAUCAUCAGAUCUGUCUGUAUGGUCCCGAUGAGAUAAAAACAGCUUUCAUCACUCCAUUCGGGUGUUUUUGCUAUGUCACCAUGCCAUUCGGUCUCAAGAACGCUGGUGCCACAUUCAUGAGGAUGAUUCAAAAGUGCCUGCUCACACAAGUCAGUUAGAAUGUGGAAGCGUAUAUGGAUGACAUUGUGGUCAAGUCACGCAAAGGUUCUGACCUGCUGACUGACCUUGCUGAAACCUUUGCCAACCUGAGAAGGUAUGAUAUCAAGCUUAAUCCGUCAAAAUGCACAUUCGGAGUUCCUUGGAAAGUUACUUGGUUUUUUCGUUUUUGAACGAGGGAUCGACGCGAACCCAGAAAAAAUUAGUGCCAUACUCCGAAUGAAGCGCCAUGUGCGUGUGCAUGAUGUCCAGAAGCUUACUGGUUGCUUGGCCGCCUUGAGUCGAUUCAUCUCUCACCUCGGUGAAAAGGCAUUGCCUCUUUACCGACUGAUGAAGAAAUCUGACAAGUUCGAGUGGACUCCUGAAACUGACGCAACAUUUGCAGAGCUCAAAGCCCUGCUUUCCACCCAGCCGGUGCUCGCUGCUCCAAUCAGCAAAGAGCCUUUACUGCUUUAUAUUGCAGCCACUGGACAAGUCAUCAAUAUGGUACUCACGGUCGAGCGGGAAGAAGAAGGAAAAGCCUAUAAAGUUCAGCACCCAGUAUACUAUGUUUCUGAAGUUCUGACUCCAUCCAAGCAAAGAUAUCCACAUUAUCAGAAGCUUGUUUAUGGGAUUUAUAUGACCGCGAAGAAGGUUGCACAUUAUUUCUCUGAUCACUCCAUUACAGUCGUCAGUGAAGCACCAUUGUCUGAAAUUCUAAACAACAGAGAUGCAACCGGUCGAGUGGCAAAGUGGGUGAUUGAACUCCUUCCCAUGGAUAUCAAAUUUGAGGCAAAGAAAGCUAUCAAGUCCCAGGCAAUAGCAGAUUUCCUCGCCGAGUGGAUCGAACAGCAACUGCCGACUCAGAUUCACUCGGACCAUUGGACCAUGUUCUUUGAUGGAUCUAAGAUGCUGAAUGGUUCUGGUGCGGGGGUAGUAUUGGUAUCCCCGUUAGGCGACAAGCUCCACUAUGUUCUCCAGAUUCAUUUUGAUUCCUCCAACAAUGAAGCUGAAUAUGAGGCACUUUUGUAUGGGUUACGUAUGGCCAUUUCACUCAGCGUCCGUCACCUCAUGGUCUACGGCGACUCAGAUUUAGUGGUGAAUCAAGUAAUGAAGGAGUGGGACGUCAGAAGACCGGCUAUGACUGGCUAUUGUAAUGCAGUAAGAAAGUUAGAGAAGAAGUUUGAGGGUUUAGAGCUCCAUCACAUACCCUGACUGAAAAAUCAAGCAGCGGAUGAUUUGGCGAAGAUAGGUUCCAAGAGAGAAGCCAUUCCUAGUAAAGUGUUUCUGGAACAUAUUCAUACACCUUCAGUCCAGGAAGAUCCUUUCACUGAAGAGCCCCUGCAACCAAAGAGCGCCGCUGAUCCGACUGAAGUCGAAGUCCCGGCCGUGGUCGAUUUGAUCAUGGAGGUUUUGGUCAGCACUCCCGACUAGACAAUGUCGUACAUCGCGUAGAUUCUUAGAAAAGAACUCCUAGAGGACGAAGAAGAGGCCCGACAGAUCAUCCGCCGAUCCAAAGCUUUUACCGUGAUCAGAGGGCAGCUGUUCAGAGAAAGUGUAACUGGAGUCAGCCAGAAAUGCAUAACACCAGAAGAAGGUCGAGUUAUCCUCAACGACAUCCACUCGGGGACCUGUGGUGACCUUGCAUCCUCUCGGAUCAUUGUGGCCAAAGCAUACCGAGCGGGAUUUUAUUGUCCAUGCGCAAAUGAGAUGGCUCAAGAAAUAGUCGACAAAUAUGAAGGUUGCCAGUUUUACUCCAACAUGUCUCACAAGCCUGCGUCAGCCCUGAAGACCAUUCCACUCGUCUGGCCCUUAGCAGUUUGGGGUUUGGACAUGGUUGGACCUCUGAGAACGGGUAGGAGCGGCUUCACUCAUGUACUCGUGGCAGUCGACAAGUUCACCAAAUGGAUUGAAGCCAAACCUAUCAAAAGUCUUGAAGCCAGUGCUGCGGUCAGUUUCAUCAGAGAGUGAACAUUCAGAUAUGGUGUUCCACAUAACAUCAUCACUGAAAAUGGCUCGAACUUCUAUUCGGAUGAGUUCAGAGCCUUCUGUGCUUCCCAAGGCACUCGAGUCGACUAUGCUUCAGUCACCCAUCCCCAGUCAAAUGGACAAGCUGAAAGAGCAAAUAGGUUGAUCCUCAAAGGACUGAAACCCCGACUGAUGCGUGAUCUCAAGCAUGCGGCAGGCGCCUGGGUCGAUGAACUUCCGUCAGUGCUUUGAGGUUUGAGGACGACUCCUAAUCGGUCGACUGGCCGAACUCCAUUCUUCUUGGUCUAUGGAGCUGAAGUUGUGCUUCCUAGUGACUUGCUUCACAAUGCACCUAGAGUCAAGCUUUUCUUAGAAGAUGAAGCAGAACAGGCUUGGCAAGACGCAGUUGAUCUCCUAGAAGAGGAAAGAGAGAUGGCCCUGAUCCAGUCGACCAUUUAUCAGCAAGACCUGCGUCGAUUCCACACCAGAAAUGUGAGGGGUCGAGCAUUUCAGGAAGGAGACUUGGUUCUUCGAGUGGAUCAGCAGAAGCCACACAAGCUCUCCCCUACUUGGGAAGGUCCCUUCAUCAUCACCAGAGUGCUCCACAACAGAGCGUAUGUAACGCCCCGAGACCGAUGUGCCAGGUGUCCUCCAGUUAUUCGCUGUUGUUGCCUUGUCUUUUGCUUGCGUGUCGCAUCUUGCAAUGUCAUCAUACGCAUUGCAUCAUCAUGUUUUUCAAAACUUGCAUUCGUCCGGGUUCUCCGAGUUCUUUCCGUUGUCCGUUCUGAGCCCAGACACAUUUGCACGCGCCCAUGGCAUGUCCGAAAUAGUAUUUUAUAAGUGGCCGGAAAAUGUUCUCGGAAUGGUUUGAAAGUUGGCAUGUGGUGUUUUAAUGUUGUAGGUAUGCCGCCUGCCAAGUUUCAUCGCAUUCGGAGUUCGUUUGAUAGCCCAACGGAUAACUAUAGCGACAUUAUAGUCGGUCUAACGUCGGACAUUUUCGGUCUCCGGAAACAGAUGCCGGGCCCUUCCUCUCUCUUCUCCCCCUCGCAGUCUCGCCACGGCCCACCUAGUCCAUCCUCCUUCCCCUCUUCGCUUCCGGAGUUGUCCGAUGCGACCGCACGGUCCGAAACCCUCUCUGCACAGUGCAUCGAACCCCUCACGUGAGCGUCCGAAAUUUUCCCGGACCCGACCCGGACAGUCGUCACCGUUGUGUCCGGAUCAUCCCCAAACAUCUACAAAACGUCACCAUUUUCUUAUUUGGACGCCCUAACUAUUUUAUCCGGAAUCGUCCGAUUGCGAUCGUAGGGUCGAGAUAGCCCCUAACCUAAUCCGUGAUGUAUAUAUAUAGUCCACCCCUAUUCUAAUUCCAGACCAAAUCCCUAAUUUCUAGGGAUCCUCCUAGCCGCCGCCGCAAUCAUUCCCCACCUCGGGAUCCUCUCAUUCCCUCUGUAGCAACCACCAGCCAUCUCCCCUCGAUCCAUCGAUCCACCCAACUGUUCGCAGCCUCCCUCACCUUUUGGAUUGGUAGGAACCGCGCCUGGAUCCCCUCCCUCUCGGGUCUUCCUUGGAGCCAGCCGUCCUUGCCGGUGAUGAGCAGCAGCGCCAACAGGACCUCUCCGUGCGCCCCCAGAUCCAGGCCGGGCCUCCUCGCGCCCUCCUUCCUCCCGUUCUUCUUUGCCUCUGUCUCUAACCUCUCUCUCUUAGAUACGCAUGAGCAGCGCCAUGGACUCCUCCAGCCGACGCCAUGGACGCCAAGUUCCUGCCGCGGCCCUCCUCCAAUUCGCCGGCCUCCCUAUUGCCGCGCCUGCAUCGCCCUGUUGCCGCGAGUGGAGACGCCGGUGAAUCCUGCAGGUCGCCGCCUCGCCAAGUCCCUCGCCUCGCUGUCCUGUGCCUAGAGCCGCACCCCUCUCCGUCGUCUCUUCCUUGAGCCACCGCAGCAGGCGGACCUCCGCAUCCGGCCACGCCGCCGGCAAGCCAGCCUCCUCCGCUUCGCCAUGUCCCUGCUGCCUCUGUCGCGAGGGAGACGAGCGCCGCGCCUGCACCCGUUGACCGCAUCGCUUGCACAGGCCGGCCUCACUCCGUGCCUCAUCCGCCCCGCCCGCGGCCCAGCAAGACGCUGCGGCCCAGUCUCCCCAACCGCAGGCCUCAAGGGGCCCAAUGUGAGCAGUUUCCAUCCAGCCCAGAUCCACCAGAUUCGGCCUGAUAUUUUUUUUCUUUCCCUGUUGCUUGUUGGGCCAGCAUCUGUUUCGGCCCAUUCAUGUUUUUUUCCAGAUCCACGUAUUUUUUUUCUAUUUAUUCCAGAGACUGCAGUUUUUUAGAAAAGUCCCUGGAGUUCAUGCAUAUAAUAUCUCUCAAACCAUGCAUCGGUUUAAAAUAAGUUAUAUAUGAAACUUGCUUAGAAUUUUGUGUAGGUUAAUAAUUUGCCAUUUUCAUCCAUGUUUAAAAUGUUAAAAAAGCUGUUUGGGUUAAAUUUGCUCCUAUGCCAUGCUAAAAUGCUUUUAUUCAUAGCUAAAUGACCGUAGCUCGGAUUUUAAUAAAAUUUAUAUGUAAAUGGGGUAGAAAAUUGCCUAGUUUAACAUGAUGACUUCACCUUGCAUGUUUAACAACUCUAAAAUUGUGUUUAGGGCAGAACAGGAUCAAACCUUAAAACAUGCACAUGAGGAGUUUCCGGACUUGUUGUUUGUUGUUCCGGCCUCCUUUAAACUUGCCUAGAUAGGUAGUUUUCACUUGCUUCACCCCUUGCCAUGUUAAUCAACAUUUAAUAUUGUUGGGUACAUAAACGAGAUCGAACUAAAUAACUUGUUGUGGUGUUUUGUCAAUAUGCAACUUGUUGCAUAUUGAGCUCCACUUAAUUUGUAGAAUUGUUUGUGCACUUUGCCAUGCCAUGCCUCAUUAAACCGGACAUGCAUCAUACUUGUUGUGCAUCAUGCCAUGAUUUUGUGGUGGUUGUUUACCAUGUUUGUUUGCUUCUUUCCGGUGUUGCUUCUUCGGGUUGGUUCCGAUAACGUCGUGUUGUGAGGAUUCGUUCGACUACGUCCGUUUGUCUUCUUCAUGGACUCGUUAUUCUUCCUUGCGGGAUUUUAGGCAAGAUGAUCAUACCCUCGAAAUCACUACUAUCUUUGCUUUGCUAGUUUGCUCGCUCUUUUGCUAUGCCAUUGCUACGAUGUCUACCACUUGCUUUCAAGCCUCCCAAAUUGCCAUGUCAAACCUCUAACCCACCUUGUCCUAGCAAACCGUUGUUUGGCUAUGUUACCGCUUUGCUCAGCCCCUCUUAUAGCGUUGCUAGUUGCAGGUGAAGAUCGGAGGCCGUUCCUUGUUGGGACAUUUAUUUACUUGUUGGGAUAUCAUUAUAUUGCCAUGUUAUCUUAAUGCAUCUAUAUACUUGGUAAAGGGUGGAAGGCUCGGCCUCUCACCUAGUGUUUUGUUCCAUUCUUGCCUCCCUAGUUUCUGUCAUAUCGGUGUUAUGUUCCCGGAUUUUGCGUUCCUUACGUGGUUGGGCUAUAAUGGGAACCCCUUGACAGUUCGCCUUAAGUAAAGCUCUUCCAACAAUGCCCAACAUUGGUUUUACCAUUCGCCACCUAGCCUCUUUUUCCCUUGGGUUUCGUGGACUCAAGGGUCAUCAUUAUUUAACCCCCCCGGGCCAGUGCUUGUCUAAGUGUUGGUCCGAAAUGGGCAGCCUGCGGGGCCACCGCGGGGAAACUUGAGGGCUGGUUUUACUCGUAGCUUGACCUAUCCGGUGUUGCCCUGAGAACGAGAUAUGUGCAGCUCCCAUCAGGAUGUCGGCGCAUCGGGCGGUGUUGCUAGUUUAGUUUUACCCUGUUGAAAUGUCUUGUUGUACCGGGAUACCGAGUCUGAUCGGAAUGUCUCAGGAGGAGGUGUAUUCCUUCGUUGACCGUGAGAGCAUGUGAUGGGCUAAGUUGGGACACCCCUGCAGGGAUUUGAACUUUUGAAAGCCGUGCCCGCGGUUAUGGGCAGAUGGGAAUUUGUUAAUGUCCGGUUGUAGAUAACUUGAACCUUAACUUAAUUAAAAUGAAUCAACAGCGUGUGUUACCGUGAUGGUCUCUUUCUGGCGGAGUCCGGGAAGUGAACAUGGUGUUGGAGUUAUGCUUGACGUAGGUUGUUUUAGGAUCACUUCUUGAUCAUACUUUUAUCGACCGUGCUUUGCCUUCUCUUCUUGCUCUCUUUUGCGUAUGUUAGCCACCAUAUAUGCUAGUCGCUUGCUACAGCUCCACCUCAUACUUUUACCUUACCCGUAAGCUUAAAUAGUCUUGAUCGCGAGGGUGCGAGAUUGCUGAGUCCCCGUGGCUCACAGAUACUUCCAAAACCAGCUUGCAGGUGCCAAUGAGUCCGUGCAGAUGACGCAAUCUAGCUCAGGAGGAGCUCAAUGAAGAUCUUGUCCUUUGUGUUGUUUCGUUCUAGUUGAUCAGUAGUGGAGCCUAGUUGGGGUCGAUCGGGGACCUUGUCGCAUUUGGGGUUCUUCUUUUAUUUUUGUUCCGUUGUCGGACCUUGACUGUAUUUGGAUGUUGUAAUGCUUUAUUCAUGUAUUUGUGUGAAGUGGCGAUUGUAAGCCAACUAUGUAUUCUUUUCCCUUAUUGUAUUACAUGGGUUGUUUGCGAAGAUUACCUCACUUGCGACAUUGCUUUCAAUGCGUUUAUGCCUCUAAGUCGUGCUUCGACACGUGGGAGAUAUAGCCGCAUCGAGGGCGUUACAGCGUACCACCUCUACAACGUUGAGCACAAGAAAUACGAGCCACGCGCUUGGAAUGUGGAGUUGCUCCGCCCCUUUUAAACUUAAGCAUUCAAACUGUUGAGAUGUAAUAAGUAAUACCUUCUAGUUGACUAUCAGAGACACAGUUUUACAGUCUCCUAAAUGAUUGCUGUUUCUUUUUUAUAUGUUUCAAAUCCCCAAGUGGGUACCUUAGAUGCGAAUCUGUUUCGCCUAAGUUUAAAAAAUCCUACCGAGUGAUGAGCAAGCUUCUCACUCGGGGGCUUAGCUGCAGUCCAGUACUCGCCUAAGUUUAAAAAAUCCUACCGAGUGAUGAGCAAGCCUCUCACUCGAGGGCUUAACUGCAAAUCCGUCUCACCUAAGAUUAAAAAAAUCCUACCGAGUGAUGAGCAAGCCUCUCACUCGGGGGCUUAGCUGCAGUACAGUACUCGCCUAAGUUUAAAAAAUCCUACCAAGUGAUGAGCAAGGCUCUCACUCAGGGGCUUAACUGUAGUCCAGUACUCGCCUAGGUUUANNNNNNNNNNNNNNNNNNNNNNNNNNNNNNNNNNNNNNNNNNNNNNNNNNNNNNNNNNNNNNNNNNNNNNNNNNNNNNNNNNNNNNNNNNNNNNNNNNNNNNNNNNNNNNNNNNNNNNNNNNNNNNNNNNNNNNNNNNNNNNNNNNNNNNNNNNNNNNNNNNNNNNNNNNNNNNNNNNNNNNNNNNNNNNNNNNNNNNNNNNNNNNNNNNNNNNNNNNNNNNNNNNNNNNNNNNNNNNNNNNNNNNNNNNNNNNNNNNNNNNNNNNNNNNNNNNNNNNNNNNNNNNNNNNNNNNNNNNNNNNNNNNNNNNNNNNNNNNNNGCCUAAGUCUAAAAAAUCCUACCGAGUGGUGAGCAACUCUCACACUCGGAGGCUUAGCUGCAGUCCAGUACUCGCCUAAGUUUGAAAAAUCCUACAGAGUGGUGAGCAACCCUCACACUCGGGGGCUUAGCUGCAGUCCAGUACUCACCUAAGUCUGAAAAAUCCUACCGAGUGGUGAGCAACUCUCACACUCGGAGGCUUAGCUGCAAUCCAGUACUCGCCUAAGUUUAAAAAAUCCUACCGAGUGGUGAGCAACCCUCACACUCGGGGGCUUAGCUGUAGUCCAGCACUCGCCUAAGUUUGAAAAACACCCCUAUACGCAAGGACGACGAGGUGCAGGUCAACUACAACCCUCUCUUUGGAGCUGCGCCACAAGUACAAUGUGCGCUCCAUCCCUAUCCGCAAGGACGACGAGGUGCAGGUUGACUGCAACCCUCUCUUUGGAGCUGUGCCACAAGUACAACGUGCGCUACAUCCCUUCCGCAAGGAAGACGAGGUGCAUGUUGACUGCAAUCCUCUCUUCGGAGCUGCGUCAUAGGUACAACGUGCACUCCAUCUCUAUUCGCAAGGAUGACGAGGUGCAGGUCGACCGCAACCCUCUCUUCGGAGCUGCGCCACAAGUACAACAUGCACUCCAUCCCUAUCCACAAGGUCGACGAGGUGCAGGUCGACUGGGACCUCCUCCUCGGAGCUGCAUCUCGGGUACAAAGAUUAUUCCCAGUGAAGAACAAGUUCCACUCGAAGGCAAACACAAGCAUAUUCAGAGAUAAACCAAGUUCACAUAAAUCCCAAAAUUCCGGACCAUGGAUCAAAAGUACUCGAGCAUCAAGCCAGAAGAAGUUUAACGAUUACACAAUCACUCGGCAUUCUGAGGCAAAUAAAGGUGGAGCAUAAUGUUUUUGGUCACUCGUCAGGAGAAGGACUUGCUGGGUCGCAGAAACUGUCAACGUUUAUGAUGUCUGCAUGCGAGUGGCGGCAUCAAGGAUAGUGUCCAUGAAGUACUGGAAAGUGUGCCUUUUUGUGUUAGCAACCUUGAGCUCCGCCAACUUGUCUUCUUUGACAUCCUUGCAGUGCACUCGGACCAAGGACAUGGCGACACCAGCGCCGCAGUGAGCAGAUGACUUCUUCCAUUCUUGCACUCGGUCAGGUAUUUGAUUCAGUCGAGCCAUCAGAGACUCGAGGUGUUGAGAUAGUUCCGCUUGAGGCCAGAGUUCACCAUCAACCCGAGUCAUCGCCGCCUUGAGGCGAGCAAGAUAAGCAACCGCACUGUCCAGGCGAGAUUCCAACCGCAUCACAUUCAUUGCGACAUCAUCUUUGACUGGGCAAUUUAUGGGAUCGAGACCCAUCUCGACCCGCCCAGUUUCCGCUUCAAAGUUCUGGCAAAGUUCUGCACAGUCGAGUAGCUAGUGAGUCGACAAUAUAAUAAGACCUAUCAAUCGACCAUAACAAGUCAGUCGAACAUCAGUACCUUCAAGCUUUAAGACCAGUUUUGCAGCAAGCUGGCCCAGAUAAGAUUCCAACUCGCCCUUCUUGGCUUUGAGGCUCCCGAUCUCGUUAGUCAGCUUGUCCUUGUCUUUAUUCAGUCGCUCGACCUCCCAAUUGGCAUCAGAGACAACAGUCUUCAGUUUGAGUUCUCUUCUUCUAACUUGCCGACUGAAGCAAGCUUCUGGUCAGCAAGUGCUGUUUUCUCUCGUGCCUCCUUCUGCAUAGCAGCCAUAUCCAGAUUCUUCUUCUCCAGAGCUUGUUUCAUUUUCUCUAAAGAAAUAAUAUUCUUUAGACGAGCUUGGAGUUGACGUUUUUCACUAUGUACAUCUGCUCGAGUGGAGUCACUCGGUUCAAAAAAUGGAAAGGAAAAGUGCCAGUCGUAAGAUGGAUAGUUGACGAUUGGUUACCUCCCAUGGCAACUACUUCAUCACGAGCAGUCUUGAGAUUCUUCCUGGCCAGUUCCAGAUCAAGAUUGAGGCUGAUUUGCUGCUUGUUCAGUGUAGAAAGUUGAGCCCCAAGAUCACAAGGUUUCUGCAGUCUAUAUAUAAGACAUAUCAGUCGACAAAAACAAAAGAGCAUCACAGUGAAAGUUGCUCUAAGACUACCGCCGAAUCAAACAUUCAAUGGUAGUCUCGGGGACUACACCCAGUGGGUGCACUUAGCGUGCCCCCACCGGUUUGAUUCAACACUCGGCAUGGUCUGCCCAGCUCUAGUCAAAAAAAGCGAAGAAAGUUGUUCUCAGACCAUGGUCGACUGCCUGCAGUCCACCACGGUCUCAGGGACUACACCCAGUGGGUGCACUUAGCGUGCCCCCACUGGUUUAGAUUUUCACUCGGCAUGGUCUGACCAGGCCAAGUGAGAAAAUUCAGAUUCACAUACCACAGUCGACUGCCCGCAGUCCACUAUGGUCUCGGGGACUACACCCAGUGGGUGCACUUAGUGUGCCCCCACUAGUUCAAAAAUUCAAUCGACUCAAUUCAAGUUGACUCAGGUGGAAGACCUAUACAACUUUAAGGCAGACAAAACCCAGUGGGUGAUCGGAUGAGAAAUAAGAUCAGUCCGAAAUCAACUAACCUGGACAUUGGUCUGCAGAGCAGUGCCGGCGUUGAAGGCCACCUGACUGGCCUCGUGCACCACUUUCAUCUACCCCAUCACAAGAUUCAACUGAAGAAGAGCUCCCUUGGCGGCACUUAGUGGGUCGCCUGGAGUCUGGUACGCAGUGAAAAGCAAUGAUGGCAGGGCAAUCGAAGUAGCUGCUAGCUCUGAUGCAUGAAGUUGUAUUGGAGUAGCAGGGGUCUGAGUAGCUGACCUUGAUGGAUAGUCAGUCAACAGCGGGAUAGCGAAAGUGACGUUGGUGCGAGUCGGAUCUGUAGAUCGCUUGAGCGCCGUCCCAGGCAUCAGUGUCGACUGAGGAACCUGAACCUCAGGCACUUUCCCGCUUUGUCCUUUGUCCCACCUCCUCCUUUCCUUCAGGGGCACUUCUUCUUCAUCAUCCGGAAGCACAACAACGUCUCGUGGAGCUGCGGCAAACAGGAAAAAUUAGAGAGACAACUGACGAACAAUCUAGUCGACCAAAUAAAUUUGAGUCAGGCAGACUUACUAGCUUUGGAGGUAGUUGCGUCAUCGGUUUCCUCAUCGCCUGGGACCUUGUCGAUAUCCAUAUCAGUAGCGGCAAAGGCCGGGCUGGAAAAGUUCAUCAUCCACUCGGUCAGGACAGGAGAAUCAGUCGGAGCAAGAAAACACGGGAAGAGCAUUUACCUAGAAGCAACAGGAACAUCCAUUUUGAUCUUAGGCAAGGUCUUCCGGACCUUCAAGGGAUUGACCUUGGGUUGCUUGGUGACUUUCUCAGCCAGCUCUGGGGUCAAAGACCGAGCGCGCUUUUGAGAUGGAGCGCUCAAGGCCACAGCCUUACCGCGCCUGCCUGCAGGAUCAUGGUGUUGCUUGGAUCGACGUUCUGAACGAGGCGGUGAGUCAACUACCUCCUCGUCGUCUGACUCGUCGCUCUCAUCUUCAUUGUCGUUGUUUGGUGACUCCCAUUCACCACUCUCCUCCGCGCUGUCCUCGCCCCCAUGGUCCUGCUCUAGAGCUUGUUCACCAUUGGGCAUUGAGUACAUCUGUGUGUAAAUCUACAAGACAAGAAGUCGAGUGGAAAUCAGUCGAAUUAACAAAUAGUCAGAAGACGCAUCCAAAUGCAAUCGGUUAUAGCGACCGAACCUUGUCUGGCUGGUUGCUGUCGCUGAAAGGGUCGACUCUCUUGGCGCCCCUAGGGUUGUCCUUGUUUCCGGUGAUGCUCCUCAGCCAUUGGGCCACUAUUUUGGCCAGCACCUGCUCUGGAUGAACCUGAGCGGUGUCGCCAGCUCCAGAGUACAUACACAUGGAGUGGUCACGGGCCUGGAGUGGUUGAAUGCGCCGACUGAGGAACACCUCCAACAAAUCCAUGCCGGUGACGCCUUGGUUGAUCAGCUGGACCACCCUCUCGACCAACAUGCCUGUCUCUGCCUUCUCCGCGGUGGUCACUUUCAACGAAGAGGGAGUCUGAACAUGAUCGAAAGAAAAAGGAGGAAGUCCAGUCGACUGGCCUGGAGUUGCGAUAUCCUGGCAGUAGAACCAGGUCGACUGCCAGCCUCUGACCGACUCAGGAAGGGUCAUCAAAGGGAAAGAACUCCUCUUCCUCUUCUGGAUACCCAACCCCCCACACAUCUGGAUAACGUGGGUUUUCUCGUCAUUCGAAUUUGCUUUCUUCACUGUCUGGGAUUGGAUGGUGAAAAUGUGCUUGAAAAGACCCCAGUGCGGUCGACACCCCAAGAAAUUCUCCCACAUGGACACGAAUGCAGCAAGAUAUGUGAUGGUAUUGGGAGUAAAAUGAUGGAGCUAGGCCUCGAAGAAAUUCAAGAAACCCCGGAAAAAAGGAUGCGAAGGAAGCGAGAAACCACGGUCGACAUGGGUAGCAAGCAGAACACACUCACCCGGCCGCGGCUGCGGUUCCGUCUCCCCCUCCGGCAACCGGGCAGCUUUGUGGAUGAUCAGCCCUGACUCGGCCAGCUCAUCCAAAUCUUCCUGCCAAAUCGAGGAUCGGAUCCAAUCACCUUGGAUCCAACCUGGCGGCAGCCCCGAGCGCGAUGAAGAUCCCCGAUUCGUCUUCUUGCCCUUCACCGCUCCCGUCGCCUUCUUCGCGCGUUCCAGCGCCGCCGGCUUUUCCUUCCCCAUGGCGGCGGAGCGGCGGUGUCGAGAGUGGAGAAGCCGGAUGCGGUGGAGGAGCAAGAGGAGGAAGAAGGAGAAUGGACGCGCACAGUGCAGAUGCCUCGGCCUCGCCGCUUUUAAAGGCCCACUUCCGAGUGGCUGACGCAUGGGCCCGGGUGAUCCUGUCAAAUCCCUCAACAGUCGCACGCGGGAUACGUGAUGAAAAAGGUGGCAUGGAAAUCGAAAUGUUCCUGUUUAUCCACUCCGCUUGCCACAGCGUGUUCCGUCUAGCACGCUUCCCCCGAAAUUUCGAAUCCCAUGAAAUCCGGGAUCCGCCGCAACCCAUCACGCCAAAGAUUUCACGUCAAAGACAACACUCGACGGGUGAUGUUAUAAAACCGAUCGGAAAUUUCUGAAUCGAUCAAGACGACUGAAACAAACCCAAAGUUCCAACACUGGCCUCCAUCCAGAGAUGAACAGUUGGGAAACGCAAGAGUCAAGGCAAGAUCAACUUCAACCUUCUUUUCACUCGGACCUCAAUCCAUUCGGGGGCUAAUGAUGAGGACAUAGACCUGGGGUAGGGUAAUAGGCCUGACCUAUACGUCCUAUCCAAGGUCACUGUCUUAUAAGCAAAGAAGCUCAAGAGACAACAGGGAGGGCCCAACAAAGGUGUCGAGUGCAAUCCACUCGACCUACCAGUCACUAGAAGACCCCUCCUUCCUUAGGUCACUCGACCACUCAAUCACUCGACCAUGCAAGAAUCCAUUCGACUUGUUUGAAGACCAGGAGUCAUCCAAAACAGCAACGGGCACCACGGAUGCACUUCACCAUAGCUAGGAUCUUGCCUCCUCAUACCUACCCUCCAUUCUACUGUCAGUCUUAGAUCCACGACAACGCCCGCUCCUAGCCCUGCCAACACUUUGGAGCCAUCGAAAUACAUAACCCAACUGGAAUAUGUGACGUACUCUUUAGGGAGUUUGGCCUUUGUCCAUUUGGCGACGAAGUCAGCCAGUACUUGGGAUUUAGUAGCUUGACGUGGUUUGUAUGUAAUAUCAAAUGGAAGGAGCUCGAUGGCCAAUUUGGCAAUCCGGCCCGUGGCAUCGCGGUUGUUUAUAAUGUCAUUGAGUGGUACUUCAGAAGCCACCGUGAUCGAACACUCUUGGAAGUAGUGACGGAGCUUUCGAGAUGCCAUGAAGACCGCGUAUGCUAUCUUUUGAUAAUGGGGGUACCGGGAUUUGCAUGGUGUAAGGACAGUGGAUACGUAGUAUACUAGCUUCUAAAGCAGGAAUUUAUGUCCGUCCUGUUCUCGUUCGACGACGAGCACGGCGCUCACCACCUAAUGUGUUGCCGAUAUGCAUAACAACAUCGGUUCACCGACAUUUGGCACGGCCAGGAUUGGGUUGCUCGCAAGAAGGGUUUUUAUUUCCUCUAGUCUCGCUGUUGCCGCGUCCGUCCACUCGAAGUGAUCGGAUCGCCGUAGAAGAUGGUAGAGUGGUAGUGCCUUUUCUCCCGAUCUGGAGAUAAAGCGGCUUAGAGCUGCCAUGCAACCCGUGAGCUUUUGGACUUGUUUAUGAUCUGUUGGCGUAGCCAAUUGUGACAGAGCUCGGAUUUUGGCUGGAUUUGCUUCAAUUCCUCUGUUGGAAACGAUGAAACCUAGCAAUUUUCCGGCGAGGACGCCAAAAACGCACUUUUCAGGAUUGAGCUUGAUGUCAUACGCGCGGAGGUUAUCAAAUGUGAGACGUAAAUCAUCUAUUAAUGUUUCAACGCGCCUGGUUUUGAUGACGACGUCGUCCACGUAAUCUUCAACUGUCUUGUCGAUCUGCUUCUCCAGGCAUGUUUGAAUCAUGCGUUGGUAUGUGGCGCCGGCGGUCUUGAUCCCGAAGGGCAUGGUGUUGAAGCAGAAUGGCCCAUAUGGGGUAAUGAAUGCUGUUGCAGCUUGACCGGACUCCUUCAUUUUGAUUUGAUGGUAUCGGGAAUAUGCAUCCAGGAAACACAUUGAGUCAUGUCCUGCGGUAGCAUCAAUGAUUCAAUCAAUGCAGGGGAGGGGGAAGGGAUCCUUAGGGCAAGCCUUGUUGAGGUCUUUAAAAUCGACGCACAACCACCAGGAUUUGUCCUUCUUUGGUACCAUCACCAGGUUUGCCAGCCAGUCCGAAUGUUUUAUUUCUCUGAUGAAUCCGGCCUCAAUUAACUUGGCUAGCUCCUCCCCCAUAGCUUGACGUUUGGGUUCAGAAAAGCGCCACAGUGUACUUGACCGGUUUAUAUCCUUUUAAUAUAUUGAGGCUGUGUUCGGCCAACUCGCGCGGGAUUCCUGGCAUAUCAUAAGGGUGCCAGGCGAAUAUAUCCCAAUUUUCGCGCAGGAACUCUCGUAGUGCGGCGUCAACCGUUGGAUCUAAUUGUGCUCCGAUGGAUGCUGUCUUCUUGGGGUCCGUUGGAUGGACUUGGAAUUUGACUAUUUCUUCUGCUAGUUUGAAGGAGGUGGAUUUGGGUCGUUUGUCUAGGACGACAUCAUCCCUGUCCACCGUAGAGCACAGCACGGCUAAUUCUUCGGUCAUGAGGGCUCUAGAUAAUGCCUCGAGGGCCAAGGACGCGGUUUUAUUCUCGGCGCGGAGUGCUAUGUCUGGAUCACUAGCUAGAGUGAUUAUACCAUUGGGCCCAGGCAUCUUAAGCUUCAUGUAUCCGUAAUGGGGUACCGCUUGGAAGCGCAUAAAUGCAUGUCGCCCUAAGAGGGCGUGAUACCCGCUGUUGAAAGGGUCCACUUGGAAGGUUAUUUCUUCGGACCAAUAAUUCUCCAGCGUGCCGAGUACCAUGUCGAGUGUUAUUUUUACUGCACGCCGCGCCUCCCGACUGGGGAUAAUUCCUCGGAAGCUCGUGCUGCUUUGCUCAAUGCGUCUCCUGUCUAUUUCCAUUUUGUGGCAUGUAUCUUCGUGGAUAAGGUUUAGUCCGAUGCCGCCUUCCGUAAGGACCUUGGUAAGCCGAAAGCCGUCCACAAUUGGACUGAGGACCAAUGCGGCUGGUGCUUGGACUGUCUUGAAUUUUGGUUCGUCGCCGGCAUUAAAAGUUAUAGUCGUGUCGUUGCAAGGGUUUAUUGCUUCUAUUUGAUAGACUUCGGCGAGUCCGCAUAGUGCUCUCUUGCACCUAUUGUUGGAGGCGAAUGUCUCGAAGACCGUCAAUACUUUGGGGUCAUUGUCCUCUGGGGGUGUUGUUCUGGGUUAUUCUUGGUGAGGAUAUCCUCGCCGCUCUUGGCCACUUGCCGGAGUAUCCAACAUGCUCUAAGGCUAUGUGUUGGUACGUUAUCCAGUGUUGCGUGUAUUUUGCAUGGCCCAUCGAGCCAUCCUUCCAGAAUGGUUCUGCGCCCCAUACUGGACUUGUAUUUCUUUACUAUUUGAACCGGGCGUGUUGCAAGGGUGCGCCCUUUUCGCCUGAAUGAAGGGUUGAGUGGGGACGGAUGAUUCCCAACGAGCUGCUUGAGUUUUCCAGGCGCUUUCCAUUGCACUGUACUUCUGUACGAUGGUUGCCAAGUCAGCGAAGUGUAGGAUGCGACGGUGGUUGAUGGUGUUGAGGAUUCCUUCAUCCCUGCAAUUGUUGUGGAACACUAAGAUCGCUUCCUCGUCAUGACAAUCUUUAAUCUUGUUUUUGACAAGAAGGAAUCUGGCCCAAAAGUGGUGGACUGUUUCCCGAGACUGUUGUUUUAUGCUCAUGAGAGCGCUUGUAUUCGGGUGGGUGGGUUUAAAUCUGAACCCCGCCCCAGUUUUGGAUCUGGAGUCUGAAGGUCUUCCGAACUUAACAGAUCGGGCUCCGGGAUGUCCACUAAUUUCUUAGGCCCGUCGUCCGAUUCUAUGUUCAGAGGGCAGGAUGCUUCACCUCGCGGGUAGGUGUCCGGCUCUUCCAAACCGGAGAUCCGGACAUAGUCCGUCCUCAAUAUGGAGGAAGAGUUAUCGACUCGCUCCUCGACUACCGCUAUCUGGUGGGUGAUCGGCGGAGAUUUGAUUUCUCUCUGAUCGGGUUUAAACCCAAUCCGAUCGUAGUCUGUAGCGACCCCCAGGGUGGCGAUGCGAUCUAGGAGCUCAUUUAAUGAAGAAAUCUCUGUUGGAUCCAUCUGCUUGGAGUGUUCGAAGUUGAUACGAAGGGCGUUUUCGAUGACCCGAGAGGUCAUCAUCGGCUUAAUGACCGAACGGGCGGUCAUGGUAAAGCCGCCCAGCUGGAGGGUUUGGCCUGGAGCCAUGGUUCCUCCGGUGGUGAUAUUAUCCUUGAGAACAAGGCGAGACAUCGAUCUUGUUGUUGACGGCACAACGGAACUCUCAAUGAAAGCACCAAUGUCGGUGUCAAAACCAGCGGAUCUCGGGUAGGGGGUCCCGAACUAUGCGUCUAAGGUCGAUGGUAACAGGAGACAAGGGACACGGUGUUUACCCAGGUUCGGACCCUCUCUAUGGAGGUAAUACCCUACGUCCUGCUUGAUUGAUAUUGAUGAAUAUGAGUAUUACAAGAAUUGAUCUACCACGAGAUCAUAAUGGCUAAACCCUAGAGGUCUAGCUUGUAUGGCUAUGAUAAUGAGUCUCCUAUCCGGACUAAGUCCUCCGGUUUAUAUAGACACCGGGAGGAUCUAGGGUUACACAAGGUCAGUUACAAAGAAGCAAAUCUACAUAUCCAGCCGCCAAGCUUACCUUCCACGCCAAGGAGAGUCCCAUCCGGACACGGGUGCAGUUUCGGUCUUCGUAUCUUCACAGCCCAUCAGUCCGACCCAUGGCUAACAAGCCGGACGCCCGAGUACCCCUUCGUCCAGGAUUCCCUCAGUAGGGCGCGCCCUCCACCCUCGUGGAUGGAUUGGGACUCUUCUGGCCCAACUCUUUUACUCCGGGGGCUUCUUUUGGUCCAUAAAAAAUCAUCAAAAAUUGGCAUGUCAAUUGGACUCUGUUUGGUAUUCCAUUUCUGUAAAACUCAAAAACAAGGAAAAAACAGAAAUUGGCACUGGGCUCUAGGUUAAUAGGUUAGUCCCAAAAAUCAUAUAAAAUAGGAUAUAAAUGCAUAGGAAACAUCCUAUAUGGAUAAUAUAAUAGCAUGGAACAAUCAAAAAUUAUAGAUACGUUGGAGACGUAUCAAGAACUUGUUGGAGGCUUCAUAUCUCUCAACUCGGGCAUUUGCUUGAAAUAUUAACUUCAACUCUUGGAACAUCUCAUAUGCUCCAUGACGUUCAAAAUGUCUUUGAAGUCCCGAUUCUAAGUCGUAAAGCAUGGCACACUAAACUAUCGAGUAGUCAUCAGAUUUACCUUGCCGGACGUUCAUAACGUCCGGAGUUGCUCCUGCAGCAGGCCUCGCACCUAGCGGUGCAUCAAGGACAUAAUUCUUCUAUGCGGCAAUGAGGAUAAUCCUCAAGUUACGGACCCAGUCCGUGUAGUUGCUACCAUCAUGUUUCAACUUAGCUUUCUCUAGGAACGCAAUAAAAUUCAAGGGAACGGUAGUAUGGGCCAUAGAUCUACAACAUAGAUAUGCAAAAACUAUCAGGACUAAGUUCUUGAUAAAUUCAAGUUCAAUUAAUCAUAUUACUUAAGAACUCCCACUCAGAUAGACAUCCUACGAGUCAUCUAAAUGAUCACGCGAUCCAUAUCAACUAAACCAUGUCCGAUCAUCACGUGAGAUGGAGUAGCUUUUAAUGGUGAACAUGUCUAUGUUGAUCAUAUCUACUAUAUGAUUCACGUUCGAACUUUCGGUCUCAGUGUUCCGAGGCCAUGUCUGCACAUGCUAGGUGAUGUCUACUACACAACCUUCUUCUUGUAGACGUUGUUGGGCCUCCAAGUGCAGAGGUUUGCAGGACAGUAGCAAAUUUCCCUCAAGUGGAUGACCUAAGGUUUAUCAAUCCGUGGGAGGCGUAGGAGAAGAUGGUCUCUCUCAAACAACCCUGCAACCAAAUAGCGAAGAGUCUCUUGUGUCCCCAACACACCCAAUAAAAUGGUAAAUUGUAUAGGUGCACCAGUUCGGCAAAGAGAUGGUGAUACAAGUGCAAUAUGGAUGGUAGAUAUAGGUUUUUGUAAUCUGAAAAUAUAAAAACAGCAAGGUAGCAAGUGGUAAAAGUGAGCACAAACGGUAUUGCAAUGCUAGGAAACAAGGCCUAGGGUUCAUACUUUCACUAGUGCAAGUUAUCUCAACAAUAAUAACAUAAUUGGAUCAUAUAACUAUCCCUCAACAUGCAACAAAGAGUCACUCCAAAGUCACUAAUAGCAGAGAACAAACGAAGAGAUUAUUGUAGGGUACGAAACCACCUCAAAGUUAUUCUUUCCGAUCAAUCCGUUGGGCUAUUCCUAUAAGUGUCACAAACAUCCCUAGAGUUUGUAGUAAAUUAACACCUUAAGACGCAAAUCAAACAAAACCCUAAUGUCACCUAUAUACUCCAAUGUCACCUCAAGUAUCCGUGGGUAUAUUAUAAGAUAUGCAUCCCACAAUCUCAGAUUCAUCUAUUCAACCAACACAAAGAACAAUGCCCCAAAGUUUCUAUCGAAGAGUCAAGACGAAAACGUGUGCCAACCCCUAUGCAUAAGUUCAUGAGGUCACAGAACUCGCAAGUUGAUCACCAAAACAUACAUCAAGUGGAUCACGUGAUAUCCCAUUGUCACCACAGAUAAGCACAUGCAAGACAUACAUCAAGUGUUCUCAAAUCCUUAAAGACUCAAUCCGAUAAGAUAACUUCAAAGGGAAAACUCAAUCCAUCACAAGAGAGUAGAUGGGGAGAAACAUCAUAAGAUCCAACUAUAAUAGAAAAGCUCGCGAUACAUCAAGAUCGUGCCGAAUCAAGAACACGAGAGAGAGAGAGAUCAAACACAUAGCUAUUGGUACAUACCCUCAGCCCCGAGGGUGAACUACUCCCUCCUCGUCAUGGAGAGCGCCGGGAUGAUGAAGAUGGCCGCCAGAGAGGGAUUCCCCCCUCCGGCAGGGUGCCAGAACAGGUUUAGAUUGGUUUUUGGUGGCUACGGAGGCUUCUGGCGGCGGAACUCCCGAUCUAGGUUUCUUUCUGGAAGUUUCAGUAUAUAUAAGAGGUUUUGGCAUCGAGAACAAGUCAGGGGGACUCCGGGCUGUCCACGAGGCAGGGUGGCGCGCCCCCCACCCUCGUAGGCAGCACGAGAUUCUUCUGGCCCAACUCUUUUACUCCAUGGCCUUCUUCUGGUCCAAAAAUAAGCUCCAUCAAGUUUCGGGUCAAUUGGACUCCGUUUGGUUUUCCUUUUCUACGAUACUCAAAAACAAGGAAAAAACAGAAACUGGCACUAGGCUCUAGGUUGAUAGGUUAGUCCCAAAAAUCAUAUAAAAUAGCAUAUAAAUGCAUAUAAAACAUACAAGGUUGAUAUAAUAGCAUGGAACAAUCAAAAAUUAUAGAUACGUUGGAGACGUAUCAAGCAUCCGCAAGCUUAAUUCCUGCUCGUCCUCGAGUAGGUAAAUGAUAAAAGCAGAAUUUUUGAUGUGGAAUGCUACUUAACAUAUUUAUCCAUGUAAUCUUCUUUAUUGUGGCAAGAAUAUUUAGAUCCAUAAGAUUCAAGACAAAAGUUUAAUAUUGACAUAAAAAUAAUAAUACUUCAAGCAUACUAACAAAGUAAUCAUGUCUUCUCAAAAUAACAUGGCCAAAGAAAGCUAUCCCUACAAAAUCAUAUAGUCUGGCUAUGCUCUAUCUUCAUCACACAAAAUAUUUAAAUCAUGCACAACCCCGAUGACAAGCCAAGCAAUUGUUUCAUACUUUUGAUGUUCUCAAACUUUUUCAAACUUCACACAAUACAUGAGCGUGAGCCAUGGACAUAGCAUUAUAAGUGGAAUAGAAUGGUGGUUUUGGAGGAGACAAAAAGGAGAAGAUAGUCUCAGAUAAACUAGGCGUAUCAACGGGCUAUGGAGAUGCCCAUCAAUAGAUAUCAACGUGAGUGAGUAGGGAUUGCCAUGCAACGGAUGCACUAGAGCUAUAAGUGUAUGAAAGCUCAAAAAGAAACUAAGUGGGUGUGCAUCCAACUCGCUUGCUCACGAAGACCUAGGGCAUUUUGAGGAAGCCCAUCAUUGGAAUAUAUAAGCCAAGUUCUAUAAUGAAAGAUUCCCACUAGUAUAUGAAAGUGACAACAUAGGAGACUCUCUAUCAUGAAGAUCAUGGUGCUACUUUGAAGCACAAGUGUGUUAAAAGGAUAGUAACAUUGCCCCUUCUCUCUUUUCUCUCUUUUUUUGUUUUUUGGGCCUUCUAUUUUUUAUGGCCUUUUUCUUUUUUUUUCGUCCGGAGUCUCAUCCUGACUUGUGGGGGAAUCAUAGUCUCCAUCAUUCUUUCCUCACUUGGGACAAUUCUCUAAUAAUGAUGAUCAUCACACUUUUAUUUACUUACAACUCAAGAAUUACAACUCGAUACUUAGAACAAAAUAUGACUCUAUGUGAAUGCCUCUGGCGGGGUACCGGGAUGUGCAAUGAAUCAAGAGUGACAUGUAUGAAAUGAUUAUGAAUGGUGGCUUUGCCACAAAUAUGAUGUCAACUACAUGAUCAUGCAAAGCAAUAUGACAAUGAUGAAGCGUGUCCUAAUAAACGGAACGGUGGAAAGUUGCAUGGAAAUAUAUCUCGGAAUGGCUAUGGAAAUUCCUUAAUAGGUAGGUAUGGUGGCUAUUUUAAGGAAGGUAAUGGUGGGUGAUAUGGUACCGGCGAAAGUUGUGCGGCACAAGAGAGGCUAGCAAUGGUGGAAGGGUGAGAGUGCGUAUAUUCCAUGGAAUCAACAUUAGUCUUAAAGAACUCACAUACUUAUUGCAAAAAUCUAUUAGUUAUCGAAACAAAGUACUACACGCAUGCUCCUAGGGGGAUAGAUUGGUAGGAAAAGACCGUCGCUCGUCCCCGACCUCCACUGAUAAGGAAGACAAUCAAGAAAUAAAUCAUGCUCCGACUUCAGCACAUAACGGUUCACCAUACGUGCAUGCUACGGGAAUCACAAACUUUAACACAAGUAUUUCUCAAAUUUACAACUACUCAACUAGCAUGACUCUAAUAUCACCAUCUUCAUAUCUCAAAACAAUCAUCAAGUAUCAAACUUCUCAUAGUAUUCAAUGCACUCUAUAUGGAAGUUUUUAUUAUAUCCCUCUUGGAUGCCUAUCAUAUUAGGACUAGUUUCAUAACCAAAGCAAACUACCAUGCUGUUAUAAAUACUCUCAAAAUAAUGUAAGUGAAGUAUGAGAGUUCAUCUAUUUCUUCAAAAUAAAACCACCGCCGUGCUCUAAAAAGAUAUAAGUGAAGCACUAGAGCAAACGACAAACUACUCCGAAAGAUAUAAGUGAAGAUCAAUGAGUAGUUGAAUAAUUAUGUAACUAUGUGAACACUCUCUAACAUUUAAGAAUUUCAGAUCUUGGGAUAUUAUUCGAACAGCAAGCAAAAACAUAAAAUAAAAUGACGCUCCAAGCAAAACACAUAUCAUGUGGUGAAUAAAAAUAUAGCUCCAAGUAAAGUUACCAAUGAACGAAGACGAAAGAGGGGAUGCCAUCCGGGGCAUCCCCAAGCUUAGGCUCUUGGUUGUCCUUGAAUAUUACCUUGGGGGUAACUUGGUAAUCCCCAAGCUUAGGCUCUUGCCACUCCUUGUUCCAUAGUGCAUCGAAUCUUUACCCAAAACUUGAAAACUUCACAACACAAAACUCAACAGAAAACUCGUAAGCUCCGUUAGUAUAAGAAAAUAAAUCACCACUUUUGGUAUUGUUGUGAAAUCAUUCUAAAUUCGUAUUGGUGUAAUAUAUACUAUAUUACAACUCAUAUAUGGUUCAUACCCUCCGAUACUACUCAUAGAUUCAUCAAAAUAAGCAAACAACACAUAGAAAACAGAAUCUGUCAAAAACAGAACAGUCUGUAGUAAUCUGGAUCAAAUGUAUACUUAUGGAACCUCAACAAUUCUAAAAUAAAUUUCUGGACAUGAGGAAUUUAUCUAUUAAUCAUCUGCAAAAAUAAUAAACUAAGUAGCACUCUCCAGUAAAACAUAGCAGCAAAUCUCGUGAACGCUAAAGUUUCUGUUUUUUUAUAGCAAGAUCGCAAAGACUUUCUGCAAGUCUUCCCAAAGGUUCUACUUGGCACAAACACUAAUUAAAACAUAAAAACUCAAUCAUAACAGAGGCUAGAUAAAUUAUUUAAUACUAAACGGGAACAAAAAUCAAGUAACAAAAAUAAAAUCGGGUUGCCUCCCAACAAGCGCUAUCGUUUAACGCACCUAGCUAGGCAUGAUGAUUUCAAUGAUGCUCACAUAAAAGAUAAGAAUUGAAACAUAAAGAGAGCAUCAUGAAGAAUAUAACUAGAACAUUUAAUUAUAACCCACUUCCUAUGCAUAGGGAUUUUGUGAGCAAACAACUUAUGGGAACAAGAAUCAACUUGCAUAGGAAGGUAAAACAAGCAUAACUUCCGGAUUUUAAGCACAUAGAGAGGAAACUUGAUAUUAUUGCAACUCCCACAAGCAUAUAUUCCUCCCUCAUAAUAAUUUUCAGUAGGAUCAUGAAUGAAUUCAACAAUAUAACUAUCACAUAAAGCAUUCUUUUCAUGAUCUACAAACAUAGAAAAUUUACUAUUCUCCACAUAAACAAAAUUCUUGUCAUUCGGAAUAGUGGGAGUAUCAUCAGAAACUCGAACACUAUAAAUUGUUUCCACAUUAAAAUAGUAAUGUUCAGAAAAAGGGUAAUAAUAAUAAUGACAAGUUUUAAUAUAAUCAGCACUACUUUUUAUAGCACACGUAUCAUCACAAUAAUUAUCAUAAGUAGCAACUUUGUUCUCGUCAUAAUCGAUUGAAACCUCUUCCAAGAUAGUGGAAUCAUUACUAAAUAAAGUCGUGACCUCUCCAAAUCCACUUUCAUAAUUAUCACAAUAAGAUUGAACACCCUCCAAAAUAGUGGGAUCAUUACUUCCUAAAGUUGACACUCUUCCAAACCCACUUUCAUCAAUAUAACUAUCAUAAAUAGGAGGCAUGCUGUCAUCAUAAUAAAUUUGCAUAUCAAAACUUGGGAGGUUAAAAGUAUUAUCUUCAUGAAACAUAGCAUCCCCAAGAUUGGAACAAACAUUAAUUGCAGAAAAUACAUUCUCAAACAUGUCAUUCUGAUCAAACAUAGCAUCCCCAAGCUUGGACCUUUUCAUAUCAUAAGCAUGAUCACUCUCAUCAUUAAUAGUAUGGAUAUCACCAAUAGUAUAGCAAUUAUCAUCGUCACAAUGAGUAAUAGGAGCAACAUCAUUUGGGAUGGGUACCUUUUUACCUUUGCUCCUCCAUCUUUUCUUUCUCUUCUUCACAUCAUGUGUGGGUUUAACCCUCUUUUUGGAGCUCCUUCUUAAUGAGAUUGGUUGAAUAGAAGGCUCCUCCUCGUUACCUGAUUCAUCAUAAGAAAUAAUAGGAGGAUAUUGGGAAGUCUCUUCCCUUUCAUUAGUAUUCUCUUCAUCUUCUAUUUGUUUUCUUAUCUUUAUGUAAUUGGCAAUAUAAGGAUUUUCAAUGCAAUUCACCGCACAAUACAUGAAAAUUUCUUCUAAAUCAAAAUCAAGAAAACUAUCAAGAUUAAAUUUUGGAAUACCCUCAGUUAUACGUUUCAUUUCUUCAUACCCCAAAAGAAGACUAAGCUCUUUAUGGUGCUCAAGGGUAAUCAAGUUAUCACAAUUUUUGGACACGAUUUGAUCAUGAAACAAAUAGCAUUGGAGCUUUAAAUGACCAUGUUCAUUGCAAAGUUCACAAGGAUGGCGAUAAAUAUUGAAUCUUUCAGCACAAACAUCUAGCCUUUCUUGCAACCAUUUAGUUUCCAAAUACUUAUGCCUCUUGCAAAAUCUAUCUUCCCUAUUUGGUGUGUGCUUGCAAGCUCUAUGUAUUCCACAAAAGUUGACAUGCUUAUAAGAGACAUUUUCAUCAUGACCAGUGCAAUCAUCAUUAGUAUUAUGGAUAUUCAAAGAGUUCAUACUAAUAACAUUGCAAUCAUGCUCAUCAUUCAAAGAUUUAGUGCCUAACAUUCUAAUGCAUUCUUCUUCUAACACAUUGGCACAAUUAUCGGAAUCCUUAUUUUCAUGAAAGACAUUAAAAAGAUAAAGCAUAUGAGGUACCCUUAAUUUCAUUUUUAGUUUUCUUUUAUAGACUAAACUAGUGAUAAAACAAGAAACUAAAAGAUUCGAUUGCAAGAUCUAAAGAUAUACCUUCAAGUGCUAACCUCCCCGGCAACGGCGCCAGAAAAGAGCUUGAUGUCUACUAUAGAACCUUCUUCUUGUAGACGUUGUUGGGCCUCCAAGUGCAGAGGUUUGUAGGACAGUAGCAAAUUUCCCUCAAGUGGAUGACCUAAGGUUUAUGUAUCCAUUGGAGGCGUAGGAUGAAGAUGGUCUCUCUCAAACAACCCUGCAACCAAAUAGCAAUGAGUCUCUUGUGUCCCCUACACACCCAAUACAAUGGUAAAUUGUAUAGGUGCACUAGUUUGGCGAAGAGAUGGUGAUACAAGUGCAAUAUGGAUGGUAGAUAUACGUUUUUGUAAUUUGAAAGUAUAAAAACAGCAAGGUAACUAAUGACAAAAGUGAGCAAAAACGGUAGUGCAAUGCGUUGAAACAAGGCCUAGGUUUCAUGCUUUCACUAGUGCAAGUUCUCUCAACAAUAAUAACAUAAUUAGAUCAUAUAACUAUCCCUCCACAUGCAACAAAGAGUCACUCCAAAGUCACUAAUAGUAGAGAACAAACGAAGAGAUUAUUGUAGGGUAUGAAACCACCUCAAAGUUAUUAUUUUCGAUCAAUCCAUUGGGCUAUUCCUAUAAGUGUCACAAACAACCAUAGAGUUCGUAGUAAAAUAACACCUUAAGACACAAAUCAACCAAAACCCUAAUGUCACCUAGAUACUCCAAUGUCACCUCAAGUAUCCACGGGCAAGGUUGGAAAAAGCGGUAGGCGUAAGCGAGGCGGUUGGCCUUUGCCUAGUGCCUAGGCGGUGUCUAAGCGCCCUAGGCGCGGCCUAGACGGUGAUAUCGUUUUUACUCGUAGUGCAUUUAUGAUUAUUAUAUGGGUGUUGAUAUUAGUUUAGGGCAUAUAAAUAAGUUAAUUACCAUCUACUGCCAUUGGAAUAUAACCCGUUUGGCAUACCAGUGUAGUAUGUGGCAUGAUUUCUUGCUUGGGUAGGCAAUUCCUUGCUUGCCCUGCCUAGACCUCCAUUUAUGCCCUAGGCGAGGCGUUUGACCAUUGCCUAGUGCCUAGGCGCGCCUAAGCGCCUCCUAGGCACUGCCUUUUCCAACAGAGUCCACGGGUAUGAUUAUACGAUAUGCAUCACACAAUCUCAGAUUUAUCUAUUCAACCAACACAAAGAACUUCAAAGAGUGCCCCCAAAGUUUCUACUGGAGAGUCAAGACGAAAACAUGUGCCAACCCCUAUGCAUAAGUUCACGAGGUCACAGAACUCACAAGUUGAUCACCAAAACAUACAUCAAGUGGAUCACGUGAUAUCCCAUUGUCACCACAGAUAAGCACAUGCAAGACAUACAUCAAGUGUUCUCAAAUCCUUAAAAACUCAGUCCGAUAAGAUAACUUCAAAGGGAAAACUCAAUCCAUUACAAGAGAGUAGAGGGGGAGAAACAUCAUAAGAUCCAACUAUAAUAGCAAAGCUCGUGAUACAUCAAGAUCGUGCCGAAUUAAGAACACGAGAGAGAGAGAGAUCAAACACAUAGCUACUGGUACAUACCCUCAGCCCCGAGGGUGAACUACUCCCUCCUCGUCAUGGAGCCCGCCGGGAUGAUGAACAUGGCCGUCGGAGAGGGAUUCCCCCCCUCCGACAGGGUGCCGGAACGGGUCUAGAUUGGUUUUCGGUGGCUAUGGAGGCUUCUAGUGGUGGAACUCCCGAUCUAGGUUUCUUUCUGGAAGUUUCAGUAUAUAUAAGAGGUUUUGGCAUCGAGAACAACUCAGGGGGGGUCUCGGACUGUCCACGAGGCAGGGAGGCAUGCCCAGGGGGGUGGGCGCGCCCACCACCCUCGUGGGCAGCCCGAGAUUCUUCUAGCCCAACUCUUUUACUCCAUAGCCUUCUUCUGGUCCAAAUAUAAGCUCGUCAAGUGUCAGGUCAAUUGGACUCCGUUUGGUUUUCCUUUUCUGCGAUACUCAAAAACAAGGAAAAAACAAAAACUGGCACUAGGCUCUAGGUUAAUAGGUUAGUCCCAAAAAUCAUAUAAAAUAGCAUAUAAAUGCAUAUAAAAAUCCAAGGUUGAUAAUAUAAUAGCAUGGGACAAUAAAAAAUUAUAGAUACGUUGGAGACGUAUCACUAGGCUCGUCAAGUUUAACCCGAGUAUUCUGCACGUGCAAAACUGGCUUGCACCCAUUGUAUGUGAACAUAGAGCUUAUCACACCCGAUCAUCAUGUGUUGUCUCGGCACGACGAACUGUCACAAUGGUGCAUACUCUGGGAGAACACUUAUACCUUGAAAUUUAGUGAGGGAUCAUCUUAUAAUGCUACCGCCAUACUAAGCAAAAUAAGAUGCAUAAAAGAUAAACAUCGCAUGUAAUCAAAAUAUGCGACAUGAUAUGGCCAUCAUCAUCUUGUGCCUUUGAUCUCCAUCUCCAAAGCACCGUCAUGAUCUCCAUCGUCACUAGCUUGACACCUUGAUCUCCAUCGUAGCAUCUUUGUCGUAUCGCCAACUAUUGCUUCUAUGACUAUCGCUAACGCAUAGUGAUAACGUAAAGUAAUUACAUGGCGAUUGCAUUCCAUACACUAAAGCAACAACCAUAAGGCUCCUGCCAGUUGCCGAUAACUUUUACAAAACAUGAUCAUCUCAUACAACAACGUAUAUCACAUCAUGUCUUGACCAUAUCACAUCACAACAAACCCUACAAAAACAAGUUAGACGUCCUAUACUUUGUUGUUGCAAGUUUUACAUGGCUGCUACGGGCUUCUAGUAAGAACCGUUCUUACCUACGCAUCAAAACCACAACGAUUUUUCGUCAAGUGUGCUGUUUUAACCUUCAACAAGGAUCGGCCGUAGUCAAAUUCGAUUCAACUGAAGUUGGAGAAACAGACACCCGCCAGCCACCUUUAUGCAAAAAAAGUUGCAUGUUUGUCGAUGGAACCAAUCUCUUGAAUGUGGUCAUGUAAGGUUGGUCCGGGCCGCUUCAUCCAACAAUACUACCGAAUCAAAAUAAGACAUUGGUGGUAAGUAGUAUGACUAUGAUCGCCCACUACUCUUUGUGUUCUACUCAUGCAUAUCAUCUACGCAUAGACCUGACUCUGAUACCACUGUUGGGGAAUGUAGCAUGCAAUUUCAAAAAAAAAUCUACGAUCACGCAAGAUUUAUCUAGGAGAUACAUAGCAACAAGAGGGGGUGAAUGUGUCCAUGUACCCUCGUAGACCGAAAGAGGAAGUGUUAGGUUAACUGUAAGUGCAUCUAGUGCCACCCCUAGUUGGUUUUGGAGUAUUGACGACAAACCUAGUUGAGGGACUAAUGUGUUUGUGAGAAUUACAGGAUAACACAGGUAGAAGUCCCUCAUUGAUUCGGUUUUCCCACCAGAGAUGACCCCUAAAAAUGUAAGAAGACAUUGAAGACAAAGGUGGUAUGUGAAGACAUUCACAUUGAAGACUAUGACAAGAGAAGACAUCGCAUGAAGACUAUGGAGCGCGAAGACUUAGUUCUUUCGUCGUUCUUUUUCUUCUUUGUUUAGUCAUAGGAACCACCGUACUGUUAAGUGGGGUCCAAGAGAACCAGUCAGAAUGACUGAAGUGAUGCUUAACCAAAAUCCUAUGUCUUCGAGUGAAGACUAUGAGAGCAAAUCUUGUCCAUAGUUGGAUAAGUAUAAUGCCCUCGAUGCGGCUAUAUCUCCCACGUGUCGAAGCACGACUUAGAGGCAUAACCGCAUUGAAAGCAAUGUCGCAAGUGAGGUAAUCUUCACACAACCCAUGUAAUACAUAAGGGAAAGAGAUACAUAGUUGGCUUACAAUCGCCACUUCACACAAUUACAUGAGUAAAGCAUUACAACAUCCAAAUACAAUCAAGGUCCGACUACGGAACCAAAAUAAAAGAAGAACCCCAAAUGCGACAUAGAUCCCCGAUUGACCCCAACUGGGAUCCACUACUGAUCCAUUAGAACGAAACAACACAAAGGACAAGAUCUUCAUCGAGCUCUUCCUUGAGCUUGGUUGCGUCAUCUGCACGGCAACCUCGACACCCGCAAGCUGGUUUUGGAAGUAUCUGUGAGUCACAGGGACUCAGCAAUCUCACACUCUCGCGAUCAAGACUAUUUAAGCUUAUAGGAAGGGUAAAAGGUAUGAGGUGGAGCUGCAGCAAGCGACUAGCAUAUAUGGUGGCUAACAUACACAAAUGAGAGCGAGAAGAGAAGGCAAAGCACGGUGGAUAAAAGUAUGAUCAAGAAGUGAUCCUAGAACAACCUACGUCAAGCAUAACUCCAACACCGUGUUCACUUCCCGGACUCUGCCGAGAAGAGACCAUCAUGGUUACACACGCGGUUGAUGCAUUUUAAUUAAGAUCAACUUUAGGUUUUCUACAACCGGACGUUAACAAAUUUCCAUCUGCCCAUAACCGCGGGCACGGCUUUCGAAAGUUCAAAUCCCUGCAGGGGUGUCCCAACUUAGCCCAUCACAAGCUCUCACGGUCAACGAAGGAUAUUCCUUCUAGCGGGAAGACCCGAUCAGGCUCGGAAUCCCGGUUACAAGACAUUUCGACAAUGGUAAAACUAAACCAGCAACACCGCCCGAAUGUGCCGACAAAUCCUGAUAGGAGCUGCACAUAUCUCGUUCUCAGGGCACACCGGAUUAUCCAAGGUAUAGGUAGACCAGCCCAGAGUUGCCCCUGGUGGCCACCGGCAGCUGACAGGUUGGACCAACACUCAGAGGAGCACUGGCCCGGGGGGGGGGGUAAAAUAGAGAUGACCCUCGAGAGCGCGACUCCCAAGGGAAAAGAAAAGGCUAGGUGGCGAAUGGUAAAACCAAGGUUGGGCCUUGCUGGAGGAGUUUUAUUCAAAGCGAACUGUCAAGGGGUUCCCAUUAUAUCCCAACCGUGUAAGGAACACAAAAUCCGGGAACAUAACGCCGAUAUGACGGAAACUAGGGCAGCAAGAGUGGAACAAAACACCAUGCAUAAGGCCGAGCCUUCCACCCUUUACCAAGUAUAUAGAUGCAUUAAUUAGAUAAGAGAUAUUGUGAUAUCCCAACAAGUAAACAUGUUCCAACAAGGAACAACAUCUCCAUGUUCCAACAAGGAACAAACUUCAAUCUUCACCUGCAACUAACAACGCUAUAAGAGGGGCUGAGCAAAGUGGUAACAUAGCCAAACAACGGUUUGCUAGGAAAAGGAGGGUUAAAGGCUUGGUUUCACAAUAUGGGAGGCAUGAUAAGCAAGUGGUAGGUAUCACAGCAUAGGCAUAGCAAAAGAGCAAGCAACUAGCAAGCAAAUAUAGAAGUGAUUUCGAGGGUAUGGUCAUCUUGCCUGAAAUCCCGCAAGGAAGAAGAACGAGUCCAUGAAGAAGACAAACAGACAUAGCCAAACGAAUCCUCACAAACGCAACGUUAUCGGAACCAACCCGAAGAAGCAACACCGGAAAGGAGCAAACAACAUAGUAAACAACCAUCACAUAAUCAUGGCACGAUGCGCAAACAAGUAUGAUGCAUCCGGGUUAAUGAGGCAUGGCAUGGCAAAGUGCUCAAACGAUCCUACAAAUUAAGUGGAGCUCAUUAUGCAACUCCGUUGGAUAUUGAUGAAACACCACAUUCAAGUUAUUUAGUUUCGAUCUUGUUUAUGUACCCAACAAUAUUAAAUGUUGUUAAACAUGGCAAGAGGUGAAGCAUAAUGAAACUAUCUAUCUAGGCAAGUUUAAAUGAGGCCGGAACAACAAAACAGCAAGUCCGGAAACUCCUCAUGUGCAUAUAUUAGGUUUGGUACUGUUCUGCCCUAAACAAAAUUUUAGAGUUAUUAAACAUGUAAAACAAGUACACCAUGUUAAACUAGGCAUUUUUCCACCCCAUUUACAUAUAAAGUUUAUUAAAUUCGGAGCUACGGUUAUUUAGUUAUGAAUUAAAGCAUUUUAGCAAGACAUAAGAGCAAAUUUAAACAAACAACAUUUUAAAUAUUUUAACCAUGGAUGAAAAUGACAUAUUAUAAAACUAGAUGAAAUUCUAAGCAAGUUUCAUAUACAAAGUUUUUACAUGUGAUGCACCGUUUGUGAGAUAUGAUAUACAUGAUGUAUGAGGGCUGAUCUGCAAAAGUGCAGUGCCCUGGAAAUUGAUAAAAUCGUAGCUAAGGAAAAAAACCUAACAGGCUGAAACUAAGCAGAGGCCCAACAGGGAAUAAAGAAAGAGAAGAAAGAACAAAAAAACACAGGAGGCGCUGGGCCUCACCAUGGGCUUCGGCCCAGUCAGGAAGAGGCUUUGGGCAUGCCGGCUGCUGGGCUCAGCUCACUCGAUCUGGCCCACGCGCGAGACAAAGUGGCUGUCGGUUGAGAGGGUCAGCGAGGUAGAGUCGGUCAACGAAGCUGGGCGUUGCGAGCGCUCCCUGAUCCAUCGUUUCCGAAGAAGAAAAAGGACGCCAAGCCCGGCGUGGAGCACUGGCGAGAUGCGGGCGAGGGAGUCGAGCGGCGCUGCUACUGGCGGGCUUGUGGCAACGCGAACGAGCAGGACGGAGAGGAAGCAGUGGCGCUGGGUGAGCAUUCUGCUUGACCAAAACGAAGCAGGCGGCAGUGGGUGAAGCAGGGGACUUGGCGGGCGGCGCAGGCGCAGGGGCUUGAGCAGGACGCCGACGAGGGAACUUGGGGCUCCGGCAGCGCCGGGAACACGCAGACGGGUGGAUCCGGUCCGCUGGCGCCGGAUCCGGGCAAACGGCAGCGCGGACAGAGGAGCUUGGGCGCAGCGGCGCUCGGCAAGGCCAUGGCGCGGGCUCCUGUCGACAGAGAAAAAGAGAACAGAGAGAGAUGAGAGAGGGGAAACACAGGGAGGAAAAUGGGAAGAAGAAGAAGGGGGGCGACGCUCAUCUGGUUGGCUGCUGGGCAUGAGCGAGGCCGGCGAGGCGGCGGCAGGAGGGCUCAAUGGAUGCCAUGGCUGGGAGCUGCAGUCACCGACGCGGACGACAGACGCACGGCGGCGCAGCAGGGGCACGCUGGGAACGGCAUGGGAAUGGAGGCAGCACAGCAGGGGCACGGCGGGAACGCGUGGGAAUGGAGGCAGCACAGCAGGGGCACGGCGGGAACGCGUGGGAAUGGAGGCAGCGCAGCAGGGGCACGGCGGGAACACGUAGGCCGGCGGUGACUUCCAUGGCGCCGGUGUGCUCCUGUGAAGAGAGCAAAGAGAGAGACGAGGUGAGGGGAGAACCAGAGAGGGAAAAAGAAAGACGGAGGGAGAGAGAGGAACAAGGAGGGUCCACGGCAAGCAAUUCCUGCUGGUGCUCGGCGUCGAGGCUCGCCGGGGCAGAGAAGGAGCUCCUCUCCUUUGGACUUGAGCGAAGCAAGGAGGAAGACGCAUCGAGAGGGAGAAGAGCUCGGGCGCGGGGCUGCGUGGAUGGAUUGGAUCUAGGUGUGGCUGAUGGUUGGUGCAGGGGGAAUGAGAGGAUCCCGAGGUGGGGAAUGAGUGCGGCGGCGGCGGCCGGGAGGAUCCCUAGAAAUUAGGGAUUUGGUCUUGGGUUAGGCUAAAAUAUAUAGAGAGUGGUAAGGUUAGGGGUUACUCGAGCCCUCCGAUCGCAAUCGGACGAUCGCGAAUAAAAUAGCUAGGGAGUCCAAAUAAGAAAACAGUGAUGUUUUGUAGAUGUUUGGGGAUGAUCCGGACACAACGGUGACGACUGUCCGGGUCGCGUCCGGGACAACUUUCAGACGCGCGCGCGAGGAGGGCCGCGGGCUGACGGGAGAAGUUAGGUUGGGCCUGGCAGUAGGUAGUGGACUGUGCAGAAGGCCUCAGGCUGAGAAAAGGGAAGAGAGAAGGCCCGACGACUGUUUCCGGAGACCGAAAACAUCCGACGUUUGACCGACUAUAUUGUCGCUAUAGUUAAUUGUUGGUACGUCAAACGAACUCCGAAUACGAUGAAACUUGACAGACGGUCUAUCUACACUAUAAUAAGACCACACGCCAACUUUCAUCCCAUUCCGAGAACAUUUUCCGGCAACUUAUAAAAUAAUAUCUCGGACAUGCCUCGGGCGCGUGCAAGUGUGUCUGGGCUCAGAACGGACAACGGAAGGAACGAGGAGACCGGGACGGAUGCAAGUUUUGAAAACAUGAUGAUGCAAUGCACAUGAUGACAUGAUAUGAAAUGCAUGACACGCAAGCAAAGACAAGGCAACAACAGCGAAUAACUAGAGGACACCUGGCACAUCGGUCUCGGGGCGUUACAAUAAGUCAGCUUUGCUUGUAGCCCAAGUAAAGUUGCCGUGUGUGUUUGAAAUCUGACCGUUGGAACACAUGUCAGUUCCUUAGUGACCAAGGGUCAUUUCGGACAAAUCAGGUCGGGUUGCCUAGUGGCUAUAAAUAGCCCACCCCCUACAACCAUAAACGGUUAGCUGCUCAGAGUUAGAGUACGACUUUUGUCGUUUGAGAGCAACCCACCUUGAAGCCUUUGAGAGAGAAUUCCUUGCGAGGAUAAAGCCCUAAACACCCAGAGCCAAAGAGUGUUAGGCAUCACUUAAGUGUUCCUGUCUGUGUGAUCUGAAGACUUAUUACACUUGAGGACUGUGAAUCCUCCAGCCGGUUAGGCGUCGCGUUCUGAGCAUCCACGAGUCAUUGUGGACCGCCGGUGAACAAAGUCUGUGAAGGUUUGGAAGUCUACCUUGAAGACUUACCAGAGUGAUUGGGCGAGGACUGGGUGUCCUUAGCUCAAGGGGAAUAAGGUGAAGACGAGGUAUUCUGAGUUAAAUCUCAGCCUCCCCAACCAGACGUACAGUUGUCACAGCAACUGGAACUGGUCCAACAAAUCAUUGUCUUCAACGAGUCACUGGUUUCAUCCUUCCCUUCCCUUUGCUUACUGGUGGUCCUUGUGAAUUCAUUGUAUGAUUGCAUUAUCUUUUGUCUUCACUGAGUGACUACUUGUUCUGAUUGGCUUCACAAUAUCUUCCUACCUGAUCUUACUGCCUAGCUGCUAUUAGUCAUUAUGCUUUCACUUCAUUGAAUACUUGACUAUGGUUUGCCUAGUGUAGUCUACCUUCCGCUGCAUGGUAAUAGGUUUAUUUCUAUCGUUUGUCUUCGAAACUUCCAUGUUUUGAAGACUUUCAUAAAAAUCUCCUAUUCACCCCCCUCUAGUCGAUCACUAGCACUUUCAAUUGGUAUCAGAGCAAGGUGCUCUCUUGUUCUUUGUGAUUCGGGUUAACCACCUGGAGUUUUAGCUAUGUCGACUGCAGGGAUAAUUAAGGUCUCCGCUGCUUGCCCCGUCUUCGAUGGAACUAAAUAUCCCUACUGGAAGAAUAAGAUGCGCAUGCAUCUUGAAGCCAUUGAUGUCGACCUAUGGUAUGCCAUCAAGAAUGGCGUUCCCAAGGCUGGUGAAGGUGUCACCGCUACUGAUGUCAAGAAGUUCGUUCAACUGGACUCCACUGCCAAGAACAUCAUCUGUGGUCAUCUGACCAAAGGACAGUAUGGCCGCGUGAGUGCUUUGGAGACAUCUAAGCUAGUCUGGGACUGGCUCUCCAAGGUCAAUGAAGGCGUCUCAACCCAGAGAGAUCAGAGAAUCAGUGUCCUUCGCAACCUCUUCAACCGCUUCAAGAGAAAUGACAAUGAGAACGUCCAGCUCACGUUUGAUCGACUCACUGACAUCACUAAUGAGCUUCAAGCUCUCGGCGCCACUGAGAUCACCAAGCAUGAAGUCGUCAAGACACUCCUGAGAUCACUUGACAGCUCGUUUGACACCCUAGCCCUAAUGAUUCAAGAACGUCCUGAUUUCAAGACACUCGAUCCGUCUGACAUACUUGAGAGGCUCAACACACAUGAGUUUCAGCUUUCUGAGAAAAGAGACAUCUACGGUCCCAACUAUGGGUGAACUCGUGCCUUGAAGGCAAAAGCUGUCUCCUCAUCUGAAGAAGAAUCUGACAGUAGUUCUGAUGAUCCUGAAGACAUUGGAAAGGAGCUUUCUAUGCUUGUGAAGAAGUUUCAAAAAUUCACCAAGAAGAAAGGCUUCAGAAAGUCUUCACGAUCAAGCUCAAGAAAUGAUGAAGCUUCUACUCAUGACCACAAAAAGAGAACAUGCCACAAGUGCAAGAAACCUGGCCACUACAUCUUUGAGUGUCCGCAGUGGGACAAUGAGAACAACAAGAAGAAGAAGAGCAAGGAAUAUGACUCUGACGACAAGAAGAAGAAGAAAUACUCAAAGUCUUCUUCCAAGUCUUCCUCAAAGUCUUCAUCACACAAGAAGAGCUCAUCUGGCAAGGCACGUGCGUUUGUUGGCAAGGAAAUGGAUUCAGAGGAGGAGUCCGCUUCUGAGGAGGCGGAGGUGGAGUCCGAGGAGGAGUCCGAUUCUGGCGUUGCGAGUCUGGCUACAGCAUACGUUGCCAAGUCCAUCUUCAACACUGAAGACAAUGACUUCAUCACUAACACCGAUGCAAAUGACAAGGACUACUCCGCUCCUACCUACUGCUUCAUGGCACGCGGUGCCAAGGGUACGACACCAGCUAUUUCAGAAUGGAUUAUUGAUAGUGGGCGUACCAAUCACAUGACUGGCAAGCGAAGCCUUCUUAUGGACUCAACACUACGCCCAUCUGACAAAAGUCACAUCACAUUUGCUGACACUGGUAAAAGCAAGGUAUUGGGUCUAGGUAGACUUGCAAUCUCAAAGGAUCAACACAUGGAUAAAGUCAUGCUUGUUGAAUCCCUUGGUUUCAACUUAAUGUCUGUUUCAAUGCUUUGUGAUUUAAACAUGAUUGUGAGGUUUGGAAAAUAUCGUUGCCUUGUACUAAUGGAAUCUGACAAGUCUCUAGUGUUUUAAGGGUAUCGGAAAGAUGAUUUGUACAUGGUAGAUUUCUCAGCAGGACCACAACUUGCCGUAUGUCUUCUAGCAAAAGCUUCUGAAUGCUGGCUCUGGCAUCGGAGGCUAGGACAUGCUGGCAUGAGGAACCUCCACACCCUUGCAAGGAAGAAGCAUGUCAUAGGCAUCGAGGGCGUCAAGUUCAAGAAGGAUCACUUAUGCGGUGCCUGUGAAGUAGGAAAGAUGACGAGGGCCAAGCAUCCCUCGAAGACAAUCAUGACAACGACUCAACCCUUCGAACUGCUCCACAUGGAUCUUUUCGGUCCCAUUCAUUACUCAACUCUUACUACUACUGCUUGUCUCUAUGGCUUUGUCAUUGUUGAUGAUUAUUCAAGAUAUACUUGGGUGCAUAUAAUCCUCUACAAGACUGAAGUGCAGGAUGUCUUCAGACGCUUCGCCAAUCGAGCCAUGAACAACUAUGGCAUCAAGAUCAAGCACAUCAGAAGUGACAAUGGCACUGAAUUCAAGAACACCGGUCUAGACACUUAUCUUGAUACUGUGGGCAUUACACAUGAAUUCUCAGCUCUGUACACACCACAGCAGAAUGGCGUCAUGGAACGCAAGAACAUAACACUUAUUGAGAUGGCCCGGACGAUGCUUGAUGAAUACAAGACUCCAAGAAAGUUCUGGCCUGAGGCCAUUGAUACUGCAUGCCAUAUCAUCAACCAUGUUUAUCUUCACAAGCUUCUCAACAAGACAUCCUAUGAGCUCCUUAUUGGCAAGAAGCCAAAUGUCAGUUACUUCAGAGUAUUUGGUGCCAGGUGCUGGAUCAAGGAUCCACAUCACACUUCAAAAUUUGCACCGAAAGCACAUGAAGGUUUUAUGCUUGGAUAUGGAAAGGAUUCACACUCCCACAGAGUCUUCAACCUCUUUCAUUAUAAAGUGGUUGAAACAGUGGAUGUGCGGUUCGAUGAGACUAACGGCUCACAAAGAGAGCACCUGCCAAAUGUGCUAGAUGAAGUUCCAUCCAGUGAAUCAAUCAAACUUAUGGGAACUGGAGAAAUCAUACCUUCUGAAGCUCAGCCUGAAGAGGAACUUAUCUUCUCCGCACUGAUCGACCUGAAGACAAUGAUCAAACUGAAGACAAUGCUCAUCCUGAAGACAAUCCUUCUAACGAUGACAAUGAUCAACAAGAGCAAAAUCUUCGUCCUGUACAUCCUCAUGUUGCAAAUGAAGUACAGAUUGAGAAAAUAAUUGAUAGCAUCAAUGCACCAGGUCCACUCACUCGUUCAAGGGAAACACAGCUAGCAAAUUUCUGUGGGCACUUCGCAUUCGUCUCAAUAUCUGAACCAAGAAAGUUGAAGAAGCCUUCAUGGAACCUGAAUGGAUUCAAGCUAUGCAAGAAGAGCUUCAACAAUUUGAGCUGAAUAAUGUAUGGGAACUAGUUAAGCGUCCUGAUCCCCGCAAGCACAAUAUAAUAGGCACCAAAUGGAUAUAUCGCAACAAGCAAGAUGAGCAUGGUCAAGUUGUCAGAAACAAAGCUCGUCUUGUUGCUCAAGGGUACACUCAAGUUGAAGGGAUUGACUUCGAUGAAACCUUUGCUCCUGUGGCCAGACUUGAAGCCAUACGCAUACUGCUGGCCUAUGCAAAUCAUCAUAACAUUCUUUUGUAUCAAAUGGAUGUGAAGAGCGCUUUUCUCAAUGGCAAGAUUGACGAAGAAGUGUAUGUUGCACAACCGCCUGGCAUUGAAGAUCCAAAACAUCCUGACAUGGUGUACAAGCUCAACAAGGCACUGUAUGGCCUCAAACAAGCCCCUCGGGCUUGGUAUGACACACUCAAAUACUUCCUGAAGAGCAAAGGCUUCAAACCUGGUUCCCUCGACCCCACUCUCUUCACGAAGGCAUAUGAUGGUGAACUGUUUGUGUGCCAAAUAUAUGUGGAUGACAUUAUCUUCGGCUGCACCAAUCAGAAAUACAUAAACGAGUUUGGAUAUAUGAUGCAAGAGCAAUAUCAGAUGUCCAUGAUGGGUGAGCUGAAGUUCUUCCUUGGUCUUCAAAUACGUCAGCAACACAACGAAAUCUUCAUAUCUCAAGAGAAGUACCUCAAAGAUUGCCUGAAGAAAUUUGGGAUGCAAGACUGCAAGGGCUUCACGACGCCAAUGCCAGCCAAACAUCAUCUGGGUCCCGACGACAAUGGUAAAGAGUUUGAUCAAAAGGUAUAUCGCUCCAUGAUUGGUUCCUUGCUUUAUUUAUGUGCAUCUAGGCCAGAUAUCAUGCUUAGUGUUUGCAUGUGUGCUCGAUUCCAAGCGGCACCAAAGGAAUCGCAUCACUUAGCUGUGAAGCGAAUUCUUAGAUAUUUGGCUCACACCCCAACACUAGGAUUAUGGUCUCCAAAGGGCUCAGAAUUUGAUCUGGUUGGAUUCUCGGAUGCUGAUUAUGCUGGUGACAAGGUGGAUCGCAAGUCUACAUCAGGCACAUGUCAUUUUCUAGGACGAUCACUUGUAUGUUGGUCUUCAAAGAAGCAGAACUGUGUAUCUCUCUCCACUGCUGAAUCUGAAUACACUGCUGCUGGAUCUUGCUGCGCUCAGCUUCUGUGGAUGAAGCAAACACUGAAAGAUUAUGGCAUUCAUCUGAAGCAAGUGCCACUGUACUGCGACAAUGAAAGCGCCAUCAAGAUUGCCAACAACCCAGUUCAGCACUCGAAGACAAAGCACAUUGAUAUUCGUCAUCACUUUCUCAGAGAUCAUGUUGUGAAGGAAGAUAUUGAUAUCAUACACGUCAACAUUGAAGAGCAAUGGCAGAUAUCUUCACCAAGCCCUUGGAUGAGAAGAGGUUUUGCAAGUUACGAUGUGAGCUAAAUAUUUUGGAAUCCUCAAAUGUCCUGUGAUCAGGCACACAUCCUAACACUUAUGCAUAUUGAUGACUUAGAUGUGCAACACAUGAAGUAAAGUAUAUCUUCAAUCAAUGAAGACUUACUUUCUAAGUGUGAAUACAUUAAUGUGGAAUUUGACUUCGGAGCGCCACGAUAAUUGUGCGCCGUGUCUGAGUCUAAUACUUCCUAUACGGUGGGUAACACCACCACCAAAUUUUUCUGUUUGAAGUGUUUUCGCUCAUGGCAUUACGUUCGGUAUGUCUUCACAUUUGGUUUGGCUUCAAUCUCAACUUGUCUUCAUGAUUAUCUUCACGAUGUUGAUUUGAUUGUCUUUCUUAGAUAUACAUAUAUAUACUAGUGUUCUGUCCUCUACAUAAUUCACUUAUAUCUAUAUCUUCUUGUUGAAUAUUUUGAACUAAGUGAAUGUGAUCGGACCCUAACCUCUCUAUGCUUUCUAUCUCAAACUCUAUCUCUCCAAAUCAUAUGCAUUCUAUUGAAACUGUCGAAUAUCUUCUCUGCAUCCUUGUCAGCAGAAGAUACAGAGACAAACAUUAUGUCCGUUUUCAAUGCUAAUUCCUUCACCUGAAACCCGGAGGAGUGGGAACGACCACCCGACAAUCCGGGCAUGCGUGGGAAUGUGGAACAACCUCCGAUAUGUUGCAUGAUGGCCACGUGUCCUUCAUAUGUGAAACGCUAGGGGCACCUGUGUAAUAACACUGUGCCAUCCCUGUCUCUAUAAAUACACGCCUCACCACAGUCAUUAUCCUUUAUUCCACUCUCGCGCAAACCCUAGCGCCACCGCUAGCCCUUGACGACGCCGGCGACGAAGCGCAUAGUUGCCUCGACCUCACCGACGCCGUCUUCACGCCGGCCGCGGAGAUCGUCUUCUCCGCCAUCGCCGUAGGUGUCCUCCGUCGCCAAGUUAGGGCACGGACGAUCAAUCUUCUCGGCCUCCUCUCCCACUCCGUCUAGCAGUUCUUUGUGUGGUAAAUAAAACUUCCUUUUCACGGCCCCCUUGAUCCUAUAGAUUCAUCACUUUCUACCAUAAGCAGUUUCUGUUCACACAAGUUGGAUCUAUUUCAUACUACGUCUCAUAAUAUUCCUAGUAUGUUCACUUAUGCUUCACAAAGUAGUUAGAUUCCUCACUUGUACUUAUUCGUGGAUUCGUACAAAUCUGGAACCAACUCUCUAUCUAUGAGUGAAUGUCUUCGCACUAUGAGGUCAAUGUCUUCUAAACUGAUUUAUCUUCAAAAUCUUCUGAGAAUGCAUAUGACCUCUUCCCCUUCCCUCGCACCUUAAUGCUGUCACAGGUACAUGUCCGUGGGAGAAUCCCUUGGUUCUCAUAGUCUGCAUUCAUUUGCAGAAUUCUUACAGCAUCAUAUAAAUUCUCCCGAAGCCAGUUCCUGCUUAACCAGCAAGCGAAAGCCUUUGAAACCUUUGAACGCAUUGAAGCCAUUCAGUUUGAAGAUCAUGGCUACAGAGAAAUCAGCAAGGAAGGGUGGUAGAAGGCGUCGAGGUGGAACAUCAAGAGAUUUGCCCGAUGACCUCUCAGAGCUGUACAAGACAGAUCCAUAAGAGGAUUACACUCAGCGCAAGACAUGAAUCCAAUGGAUUCGACAAUAUUGGGCAGAACAGUGGUUCAAGUACAGGUUUGUGACCAAGGAAUAUGCUGAGAAGAAUGCCAUCAAGCGACCAUGGGGAGACAUCCUAUACAGAAAUCUUCAACCAAGGGUCCAGAGAUGAAGCCAUUGAACAAGGCUUCUAUCCCUGCAUGGUCUGUGGACCACAGCCUGCGGAUGCAGACCCAUCGUCAUUGCUAUGGUGUCGUGACGACAAUCUGUUCAAGCGCAACUUCCAAUUUGCCAAGAAUUCGGUGAAGCAGAACAAGAAGUCAUUGGGACUAGACUUCAACCCUGGUCCCUCUGCUCCCUGUGUCGAUGGCACCCGCGAAGCUGAACCCAAUCUUGUUGGGCCCUUCUACAACCUGGAAGGUCUCAUCACUCAUAUCAUGGUUCAAGGGACAGCCGUGGAUGAGCCUGCAGAUGACGCUGAAUCUGAUGAAGCGCUUGCACCGCCGAAGCCAAAGAAACUAAAGAAGCCUAAAGCUUCAAAGUCUGCCUCAACACCAAAAAUCUCACGUGCGAAGCCACUGGCUACUACACCUCCUGAAGACAGUGUGCAGUCUGAAGAUCUAUCACGCAUCUCCAAGAAGACUGAGAUGAGAAAGAGUACUAAUCAGGCACUGACUGCUGCUGCUAUUCUGCGCAACGACGCCAUUGAUCUGUCCAGCGAUGAAGAUCUUGCAGAUAACGCUCUUGAGCAAUUGAUCAAGAGCAAGGAAGAAGCAGAGAUCUUCAAUGAUUUGCCUCUCUUUGAUGAGGCAAUCAUCCAUGACUUCAUUGAUGAGUGGUUUGACAUGCCCAACCUCAGCUUUGAAGAUCUGCAACUUCCAAUUGGCCUCAGUGUCGCCUUCACUGGCGCCAUUGCUUCUGAGCUAGCUCUAGCUCAGCACAUCGUUGAACUGAAGCAAAAGAUCGACUAUGAGAAAGCUCAGUUCAAGAAGCACAUGGUCAAGCUCAGCAUGCAAGAUGUGAAAAACUUCAAGAUUAUGCUGCACGAGCUCAAGGAAGCCUUUCUUAAGAAGCAUGAAGAAGCUCAAGGUUCUCGUGAGCGCAUGAAGAGCCUGGCUGACAAGUGCAUGCAAGCCUACAAUGAGGCUGAGAAGCGCAAGGCUCUUGGUCGUCCUGGCAUCGACCCCAGAUUGGCUGCAAAGAAGAAGAAGCCCUCAACUGAUCAAUCUGCACCUUCAAGGCAGGAAGAACCUCGCAUAGUCUUCCCAAGCAGCAUGACUGGCUCGAAGCCAAAGGUUAGGUCAACCGCUUCAGAAUUGAAGAAGACGAGGACUGCCGAGGCUGAAGCCAGAAAAAGGAAAAAUCCUGAAGCUUCUGAUGUCGCUCCCUCUAAGAAGAAGCGCAAAACCAAGAAGGAUCGGGUUGCUCCCACAGAGCCCUUAGUUGUUGAACCUAUCUCAAUGGUUAGCCCUGCAUCUGAACACCAUGAGCGACAACUAAUUGUGCAUGAGCCUGCUUCCAUAGAGGCUCAUGAAGUGGAAGACAUUCCAGUAGUUGAUCCCACCACUGCUGAAGACAUUGGUCACCAUGACAAUGUUGAAGAUGAUGUAGUUCUUCCUCAGAUCGAGAACCAAUUGGUAUCAUCGCAUGUGCUCGUGCAUAGCGAACUCAUCAGCAUUGGUCGUCCUCUAACGCCAAUUGCUCAGGAUGCAUCGUGGGCUGAUCACCCACAACAACAAGACACCCCGAGUACUCUGCAACAACAACAAGUCACACCACCUGUGCCAGACGAAGAAGACGACUUUGAGGCCCAGCCAACUCCAUCUCCAUAGGCGUCGCCAGCGCUAUGCAGGCUUCGCAAAGGACCAAGGCCUCAAAUCCCCCUUUCGAGCGUUCCAGAAGGAGAAGUGCCCCAAUCUGUUGCACGUCAAGUGUUCCCAGAAGCCACUCCGACUAUGAAUGUCUCCGUGUCUGAAGCCAAAGGUGCUGAAGACAAUCCGGCUGCAUCAGCCGAUGACAAACAAGAAGAAGAUAGUGUCCCUACACCCCCAAUUUAUGAAGAAGAUGUUCCUGAAGUGAACGUGUCUGUGCCUGACCCUCCAGAUUAACAAGUGGAGGUUGAGAAUCUUGAGGCUGCCACCACCAACACAAAUGAAGCCAAUGACAUAGUCAUGGCUGAAGCAAAUGUGGAGCCUGCACCAACCAAUGUGCCAGAGGCCAAUGAAGCCAAUGAUGCACCUGCAACAGAUGUGCAGCCUGAAGCCUCUGUUGAUGCCACUGCUCCUAUUCCGCCACCAAGGCCACACACUAUCGAGCAAGCAGUCAACUAUGGCCAACUUGUCACUGUCAAAUGGCCUAUUCUGACUCCUCCGCCUGCUGCUGGUCCUCAGUUUGACUAUCACGUUGAGCACAUGCCUCAGGUUCAGAAGCCAAUACCAAGGUUGCCCAGGUUUCCAGGCACUGCAUCUGCACCCGGAUCGUUCAAUAUCAAUGGCUUCAAGGCACACAACACCUUCUUUAAUAGCGCCAAGAACCCCUACACCAAGGCAAGAAUAUCUUCUGAUCGGUUCUGGAGCUAUCAGCAGCGCAUUUAUUACUCAUGCAUUCUGUACAAUCAAGGUCGCAUUUUCCCACAUAUGCGUCUUGACACUGAAGCCAUAACUGGACUGCCCUGUUUGGAAGAAGCUCUGGAUUGCUUCAGAGAGUUUGGUUUGCUGCAGUUCGUCAUUGAUAAGGAGCACUGGAAUGAAGAAUUGCUACUCCAAUUCUAUGCCACUCUUCAUAUCCGUGGCUACAACAGGGAUCCGAAGACUUGGGUCCUUGAGUGGAUGACAAGAAAUGAUCAUCAUGAAGCCAAAGCCUCUGAUAUCAUUGAGCUUACUGGCCUGCCCACUCCAGGAGAUCUGUAUGAACCUGGUUGUCAGCUUCACAGUGCUGCUAUGGAAAGCAUCUUCCACAAGCCUGAGCCCAAUAUGAGUCAGAUGCUUAGCAUGAUGAAGCCUUUGCCUCCAGAUGCUGAAUAUCCUAAGGAGUUCUUUGUUGAAGACCUUGAGUAUCUGCCACGUAAUAUCUAUCACAUCAUAAGGCGGACUCUCUGGCCCAUCAAAGGACAUUCUCCACAUGCCAAGCUAGAAGGUGCAAUGAAGACAUUGGUCUUUCAUAUUCUUCAUGGCAAAAGCUUCAAUGCACAAGACUUCUUCAUUCGCCAGCUUGCUGCAUCAGGAUCUGACAUUUUUGGCUUGAAGUUUUACGCUCCAUGGGUUAUGCGACUGAUCAAACUACACUCAGCUAUCACCUAUCAGCCCUCUGCUCGCAAUCAUAGGAUCUUUCUACCUGACGUUGAUAUGUCAGUUGAAGCCAUCUAUCCAGAGCCUGCCAAGGAGCCUCUUAGUCUUCAGAAUGCUGAGAAUCAAAGCUUCUCUCAAAACAUUGAAGGAGUUCAAGCAGUCACACGUGUUUAUCCUCUGGCUAGAACUACACGUGCACCUCACCGUGCCCUCACUGAAGCCACCGAAAGCACCAUUGCCCAACGGCCCAAGAAGCGAUCCCGUGUUCUCAAUGACCGUGAGAUUCUGGUUGCCCUUCAUCAUAAACAGGAUAGGCAUCAUGACUGGCUGAAGCGCCAAAUGCAAAGCCUCUUGGUGGACGUAAACAGGAUUCGCAAUCUUGCCACCAAUAAUGUCUUUGUUGCCCAUGAAACCUGUCGGUGUACAUAGAAAGGGCUGACACUUAUGUGCUCUGAGGAUGAUCUUUAAGAGGAUGGCUUCUCUGAACGCUUCAAGUUUGACUCAACACCUCCAAGAAGGACUGUGCUGCGACGAACUCCAUCUCUUGAAGACUCUGAGUUCUCCUCCUCUGCUGCAACUGUGAAUGCCAGAGUGACCGAUGAUGAAGACGAUGCUACUUCACCGCCCCCUACUUCUGCACGCAUCGACACUGCCCCGAGUUCGUCUGCACCGCCUAACAACACUAAUGACCCUGCUGCCUCACCUACUCCUCCUGGGAACGAGUAGAUGCUCUACGUCUUCAAACCUUUUUAGUCCUUACUGACAAAAGGGGGAGAAGCAUAUGAGUUUGAUAGUCUUCAAGCGGGUCCAUAUGGGUGGUGGUUUUAUAUUUUGCGUAGUGUUUACAACUCUUGCGUUUUGAUACAUUUGGUUCUUUGAGUUGUAACACUCAAACUCGAUGGUCGUCUGCUACUUAUUUUCUUUACUGUGAUGCGAUGAUAAAUUCCGCAUGUGCGACGAUAAAUUCUGCACUUAGAUCAUUUUGUAGACGUCCAUUUUUCAUUAUGCAUGUCGUUAUCUUCGUUACAUCAUAUCUUGCAUAAUGACUUGUCAUCAUAAGUUGAAGAGGAUCUCCACAAGUACAACCUGCCAUGUGCAUUUGCAUUCCAAAAGCAAAUUACUUAUAUGCACAUCUUCAGGGGGAGCCCUUGAAACUUAUGAAGACAAUCCCCUAUCCUUUACAAUUUCACAUAUUAUAUUCCCCGUUGAAAACUUCAACUAGUUUGUCAUCAAUCACCAAAAAGGGGGAGAUUGUAAGUGCAUCUAGUGCCAUCCCUAGUUGGUUUUGGAGUAUUGACGACAAACCUAGUUGAGGGACUAAUGUGUUUGUGAGAAUUGCAGGAUAACACAGGUACAAGUCCCUCAUUGAUUCGGUUUUCCCACCAGAGAUGACCCCUAAAAAUGUAAGAAGACAUUGAAGACAAAGGUGGUAUGUGAAGACAUUCACAUUGAAGACUAUGACAAGAGAAGACAUCGCAUGAAGACUAUGGAGCGCGAAGACUUAGUUCUUUCGUCGUUCUUUUUCUUCUUUGUUGAGUCAUAGGAACCACCGUACUGUUAAGUGGGGUCCAAGAGAACCAGUCAGAAUGACUGAAGUGAUGCUUAACCAAAAUCCUAUGUCUUCGAGUGAAGACUAUGAGAGCAAAUCUUGUCCAGAGUUGGAUAAGUCAGCUUUGCUUGUAGCCCAAGUAAAGUUGCCGUGUGUGUUUGAAAUCUGGCCGUUGGAACACGUGUCAGUUCCUUAGUGACCAAGGGUCAUUUCGGACAAAUCAGGUCGGGUUGCCUAGUGGCUAUAAAUAGCCCACCCCCUACAACCAUAAACGGUUGGCUGCUCAGAGUUAGAGUACGGCUUUUGUCGUUUGAGAGCAACCCACCUCGAAGCCUUUGAGAGAGAAUUCCUUGCGAGGAUAAAUCCCUAAACACCCAGAGCCAAAGAGUGUUAGGCAUCACUUAAGUGUUCCUGUCUAUGUGAUCUGAAGAUUUAUUACACUUGAGGACUGUGAAUCCUCCAGCCGGUUAGGCGUCGCCUUCUGAGCAUCCAAGAGUCAUUGUGGAUCACCGGUGAACGAAGUCUGUGAAGGUUUGGAAGUCUACCUUGAAGACUUACCAGAGUGAUUGGGCGAGGACUGGGUGUGCUUAGCUCAAGGGGAAUAAGGUGAAGACGAGGUCUUCUGAGUUGAAUCUCAGCCUCCCCAACCAGACGUACAGUUAUCACACCAACUGGAACUGGUCCAACAAAUCAUUGUCUUCAACAAGUCCCUGGUUUCAUCCUUCCCUUCCCUUUGCUUACUGUUAGUCCUUGUGAAGUCAUUGUAUGAUUGCAUUGUCUUUUGUCUUCAUUGAGUGACUACUUGUUCUGAUUGGCUUCACAAUAUCUUCCUACCUGAUCUUACUGCCUAGCUGCUAUUAGUCAUUAUGCUUUCACUUCAUUGAAUACUUGACUAUGGUUUGCCUAGUGUAGUCUACCUUCCGCUGCAUGGUAAUAGGUUUAUUUCUAUUGUUUGUCUUUGAAACUUCCAUGUUUUGAAGACUUCCAUAAAAAUUGCCUAUUCACCCCCCUCUAGUCGAUCACUAGCACUUUCAUUAACGCGGUUGAUGUAGUCGAACAUCUUCGCGAUCCAACCGAUCAAGUACCGAACAUACGACACCUCCGAGUUCAGCACAUGUUAUGCUCGAUGAUGUCCCUCGAACUCUUGAUCAGGCAAAGUGUCGAGGGAGAGUUUCGUCAACAUGAUGGCGCGGUGACGGUGAUGGUGAUGUGAUCUGCGUAGGGCUUUGCCUAAGCACUACGUGAAUAUGACCGAAGGAGUAAACCGUGGAGGGAGACGCCGCACACGACUUGGAACAAUUGGUGUGUAUCCAAGGGGGUGCCCUGCCCACAUAUAUAAAGGAGGGAGAAGGAGGAGGCCGGCCAAGGGGCACGCCAUAGGGGGGAAACAGACUAGGACUCCCAAUCCUAGUUGGCCCCCCUUUCCUUUCUUUCGGAGGGGGAAAAGGGAAGGAGAAGGAGAGGCAGGGGGAGAGAAGGUGUAACACCCACAAUGCGGCUAUAUCUCCCACGUGUCAGGGGACGACUUAGAGGCAUAGCCGCAUGGUAGGCAUGUCGCAAGAGGGGUAAUCUUUACACAUCCCAUGUACUGAAUAAGAAAAGGAUGAAGAGUCGGCUUACAAUCGCCACUUCACACAAUACAUAAAUAAUCCAUACAUCAUCCAAGAUACAAUCAAAGGUCCGACUAAGGAACCAAAAUAAAGGAAGACGACCCCAAAUGCUAGAUCCCCAAUCGUCCCAACUAGGCUCCACUACUGAUCAUCAGGAAAGGAAACAUAAUAGCGACCCAAGUCUUCGUCGAACUCCCACUUGAGUUCGGUCGCAUCCCCUACACUGGCAUCAUCGGCACCUGUAUCUGUUUGGAAGUAUAUGUGAGUCACGAGGACUCAGCAAUCUCACACCCGCGAGAUCAAGACUAUUUAAGCUUAAGGGUAGGAAAAGGUAAUGAGGUGGAGCUGCAGCAAAGCACUAAGCAUAUAUGGUAGCUAACUUACGCAAAAGAGAGCGAGAAGUGAAGCAACGCACGGUCGAGAAGCUAAUAGUGAUCAAGAAGUGAUCCUGAAGCUACUUACGUUCAAGCAAAACACGAGACAGUGUUCUCUUCCCGGACUCCGCCAAAAAGAGACCAUCACGGCUACACACGCGGUUGAUUCAUUUUAAUUAAGUUAAGUGUGAAGUUCUCUACAACCGGAUAUUAACAAAUUCCCAUCUGCCCAUAACCGCAGGCACUGCUUUUGAAAGUUCAAACCCUGCAGGGGUGUCCCAACUUAGCCCAUCACAAGCUCUCACGGUCAAUGAAGGACAUCCCUUCUCCCAGGAAGACCCAAUCAGACUCGGAAUCCCGGUUACAAGACAUUUCGACAAUGGUAAAACAAGACCAGCAAAGCCACCCGAUGUGCUGACAAAUCCCGAUAGGAGUCGCACGUAUCUCGUUCUCAGGGCACACCGGAUGGGCAAGACGUCGGGUUGGCAAAGACCCUGGUUGCCCAGGGGACACCGGACAUCGCCCAGUACGGACCAACACUCAGAGGAGCACUGGCCCGGGGGUUUAAAAUAAAGAUGACCCUUGAGUCCGUGGAAACCAAGGGAAAAAGCUUAGGUGGAAAAUGGAAAAACCAAGGUUGGGCCUUGCUGGAGGAGUUUUAUUCAAGGCAAAAUGUCAAGGGGUUCCCAUAACACCCAACCGCGUAAGGAAUGUAAAAUCAAGGAACAUAACACCGGUAUGACGGAAACUAGGGCGGCAAGAGUGGAACAAAACACCAGGCUUAAGGCCGAGCCUUCCACCCUUUACCAAGUAUAUAGAUGCAUUAAAGUAAAUAAGAGAUAAUAAUGAUAUCCCAACAAUAUCCAUGUUCCAACAAGGAACAAAACUUCAUCUUCACCUGAAACUAGCAACCUACAAGAGGGGCUGAGCAAAGCGGUAACAUAGCCAAACAACGGUUUGCUAGGAAAGGUGGGUUAGAGGCUUGACAUGGCAAUAUGGGAGGCGUGAUAUAGCAAGUGGUAGUUAACGCGGCAUAGCAAUAGAGCGAGCAACUAGCAAGCAAAGAUAGAAGUGAUUUCGAGGGUAUGGUCAUCUUGCCUGCAAAUUCUCAGAGUUGACGAAAGCUUGAUCCUCGUUAGCGUACUCAACAGGUUCCUCGAUCACGUACUCGUCUCCCGGUUCUACCCAAAGGAAGAACUCAAGCAAAGGACCAACAAUCAAUCACGGUGCAAUGCGCAAGCCACAUGAUGCAAAACAUGGCAUUGUAUGCAAGACAUGAUAUGCAAUGCAUAUGCGUGCUUCAGAAGGGAAAGAAUGAACAAGGCAUCAACUUGGCAAACCAAGUGUGCCACUGGGAAGAUGAGAUGAUUUUGGUUGAAAUCGAUAUAGAGAUCACCGGAGACGGAUGCACGGUUUGCAAAUGGCAAGCAAAACAAGAAUGGUGCAAUUCUGCGAUUAACAGCGCGAUGCCACUAAGCAUGCAACAAGAAACUAAGCUACUGCAUUCCAACAUAACAACGAAGCAUAUGGCAGUGAUUUACACAAGAUGCUUGAAAAAACAUGAACACUGAGCUAUGGCUAAAUCACACAAGAGUAGGUUCAAACUAGCAUGGCAAAAGUGCAAAAGAUAUCAGCUUCACAGACUUAGUGAAAAUACUAACAUGCCAGAAAUAACAUCAGGAAGCCAUGUUUAGAGCAAGCAAACAACACGCUACAGGAACAUAUCAUAGCAAAAAGAGUCAUGGCAUGAUUCUACUAAAUGCAUAGAACAAAAGUCCCUUACCGAACAUGAGCCAAAAAGGCACAGAAGAUAUGAUGGCACCCAUGUAAACAUAGCAAGUUUUAUUAAUAGUUUCAGACUUAGCAGAAAACAGAGCAUGGCAUAAACAGAAUUAUGAAGGCAACUUUGCGAGCUCAAACCACUCAUCACAAAGCCUUGCAUGACAAAACAAGCAUACCAAAAUAAAGAUGGCUUGUUCAUGAAGCUAACCAUGGAAAGAGAAAGUUCAUAGAAUGCAUGGAUCACUAGCAACAACCAUGGCAAAAUUGACUAACAUGUAAACAAUUUGCCAGGAACAUUUUAUAGCAAAAGUAGAGCAAGAACAAGACAUACUAGGGCACUCCAUAAUUGCAAACAGGGGCAUGGUUGGAUAGAGCAUAACCAUAUGUUCAAAAUAUCCUUACUGAAGGAUCUCAAAAUAAGCAUGGAUAUCACUAUAGCAUCAAGUUUACAUGGCAUCAAAAUAAUAGCAGGAAAAUGACUUAGCAAAAUCCUAAGUCCCUGAAAACAGCAACAUCACGAUGGCUACUUUGCAUGCAAGACAUCAACACCACAAUGAUCACAAAAAUGCAAGACAAGCACCUCUGUAAAGAUGGCAUGACAUAGAUCAAAACACAUGUAGAACUCAUGCCCAUAUGAAGCACACAUCAAAUGUGACAAGAAUGACAAAUCACCCUAAACUGAUAAGUAGCAUCAGUAAACAUUUUAUAGCACUCUUGCAUCGAUGAUUAUGACAUCAAUAUGAACUCAAACAAGCAUUCCACAAUGGAAUGAAAUGAAGAACAUCCCACAAUGAACAUUUUGAUAUAUCAUAUGCAUGAAAUGGAGCUAUGGUCAUGGAGAUAUGUGGCAAUGAAUAGAGGCAUAAAAUGUUACAGAGAUAACGACUUAGACGAAAAACAACCUCUCAGAUCAAGGGUUUUGACUUCGGCAUGGAAAACAAGGUUUUUCAGGGAAGCUCGAACUCGCCGAUAUAGCUGGAGUUGGGGAAGGAGGAGGCCGGAGCAGCGAGGCCGGGGCGUCGCCAGAGCUCGCGGACGCGGGGCUCCGCCGGCGGCGGGGAACGGCGAGGGCGCUCGGCGGAGCGAUCAGCGGCGGCCGGCGUGGAUGGCACGGGUGGCGGCAUCCGGCAUUGGAGGUGGAUCCCGGCGAGGCGAUGGGGACGGCUGGGCGACGCGUUGCGUGGNNNNNNNNNNNNNNNNNNNNNNNNNNNNNNNNNNNNNNNNNNNNNNNNNNNNNNNNNNNNNNNNNNNNNNNNNNNNNNNNNNNNNNNNNNNNNNNNNNNNNNNNNNNNNNNNNNNNNNNNNNNNNNNNNNNNNNNNNNNNNNNNNNNNNNNNNNNNNNNNNNNNNNNNNNNNNNNNNNNNNNNNNNNNNNNNNNNNNNNNNNNNNNNNNNNNNNNNNNNNNNNNNNNNNNNNNNNNNNNNNNNNNNNNNNNNNNNNNNNNNNNNNNNNNNNNNNNNNNNNNNNNNNNNNNNNNNNNNNNNNNNNNNNNNNNNNNNNNNNNNNNNNNNNNNNNNNNNNNNNNNNNNNNNNNNNNNNNNNNNNNNNNNNNNNNNNNNNNNNNNNNNNNNNNNNNNNNNNNNNNNNNNNNNNNNNNNNNNNNNNNNNNNNNNNNNNNNNNNNNNNNNNNNNNNNNNNNNNNNNNNNNNNNNNNNNNNNNNNNNNNNNNNNNNNNNNNNNNNNNNNNNNNNNNNNNNNNNNNNNNNNNNNNNNNNNNNGCGAGUGGCCAGGCGGUGGAGGCGGACGCGUCCGGCAGACACGGACGUGUCCGGCGGCGCGGGAGGAGCGGGGCUAGGGUUUUGGAUCCGGAAAUUUCAGAGGAUGCACAUAUUUAUAGGUAGGAGGAGGUAGGAGUGUCCAAAUGGGGUGUAGUUUUCGCCCACAAGAUCAUGAUCUGACGACGGAGGGCAUGGAAGAGGUUUGGAUGGGUUAUUAGGCCGUUUUGGAGGGGUGUUGGGCUACAACACACACGAGGUCUUUGCGGUUACCCGGUUAUCCGUUGGAGCAUCAAACGAACUCCAAAUGUAACGAAAUUUGACAGGCGGUCUACUGGUGGUGUACCAAGGCCACUUGGCAAAUGUCGGUCCAUUCCGAGAACGUUUAACACCCGCUCACGAAAAGAGACAAGAGGGGGUGCACCAGUGCACGUAGGAGUGUCGGAUUGCAAAACGGACAACGGGGAAAAUGCUCAGAUGCAUGAGACGAGAACGUAUGCAAAUGAGAUGCACAUGAUGACAUGAUAUGAAAUGCAUGACCUGAACAAAAUGCAAAAUGAAGCCAAAAACCCAACCACGAAGGGAGUCUCAUAACUUGAAGCCGAAAAAGGCAAGAGUUGGAGUUACAAAUAUGGCAAGUUACAUUCCGGGUGUUACAACACUCCACCACUACGAAAGGAUCUCGUCCCGAGAUCUAGGACUGAAAGAACUCCGGAUAUUCGGAACGGAGGUGGUCCUCGUGUUCCCAGGUGGCUUCUUGGUCGGAAUGGUGUGACCACUUCACUUUCAGGAAUUUGAUUGAGUUGUUGCGAGUCUUGCGCUCAGUUUCUUCAAGAAUAGCAACAGGAUGCUCAUGAUAAGACAAAUCUUCUUGGAGAUCAAUCUCUUCGAAGUUGAUGGUGCGCUCAAGAGUCUUGAAGCACUUGCGAAGCUGUGACACGUGAAACACAUCAUGCACAUUUGCGAAGUUGGACGGAAGCUCAAGUUGAUAGGAGAGAUCGCCUCGUUUGCCAAUGAUCUUGGAAGGACCCACAUAUCUAGGGGCAAGCUUCCCUUUGAUAUUGAAGUGACGAGUGCCUUUCAUUGGACAAACGUGGAGGUAGACAUGGUCUCCGAUCUCGAAAGCCAAGUCACGGUGCUUGCUAUCAUAGUAACUCUUCUGGAGCAAUUGCGCGGCUUUGAGAUUUUCACGAAUGACUUUACACAUUUCUUCAGCUUCUGUGAUUAAGUCAUUGCCAAGAAGUUGGCAUUCACCAGUCUCUGACCAAUUGAGAGGAGUACGACACUUUCUGCCAUAGAGAAUUUUGAAUGGCACCUUGCCCGAACUCACUUGGAAACUGUUGUUGCAGGAGAACUGGACAUAUGGAAGACAAUCUUCCCAUUUCAUACCGAAGGAAAUGACACAAGCCCUGAGCAUAUCGUCAAGAAUUUGAUUAACUCGCUCGACUUGGCCACUAGUUUGAGGAUGGAAGGUUGUGUUGAAGCGAAUGUUGGUGCCCAUGGCCUUCUGGAAGGAGUCCCAGAACUUAGAAGUGAAGAUGAUUCCACGACCUGAAUAUAUCAAUUGUGGAAUGCCGUGCAAGGAGACAAUCCUGGAGGUGUAUAGCUCUGUCAACUGAGCUGCUGUGAUAGAUUCUUUGAUUGGAAGGAAAUGAGCCACUUUAGUAAGCUUGUCAAUGACAACAAAGAUUGCAUCAUUUCCGCGCUUGGACUCGGGAAAUCCAGUCACGAAGUCCAUUUCAAUAUGGUCAAACUUCCAUUCUGGAAUAGCAAGAGGUUGGAGGAGACCAGCUGGCCGUUGGUGUUCUGCUUUCACUCUUCUGCAGACAUCACAUUCAUUCAUGAAUUGAGCAAUUUCUCGCUUCAUUCGAGUCCACCAAUACGACUGCUUGAGGUCAUAAUACAUCUUUGUACUCCUAGGAUGAAUGGAUAGAAGGGAAUUGUGCACCUCGUUCAUAAUGACUUUCCUUAGAUCACCUUAUGAACCACAAUCCGGUCCUCAAAGAAGAGAGUGUCUUUGUCAUCAAUGCGAUAGCACUUGUACUUGGGUUUGCUCUUGCCAAUCCCAUUUUUCACCUUCUUCACCAUGGAUCCAGGAUUUUUGCCUCGCGAAUUUGAUCUUCCAAAGUAGGAGAGACUUGGAGGUUGGAAAGAAAGCCUUGAGGAACAACUUGGAGAUUCAGUUUGCGGAAAGCUUCACAAGGGUCCGGUUGGAAGGGCUUGAGAAUUAAGCUAUUGCAGUAAGCCUUCCUGCUCAAAGCAUCUGCAAUGACAUUGUCCUUGUCUGGAGUAUAUCCAAUACUCGGAUUGUAUUCUUGAAUCAUUUCGACCCAACGAUUAUGCCUGAGGUUGAGGUUGGGUUGAGUGAACAUGUACUUGAAGCUCUUAUCAUCAGUGAAGAUGUCCACUUUCCUUCCCAACAAGAGAUGUCUCCAUGUUAAUAGAGCAUGGACAACUGCCGCCAACUCAAGAUCAUGAGUGGGGUAGUUCCUUUCGUUGGGCUUCAACUAUCGAGAGGUAUAAGCAACAACUUUCUUCUCUUGCAUUAACACAACACUGAGACCUUGCAGGGAGGCAUCACAGAAAACUUCGAAUGGUUUGGAUUCAUCAGGAGGAGUCAAGACAUGAGUUGUGACUAACUUCUCUUUGAGGGAAAGCAACGUCACACUCAGGCGUCCAGACAUACUUGAUGUGCUUCUGGAGGAGGUUGGAAAGAGUCUUUGCAAUCUUAGAGAAAUUCUCAACGAAUCUUCGACAAUAGCUUGCAAGACCAAGAAAACUACGGAGCUGCUUCACAUUCUGAGGAGGUCCCCAAUUCACAAUUGCAGACGGCUUCUCGGGAUUAGCAGCGAUGCCCUUGGCGGAGAUGAUAUGACCAAGGUAGAGAACCUCAUCAAGCCAAAACUCACACUUUGAAAACUUCACAUAGAAUUGAUGCUCUCUGAGUUUGUCGAGUACCAAUCUCAAAUGCUUGGCAUGAUCCUCCUUAUUCUUGGAAAAGACCAAGAUGUCAUCAAGAUAAACCAGGACGAAAUCAUUUGUGUAAGGGUUGAAAAUGAAGUCCAUCAUGCGAGAGAACGUUGGAGGAGCAUUGACAAGGACGAAAGACAUGACAGUAUAUUCAUAAGAACCAUAUCUUGUUCUGAAUGCUAUCUUGGGGAUAUCUUGUUCAUGAAUGCGAAUCUGAUGAUAACCCAUACGGAGCUCAAGCUUGGAGAAUACUUGGGCACCUUUGAGUUGCUCGAAAAGCUCAUUGAUGUUGGGAAGUGGAUACUUGUUCUUUAUUGUCUUCUUGUUCAAUGGGCGGUAGUCGACGCGGAGUUGUUCCGUUCCAUCCUUCUUCUUGACAAAAAGAACACCACAACCCCAUGGAGAUGAACUCGGUCUGAUCAGACCCAUACGCUCUUGGUCAUCGAGUUGUUUCUUCAACUCCUCUGGUCCAAGCUUGUAAGGACGCUUGCAAACAGGUUCUGUGCGAGGCUCAAGAUCGAUAACGAAUUCAACUGGCUGGUGAUGAGGCAUUCCUGGAAGCUCUUUUGGAAAGACGUCUUGAUAUCCACAAACGACUAGAAUUUGAGAGAUGGAAUUCAACUCGCCCUUCUCAUUGAGAGAAAACAGUUGAAUGGUAUCAUCACGAGUGGCAUAGACGAUCACAUCCUCAGAAGAGUGUGUCAAUUGAAUCUGCCUGGCAGCACAAUCAAGCUGAGCCUUGUGCUUAGAAAGCCAGUCCAUGCCGAGAAUUAGAUUGAUAUCUGAGUCACCAAGAACCAUUGGAGAAGAUAGAAAUUUAUAGUCACCCAUCUUGAUGGAAACAUCCGAGAUCAUCGUGGUAGCCCUCAUAGACUUUCCCGGAGAAACCACUCCCAUGGGUUUUCCCAACAUUUCCAAAACGAAGUCAUGCUUUGAAACAAAUGAUCUUGACAUGAAACAAUGCGAUGCACCAGUGUCAAAAAGAACUUUUGCAGGAAUAGAGUUAACUAGAAAGUUACCCACAAUUACUUCUAAAGAGUCCUCUGCCUGAGCUGCGUUCAUCAUGUUGACCUUAGCAUUCUUGGGAUUAUGCUUGACCACUGCGUUGCAAGAAGAUCUCACAGGAGGAGGAGGCGGAAGGCGCCUUUGAUUGAAGCAUCUGUUUGCAUAGUGCCCUUUCUGCUGAUACUUGUUGCAAGUAACCUCUGAGAGCAGCCGAUGAUAAGGAGCACUUGACCUUGGAGUAUGAGACUGAGCAUUGUUCUGAUAGCCUGGGUUGGGGGGGGGGGAAGAUCCAUUGCCACAUUUACUCUUCUGCUGGUAAGGCUGAUGGAACGGAGGAGGAGGAGGCAACCAGAACUUCUGUUGCUUAGCUGCCACUUGUGAUGAAGAAGAAGAUUGAACUGCAUCCCUGACUCUCUUCUUAGAUGCCUCACACUUGAGCUGAAUAGCUUCUUNNNNNNNNNNNNNNNNNNNNNNNNNNNNNNNNNNNNNNNNNNNNNNNNNNNNNNNNNNNNNNNNNNNNNNNNNNNNNNNNNNNNNNNNNNNNNNNNNNNNNNNNNNNNNNNNNNNNNNNNNNNNNNNNNNNNNNNNNNNNNNNNNNNNNNNNNNNNNNNNNNNNNNNNNNNNNNNNNNNNNNNNNNNNNNNNNNNNNNNGUUGCAAGAAGAUCUCACAGGAGGAGGAGGCGGAAGGCGCCUUUGAUUGAAGCAUCUGUUUGCAUAGUGCCCUUUCUGCUGAUACUUGUUGCAAGUAACCUCUGAGAGCAGCCGAUGAUAAGGAGCACUUGACCUUGGAGUAUGAGACUGAGCAUUGUUCUGAUAGCCUGGGUUGGGUGGGUGGGAAGAUCCAUUGCCACAUUUACUCUUCUGCUGGUAAGGCUGAUGGAACGGAGGAGGAGGAGGCAACCAGAACUUCUGUUGCUUAGCUGCCACUUGUGAUGAAGAAGAAGAUUGAACUGCAUCCCUGACUCUCUUCUUAGAUGCCUCACACUUGAGCUGAAUAGCUUCUUGCUUUAGUGCCAUGUUGUAGAAUUGAUCGAACUCGGUUGUCUCAAAAAUCACAAGAGCUAAUUGCAGAUCUUCUCUGAGGCCACCUCUGAAUUGAUAAAUCAUAUUCUUUUCAUCAGGGACGUCUUGUUUAGCGAAGCGAGCAAGUUUUUGAAAUUGGAUAUUGUAUUGAUACACAAACAUGCUGCCUUGCUUGAGAUUGCGGAACUCCUCACGCUUGCUCUCAGCAACGCUUGGUGGGAUGUGAUGAGCUUUUAAGUCUCGAUGGAAAUCAUUCCAGGUAAUCACACGACCUCCUUUGGAAUCUUGGUAUUGUUGAAACCACUCAGCAGCUUGGUCCUUGAGUUGAAACGAAGCAAACUUGACAAAGUCCUCAGGUCUGACAUUGCUACAUUCAAAAUGUUUGCAAAUGUCCACGAGCCAAUCAUCGAUGUCUGUGGCCUCGACACAGUUGCUGAAGGACUUCGGCUGGUUUGCGAGGAACUGGUUGAGGGUAGCAAACUGAGGCUGAUUGUUGCAUUGGCCUUGAUUUCCCUGGUUUCCUUGGCCUUGAUUUCCUUGGUUGCCUUGCCCUUGGUUGCGCUCUUGCAAGAGCUGCAAUAGCAUCUGAGUGUUGGCGUUGGUGGCUGCCAUGACAGCUUGCCAUGCCUCCGGAGGUGGAGGUGGUGGCGGAUUCUGACGCGUUGGAGGAGCCAUCCUGAAGAGGUUGACAUCCGUUAGCAUCUUGAAAGACAGAUAUUCAAGAUGAAUCAAUGGAUUGAAAUUGCAACAUAAAGUCUUAACACUCGAACAAGGAUGAACGAAUGAAUUCCAAAGUAAAUCAUCACACUUCCAUUAAGGUUGAGAAGCCACUUAGAUAAAGGUAGAUGAAUAAAGCAAUAAGGUACGGAUAUGAACAAAUAAGUGGUAAGGAUUACCCAAUCACAAAACAAAUAUCUGCGGGAACAAAUACUAGAGCUACUUGAAUUCCCACCUAUAAAACUCCCGAAACUUUUUGGUUAGGCAAUCAGGUGUUGGGGAUACAGGAGAAUCAUAAUAUCUCACCCAAAACUAGCAAAUCCUACAUCCAGCUGUAUCCAUCCUUCAACACAUAACCAAGAAACCUUCGGAAAUAAUUUACCUCAACCUUCGCAAAGCAUCCGUUAUACAAGUUAUGACAAUACUCCCGAACUCCUUCCCCAUUACUGGGUGGCGUCGAGGUUAUCUCACCAACAACUGCAUAAAAGAGAUUUUCGAUAUCGGCGAACUCAGGUAUUCCAGAACUGCAACGAUAAAAUUGUGACAACAACACCUUGGAGCUCAACUCCCCGGGACACUGCCACAACCCCUAAAUGACAGGAGGCACCAAGAACAAUGUUCUCGUCACAAAACCAUCAGAACGAUUCCAAGAUACCCGUGUGAUCCUAAUUUUUUUUCGUGAAAUUUGAGGAGAGAAGAGUCAAAACUCUACGUCAGGAGGCCUCACCAGAGCGAGGAAGGGACUAAGGAGUAAAAAGAAUCCUACUCUCCAAUAUAUAUAAUCCUAAGACUCAAAACAUUUUGUUCUAGACUCAACAACGUCAGCGAUUCGAUCAAGCACGGGGCUCCUAAGUCGGGGAAGGCUCUGAUUACCAACUUGUAACACCCACAAUGAGGCUAUAUCUCCCAUGUGUCAGGGCACGACUUAGAGGCAUAGCCGCAUGGUUGGCAUGUCGCAAGAGGGGUAAUCUUUACACAUCCCAUGUACUGAAUAAGAAAGGGAUAAAGAGUCAGCUUACAAUCGCCACUUCACACAAUACAUAAUAAUCCAUACAUCAUCCAAGAUACAAUCAAAGGUCCGACUACGGAAGCAAAAUAAAGGAAGACAACCCCAAAUGCUAGAUCCCCGAUCGUCCCAACUAGGCUCCACUCCUGAUCAUCAGGAAAGGAAACAUAAUAGCGACCCAAGUCUUCGUCGAACUCCCACUUGAGUUCGCUAGCAUCCCCUGCACUGGCAUCAUCGGCACCGGCAUCUGUUUGGAUGUAUCUGUGAGUCACGAGGACUCAGCAAUCUCACACCCGCGAGAUCAAGACUAUUUAAGCUUAAUGGUAGGAAAAGGUAGUGAGGUGGAGCUGCAGCAAAGCACUAAGCACAUAUGGUGGCUAACUUACGCAAAAGAGAGCGAGAAGAUAAGAAACACAUGGUCGAGAAGCUAAUAGUGAUCAAGAAGUGAUCCUGAAGCUACUUACAUUCAAGCAUAACACGAGACCGUGUUCUCUUCCCGGACUCUGCAAAAAGAGACCAUCACGGCUACACACGCGGUUGACUCAUUUUAAUUAAGUUAAGUGUGAAGUUCUCUACAACCGGAUAUUAACAAAUUCACAUCUGCCCAUAACCGUGGGCACAACUUUUGAAAGUUCAAACCCUGCAGGGGUGUCCCAACAUAGCCCAUCACAAGCUCUCACGGUCAACGAAGGAUAUUCCUUCUCCUAGGAAGACCCGAUCAGACUCGGAAUCCCGGUUACAAGACAUUUCGACAAUGGUAAAACAAGACCAGCAAAGCCACCCAAGACAAAUCCCGAUAGGAGUCACACGUAUCUCGUUCUCAUGGAACACCGGAUGGGCAAGAUGUCGGGUUGGCAUAGACCCUGGUUGCCCAGGGGCGCCGGACAUCGCCCAGUUUGGACCAACACUCAGAGGAGCACCGGCCCGGGGGUUUAAAAUAAAGAUGACCCUUGAGUCCACGGAACCCAAGGGAAAAGGCUUAGGUGGCAAAUAGAAAAACCAAGGUUGGGCCUUGCUGGAGGAGUUUUAUUCAAGGCGAACUGUCAGGGGGUUCCCAUAACACCCAACCGCGUAAGGAACACAAAAUCAAGGAACAUAACACCGGUAUGACGGAAACUAGGGCGGCAAGAGUGGAACAAAACACCAGGCAUAAGGCCGAGUCUUCCACCCUUUACCAAGUAUAUAGAUGCAUUAAAGUAAAUAGUAGAUAAUAAUGAUAUCCCAAUAAUAUCCAUGUUCCAACAAGGAACAAAACUUCAUCUUCACCUGAAACUAGCAACCUACAAGAGGGGCUGAGCAAAGCGAUAACAUAGCCAACCAACGGUUUGCUAGGAAAGGUGGGUUAGAGGCUUGACAUGGCAAUAUGGGAGGCGUGAUAUAGCAAGUGGUAGUUAACGCGGCAUAUCAAUAGAGCAAGCAACUAGCAAGCAAAGAUAGACGUGAUUUCAAGGGUAUGGUCAUCUUGCCUGCAAAGUUCUCAGAGUUGACGAAAGCUUGAUCCUCGUUAGCGUACUCAACAGGUUCCUCGAUCACGUACUCGUCUCCCGGCUCUACCCAAAGCAAGAACACAAGCAAAGAACCAACAAUCAAUCAUGGUGCAAUGCACAAGCCACAUGAUGCAAAACAUGGCAUGAUAUGCAAGACAUGAUAUGCAAUGCAUAUGCGUGCUUCGAAAGGGAAAGAAUGAACAAGGCAUCAACUUGGCAAACCAAGUGUGCCGCUGGGAAGAUGAGAUGAUUUCGGUCGAAAUCGAUAUAGAGAUCACCGGAAAUGGAUGCACGGUUUGCAAAUGGCAAGCAAAACAAGAAUGGCACAAUUCUGCGAUUAACAACACGAUGUCACUAAGCAUGCAACAAGAAACUAAGCUACUGCGCUCCAACAUAACAACAAAGCAUAUGGCAGUGAUGUAGACAAGAUGCUUGACAAAACAUGAACACUGAGCUGCGGCUAAAUCACAUAAGAGCAGGUUCAAACAAGCAUGGAAAAAGUGCAAAAGAUAUCGGCUUCACAGACUUAGUGAAAAUACUAACAUGCCAGAAAUAACAUCAGGAAGCCAUGUUUAGGGCAAGCAAACAACAUGCUACAGGAACAUAUCAUAGAAAACAAAGGCAUGACAUGAUUCUACUAAAUGCAUAGAACAAAAGUCCCUUACCGAACAUGAGCCAAAAAGGCAUAGAAGAUAUGAUGGCACCCAUGUAAACAUAGCAAGUUUUAUUAACAGUUUCAGACUUAGCAGAAAACAGAGCAUGGCAUAAACAGAAUUAUGAAGGCAACUUUGUGAGCUCAAACCACUCAUCACAAAGCCUUGCAUGACAAAACAAGCAUACCAAAAGCAAGAUGGCAUGUUCAUGAAGCUAACCAUGGAAAGAGCAAGUUCAUAGCAUGCAUGGAUCACUAGCAACAACCAUGGCAAAAUUGACUAACAUGUAAACAAUCUGCCAGGAAUAUUUUAUAGCAAAAGUGGAGCAAGACCAAGACAUGCUAGGGCACUCCAUAUUGCAAACAGGGGCAUGGAUGGAUAUAGCAUAACAAUAUGUCCAAAACAUCCUUACUAAAGCAUCUCAAAAUAAGCAUGGAUAUCACUGUAGCAUCAAGUUUACAUGGCAUCAAAAUAACAACAGGAAAAUGACUUAGCAAAAUCCUAAGUCCCUGAAAAUAGCAACAUCACGAAGGCUACUUUGCAUGCUUGCGCUAGUCAUCACAAUGAUCAAAAAAAUGCAAGACAAGCACCUCUGUAAAUAUGGAAUGGCAUAGAUCAAAACACAUGUAGAAGUCAUUGCCCAUAUGAAGCACACAUCAAAUGUGACAAAAAUGACAAAUCACCCUAAACUAAUAAGUAGUAGUAGUAAACAUUUUAUAGCACUCUUGCAUCGAUGAUUAUGGCAUCAAUAUGAACUCAAACAAGCAUGCCAGAAUGGAAUGAAAUGGAGAACAUCUCACACUGAACAUUUUGAUAUAUCAUAUGCAUGAAACGGAGCUACGGCCAUGGAGAUAUGAGGCAAUGAACAGAGGCAUAAAAUGUUACAGAGAUAAGGACUCAGACAAAAACAACCCCUCAGAUCUAGGGUUUGACUUUGGCAUGGAAAACGAGGUUCGUCGGGGAAGCUCAAACUCGCCAGAGUUAGCUGGAGUUGGGGAAGGAGGAGGCCGGAGCGGCAAUGCCGAGACGUCGCCGGAGCUCGCGGACGCGGGGCGGUACCGGCGGCGGGGAACAGCGAGGGUGCUUGGCGGAUCGGUCGGCGGCGGCAGGCGUGGAUGGCGCGGGUGGCGGCGGCCGGCGUUGGAGGUGGAUCUCGGUGAGGCGGCGGGGACGGCUGGGCGGCGCGUUGCACGGAGGAGGCGGCGGGGCGCGCGCAGGCGCUGGCGGCGACGGACGGGCCCGCGGGGGCCGACGAUGGGCUCGGCGGGCUUCAGCGGAGGUGGGCAACAAGGAGCCACGUGGCGCACCAUGAGUGGCCGGGCGGUGGAGGCGGACGCGUCCGGCGGACACGGACGUGUCCGGCGGCGCAGGAGGAGCGGGGCUAUGGUUUUGGAUCCGGAAAUUUCGGAGGAUGCACAUAUUUAUAGGUAGGUGGAGGUAGGAGUGUCCAAAUGGGGUGUAGUUUUCGCCCACAUGAUCAUGAUCCGAUGACGGAGGACGUGGAAGAGGUUUGGAUGGGUUAUUGGGCCGUUUUGGAGGGGUGUUGGGCUGCAACACACACGAGGCCUUUGCGGUUACCCGGUUAACCGUUGGAGCAUCAAACAAACUCCAAAUGGAACGAAAUUUGAUAGGCGGUCUACUGGUGGUGUACCAAGGCCACUUGGAAAAUCUCGGUCCAUUCUGAGAACAUUUAACACCUGCUCACGAAAAGAGACAAGAGGGGGUGCGCCGGUGCACGUAGGAGUGUCGGAUUGCAAAACGGACAACGGGGAAAAUGCUCGGAUGCAUGAGACGGACACGUCUGCAAAUGAGAUGCACAUGAUGACAUGAUAUGGAAUGCAUGACAUGAACAAAAUGCAAAACGAAGACAAAAACCCAACCACGAAGGGAAUCUCAUAACUUAAAGCCGAAAAAGGCAAGAGUUGGAUUUACAAAUAUGGCAAGUUACAUCCAGGGUGUUACAGAAGGAAAGGGGUCAUGCCCCUCCCCUUUGUCCAAUUCAUACUCCCUUGGGGGGGCACCACCCCUUGCGGGCUCCCCUCUCUCUCUCCACUAAGGCCCAUGUGGACCCAUUACUUCCCCGGGGGGUUCCGGUAACCUCCCGGUACUCCAAAAAAUACCCGAACCAUUCCGAUGUCCGAAUACCAUCGUCCAAUAUAUCAAUCUUUACCUCUCGGCCAUUUCGAGACUCCUUGUCAUGUCCGUGAUCUCAUCCGGGACUCUGAACAAUCUUCGGUCACCAAAACACAGAACUCAUAAUACAAAUCGUCAUCGAACGUUAAGCGAGCGGACCCUACGGGUUCAAGAACUAUGUAGACAUGACCGAGACAUAUCUCCGGUCAAUAACCAACAACGGAACCUGGAUGCUCAUAUUGGUUCCUACAUAUUCUACAAAGUGUUGGGAACGUAGCAUGCAAUUUCAAAAAAAUUCCUACGAUCACGCAAGAUCUAUCUAGGAGAUGCAUAGCAACGAGAGGGGAAGAGUGUGUCCACAUACCCUGUAGACCGAAAGAGGAAGCAUUAGUUUAACGUGGUUGAUGUAGUCGAACGCCUUCAUGAUCCAACCGGUCUUAGUACCGAACGUAUGACACCUCCAUGUUUAGCACACGUUCAGCUCGAUGACGUCCCUCGAACUCUUGAUCCAGCAGAGUGUCGAGGGAGAGUUCCGUCAGCAUGAUGGCGUGGUGACGGUGAUGGUGAUGUAAUCCGCGCAGGGCUUCGCCUAAGCACUAUGACACUGACCGGAGGAGUAAACUGUGGAGGGGGGCACUGCACACGAUUAAGAGAACAAUUGAUGUGCCUUUUGGGUGCCCCUCGCCACCGUAUAUAGAGGAGGAGAGGGGAGGCCGGCCGGCCCUAGGGGCGCGCUAAGUGGGGGGAGUCCCACUAGGACUCCUAGUCCUAGUCGGCUCCCCCUUCCUUCCAACGGAGAGGGGGAAGGGGAAAGAGUGGGAGAGGGAGAAGGAAAGGGGGGCCGCUGUCGGUGUCAAAACUGGAAGAUCUCGGGUAGGGGGUCCCGAACUGUGCGUCUAAGGAUCGAUGGUAACAAGAGACAGGGGACAUGAUGUUUUACCCAGGUUCGAGCCCUCUUAAUGGAGGUAAUACCCUACGUCCUGCUUGAUUGACUUUGAUGAGUAUAUGGGUUACAAGAGUUGAUCUACCACGAGAUCGUAAUGGCUAAACCCUAAUUGUCUAGCAUGUAUGAUUAUGAUUAUGAUUGCCUCUAUGGACUAAACCCUUCAGUUUAUAUAGACACCUGAGGGGGCUAGGUUUGUACAAAGUCGGUUUAUAGAGAAAGGAAUACUCAUAUCCGCACGCCAAGCUUGCCUUCCACACAAAGGAGAGUCCCAUCCGGACACGGGGGAAAGUCUUCUAUCUUGUAUCUUCACGACCCAUCAGUCCGGCCCACGUUGCAUAGCCCAGACGCCCGAGGACCCCGUAAUCCAGGACUCCCUCAGUAUCCCCUGAACCAUAAAUACCGCAUAUGCUAUCUUCUGAUAAUGCGGGUAUCUGGUUUUGCAUGGUGUGAGGACCGUCAAUACGUAAUAUACUGGUUUCUGGAGUGGGAAUUUAUGUCCUUCCUCUUCUCGUUCGACGACGAGCACCACACUCACCACCUGGUGAGUUGCCGACAUGUAAAGCAGCAUUGGUCCACCGAUGUUUGGUGCGAACAGGAUGGGGUUACUUGCUAGCAAAGUUUUUAUUUCAUCUAGCCCGGUUGUUGUAGCAUCCGUCCACACAAAGUGGUCGGUGUGUCGGAGCAGGCAAAACAGUGGCAACACAUUUUCUCCUAAUCUGGAGAUAAAGCGGCUCAAGGCUGCCAUGCACCCGACUAGUUUUUGGACCUGUUUGAGGUAUGUUGGUGUAGCCAAUUGUGACAAAGCUCAGAUUUUGGCUGGGUUUGCCUCAAUUCCCCUAUUGGAAACGAUGAAGCCCUGCAGUUUUCCGGCAAGGAGGCCGAAGACACACUUUUCCGGAUUGAGCUUGAUGUCAUAUGUAUGGAGGUUGUCGAAUGUGAGAUGCAGGUCGUCUACUAGUGACUCGAUGUGCUUAGUUUUGAUGACGACGUCAUCCACAUAUGCUUCGACCAUCUUGCCGAUUUGUUUCUCCAGGCAUGUUUGAAUCAUGCGUUGGUAGGUGGCACCGGCGUUUUUCAGCCCGAAGGGCAUAGUGUUAAAGCAGAAAGGCCCAUAUGGGGUAAUGAAUGCCGUUGCGGCUUGAUCAGACUCCUUCGUUUUGAUUUGAUGGUAUCCGGUGUAUGCAUCGAGGAAACAUAGUGAGUCGUGUGUUGCAAUAGCGUCAAUGAUCUGAUCGAUGCGGGGGAGGGGGAAGGGAUCCUUGGGGCAGGCCUUGUUGAGGUCUUUGAAAUCGACUCACAUGCGCCAGGAUUUAUCCUUCUUUGGUACCAUCACCAGGUUUGCUAGCCAGUCCAGGGGUUUUAUUUCUCUGAUGAACCCGGCUUCAAUUAACUUGGCUAGCUCCCCUCCCAUAGCUUGUCGUUUGGGUUCGGAAAAGCGCCGCAGUGUUUGCUUGACCGGCUUGUAUCCCUUUAAUAUAUUGAGGCUUUGUUCGGACAAUCUGCGUGGGAUUCCUGGCAUAUCAGAAGGGUGCCAGGCGAAUAUGUCCCAGUUCUCGCAUAGGAACACGCGUAAUGCGGCGUUGACCGUCGGGUCCAGCUAUGCUCCGAUGGAAGCUGUCUUCUUGGGGUCCAUUGGGUGAACUUGAAAUCUAACUAUUUCGUCUCCUGGUUCGAAGGAGGUGGAUUUGGGCCGUUUAUCGAGGAUUACGUCGUCCCUAUCCACCGUGGAACGCAGUGCGGUGAGUUCCUUGGCCGCUAGGGCUUCGGACAAUGCCUCAAGGGCCAGGGAUGCGGUUUUAUUUUCGGUGCGGAGUGCUAUGUCCGGAUUACUACAAAUAGUGAUAACACCAUUGGGCCUGGGCAUUUUGUGCUUCAUAUACCCGUAAUGAGGUAUAGCGUGAAACCGUGUGAAUGCAUCUUGCCCUAACAGGGCAUGAUAUCCAUUGUUAAAAGGAGCCACCUGGAAGAUUAUCUCUUCAGGCCUAUAGUUUUCUGGUGUGCCGAAUACCACAUCCAGCUUGAUUUUCCCCGAGCAUCUUGCUUCCCUGCUGGGAAUGAUUCCCCUAAAGGAUGUAUUGCUCUGCCUAAUGCGACUCCUGUCCAUUUGCAUUUUAUUGAGCAUGUACUCGUAGAUGAGGUUCAGUCCGCUGCCACCGUCCAUUAGCAGUUUAGUAAGCCGAAAACCGUCCACAAUGGGGUUGAGGACCAGAGCGGCUGGUGCCCGAACUGAGCGGGAUCUUGGUUCAUCAUUGGCAUUAAAAGUAAUUAUCAUAUCAUUCCAAGGAUUUAUUGUUGCUACAUGGCAGACUUCGGCAAGGUCGCGAAGCGCCCGUUUGCGCCGAUUAUUUGAUGAGAAGGUCUCGAAGACUGUGAGUACUUCGGGAUCAUGUUCCGAAGAGUACUUUUAUGGUGUAGAAUUGGUGAGGAUACCCUCACACUCUUGGCCACCUGCCGGAGUAUCCAACAUGCCCGUAGGCAGUGAGUUGGUUUGGUAUUCGGUGUCGUAUGUAUUUGACAGGGCCUGUUGAGACAUUCUUUGAAGACAAUUCUGUGUCCCAUAAAGGGCUUGAAUUUCUUGUCCACGGGAUGAUGAUUAGGUGCCCUGUGAGGGUGCAAUCUUUUUGCCCAUCCGGGAGAUGGCCUAAAGGCCUGCGGUUCCCAACGGGCUGUCUGAGUUUUCCAGGUGUUUUCCAUUGUGCAGUACUUCUAAACUAUGUGUGCCAAAUCUGUGAAGUGCAAGACACGACGGUGAUUGAGGGCAUUAAGGAUUCCCUCGUCCGUACAAUUGUUGUGAAACACUGAAAUUGUGGCGUCGUCGCAACAGUCCUUUAUCUUGUUUUUAACAAGGAGGAAUCUAGCCCAAAAGUGAUGGACUAUUUCCCGAGGCUGCUGCCGCACAUGCAUUAGGUCGCAUAUGUCCGGAGAGCCGGAGUUGCUUGGAGAAUAUUGCUUGUGGUGGGUGGGCAGGUUCGAAUUCACACCUUGGCCCACCGUGGAGUCCGGAGCUUGAAGAAUUUUCGAGGUUACCAGCCCAGGACCCGGAGUGUCCAGGGAAUUCUUAGGCUUGACGCCCGAUUUUGUGUUUGGAGGACAGGGAGUGUCCUCUCGAGGGUGGGUAUUCGGUUCUCCGGGUUCGGAAAUCCAAACAUAGUUGGUUCUCAAUGUAAGAAAGGAGUUAUUGUCAGCCUGUUCCUCCACAACCGCUACCUGAUGGGUGACAGACGGAGAUUUAAUUUCUCUCUGAUUGGGUUUAAGCCCGAUCCGAGCAUAGUCAGUUGAGACUCCUAGGGCGGUGAUGCGAUCUAGCAGUUCGUUCAAAGACGAUAGAUCUACCGGGUCCAUAUUGUUGGAAUAUUCGGGGCUGAUGCGAAGGGGAUUUUCAGUGACUUGGGGAGUUGCCUUCGGCUUAAUGGCAGGACGGGCACCCACAGUGAAGUCUCCGAGCCGGAGGGUUUGCCCUGGAAUUAGGGCUCUUUCUGAAGUGAUACUAUCAUUGAUGACAAGGCGAGCCAUCGGUCCUUCAGUUGACGCUAUAGAGGAACUCUCAAUGAAAGCACCAGUGUCAGUAUCAAAACCGACAGAUCUCGGGUAGGGGGUCCCGAACUGUGUGUCUAAGGAUCGAUGGUAACAGGAGACAGGGGACACGAUGUUUUACCCAGGUUCGGACCCUCUUAAUGGAGGUAAUACCCUACGUCCUGCUUGAUUGACUUUGAUGAGUAUAGGGGUUACAAGAGUUGAUCUACCAUGAGAUCGUAAUGGCUAAACCCUAAUUGUCUAGCCUGUAUGAUUAUGAUUGUGAUUGCCUCUAUGGACUAAACCCUUCGGUUUAUAUAGACACCGGAGGGGCUAAGCUUGUACAAAGUCGAUUUGUAGAGAAAGGAAUACUCAUAUCCGCACGCCAAGCUUGCCUUCCACACAAAGGAGAGUCCCAUCCGGACACGGGGGAAAGUCUUCUAUCUUGUAUCUUCACGGUCCAUCAGUCCGGCCCACGUUGCAUAGCCCGGACACCCGAGGAACCCAUAAUCCAGGACUCCCUUAGUCGCGCCCCCACCCCCUGUCCAAUUCGGACUUCUAUGAGGGGGCGCCACCUCCUCUCCACUAUGGCCCAUGAGGCCCAUUAACUUUCCCGGGGGGUUUCGGUAACCUCCGAGAACUCCAAAAAAUCCCCGAACCUCGUCGGGACCAUUCCGGUUUCCGUACAUAAACUUCCAAUAUAUCAAUCUUUCCCUCUCGACCAUUUCAAGACUCCUCAUCAUGUCUGUGAUCUCAUCUGGGACUCCGAACAAACUUCGGUCACCAAAAUACAUAACUUAUAAUAAAAAGUGUCAUCGAACAUUAAGCGUGCAGACCCUACGAGUUCGAGAAUUAUGUAUACAUGACCGAGACACAUCUCUGGUCAAUAACCAAUAGCAGAACCUGGAUGCACAUAUUGGUUUCUACAUAUUCUACGAAGAUCUUUAUCGGUCAAACAAUAAUAACAACAUACAUUAUUCCCUUUGUCGUCGGUCUGUUACUUGCCCGAGAUUCGAUCGUCGGUAUCAUCAUACCUAGUUCAAUCUCGUUACCGGCAAGUCUCUUUACUCAUUCUGUAAUACAUCAUCCUGCAACUAACUCAUUAGUCACAUUGCUUGCAAGGAUUAUAGUGAUGUGCAUUACCGAGAGGGCCCAGAGAUACCUCUCUGAUACUCAGAGUGACAAAUCCUAAUCUUGAUCUAUGCCAACCCAACAAACGCCUUCGGAGACACCUGUAGAGCAUCUUUAUAAUCACCCAGUUAUGUUGUGACGUUUGAUAUCACACAAGGUGUUCCUUCGGUAUUCAGGAGUUGAAUAAUCUCAUAGUCAGAGGAAUAUGUAUGAGUCAUGAAGAAAGCAAUAGCAAUAAAACUUUAACGAUCAUUAUGCUAAGCUAACGGAUGGGUCCUGUCCAUCACAUCAUUCUCUAAUGAUGUGAUCCCGUUCAUCAAAUGACAACACAUGUCUUUGGUCAGGAAACUUAACCAUCUUUGAUUAACGAGCUAGUUAAGUAUAGGCAUACUAGAGACACUGUGUUUUUGUCUAUGUAUUCACACAUGUACUAAGUUUCCGGUUAAUACAAUUCUAGCAUGAAUAAUAAACAUUUAUCAUGAUAUAAGGAAAUAUAAAUAACAACUUUAUUAUUGCCUCUAGGGCAUAUUUCCUUCAGUCUCCCACUUGCAUUAGCGUCAAUAAUCUAGAUUACAUAGUAAUGAUUCUAACACCCAUGGAGUCUUGGUGUUGAUCAUGUUUUUCUCGUGGAAGAGGCUUAGGCAACGGGUCUACAACACUCAGAUCCAUAUGUAUUUUGCAAAUCUCUAUGUCUCCCUCCUUGACUUGAUCGCGGAUUGAAUUGAACCGUCUCUUGAUGUGUUUGGUUCUCUUGUGAAAUAUGGAUUCCUUCGCCAAGGCAAUUGCUCCAGUAUUGUCACAAAAUAUUUCCAUUGGACCCGAUGCACUAGGUAUUACACCUAGAUUGGAUAUGAACUUGAAAGCACAAGUGCUCCCUAGGUGGUUUUGAUAAUUGAUGACAACAUAUCUCUUGUUGGACUAACAUUUCUAUCUAGCAUGUUUCAGAUAAGUUCAACAAUGGAGUGGCAUGGACUAAAGGUUGUGGGAACUCCUUCAAGAUGCUAAGGACAAAGGAUUGGCUAAAGCCUCAAGCUCAAGACUCUUCAUUUUACAUUUUAGUGAUCCAAGAUCACAUUGAGUCCAUAGGAAAAGCCAAUACUAUCAAGGAGGGAUGAGGUGUUGCUUAAUGAGCCUCUUGCUUCAUGUGCUUAGUGAUAUGCUCCAAAACCCUCAACUACUUUCCCAUAUCCACAUAUGACCUAAACCCUAAGCCAAACUCGGUCCUACCGAUUCUUUCUAUCCGGCGCCACCGAGUUUCAUUUGUCAUAAGCCACUGCCAAACCCUAGCAAUUCAGUUCUACCGAUAGGGAUCUCGGUCUCACCGAGAUGGGAUUGCAAACUCUCUGUUUCCCUUUCGUAACUUUUCGGUCUCACCGAAAGAGCGAAUCGGUCCCACCGAGAUUGCAAUGUAAAUUCAGUGUUUCCUUUUUGUAACUUUUCGGUCUCACCGAAAGAGCAAAUCGGUCCCACCGAGUUUGCCUGACCAGCUCUCUGGUUAGCUAAUUACCAAAAUCGGUCCCACCGAGUUUGUGUAAUCGGUCUCACCGAGAUUAUGUUAUGCCCAAACCCUAACCAUAUCGGUUCUACCGAGUUGCAUGUCAGUCCCACCGAAAAUCUCUAACGGUCACUAGGUUUACCUUUUCGGUCCGACCGAGUUUUUUGAUUCGGUCCCACCGAGAUUGGAAAACUGUGUGUAACGGUUGGAUUUUGUGUGGAGGCUAUAUAUACCCCUCCACCUCCUCUUAAUUCGUGGAGAGAGCCAUCAGAACACAUACACAAUUCCAACUCAUAUGUUCUGAGAGAGAACCACCUACUCAUGUGUUGAGACCAAGAUAUUCCAUUCCUACCAUAUGAAUCUUGAUCUCUAGCCUUCCCCAAGUUGCUUUCCACUCAAAUCUUCUUUCCACCAGAUCCAAAUCCUAUGAGAGAGAGUUGAGUGUUGGGGAGACUAUCAUUUGAAGCACAAGAGCAAGGAGUUCAUUACCUACACACCAUUUGUUACUUCUUGGAGAGUGGUGUCUCCUAGAUUGGCUAGGUGUCACUUGGGAGCCUCCGACAAGAUUGUGGAGUUGAACCAAGGAGUUUGUAAGGGCAAGGAGAUCGCCUACUUCGUGAAGAUCUACCGCUAGUGAGGCAAGUCCUUCGUGGGCGAUGGCCAUGGUGGGAUAGACAAGGUUGCUACUUCGUGGACCCUUUGUGGGUGGUUGCUUCUUCGUGGACCCUUUGUGGGUGGUUGCUUCUUCGUGGACCCUUCGUGGGUGGAGCCCUCCGUGGACUCGCGCAACCGUUACCCUUCGUGGGUGGAGCCCUCCAUGGACUCGCGCAGCCGUUACCCUUCGUGGGUGGAGCCCUCCGUGGACUCGCGCAACCGUUACCCUUCGUGGGUUGAAGUCUCCAUCAACGUGGAUGUAGGAUAGCACCACCUAUCCGAACCACGAGAAAAACAUCUGUGUCUCCAAUUGCGUUUGAAUUCUCCAAACCCUUCCCCUUACAUUCUUGCAAGUUGCAUGCUUUACAUUCCGCUGCUCAUAUACUCUUUGCAUGCUUGCUUGAUAUGUAUUGUGUAUGUUGAAAUUGUGCCUAAAACUCCACUCAAACCAAAAAGGCCUAAAAAUUGCAACUUUAGCACUAAGUGUCUAAUCACCCCCCCCUCUAGACAUAUCUACUUCUAGAUCCUACAGAACUCCUUCAUCCAGACUCCUUCAUUUUCUGCUUCCGAAGCAGCUAUGUACUCCGCUUCACACAUAGAUCCCGCCACGACGCUCUGCUUGGAACUGCACCAGCUUACAGCUCCACCAUUCAAUAUAAAUACGUAUCCGGUUUGCGACUUAGAGUCAUCUGGAUCAGUUUCAAAGCUUGCAUCGACGUAACCAUUUACGACAAGCUCUCGAAAAUAUGUUUCGUGAGCUUGCUGAAAAUGACGGCCCUCGAAAAUAUGUCACCUUUGGUGAUAAUUCAAAGGGUAAAGUGGUUGGCCUUGGUAAGUUGUCCAUCUCACAUGAUAGUUCCAUUCAAAAUGUCAUGCUCAUUGAAUCUCUCGGCUACAACUUACUUUCAGUAUCUAGACUUGCUGAUUUCGGUUUGAAUGUCCUAUUUACUGAGGUAGAUUGCCAAGUAUUUCGUCGAGACAAUCAUAAAAUGGUCUUUACCGGUAUGCGUAGAGGUGAUCUUUACAUUGUCGAUUUCUCUAAAAAGGCACAACCUAAAACUUGCUUUGUUGCUAAAUCCUCAAAAGGUUGGUUGUGGCAUAGACGACUAGGUCACGUUGGCAUGAGAAACCUUGACAAGCUUAUUAAAGGAAAUCAUAUCCUUGGAGUUAACAAUGUCAUAUAGACUGUGCAGUGCUUGUCAAGUAGGUAAACAGGUUGGAGGAAGACAUCCCGUGAAGAACAUCAUGACCACAAGGAGGCCACUCGAGCUACUUCAUAUGGAUCUUUUUGGUCCCAACGCCUACAAGAGUCUCGGUGGAAAUUCUUUUGGUCUAGUUAUAGUUGAUGAUUUUUCAAGAUUUAUGUGGGUGUUCUUUCUUAAUGACAAGUCGAAGGUCCAGAAGAUCUUCAAAAACUUCGCUAGGAAGGCCCAAAAUCAGUUUGACAUGAAGAUCAAGAAGGUUUGGAGUGACAACGGAACGGAGUUCAAGAACGCAAAUGUGGACACCUUUCUUGACGAAGAAGGGAUUUCACACGAGUUCUCGGCUACGUACACACCUCAACAAAAUGGAGUCGUUGAGAGGAAGAACCGGACGUUCAUCGAAAUGGCAAGAAUGAUGCUUGAUGAAUACAAGACGCCGAAGCACUUUUGGGCAGAAGCGGUUGAGACAGCUUGUCACGCAACAAAUCGCUUAUAUCUUCACAAGCUACUCGGCAAGACGGCAUACGAGCUUCUCACCGGUAACAAACCCCAAGUUGGAUACUUUCGAGUAUUUGGCUCAAAGUGCUACAUUCUUGAUAAGCAUUGUCGUUCAAAGUUUGCUCCUAAAUCUCAUGAAGGUUUUCUACUUGGUUAUGGCUCAAACUCUCACACUUAACGUGUCUACAACAAUUUCUCCCGAAAGGUUGAAGAGACGGUAGAUGUGAAGUUUGAUGAAUCUAAUGGCUCGCAAGUAGAGCAAUUGCCAAUUGAUGUAGGAGACAAAGACCCUUCAGAAGCAAUCCAAGACUUGUCCAUUGGCAAAAUUCGUCCAACGGAGGUGAAGGAGAGUACUUCAUCCGUCCAAGUGGAAGCUUCUACUUCACGACAAGGUGAACCAAGAAUUGACACAGAAGCAUCCACAAGUGGGACACACCAAGAUGAAGAAAACGAGGAAAUGCAUCAAGACGAACAUCAACAACCUCCUUCUCCACCACGACAAGAGAACGAUGACGUCAACAAUGAAGAAGGCCAAGAAGAAGAACAAGAUGAAGAAGAUGUUCAACGAAGACCCAAGAAAAAGCUCUCACGAGUUCGAGCAAGAAUUGCCAAAGAUCAUCCCGUCGAGCAAAUCCUCAAUGAUAUACAAACCGGGAGAAUCACUCGCUCAAAAACUCGUUUAGCUAACUUUUGUGAAAACUAUUCAUUCAUCUCUAGCAUUGAACCUAUGAAGGUUGAAGAAGCAUUGGAAGAUCCGGAUUGGAUAAACGCUAUGCAUGAAGAGCUACACAACUUUGAGAGAAACCAAGUUUGGACAUUGGUUGAGAAGCCCGACAACAACCACAACAUCAUUGGUACAAAAUGGGUGUUUCACAACAAGCAAGAUGAAGAUGGACAAGUGGUUCGCAACAAAGCACGUCUCGUUGCCCAAGGGUACACACAAGUCGAAGGUAUGGACUAUGGUGAGACAUAUGCUCCCGUUGCUAGACUUGAGUCCAUUCGCAUCUUACUUGCCUAUGCUAAUCAGCAUAAUAUCACCUUGUACCAAAUGGACAUUAAAAGUGCUUUUCUAAAUGGUGAAAUAGAGGAGGAAGUUUAUGUCAAACAACCUCCCGGCUUUAUCAAUCCUAAGAAACUAAAUCAUGUUUACAAACUUCACAAAGCUCUUUAUGGUCUUAAACAAGCUCCUAGAGCAUGGUAUAAAUGCUUGACCAAGUUCCUUAUUACAAGUGGUUUUGAAAUUGGUAAAAUUGAUUCUACUCUUUUUACUAAAAGGGUUAAUGGAGAACUAUUUGUAUGCCAAAUUUAUGUUGAUGAUAUCAUAUUUGGUUCAACUAACCCUCUCUUUAGUGAAAAGUUUGGAAAGCUUAUGUCAGAGAAGUUUGAGAUGUCUAUGAUGAGUGAACUCAAAUUCUUUCUCGGUUUGCAAAUCAAGCAAACUAAGGAAGGUACAUUUGUCUCUCAAACGAAGUACACCAAGGACUUAUUCAAGAAGUUCAAUAUGCAAGAAUGCAAAGGUAUGUCUACACCCAUGCCUACUAGUGGACAUAAUGAUUUGACCAAAGAUGGUGAACCGGUUGAUCAAAAGGUUUAUCGCUCUAUGAUUGGUUCAUUGUUAUACCUAUGUGCUUCACGUCCCGAUAUUAUGCUAAGCGUGUGCAUGUGUGCACGAUAUCAAGCUGCUCCUAAAGAAUGUCAUCUUAAGGCUGUGAAAAGGAUAGUGAGAUAUUUAAUCCAUACACCAAAUUUUGGCAUUUGGUAUCCUAAGAGGUCUUCUUUUGAUCUUGUUGGCUAUUCCGACUCGGAUUAUGCCGAAGACAAGGUUGAUAGAAAGUCCACUUCGGGUACUUGUCAAUUUCUUGGUAGAUCUCUUGUGUCUUGGUCUUCCAAGAAACAAAACUCGGUAUCCUUAUCCACCGCCGAAGCGGAAUACAUUGCCGCUGGUUCAUGUUGUGCUCAAUUACUUUGGAUGACCCAAACUCUUAAAGAUUAUGGGAUUUAUGUGAAACAUGUUCCACUGCUUUGUGACAAUGAAAGUGCUAUCAAAAUUGGUCAUAAUCCUGUACAACAUUCUCGAACUAAGCAUAUUGAAGUUCGUCAUCAUUUCAUUUGAGACCAUGUUGCUAAGGGUGACAUUAAUCUUAAGCACGUUCGCACCGAUAAGCAAUUAGCGGAUAUAUUUACUAAACCUCUUGAUGAGAAAGUAUUAUGCAGGUUGAGAGGUGAAUUGAACAUCAUUGCUGCUUCGAACUUGGAGUAGAAACUCCAUUGGAUACAUGCAAGACAUGAGCUUAUGACUAAUCCAUGAUAUAUCUCUUAUGAUGACUAUCUUAUGUCUUGGAUAUAUUUGUACCUUGCAUGUUGUCUAACCCAUGUAGGUGCUUGGUUGAAUCUAAUUCCAUGAGAUUGCGACUCACUCGCAUCUUGAGCAAUCUCUACAUCACCAAGACUCUACACAAUGGUGGUUGAAGACAAGGAAGCACAAAACCAUUCAAACAUAUCCUUUGACAAAUUCUAUGUUGAGCUUCAUGAUUGUCAUUUUUGGAUACACAAGUGCUCUUCCUUGCAAGAACUAACCCAUGUAGGUAGAUGAACUCAAACUCCAAGUGGUGCUCCCAACUCUUGAUGAGCUACAUCAACCUUGAGCACCCACACAAGUUCAACUACAUGAGCAAGAACCACACCACCACCCAAGGUAUGUUAUUCCAUCUUAUAGAAGCUUUACUCCAAGACAUGAGUCAACGCAACUCAACAAGAUGUGAAUACAUCAAGAUGCUUAAACGAAAAAUGGUAACCCCAUUUUGAGCUUAAACGAUGAGUAUGACCUAUGAUCAAGUGUUCUCACUUGACUCCUAAGUCAAUAUACUCUAACAUAGGUGACUAUGUCACCGCCCAACUCUAGAUGAAGUUCUCUUGUGUUCUUUUCUGUGUUAUUGCAUUUGUCUCAUGCAUGUUUAGUUUCUUUCUCUUUUUCAACAACACAAAAAAAACUCCAUCUAGAUCUUUCAGUUUCUUCUCUUUUCUCUUUGUUUUUGUUCUGCAUUUUCUGCAUUUAAUUCCUUGCAAAUCCUUUAGGCAAUUCAUUGCAAAUCUUUGUGAGAUCCUACAUGUCUAGUGAGCUGAGGUGACAAGUGUUUUUCUCUGUGUAAACUCAGUUUCACCGACUUGCAAUUUUCGGUCCAACCGAAUCUUUUCGGUACCACCGAAAUAUGCCACUCGGUGCCAUCGACUUUGCAAUCAGAAAAACAGUUUGCCACUUGUUCUACAUUUCUUCUGAUCCAGCUCCACUCAAUGAAUCUUGUCCUCUACAAGCAUCACAAUUUUAUCCUUUGCUUUGUGCUGAGUCUCAAGGACCAAACCUAUACGACGGAUUCCAGAAACCCUUCUUGGAAAUUAAUGUCAAAGGGGGAGAGAGAGAUCACAUCAAAGCUUGCAGGAGAAAGAGAUCACAUCAAAGCACAUCAAAGCUCAAGGGGGAGAGAAAGUAUCAAGGAUCCCAGAUGUUGUUAAGGGGGAGAGAGAGAUUUCCCAGAUGCUAUUAAGGGGGAGAGAGAGAUUUCCAGGGAGAGAAAAUACUCAAGGAUCCCAGAUGCUUGAUGUUCAAGAGGAGAGAUGUCACAUGUCUUUGUGGGGGAAAGACAUGUUCAUAUACGCUUAUUUGCAUUAACUUCUAUCCAUUUGUAUCUUUCAGCUCUGAUUUUCUGUUCCCUAUCUUAUCCCAAUAUCCCAUGUAAGAUUCAGGGGGAGCAAGACACCUAAGGGAAAGAAAUCAGUCAAAUUCAUUGCAUAUCUUUAUUCUUGGGGACAUGUUGAAUCCAAUGUGGUACCUUGCACUCACUCUCUACAUGUCAUCCCAGUCUUGGUAUUCUUGUGGUUUCUUUUGUUUACUCUGGCUAGUGGAUGUACCUGUGUUAUCUAACUUUGUUUGUGCAGGUUCAUUCCAUCCUAAGCCAACUCAAGACCACAAGGUAAGUAUAUGCAUCAAAAUCAUGAGUAUGAGGAGUUCUUGCUUAUGUACAUACUGUUUGCAAGAAGGACUCAUGAGCAUGAAGGUAUUCUCCUUGAUAAUCUUUUGCUCUGAUGCAUAUGGCCAAGAUACAUGUAACACAUUGCCUACUCUGUCAUGGUUAUGCUCUCACAUGCCUCUAUAUUUCAUAUUCACAUGAGUGCAUACAUGUAGGGGGAGCCUAUGCUUGUUACAUGUCCUUCCAAAGCUUUACUUGCUGUUCUUUAUAUCUUUAUCUAAAGCUUUGAUGUAUGUGGCCAUCAAUUACCAAAAAGGGGGAGAUUGAAAGCACAAGUGCUCCCUAGGUGGUUUUGAUAAUUGAUGACAACAUAUCUCUUAUUGGACUAACAUUUCUAUCUAGCAUGUUUCAGAUAAGUUCAACAAUGGAGUGGCAUGGACUAAAGGUUGUGGGAACUCCUUCAAGAUGCUAAGGACAAAGGAUUGGCUAAAGCCUCAAGCUCAAGACUCUUCAUUUUACAUUUUAGUGAUCCAAGAUCACAUUGAGUCCAUAGGAAAAGCCAAUGCUAUCAAGGAGGGAUGAGGUGUUGCUUAAUGAGCCUCUUGCUUCAUGUGCUUAGUGAUAUGCUCCAAAACCCUCAACUACUUUCCCAUAUCCACAUAUGACCUAAACCCUAAGCCAAAAUCGGUCCUACCGAUUCUUUCUAUCCGGCGCCACCGAGUUUCAUUUGUCAUAAGCCACUGCCAAACCCUAGCAAUUCAGUUCUACCGAUAGGGAUCUCGGUCUCACCGAGAUGGGAUUGCAAACUCUCUGUUUCCCUUUCGUAACUUUUCGGUCUCACCGAAAGAGCGAAUCGGUCCCACCGAGAUUGCAAUGUAAAUUCAGUGUUUCCUUUUUGUAACUUUUCGGUCUCACCGAAAGAGCAAAUCGGUCCCACCGAGUUUGCCUGACCAGCUCUCUGGUUAGCUAAUUACCAAAAUCGGUCCCACCGAGUUUGUGUAAUCGGUCUCACCGAGAUUAUGUUAUGCCCAAACCCUAACCAUAUCGGUUCUACCGAGUUGCAUGUCAGUCCCACCGAAAAUCUCUAACGGUCACUAGGUUUACCUUUUCGGUCCGACCGAGUUUUUUGAUUCGGUCCCACCGAGAUUGGAAAACUGUGUGUAACGGUUGGAUUUUGUGUGGAGGCUAUAUAUACCCCUCCACCUCCUCUUAAUUCGUGGAGAGAGCCAUCAGAACACAUACACAAUUCCAACUCAUAUGUUCUGAGAGAGAACCACCUACUCAUGUGUUGAGACCAAGAUAUUCCAUUCCUACCAUAUGAAUCUUGAUCUCUAGCCUUCCCCAAGUUGCUUUCCACUCAAAUCUUCUUUCCACCAGAUCCAAAUCCUAUGAGAGAGAGUUGAGUGUUGGGGAGACUAUCAUUUGAAGCACAAGAGCAAGGAGUUCAUUACCUACACACCAUUUGUUACUUCUUGGAGAGUGGUGUCUCCUAGAUUGGCUAGGUGUCACUUGGGAGCCUCCGACAAGAUUGUGGAGUUGAACCAAGGAGUUUGUAAGGGCAAGGAGAUCGCCUACUUCGUGAAGAUCUACCGCUAGUGAGGCAAGUCCUUCGUGGGCGAUGGCCAUGGUGGGAUAGACAAGGUUGCUACUUCGUGGACCCUUUGUGGGUGGUUGCUUCUUCGUGGACCCUUUGUGGGUGGUUGCUUCUUCGUGGACCCUUCGUGGGUGGAGCCCUCCGUGGACUCGCGCAACCGUUACCCUUCGUGGGUGGAGCCCUCCAUGGACUCGCGCAGCCGUUACCCUUCGUGGGUGGAGCCCUCCGUGGACUCGCGCAACCGUUACCCUUCGUGGGUUGAAGUCUCCAUCAACGUGGAUGUAGGAUAGCACCACCUAUCCGAACCACGAGAAAAACAUCUGUGUCUCCAAUUGCGUUUGAAUUCUCCAAACCCUUCCCCUUACAUUCUUGCAAGUUGCAUGCUUUACAUUCCGCUGCUCAUAUACUCUUUGCAUGCUUGCUUGAUAUGUAUUGUGUAUGUUGAAAUUGUGCCUAAAACUCCACUCAAACAAAAAAGGCCUAAAAGUUGCAACUUUAGCACUAAGUGUCUAAUCACCCCCCCCCUCGAGACACAUAUACUUCUAGAUCCUACAGAACUCCUUCAUCCAGACUCCUUCAUUUUCUGCUUCCGAAGCAGCUAUGUACUCCGCUUCACACAUAGAUCCCGCCACGACGCUCUGCUUGGAACUGCACCAGCUUACAGCUCCACCAUUCAAUAUAAAUAUGUAUCCGGUUUGCGACUUAGAGUCAUCUGGAUCAGUGUCAAAGCUUGCAUCGACGUAACCAUUUACGACAAGCUCUUUGUCACCUCCAUAAACAAGAAACAUAUCCUUAGUCCUUUUCAGGUAUUUCAGGAUGUUCUUGACCGCUGUCCAGUGAUCCACUCCUGGAUUACUUUGGAACCUCCCUGCUAAACUUAUAGCAAGGCACACAUCAGGUCUGGUACAUAGCAUUGCAUACAUGAUAGAACCUAUGGCUAAGGCAUAGGGAAUGACUUUCAUUUUCUCUCUAUCUUCUGUAGUGGUCGGGCAUUGAGUCUGACUCAACUUCACACCUUGUAACACAUGCAAGAACCCUUUCUUUGACUGAUCCAUUUUGAACUUCUUCAAAACUUUAUCAAGGUAUGUGCUUUGUGAAAGUCGAAUUAAGCAUCUGGAUCUAUCUCUAUAGAUCUUGAUGCCUAGUAUAUAAGUAGCUUCACCGAGGUCUUUCAUUGAAAAAUUCUUAUUCAAGUACCCUUUUAUGCUAUCCAGAAAUUUUGUAUUAUUUCCAAUCAACAAUAUGUCAUCCACAUAUAAUAUUAGAAAUUCUACAAAGCUCCCACUCACAUUCUAGUAAAUACAGGCUUCUCCAAAAGUCUGUAUAAAAUCAUAUGCUUUGAUCACACUAUCAAAGCAUAUAUUCCAACUCCAAGAUGCUUGCACCAGUCCAUAAAUGGAUCGCUAGAGCUUGCACACUUUGUUAGCACCUUUAGGAUUGACAAAAUCUUCUGGUUACAUCAUAUACAACUGUUCUUGAAGAAAUCCAUUGAGGAAUGCAGUUUUGACAUCCAUUUGCCAAAUUUCAUAAUCAUAAAAUGCGGCACUUGCUAACAUGAUUCGGACAGACUUACGCAUCACUACGGGUGAGAAGGUCUCAUCGUAUUCAACUCCUUGAACUUGUUGAAAACCUUUCACAACAAGUCGAGCUUUGUAGACAGUAAAAUUACCGUUAGCGUCAGUCUUCUUCUUGAAGAUCCAUUUAUUCUCUAUGGCUUGCUGCUACAUCUUGAGCUUGCGUUGGUUUUCCCUGAAGAGGAAGGGAUGAUGCAGCAGAGUAGCGUAAGUAUUUCCCUCAGUUUUUGAGAACCAAGGUAUCAAUCCAGUAGGAGGCUACGCGUGAGUCCCUCGUACCUGCACAAAACAAAUAAAUCCUCGCAACCAACACAAAUAGGGGUUGUCAAUCCCUAUAGGGCCACUUACGAGAGUGAGAUCUGAUAGAUAUAAUAUUUUUGGUAUUUUUGGUAUAAAGAUGCAAAGUAAAAAGUAAAAGCAAAGUAAAAAAGCAAAGCAAUAUUAAAGUAAUGGAGAUUGAUAUGAUGAGAAUAGACCCGGGGGCCAUAGGUUUCACUAGUGGCUUCUCUCAAGAGCAUAAGUAUUCUACGGUGGGUGAACAAAUUACUGUUGAGCAAUUGAUAGAAUUGAGCAUAAUUAUGAGAAUAUCUAUGCAUGAUCAUGUAUAUAGGCAUCACGUCCGUGACAAGUAGAUCGAAACGAUUCUGCAUCUACUACUAUUACUCCACUCAUUAAACGCUAUCCAGCAUGCAUCUAGAGUAUUAAGUUAAAAACAGAGUAACGCCUUAAGCAAGAUGACAUGAUGUAGAGAGAUAAAUUCAUGCAAUAUGAAAUAAACCCCCUCUUGUUAUCCUCGAUGGCAACGAUACAAUACAUGCCUUGCUGCCCCUUCUGUCAUUGGGUAAGGACACCGCAAGAUCGAACCCAAAGCUAAGCACUUCUACCAUGGCAAGAACUACCAAUCUAUUUGGCCAAACCAAACGGAUAAUUCGAAGAGACUUGCAAAGAUAACCAAUCAUACAUAAAUAAUUCAGAGAAGAUUCAAAUAUUAUUCAUAGAUAGACUUGAUCAUAAACCCACAAUUCAUCGAUCUCAACAAACACACCACAAAAAGAAGAUUACAUAGAAUAGAUCUCCACAAGAGAGGGGGAGAACUUUGUAUUGAGAUUCAAAGAGAGAGAAGAAGCCAUCUAGCUACUAACUAUGGACCCGAAGGUCUGAGGUAAACUACUCACACUUCAUCAGAGGGGCUAGGAUGAUGUAGAAGCCCUCCGUGAUGAUGGCCCUCUUUCGGCGGAGCUCCGGAACAGUCCCCAAGAUGGGAUCUCGUGGAUACAAAAAGUUGCGGUGGUGGAAUUAGGUUUUUGGCUCCUGUUCUGAUCGUUUGGGGGUACGUGUGUAUAUAUAGGAGGAAGGAGUACGUCGGUGGAGCACUGAGGGGCCCACGAGGCAGGGGGCGUGCCCUAGGGAGGGCGCCCCCACCCUCGUGACCUCCUCUUUGAUCCCUUGCAGUAGGGUCCAAGUCUCCUGUAUCACGUUCGGUGAGAAAAUCACGUUCCCGAAGAUUUUAUUCCGUUUGGACUCCGUUUGAUAUUCUGUUUAUCCGAAACACUGAAAUAGGCAAAAAACAACAAUUCUGGGCUGGGCCUCCGGUUAAUAGGUUAGUACCAAAAAUAGUAUAAAAGUGGAAAAUAAAGCCCAAUAUAGUCCAAAACAGUAGAUAAUAUAGCAUGGAGCAAUCAAAAAUUAUAGAUACGUUGGAGACGUAUCAGGCAUCCCCAAGCUUAAUUCCUUCUCAUCCUCGUGUAGGUAAAUGAUAAAAAGAGAAUUUUUGAUGCGGAGUGCUACUUGGCAUAAUUUCAAUGCAAAUCUUCUUAAUUGUGGUAUGAAUAUUUAGAUUAGAAAGAUUCAAGACAAAAGUUUAUAUUGACAUAUAAAAUAAUAAUACUUCAAGCAUACUAACAAAGCAAUUAUGUCUUCUCAAAAUAACAUGGCCAAAGAAAGUUAUCCCUACAAAAUCAUAUAGUCUGGCUAUGCUCCAUCUUCCCCACACAAAGUAUUUAAAUCAUGCACAACCCCGAUGACAAGCCAAGCAAUUGUUUCAUACUCUAACUUUUUCAAAACUUUUUUAAUCUUCACGCAAUACAUGAGCGUGAGCCAUGGAUAUAGCACUAUAGGUGGAAUAGAAUGGUGAUUGUGGAGAAGACAAAAAAGGAGAAGAUAGUCUCACAUCAACUAGGCGGAUCAACGGGCUAUGGAGAUGCCCAUCAAUAGAUAUCAAUGUGAGUGAGUAGGGAUUGCCAUGCAACGGAUGCACUAGAGCUAUAAAUGUAUGAAAGCUCAACAAAAGAAACUAGUGGGUGUGCAUCCAACUUGCUUGCUCAUGAAUACCUAGGGCAAUUUGAGGAAGCCCAUCAUUGGAAUAUACAAGCCAAGUUCUAUAACGUAAAAUUCCCACUAGUAUAUGAAAGUGACAACAUAUGAGACUCUCUAUAUGAAGAACAUGGUGCUACUUUGAAGCACAAUAUAUGAGACUCGCUAUAUCAUGAUGCUACUUUGAAGCACAAGUGUGGAAAAAAGGAUAGUAGCAUUGCCCCUUUUUUAUUUUUAUUUUUUAUUUUUGGGCCUUCUUUUUUUCUUUGGCCUUUCUCUUUUUUUUGGGACAAUGCUCUAUUGAAUGAUGAUCAUCACACUUCUAUUUAUUUACAACUCAAUGAUUACAACUUGAUACUAAAACAAAGUAUGACUCUAUAUGAAUGCCUCCGGCGAUGUACCGGGAUAUGCAAUGAAUCAAGAGUGACAAGUAUGAAAGAAUUAUGAACGGUGGCUUUGCCACAAAUACUAUGUCAACUACAUGAUCAUGCUAAGCAAUAUGACAAUGAUGGAUGUGUCAUGAUGAACUAGAUGGUGGAAAGUUGCAUGGCAAUAUAUCUCGAAAUGGCUAUGGAAAUGCCAUAAUAGGUAGGUAUGGUGGAUGUUUUGAGGAAGGUAUAUGGUAGGUGUAUGAUACCGACGAAAGUUGCCCGAUAUUAGAGAGGCUAGCAAGGGUGGAAGGGUGGGAGUGCGUAUGAUCCAUGGACUCAACAUUAGUCAUAAAGAACUCAUAUACUUAUUGCAAAAAUCUAGAAGUUAUCAAAGCAAAGUAUUGCAUGCAUGCUCCUAGGGGGGUAGAUUGGUAGGAAAAGACCGUCGCUCGUCCCCGACCGCCACUCAUAAGGAAGAAAAUCAAUAAAUAAAUCAUGCUCCGACUUCAUCACAUAACGGUUCACCAUACGUGCAUGCUACGGGAAUCACAAACUUCAACACAAGUAUUCUUUAAAUUCACAACUACUCAACUAGCAUGACUUUAAUAUUAUCACCUCCAUAUCUCAAAACAAUUAUCAUGCUUCAAUAUUUUCUUAGUAUUCGACACACUCAAAAGAAAGUUUCACAAAUCUUGAAUACCAAGCAUAUUAUUAUUAGGCAAAUUAUCAUGCUAUUAAGAGACUCUCAAAUUAAUUUAAGUGAAGCAUGAGAGAUCAAUAAUUUCUUUAAAAUGAAUCCACCACCGUGCUCUAAAAGAUCUAAGUGAAGCACAUAGAGCAAAAUUAUCUAGCUCUAAAGAUAUAAGUGAAGCACAUAGAGCAAAACUAUAACGCUCAAAAGAUAUAAGUGAAGCACAUGGAGCAAAACUACUACGGUCAAAAGAUAUAAGUGAAGCACAUAGAGUAUUCUAUCAAAUUUUAAUUCAUGUAUGGCUCUCUCAAAAGGUGUGUACAGCAAGGAUGAUUGUGGCAUACUAAUAAACAAAGACACAAAUAAUACAAGACGCUCCAAGCAAAACACAUAUCAUGUUGGUGAAUAAAAAUAUAGCUCCAAGUAAAUUACCGAUGGAAGUGGACGAAAAGAGGGGAUGCCUUCCGGGGCAUCCCCAAGCUUUGACUUUUUGGUGUCCUUAGAUUAUCUUGGGGGUGCCAUGGGCAUCCCCAAGCUUAGGCUCUUGCCACUCCUUGUUCCAUGAUCCAUCAAAAGAAUUCACCCAAAACUUGAAAACUUCACAACACAAAACUCAAAAUAGAAAACCCGUGAGCUCCCUUAGCGAAAGAAAACAAAAGACCACUUCAAGGUACUGUAAUGAACUCAUUAUUUAUUUAUAUUGGUGUUAAACCUACUGUAUUCCAACUUCUCUAUGGAUUAUAAACUAUUUUACUAGCAAUAGAUUCAUCAAAAUAAGCAAACAACACACGAAAAACAGAAUCUGUCAAAAACAGAACAGUCUGUAGUAAUCUGUAGCUAGCGCAAGAUCUGGAACCCCAAAUAUUCUAAAAUAAAUUGCUGGACGUGAGGAAUUUAUCUAUUAAUCAUCUUCAAAAAGAAUUAACUAAAUAGCACUCUUAAAAUAAAAAUUACAGCAGUUCUCGUGAGCGCUAAAGUUUCUGUUUUUUACAGCAAGUUCAACAAGACUUUCCCCAAGUCUUCCCAACGGUUCUACUUGGCACAAACACUAAUUUAACACAAAAAAACCAAAACAGAGGCUAAAUAAUUUAUUUAUUACUAAACAGGAGCAAAAAAAUCAAGGAAUAAAAAUAAAAUUGGGUUGCCUCCCAACAAGCGCUAUCGUUUAACGCCCCUAGCUAGGCAUAACAAGCAAGGAUAGAUCUAGGUAUUGCCAUCUUUGGUAGGCAAUCCAUAAGUGGCUCUCAUGAUAGUUUCAUAUGGUAAUUUUAUUUUCUUUCUUGGAAAGUGUUCCAUGCCCUUUUUUAAUGGAAAUUGAAAUCUAAUAUUCCCUUCCUUCAUAUCAAUAAUCGCACCAACUGUUCUAAGGAAAGGUCUACCAAGAAUAAUAGUGCAAGAAGGAUUGCAAUCUAUAUCAAGAACAAUGAAAUCUACAGGCACAUAAUUCCUAUUUGCAACAAUAAGAACAUUAUUAAUUCUUCCCAUAGGUUUCUUAAUAGUGGAAUCUGCAAGAUGCAAGUUUAGAGAGCAAUCAUCAAAAUUACGGAAAUCUAGUAAAUCACACAAAGUCUUGGGAAUAGUAGAGACACUAGAACACAAAUCACACAAAGCAUAAAAAUCAUGAUCUUUAAUUUUAAUUUUAAUAGUUGCUUCCCACUCAUCAUAGAGUUUUCUAGGGAUAGAAACUUUCAACUCAAGUUUUUCUUCAUAAGAUUGCAUCAAGGCAUCAACAAUAUGUUUGGUGAAGGCUUUAUUUUGACUAUAAGCAUGUGGAGAAUUUAGCACAGAUUGCAAUAAGGAAAUACAAUCAAUCAAAGAGCAACUUUCAUAAUUAAAUUCCUUGAAAUCCAAUAUAGUGGGUUUAGCAACAUCUAGAUUUUUAUUUCUUUCAAUCCCACGUUCAUCAAUUUCAUCAUUAAGAUCUAAAUACUCCGAAUGUUUAGAACGCCUUCUAGGUAAAGGAAGAUCAUAUUCAGUUUCAUCAAGAUUCAUAUUGCAAAAUAAAGAUUUAAUUGGAGACACAUCAAUAACUUCUAGAUCUUCAUCUUGAUUUUCAUAGGAAUUGGAAGAACACGCUUUAAUAAAGGCAUCUUUGGAAGCACGCAUCCUAACGGUUCUUUAUUUACACUCAUAAAUUGAAAUUCUCAUGGCUUUUAAGACUCAUUGAUAUCAUGCUUAGGUGGAAUAGAUCUAAGUUUCAAAGCAUCAACAUCAAGAGCAAUUCUAUCAACGUUCCUAGCCAAAUCAUCAAUCUUAAGCAAUUUUUCUUCAAUCAUAGCAUUAAAAUUCUUUUGUGAAGAAAUAAAUUCUUUAAUAUUAGAUUCAAAAUUAGAGGGAAUCUUAUUACAAUUUCCAUAAGAGUUGUUGUAGGAAUUCCCAUAAUUAUUAGAAGGAUUGCUAGGAUAUGGCCUGGGAUUAAAAUUCCCUCUAUAAGCAUUGUUACCAAAAUUAUUCCUACCAACAAAAUUCACAUCCAUAGAUUCAUUGUUAUUCUCAAUCAAAGUAGACAAAGGCAUAUCAUUAGGACCAGAAGAAACACUCUUAGUAGCAAAUAAUUUCAUAAGUUCAUCCAUCUUUCCACUCAACACAUUAAUUUCUUCUAUCGCAUGCACUUUUUAUUAGAAGUUCUUUCAGUAUGCCAUUAAGAAUAAUUAACCAUAAUAUUAUCUAGGAGUUUAGUAGCAUCUCCUAAAGUGAUUUCCAUAAAAGUGCCUCCCGCGGCUGAAUCUAAAAGAUUUCUAGAAGCAAAGUUUAAUCCGGCAUAAAUUUUUUGUAUAAUCAUCCACAAAUUCAAACCAUGAGUAGGGCAAUUACGUAUCAUUAAUUUCAUUCUCUCCCAAGCUUGUGCAACAUGUUCAUGAUCAAGUUGUUUAAAGUUCAUUAUAUUGUUUCUAAGAGAGAUGAUCUUAGCGGGAGGAAAAUACUUAGAGAUAAAAGCAUCUUUGCACUUGUUCCAUGAAUCAAUACUAUUCUUAGGCAAAGACGAAAACCAAGCUUUAGCACGAUCUCUAAGCGAAAAAGGAAAUAGCUUCAAUUUAACGACAUCAUUAUUGACAUCUUUUUUCUUUUGCAUAUCACAUAAAUCAAUGAAGCUAUUCAGAUGAGUAGCGACAUCUUCGCUAGGAAGGACAGCGAAUUGAUCUUUCAUAACAAGAUUCAACAAAGCAGUAUUAAUUUCACAAGAUUCAACAUCGGUAAGAGGAGCAAUCAGAGUGCUAAGGAAAUCAUUAUUAUUGGUAUUGGUGAAGUCACACAAUUUAGUAGUAUCUUGAGCCAUCGCGACAAACAAGCAAUCUAACACACGAGCAAACAAAAAGCAAACGGGCAAAAAGAGGCAAAUAGAGAGGGAGGAUAGAGAGAGAGGGCGAAUAAAACGGCAAGGCUGAAUUGGGGGGAGAGGAAAAUGAGAGGCAAAUGGAAAAUAAUGUAAUGCGAGAUAUAGGGAUUGUGAUGGGUACAUGGUAUAUUGACUUUUUGUGUAGACUCCCCGGCAACUGCGCCAGAAAUCCUUCUUGCUACGUCUUGAGCUUGCGUUGGUUUUCCCCGAAGAGGAAGGGAUGAUGCAGCAGUGUAGCAUAAGUAUUUCCCUUAGUUUUUGAGAACCAAGGUAUCAAUCCAGUAGGAGCCCACGCUCAAGUCCCUCGUACCUGCACAAAGCGAUAGCUACUCGCAACCAACGCGAUUAGGGGUUGUCAAGCCCUUCAUGGUCACUUACUCGAGUGAGAUCUGAUAGAUAUAAUAUUUUUGGUAUUUUUGGUAUAAAGAUGCAAAGUAAAAAGUAAAAGCAAAGUAAAAAAGCAAAGCAAUAUUAAUGUAAUGGAGAUUGAUAUGAUGAGAAUAGACCCAGGGGCCAUAGGUUUCACUAGUGGCUUCUCUCAAGAGCAUAAGUAUUCUACGGUGGGUGAACAAAUUACUGUUGAGCAAUUGAUAGAAUUGAGCAUAAUUAUGAGAAUAUCUAGGCAUGAUCAUGUAUAUAGGCAUCACGUCCGUGACAAGUAGAUCAAAACAAUUCUACAUCUACUACUAUUACUCCACUCAUCGACCGCUAUCCAGCAUGCAUCUAGAGUAUUAAGUUAAAAACAGAGUAACGCCUUAAGCAAGAUGACAUGAUGUAGAGAGAUAAAUUCAUGCAAUAUGAAAUAAACCCCAUCUUGUUAUCCUCGAUGGCAACGAUACAAUACGUGCCUUGCUACCCCUUCUGUCACUGGGUAAGGACACCGCAAGAUCGAACCCAAAGCUAAGCACUUCUCCCAUGGCAAGAACUACCAAUCUAGUUGGCCAAACUAAACGGAUAAUUCGAAGAGACUUGCAAAGAUAACCAAUCAUACAUAAAAGAAUUCAGAGAAGAUUCAAAUAUUAUUCAUAGAUAGACUUGAUCAUAAACCCACAAUUCAUCGGUCUCAACAAACACACCGCAAAAAGAAGAUUACAUAGAAUAGAUCUCCACAAGAGAGGGGGAGAACUUUGAAUUGAGAUUCAAAGAUAGAGAAGAAGCCAUCUAGCUACUAACUAUGGACCCGAAGGUCUGAGGUAAACGACUCACACUUCAUCGGAGGGGCUAGGAUGAUGUAGAAGCCCUCCGUGAUGACGGCCCUCUUCCGGCGGAGCUCCGGAACAGGCCCCAAGAUGGGAUCUCAUGGAUACAGAAAGUUGCGGUGGUGGAAUUAGGUUUUUGGCUCCUGUUCUGAUCGUUUGGGGGUACGUGUGUAUAUAUAGGAGGAAGGAGUACGUCGGUGGAGCACCGAGGAGCCCACGAGGCAGGGGGCGCGCCCUAGGGGGCGCCCCCCACCCUCGUGACCUCCUCUUUGAUCCCUUGCAGUAGGGUCCAAGUCUCCUGGAUCACGUUCGGUGAGAAAAUCACGUUCCCGAAGAUUUUAUUCCGUUUGGACUCCGUUUGAUAUUCUGUUUAUCCGAAACACUGAAAUAGGCAAAAAACAACAAUUCUGGGCUGGGCCUCUAGUUAAUAGGUUAGUCCCAAAAAUAAUAUAAAAGUGGAAAAUAAAGCCCAGUAUAGUCCAAAACAGUAGAUAAUAUAGCAUGGAGCAAUCAAAAAUUAUAGAUACAUUGGAGACGUAUCACUUGCCGAUCAUCGGGCAAGUCAACCAAAGUCCACACUUUAUUAUCAUACAUGGAUCCCAUCUUAGAUUUCACGGCCUCAAGCCAUUUCACAGAAUCUGGGUUCAUCAUCGCUUCCUCAUAGUUCGUAGGUUCGUCAUGGUCUAGUAACAUGACUUCCAGAACAGGAUUACCGUGCCACUUUGGUGCGGACCGUAUUCUAGUUGACCUAUGAGGUUCGGUAGUAACUAGAUCUGAAGUUUCAUGAUCAUCAUAUUAGUUUCCUCACUAAUUGGUGUAGGCAUCACUAGAACUGAUUUUUGUUAUGAACUACUUUCCAAUUCGGGAGAAGGUACAGUUACCUCAUCAUGUUCUACUUUCCUCACAUUCACUUCUUUCAAGAGAAACUCCUUCUCUAGAAAGGAUCCAUUCUUAGCAACGAAUAUCUUACCUUCGGAUCUGUGAUAGAAGGUGUACCCAACAGUUUCCUUUGGGUAUCCUAUGAAGACACAUUUCUCCGAUUUAGGUUCGAGCUUAUCAGGUUUAAGCUUAUUCACAUAAGCAUCGCAGCCCCAAACUUUAAGAAAUGGCAACUUAGGUUUCUUGCUAAACCACAGUUCAUAUGGUGUCGUAUCAACAGAUUUAGAUGGUGCCCUAUUUAAUGUGAAUGCAACCGAGCAUAACCCUAAAACGAUAGCGGUAAAUCGGUAAGAGACAUCAUAGAUCGCACCAUAUCUAAUAAAGUACGGUUAUGACGUUCAGACACACCAUUACGCUGUGUUGUUCCAGGUGGCGUGAGUUGUGAAACUAUUCCACAUUAUUUCAAAUGAAGACCAAACGCGUAACCCAUAUCUGCUCAAAUCAUCUGUGAAGGUCGGAAAAGAACGAUACCCGCCGCGAGCCUCAACACUCAUCGGACCGCAUACAUCAGUGUGUAUUAUUUCCAAUAAGUCAGUGGCUCGCUUCCAGGAUAACGGAGUCUUAGUCAUCUUGCCCAUGAGGCAUGGUUCGCAAGCAUCAAGUGAUUCAUAAUCAAGUGAUUCCAAAAGCCCAUCAGCAUGUAGUUGCUUCAUGCGCUUUACACCAAUAUGACCUAAAGGACAGUGCAACAAAUAAGUUACACUACCAUUAACUUUGCAUCUUUUGGCUUCAAUAUUAUGAAUAUGUGUAUCACUACGAUUGAGAUUCAACAAAAAUAGACCACUCAUCAGGGGUGCAUGACCAUAAAAGAUAUUACUCAUAUAAAUAGAACAACCAUUAUUCUCCGAUUUAAAUGAAUAUCCGUCUCGCAUCAAACAAGAUCCAUAUAUAAUGUUCAUGCUCAAUGCUGGCACCAAAUAACAAUUAUUCACGUCUAAAACUAAUCCCGACGGUAGAUGUAGAGGUAGCGUGCCGACGAUGAUCACAUCAACCUUGGAACCAUUUAUGACACCCAUCGUCACCUCGUCCUUAGCCAAUCUUCGUUUAAUCCGUAGCCCCUGUUUCGAGUUGCAAAUAUGAGCAACAGAACCAAUAUCAAAUACCCAGGCGCUACUACGAGCAUUAUUAAGGUACACAUCAAUAACAUGUAUAUCAAAUAUACCAUUCACUUUGCCAUCCUUCUUAUCCGCCAAAGACUUGGGGCAGUGCCGCUUCUAGUGACCAGUCCCUUUGCAGUAGAAGCACUCAGUUUCAAGCAUAGGUCCAGACUUGGGCUUCUUCCCGGGAGCAGCAACUUGCUUGCUAUUCUUCUUGAAGUUCCCCUUCUUCCCUUUGCCCUUUUUCUUGAAACUAGUGGUCUUGUUAACCAUCAACACUUGAUGCUCCUUCUUGAUUUCUACCUCCCCAGCCUUAAGCAUCGCGAAGAUCUCGAGAAUUGUCUUUUCCAUCCCUUGCAUAUUAUAGUUCAUCACGAAGCGUUUAUAGCUUGGUGGCAGUGAUUGAAGAACUCUGUCAAUGACACUAUCAUCAGGAAGAUUAACUCCCAGUUGAGUCAAGUGGUUAUGGUACCCAGACAUUCUGAGUAUGUGUUCACUGACAGAACUGUUCUCCUACAUUUUGCAGCUAUAGAACUUGUUGGAGACUUCAUAUCUCUCAACUCGGGCAUAUGCUUGAAAUAUGAACUUCAACUCCUGGAACAUCUCAUAUGCUCCAUGACGUUCAAAACGUCUUUGAAGUCCGGAUUCUAAGUCGUAAAGCAUGGCACACUGAACUAUCGAGUAGUCAUCAGCUUUAGUCUGCCAGAUGUUCAUAACGUCUGGAGUUGCUCCUGCAGCGGGUCUUGCACCUAGCGGUGCUUUCAUUAUGUAAUUCCUCGGUGCAACAAUGAGGAUAAUCCUCAAGUUAUGGACCUAGUCCGUGUAGUUGCUACCAUCAUCAUCUUUCAACUUAGCUUUCUCUAGGAACACAUUAAAAUUCAAGGGAACGGUAGCACGGGCCAUUGAUCUACAACAACAUAGAUAUGCAAAAACUAUUAGGACUAAGUUCAUGAUAUAUUAAAGUUCAAUUAAUCAUAUUACUAGAGAACUCCCACUUAGAUAGACAUCCCUCUAGUCAUCUAAAUGAUCAGAUGAUCCAUAUCAACUAAACCAUGUCCGAUCAUCACGUGAGAUGGAGUAGUUUUCAAUGGUGAACAUCUCUAUGUUGAUCAUAUCUACUGUGUGAUUCACGUUCGAACUUUCAGUCUCAGUGUUCCGAGGCCAUAUCUGCAUAUGCUAGGCUUGUCAAGUUUAACCCGAGUAUUCUGCACGUGCAAAACUGGCUUGCACCCGUGGUAUGUGAACAUAGAGCUUAUCACACCCAAUCAUCACGUGGUCUCUCGGCACGACGAACUGUAGCAAUGGUGCAUACUCAAGGAUAACACUUAUACCUUGAAAUUUAGUGAGAGAUCAUCUUAUAAUGCUUCCGAUGUACUAAGUAAAAUAAGAUACAUAAAUAUAAACAUCACAUGCGAUCAAAAUAUGUGACAUGAUAUGGCCAUCAUCAUCUUGUGCCUUUGAUCUUCAUCUCCAAAGCACCAUCAUGAUCUCCAUCGUCACCGUCUUGACACCUUGAUCUCCAUCGUAGCGUCAUUGUUGUCUCGCCAACUAUUGCUUCUACGACUAUCGCUACCGCUUAGUGAUAAAGUAAAGCAAUUACAUGGCGAUUGCAUUUCAUACAAUAAAGCGACAACCAUAAGGCUCCUGCCAGUUGCCGAUAACUUUUAUAAAACAUGAUCAUCUCAUACAACAAUUUAUAUCUCAUCACGUCUUGACCAUAUCACAUCACAAAAUGCCCUGCAAAAACAAGUUAGACGUCCUCUACUUUGUUGUUGCAAGUUUUACGUGGCUGCUACGGGCUUCUAGCAAGAACCGUUCUUACCUACACAUCAAAACCAUAAUGAUUUUCCGUUAAGUGUGUUGUUUUAACAUUCAACAAGGACCGGUCAUAGUCAAAUUCGAUUCAACUGAAGUUUGAGAAACAGACACCCGCCAGCCACCUGUGUGCAAAAGCAUGUCGGUAGAACCGGUCUCAUGAAUGUGGUCAUGUAAUGUUGGUCCAGGCUGCUUCAUCCAACAAUAUCGCCGAAUCAAAAUAACACAUUGGUGGUAAGCAGUAUGACUAUUAUCGCCCACAACUCAUUGUGUUCUACUCGUGCAUAUCAUCUACGCAUAGACCUGGCUCGGAUGCCACUGUUGGGGAACGUAGCAUGCAAUUUCAAAGAAUUUCCUACUGAUAUGUCUCCAACAUAUCUAUAAUUUUUGAUUGUUCCAUGCUAUUAUAUUAUCAACCUUGGAUGUUUUAUAUGCAUUUAUAUGCUAUUUUAUAUGAUUUUGGGACUAACCUAUUAACCUAGAGCCCAGUGCCAGUUUCUGUUUUUUCCUUGUUUUAGAGUAUCGCAGAAAAGGAAAAUCAAACGGAGUCCAAUUGACCUGAAACUUCACGGAACUUAUUUUUGGACCAGAAGAAACCCACGGAGUAUCGGAGUUGGACCAGGAGAGUCCCGGGCUGCCCACGAGGGUGGCGGCGCGCCCACCCCCUGGGCACGCCCCUGCCUCAUGGACAGCCCGAAGGUCCACCGACGUACUUCUUCCUCCCAUAUAUACCCAUAUACCCUAAAAACUUCGGGGAGCACAAUAGAUCGAGAUUUCCGCCGCUAGAAGCCUCCAUAGCCACCGAAAACCAAUCUAGACCCGUUUCGGCACCCUGCGGAGUGGGCAAUCCCUCUCCGGUGGCCAUCUUCAUCAUCCCGGUGCUCUCCAUGACGAGGAGGGAGUAGUUCUCCCUCAGGGCUGAGGGUAUGUACCAGUAGCUAUGUGUUUGAUCUCUCUCUCUCUCUGUCGUGUUCUUGAGGUGGUACAAUCUUGAUGUAUCGCGAGCUUUGCUAUUAUAGUUGGAUCUUAUGAUGUUUCUCCCCCUCUACUCUCUUGUAAUGGAUUGAGUUUUCCCUUUGAAGUUAUCUUAUCGGAUUGAGUCUUUAAGGAUUUGAGAACACUUGAUGUAUGUCUUGCGUGGGAUACCUGUGGUGGCAAUGGGCUAUUCUAUUGAUCCACUUGAUGUAUGUUUUGGUGAUCAACUUGCGGGUUCCGCCCAUGAACCUAUGCAUAGGGGUUGGCACACGUUUUCGUCUUGACUCUCCGGUAGAAACUUUGAGGCACUCUUUGAAGUACUUUGUGUUGGUUUGAAUAGAUGAAUCUGAGAUUGUGUGAUGCAUAUUGUCGGUGUCAAACCCGGCGGAUCUCGGGUAGGGGGUUCCGAACUGUGCGUCUAAGGCGGAUGGUAACAGGAGGCAGGGGACACGAUGUUUGCCCAGGUUCGGGCCCUCUCGAUGGAGGUAAGACCCUAUGUCCUGCUUGAUUGAUCUUGAUGAUAUGAGUAUUACAAGAGUUGAUCUACCACGAGAUCGUAGAGUCUAAACCCUAGAAGCUAGCCUAUGGUAUGAUUGUAUGUUGUCCUACGGACUAAACCCUCCGGUUUAUAUAGACACCGGAAGGGGAUAGGGUUACGCAGAGUCGGUUACAAGGGAGGAGAUCUACAUAUCCGUAUUGCCAAGCUUGCCUUCCGCGCCAAGGAGAGUCCCAUCCGGACACGGGAUGAAGUCUUCAAUCUUGUAUCUUCAUAGUCCAAUAGUCCGGCCAGAGGAUAUAGUCCGGCUGUCCGGAGACCCCCUAAUCCAAGACUCCCUCAGUAGCCCCUGAACCAGGCUUCAAUGACGAUGAGUCCGGCGCAAAGUUUUGUCUUCGGCAUUGCAAGGCGGGUUCUUCCUCCGAAUACUCCAUAGAAGAUUUUGAACACAAGGAUAUUGUCCAACUCUGCAAAACAAGUUCCACCUACCACCGUAGAGAGAGUAAUAUUUCCACAAAUCUAACCUGCUGACAUGUUUAGCAACAUGACAUCAUGCCAUGGCCCGGUCAUUAUUCAAACCGUUUUUCUCAACCAGCGCUGCACAUAUCGCGAGGCGGUUUCCUUGGCACGUAUUGUCGAAGCAGAGAUCGUGUCCCCUUAUCACGGGAUUCUCAUCAAUACGGAUAUGGGUAAUCCAACCACGCCAUCAACUACAACGCUUGGGGAAUAAGCGAUUUUACCAGGUAAAUGGGGGAGGCGCAUCACCUCUUCCGCCCUUAUAAAGGGACAAAGAUUCACCCUUUUUACCCACGUCUUCUUUCUCCUUGCCUAUCCAUUGUCGCACACUCGAGCUCCAGCGCCCAAGUUCGCGUCUUUCUCCUCAAACCACCCCAAGCAUGUAUGGAGAAGGAGGCAAGUGGAUGGUCUCCUCCGUCACGGAGGAGAACAUCACAAAGCUACAGGAAGCCGGAUAUCUGGCCGCGAAUAUCGCGCACCGGCUGCCAGAUGCGGGGCAGAUCAUCCCUACACCCAAACCCCAUGAGAGGGUAGUUUUCCUCACCCACUUUGUCCGUGGACUGGGAUUUCCCCUUCACCCGUUUGUCCGCGGGCUCAUGUUCUACUACGGGCUGGAUUUUCAUGAUCUGGCCCCCAAUUUCAUCCUCAACAUCUCGGCGUUUAUCGUCGUGUGCGAGGCCGUCCUCCGCAUCAAGCCCCACUUCGGCCUGUGGCUAAAGACCUUCAAUGUUAAACCGAAGGUGGUGGUCGGCUAGUAAGCAGAGUGUGGAGGCUCCAUGGUGGGCAAAAUGCCUAACGUCACCUGGCUCGAAGGCUCCUAUGUGGAGGCCAUAAAGGGAUGGCAAUCGGGGUGGUUCUACAUCACCGAGCAGCGCGACACCAACUGGGUGGCGGCCCCUGAAUUUCGAUCCGGAAUCCCCACGCGGCUCACUUCCUGGAAAGAGAAGGGCAUGUCAUGGGGUUCCCCGGUAGAGCUGACCGGACUCCAGACAUGCAUCAAGAACAUGAUGAGCAAGAAAAUCAAGCUCAUCAACGUGGUCCAGGUCAUGCUCUUCCACCGGAUUCUCCCGUGUCAACGACGGGUAUUCAAUUUGUGGGAGUUCGACCCGGCCAAGCACCAGACGCUGCGAGAGCUCUUUGACACAACGCACAAGGAUGUUUGGAAUGUGCUGUUCAAGGGCGUCGAGGUACCUCCUCCCCUUACCGAGGACCGCGGACUCAGCGCAAAGCGCCAUGCCAAUCCAUUAAGUUUUUAUAUCUCACAGGAUAUUUAUUUGCCCUAGUUUAAUCAUGUGUGGGAUCUAAGCUUCCAUGCCAUUAAGAGGACUGGGUAGUGACAGCGGAGCAGCUCGAUUGCCCAGCCCCUCUGCCUGAAGAUCCUGCAGAUGCUCUCCUAACGGAGAUGCUGGUUCCGGCGCCUUACGAGGUGCCAGUGAAGAAGGCCAAGAAGAAGGCCACUGGGGCCCGAAAGGGUCUCCGGCGCAAGGUUAUGUCGGACUCAUCGUCCGAUAACUCCGAAGCGCACUCCUCCCACGAAAACGAGGAGGAGGAAGAGAAAAGUUCUCCCCCCCCAGCCGGGGGAGACAAGAAAAGGAAGGUCGCCCCAAUCGGGGAGGCCGAAGGGUCCAAGAAGGGAAGGACCCUCCUUCCGAACUGCUCCACGUCGGCCGCCUACAACGGCGACGAGUGGUUACCCAGGGACAAGCCCCUGGCGAAGUCGCAAGUAUCCAGAUACCAUAGUAAUUCAUGGUAUGUUUUAUUGCACUGCUUCUCCUUAUGCCGAAUAUGAUUAUGCAGUCCAUCCCGAGCCCAUCUCGACGUAUCUUCGUCGGACGGUUCUUUGGACUCGUUGGAUAUGAAUAGCGAUUCACUUCCGACCGCCUCCACCCCCUGCCCUACGGACAAAGUCGAGGUGUUUUCUCCAAAGGCACCGAGCCAAGGGGAGGUAGUCCCGGGGGCGCCUCGAGGUGACCUUCCGGACCCUGGGCGCAAAGGGAGCGAGACUCCCACGGGCUCCAAGUUCGGCCCCCAACCGAACACUGCGCCGGAACCUUCGGUGGUUCCGGACUCUAGCAGGCGACCCCCCUUUAAGAGGGGCAAGCCGCCCGUGCCGGUGGCCUCUGUCCAUCCAGAGGCACCGGACAACUUGCUGGAAGUGCUUCUUGGUGCCUCCAUCAACGAAGAGCACCGUACUAUCAUGAGUGCGGUGAUCGAGAAAGUUCAGUCCGCCAAAAACGGACUAACCGAAGCUUGUGCCAGCCUCGUAAUAGGCUUUCAGGUAAGCAAUUAAAAUAUAGGAAAAUAUUACCGCAUAGACAGUAGCCCCUGGUUCUCUAUUUGGCGUUCGCGAAGAAAGGCCGAAUAGAGGAUCAAAUAAUGACUCAGGAGUCUAAUCAGAAUAUGUCUAUGUGCAUAUGCAGGCUUCACUACUGGCCGCUGCCGCACGUACUGCGGAGGUCGCUGCACUGAAGCAGGACCUUGAGCGGUCCGAGAAAGAGCUCGGCCUUACCAAGAGGCAGCUCGAGGAGAGCAAAGGUAAGGAAUACCUUGUCUAUAUAUUUAAAAGAAAUUCGGUUGUAAAGUAAUAGGAUCAUCAUGAAUUUGCCAGGGGCCACGACCGAGGUGGUGACCCUGAAGAAGGCGCUGUUCGAGGCCGAAGACAAAGCGGCCAAGGAGCGCAUUGAGCGGGAAAAGCAAGAAGCCCGGGUAGGCGAGGUGCAGCAAGAGCUCGAGGCUCUCCCCAAAAACACGAGUCCUUGGAGCUUGACUCUAAGACGCGAGAGUCCGAGCUUGCGAAGACGCUCGAAAGCGCCCGGAGCGCCAAGGCUGAAGCUGACAAGGCCCUCCAGGAGAUUGAUGCGGUGAAGAAGAUAGCAGCGGGUAAGGCAUUCAUUAUGCAAAGCAAGCAUGUGAAGGAAACUUUCCUUUUACUUACCCGAGUUCGGAGCUCUCCAGGAGCGUUCGCAGAUCUUCCCCGCAGUGUACUGGAUGCCGCGGAGUUUUACCGAGCUGAGGAGGGGAGCUCGGCGGAAAAGUUGUUCUGGUCUCAGUAUACUGGGACCAAACACCCAAUGCCCUUGAGCGACCAGCUGAAGCAACUGGUCGAGCUUCACAAGGCGGCCGAACAGGCCAUGAAGGGUCUUAUAGUCUGGAUGUGGCCUGGCGAUCCCCUACCUGGCAGCUACUUCGGUCUAGUGAGGCGGCUUGUGGAUGCCUGCACACGGCUUGAAGUCAUAAAGCGGUCUGUCUGCAUCGAGGGUGCACGCAGGGCUUUUGCCCGGGCGAAGGUGCACUGGGCGAAGCUGGACGCCGUAAAGAUGGUGAAGGAGGGGCCGCCGGAGGGCAAGGAGCAUCGCUGCCCCGAAAUGUAUUAUGACAGUGUCCUAAAGGGUUCCCACCUUAUGGCGGAGGAAUGUGCGAGAGAUGUAAUUUUUGAAUGAACAUUCUCAUGUGAUCAUGUAAUGUGAAACGAGUUCAUUUGCGCUAUGCAACGGUUUUUGAAUUUAAAAUAUUACCUUAUGUACAGCCGUUUAUAAAAUCUAAGAGUUUGCCAGUCGUCGGCUUCUGCCCCCAUGUAACUAGUACUGGGGUGUUUGGGAUAAACCUGAGCACUCUUUAUCCCAACUUUGGAUCCUUCGAGGGAGGUGUUCAGCACAACGAACCAGGCAAUUGGACUAUAAGGCUUUAUCACUCUCACUUAGCCAUAGAAGUUAGUAUUCGAAAGGCCGAAUUUGGGGCACUAUAUACGCCUAAGUCAGGCAAGGCCGACUCCUCGCCCGAAGCGGAAAAAGUCUUUAAGGACUUGAGACCUCUUGAACAGUGACCGGCUCUCGCCUUAUCAUGACAGUCAGUUUUUGGCUUUCUCUACUGAGGUGCUCGUCCGGAAGAACCGGGACACAAUCGCAUUAGUUCUCCCAGCGCUACCUUAGCCGAUAUAGCUGAACGUAAGGUACCAAAACAUGGGAGCCGGGCAAACCCAACUAUUUGACCCAAGACAUGAUUCAGAGCUGAUGCAUAUAAUGCUAUAAGUUCGGGGUGCCGCACUGUCGAAAGUGUUCAGACCUCUCACGCCGUAUUAUGGGGUAAACAAAAGCCCCUGGCAUACUGACCGUACCAGAAUGUAUAGGUGCAAGUUGUUGAAAUGAACAUAUAAGAAAAAGGGGAUGGAUAAUGCAAUAAUAGACUAAUGCUAUGCAUUGUUAUUUAAAUAAUACGUCGAAGCAUACUGAUAUAAGUAGUGCAAUAAGCCAAAAAUAGGACUAUUUGACAUGUCCUAUCCAAGGGCAAGCUGCAUAUGGGUAGUAAAAAGUGGGCAUAUCGAUUGUUAUUAGAGACCACCUGGGGGUUCCCCUGUACGUCUUAGCUUCUUGCCUCCUUGGUUGUUCCUUCCCGUAAUGUGUCCAACAAUCAUACUACCGGAAAGGGCUUCCAGAGAGUAAGGUCCUGAAAGAGAAAAAAUGAUAAAGGUAUGCAGCCCCUAGGGCGGUUAAGCCGCAUUUCGGGACGUGCCUUGAUCGUGCCCCCGCCUAUGCCCAUGGUAUUUUCAGGGCAUAAUUAUGUACGCACGGCUUAGAUUUCAUCGCUUGACUGGGACUAGGACGGGGGCCGAAUUGCUAAGCGAGCUCUGAACGUGCCAGGUGAUCCUGUUGCAGGUUACUCCGGACUCGCUUGAUGGUGUCCAGGAGCUGUAUCGCCGAAUUAGCGGUUUGCCUUAAAAGGCUGCUUUGUGCUUCUGCUGCGAGGACCGCAGUGUGCUCUUCCAUGCGGAGCGAGCGUUCUGUGUUUCUAUUGACUGUUAUGACCCCCCUAGGUCCUGGCAUCUUGAGCUUGAGGUAUGUGUAAUGCGGUACCGCAUUGAAUUUUGCAAAUGCGGUUCGCCCGAGCAGUGCGUGAUAGCCACUGCGGAACGGGACGAUAUCGAAGAUUAACUCCUCGCUUCGGAAGUUUUCCGGAGCUUCAAAGACCACCUCCAGUGUGAUUGAGCCCGUUCAAUGGGCCUCUACACCUGGGAUGAUGCCCUUAAAGGUGGUUUUGGUGGGUUUAAUCCUCGAGGGAUCUAUACCCAUUUUGCGCACUGUAUCCUUAUAGAGCAGGUUCAGGCUGUCGCUGCCGUCCAUAAGGACUUGAGUGAGGUGAAAUCCGUCGAUGAUGGGGUCUAGGACCAAUGCGGUGGAUCUGCCAUGAUGGAUACUAGUGGGGUGGUCCCUGCGAUCGAAGCUGAUCGAACAGGAGGACCAUGGGUUGAACUUUGGGGCGACGGGCUCCAUCGCAUGGACGUCCCUUAGUGCACGCUUCUGUCCCCUCUUGGAAAUGUGGGUUGCGUAUAUCAUGUUCACCGUCUUCACUUGUGGGGGGAACCUCUUCUGUCCUCCCGUGUUCGGCGGCCGGGGCUCCUCCUCGUCAUCACUAUGCAGCCCCUUCUCCUUGUUUUCUGCAUUUAACUUGCCGGCCUGCUUGAACACCCAGCAUUCUCUGUUGGUGUGAUUGGCUGGCUUAUCAGGGGUGCCGUGUAUUUCACACGAGCGAUCGAGUAUGCGAUCCAAACUGGACGGGCCCGGAGUACUUCUUUUGAAUGGCUUUUUCCGCUGAGCGAAUCUAGAGCCUCUGAAUCUAGCAUUGACUACCCUAUCAUCGGCGUUAUCGCUGUUGUUGCGGCGCUUUUGUCUGUUAUGGCGUGGUCUGCCGUUGGCAUCUUUGGUAUCCGAAGUGCCCGGAUUCCUUGAUGUGUUGUUGCUGCGAGCCAGCCAACUAUCCUCGCCCGUGCAAAAGCGGGUCAUGAGUGUCGUGAGGGCUGCCAUACACUUCGGCUUCUCCUGGCCGAGGUGCCGGGUGAGCCACUCGUCACGGAUGUUAUGCUUGAAUGCAGCUAAGGCCUCUGCAUCCGGACAGUCGAAAAUUUGUUUUUUCUUAGUUAGGAACUAUGUCCAGAAUUGCAUGGCCGAUUCCCCUGGCUACUGAGUUAUAUGGCUCAAGUCAUCAGCAUCCGGUGGUCACACAUAAGUGCCCUGGAAGUUGUCAAGGAAUGCGUCUUCCAAAUCCUCCCAACUGCCGACGGAGUCUGCUGGCAAGCUAUUCAGCCAAUGCCGAGCUGGUCCUUUGAGUUUUAGUGGGAGGUACUUGAUGGCAUGCAGAUCAUCACCGCGAGCCAUGUGGAUAUGGAGGAGGAAAUCCUCAAUCCAUACAGCAGGAUCUGUUGUACCAUCAUAAGAUUCGAUAUUUACGGGUUUAAAACCCUCCGGGUAUUCGUGAUCCAUAACUUCAUCAGUGAAGCAUAGGGGGUGUGUGGCGCCUCUGUGCCAGGCUAUAUUAUGAUGCAGUUCAUAUGAGUCUUGUCUGCUGUGUUCGGCCCGGUCGGAUUUACUUUUAGUGUAUCUGGCAUGACGGUCAUCGUCGCGCGUUGGCGCGCGCCCCCGUGACCCGUAUAUCGACCUUGCAUGCUUUGCACUGCUUUCCAAUAAGUCUAGCAGGUCCCGUGUGUUGCCCCGGGCCUUGGUAUUUUUGUGGCGGCGGGGUGCAUGCUGAACUUCAAGCUGAAAUGCCUCUCUGGCUCAGCCACGAGGUGGCCGGUCAGCCGCAUUGUACACUGGUGAUGUAGGUUUCAAUGCUUCCUCCUUGAGGUGAGGUAGCAACUUGCGCUUUGGGUAACUCUUGGAGGGGCGCUCGAGUUCGUAUUCCUCGGCCGCAAGGACUUCGGUCCAUCUGUCUGCUAGCAAAUCUUGAUCAGCUUGAAGCUGCUGUUGCUUUUUCUUCAAGCUGUUUGAUGUGGCUAUAAGCCGGCGCUUGAAGCACUCCUACUCGAUGGGAUCCUUAGGCAUGAUAAAUUCUUCAUCGCCAAGGCUCACCUCGUCUUUGAAGAGAGGCAUAUAAUUGUCAUCCUCCGAUUCUCUAUCUGCUGCCCGCUCUGGAGGGCUAGCUUAUUCGCCCUCCCGCUCUAAAUCAUGUUGGAGGGGAUUGUUGUUGUCUUCGGCACUAUCCGGAGUGUUAUUAUCUCUUGUUCCGGUAUCACUACUUUUGCUAUGGCAGGAGUUAGAGCGGCGCCGCUGACGUCGGCGCUUGGGUUGCUUCUUGGAGGGGUCAUCCUCCAUUGUCUCGUCGCCAUUUCCUUAUUUGGGGGUGUCCUCCAUGUAUAUAUCAUAUGAUGAGGUGGCGGUCCAGCACCCUGUGGGCGGUGGUUCCUGUUCGUCUCCUGCAUCAUCGUCCAUACCGUUGAUGUCUUCGGAGUCGAAGUCAAGCAUGUCGGUUAAAUCGUCGGCAGUGGCUACCAAGUGGGUAGUGGGUGUGGAGCGAAUUUCUUCUUCGUCCGCAUCCCAUUCUAGCCGGACAUAGUUCGGCCAAGGUUCUCCUGACAAGGAGAGAGACCUUAAUGAAUUAAGCACGUCGCCAAAAGGUGAGUGUUGAAAGAUAUCCGCGGAGGUGAACUCUAUGAUCGGCUUCCAAUUGGGUUCGAUAGGCACGGACACAGAUGGCUCGGAGUUCGUGGCCGGAGACGAAUCUAGUGGUUCGGCAACACGGCUCUCGUAAGGGUUGAAGUCAGUAUCCGGCUCUAUCGCCACUAAGAGUGCGGCCUCCAUGGCGGGGUCUAUCCCUCCGCUCUCGGAUGGCACGAUUUGCUCCGGAUUGACGGCCGGAGUAGUUGCAUAUGCGAUCUCCCGAACACUGUCCGACGGCAGACUUACGUCGUGCUCGUCGUGACUGUGCGACGCACCGGACACGGGCUCGUCUUCAAUCUUGUAUCUUCAUAGUCCGAUAGUCCGGCCAAAGGAUAUAGUCUGGCUGUCCGGAGACCCCCUAAUCUAGGACUCCCUAACAUAUCGUAUAAUCAUACCCACGGAUACUUGAGGUGACAUUGGAGUAUCUAGGUGACAUUAGGGUUUUGGUUGAUUUGUGUCUUAAGGUGUUAUUCUAGUACGAACUCUAUGAUAGAUUUAACGAAAAGAAUAGCUUCGUGUUAUUUUACUAUGGACUCUUGAAUAGAUCGAUUAGAAAGGAUAACUUUGAGGUGGUUUCGUAUCCUACCAUAAUCUCUUCAUUUAUUCUCUGCUAUUAGUGACUUUUGAGUGACUCUUUGUUGCAUGUUGACGGAUAGUUAUAUGAUCCAAUUACGUUAUUAUUGUUGAGAGAACUUGCACUAGUGAAAGUAUGAACCCUAGGCCUUGUUUCAACGCAUUGCAAUACCGUUUGUGCUCACUUUUAUCAUUAGUUACCUUGCUGUUUUUAUAUUUUCAGAUUACAAAAACCAUUAUCUACUAUCCAUAUUGCACUUGUAUCACCAUCUCUUCGCCGAACUAGUGCACCUAUACAAUUUACCAUUGUAUUGGGUGUGUCGGGGACAUAAGAGACUCUUUGUUAUUUGGUUGCAGGGUUGCUCGAGAGAGACCAUCUUCAUCCUACGUCUCCUAUGAAUUGAUAAACCUUAGGUCAUCCACUUGAGGGAAAUUUGCUACUGUCCUACAAACCUCUGCACUUGGAGGCCCAACAACGUCUACAAGAAGAAGGUUGUGUAGUAGACAUCAAGCUCUUUUCUGGCGUUGUUGCCGGGGAGGUUAGCGCUUGAAGGUAUAUCUUUAGAUCUUGCAAUCGAAUCUUUUUGUUUCUUGUUUUAGCACUAGUUUAGUUUAUAAAAGAAAACUACAAAAAAUAUGGAAUUGAGGGUACCUCAUAUGCUUCAUCUUUUUAAUAUCUAUCAUGAAAAUAAGGAUUCCGAUAGUUGUGCUUAAGUGCUAGAAGAAGAAUGCAUUAGAAUGUUUGGCACUAAAUAUUUGAAUGAUGAGCAUGAUUGCAAUGUUCUUAGUAUGAAUUUCUUGAAUAUCCAUGAUGCUAAUGAUAUGCAAAGCCACAAGCUUGGGGAAGCUAUGUUUGAUGAAGAUGAUAUUUUUUGUCCCCCAAGUUUUGAUGAGAAAUUUUAUUAUGAUGAAAGCAUGCCUCCUAUUUAUGAUGAUUAUAUUGAUGAAAGUGGAUUUGGAGAGGUCAUGACUUUAUUUUGUGAUGAAUCCACUAUUUCGGAAGAGGUUCCAAUUGAUUAUGAGAACAAAGUUGCUAUCUAUGAUGAUUGUUGUGAUGACUUGUAUGCUAUAAAGAAUAAUGAUAUCCAUGAAACUUGUCAUCAUGAUUUUAGUUUUCAAUUGGAUUAUGCCUCACAUGAUAGUUAUUUUGUUGAGUUUGCUCCCACUACUAUUCAUGAGAAGAAAUUUGCUUAUGUGGAGAGUAAUAAAAUUUCUAUGAUUGUAGAUCAUGAAAAGAAUGCUUUAUGUGAUAGUUAUAUUGUUGAAUUCAUUCAUGAUGCUACUGAAAAUUCUUAUGAGGGAGGAAUAUAUGCUUGUAGGAAUUGCAAUAAUAUCAAGUUUCCUCUCUAUGUGUUGAAAAUCUUGAAGUUAUGCUUGUUUUUCUUUCCUAUGCAAGUUGAUUCUUGUUCCCACAAGUUGUUUGCUCACAAAAUCCCUAUGAAUAGGAAGUGGGUUAGACUUAAAUGUUCUAGUCAUAUUCUUCAUGAUGCUCUCUUUAUGUUUCAAUUCUUAUCAUUCAUGUGAGCAUCAUUGAAAUCAUCAUGCCUAGCUAGGGGCGUUAAACGAUAGCGCUUGUUGGGAGGCAACCCAAUUUUAUUUUUGUUCCUUGCUUUUUUCUCCUGUUUAGUAAUAAAUAAUUUAUCUAGCCUCUGUUUUGGUUGUGUUUUUUGUGUUUAAUUAGUGUUUGUGCCAAGUAGAACCGUUGAGAAGACUUGGGUAAAGUCUUUUUGAUCUUGCUGUAAAAAACAGAAACUUUAGCGCUCACAAGAAUUGCUGCCAUUUUUAUUUGGAUAGUGCUAUUUAGUUAAUUCUUUUUGAAUAUGGUUAAUAGAUAAAUUCCUCACGUCCAGCAAUUUAUUUUAUAAUUUUUCGGGUUCCAGAAGUUUGCGUUAGUUACAGAUUACUAUAGACUGUUCUGUUUUUGACAGAUUCUGUUUUCUAUUUCUUGUUUGCUUAUUUUGAUGAAUCUAUGGCUAGUAAAAGAGUUUAUAAACCAUGGAGAGGUUGGAAUACAGUAGGUUUAACACCAAUAUAAAUAAAGAAUGGGUUCAUUACAGUAUCUUGAAGUGGUGUUUUGUUUUCUUUCGCUAACGGAGCUUACGAGUUUUGUGUUAAGUUUUGUGUUGUGAAGUUUUCAAGUUUUGGGUAAAGAUUCGAUGGACUAUGGAAUAAUAAGUGGAAAGAGCCUAAGCUUGGGGAUUCCCAAGGCACCCCAAGGUAAUAUUCAAGGACAACCAAGAGCCUAAGCUUGGGGAUGUCGUGUAAGGCAUCCCCUCUUUCGUCUUCGUUCAUCGGUAACUUUACUUUGAGUUAUAUUUUUAUUCGCCACAUGAUAUGUGUUUUGCUUGGAGCGUCAUUUUAUUUUAUUUAGUUUUGCUUGCUGUUUGAAUAAAAUACCAAGAGCUGAAAUUCUUAAAUGUUAGAGAGUCUUCACAUAGUUGCAUGAUUAUUCGACUACUCAUUGAUCUUCACUUAUAUCUUUCGGAGUAGCUUGUCAUUUGCUCUAGUGCUUCAAUUAUAUGUUUUUAGAGGACUGUGGUGGUUUUAUUUUAUAGAAAUAGAUGAACUCUCAUGCUUCACUUAUAUCAUUUUGAGAGUCUCUAAACAGCAUAGUAGUUUGCUUUGGUUAUGUCAAAAACAGCAUGGUAAUAAAUGAUUUAUCUAGCCUCUGUUUUGGUUGUAUUUUUUGUGUUUAAUUAGUGUUUGUGCCAAGUAGAACCGUUGAGAAGACUUGGGGAAAGUCUUUUUGAUCUUGCUGUAAAAAAACAGAAACUUUAGAGCUCACGAUAAUUGCUGCCAUUUUUAUUUGGAUAGUGCUAUUUAGUUAAUUAUUUUUGAAUAUGAUUAAUAGAUAAAUUCCUCACGUCCAGCAAUUUAUUUUAUAAUUUUUGGGUUCCAGAAGUUUGCGUUAGUUACAGAUUACUAUAGACUGUUCUGUUUUUGACAGAUUCUGUUUUCUAUGUCUUGUUUGCUUAUUUUGAUGAAUCUAUGGCUAGUAAAAGAGUUUAUAAACCAUAUAGAGGUUGGAAUACAGUAGGUUUAACACCAAUAUAAAUAAAGAAUGGGUUCAUUACAGUAUCUUGAAGUGGUGUUUUGUUUUCUUUCGCUAACGGAGCUUACGAGUUUUGUGUUAAGUUUUGUGUUGUGAAGUUUUCAAGUUUUGGGUAAAGAUUCGAUGGACUAUGGAAUAAGAAGUGGCAAGAGCCUAAGCUUGGGGAUUCCCAAGGCACCCCAAGGUAAUAUUCAAGGACAACCAAGAGCCUAAGCUUGGGGAUGCCCCGUAAGGCAUCCCCUCUUUCGUCUUCGUUCAUCGGUAACUUUACUUGGAGCUAUAUUUUUAUUCGCCACAUGAUAUGUGUUUUGCUUGGAGUGUCAUUUUAUUUUAUUUAGUUUUGCUUGCUGUUUGAAUAAAAUACCAAGAUCUGAAAUUCUUAAAUGUUAGAGAGUCUUCACAUAGUUGCAUGAUUAUUCGACUACUCAUUGAUCUUCACUUAUAUCUUUCGGAGUAGUUUGUCAUUUUCUCUAGUGCUUCACUUAUACGUUUUUAGAGCACGGUGGUGGUUUUAUUUUAUAGAAAUAGGUGAACUCUCAUGCUUCACUUAUAUCAUUUUGAGAGUCUCUAAACAGCAUGGUAGUUUGCUUUGGUUAUGAAUUUAGUCCUAAUAUGAUGGGCAUCCAAGAGGGAUAUAAUAAAAACUUUCAUAUAAAGUGCAUUGAAUACUAUGAGAAGUUUGAUACUUGAUAAUUGUCUUGAGAUAUGGAGAUGGUGAUAUUAGAGUCAUGCUAGUUGAGUAGUUGUGAAUUUGAGAAAUACUUGUGUUGAAGUUUGUGAUUCCCGUAGUGUGACGCCGCCGAUUCAAUCGUACACUAAUCAUACACGCAAACGUGUACGAUCAAGAUCAGGGACUCACGGGAAGAUAUCACAACACAACUCUACAAAUAAAAUAAGGCAUACAAGCAUCAUAUUACAAGCCGGGGGCCUCAAGGGCUCGAAUACAAGAGCUCGAUCAUAGACGAGUCAGCAGAAGCAACAAUAUCUGAGUACAGACAUAAGUUAAACAAGUUUGCCUUAAGAAGGAUAGCACAAACUGGGAUACAGAUCGAAAGAGGCGCGGGCCUCCUGCCUAGGAUCCUCCUAAACUACUCCCGGUCAUCGUCAGCGGGCUGCACGUAGUAGUAGGCACCCCCCGAGUAGUAGUAGUCGUCAUCGACAGUGGCGUCUGGCUCCUGGGCUCCAUCGUCUGGUCACAGCAAUCGGGUAUAGAAAGGGGGAAAAGAGGGAGCAAAGCAACCAUGAGUACUCAUCCAAAGUACUCGCAAGCAAGGAGCUACACUACAUAUGUAUGCAUUGGUAUCAAAUGGAAAUGGGGUAUCAUAUGUGGACUGAACUGCAGAAUGCCGGAAUAAGAGGGGGAUAGCUAGUCCUUUUGAAGACUACGCUUCUGGUAACCUCCAUCUUGCAGCAGAAGAAGAGAGUAGAAGGUAAGUUCACCAAGUAAAAUCGCAUAGCAUAAUCCUAACCGAUGAUCCUCCCCUCGUCGCCCUGUGAGAGAGCGAUCACCGGUUGUAUCUAGCACUUGGAAGGGUGUGUUUUAUUAAGUAACCGGUUCUAGUUGUCAUAAGGUCAAGGUAAAACUCCAAGUCGUCCUGUUACCGAAGAUCACGGCUAUUCAAAUAGAUUAACUUCCCUGCAGGGGUGCACCACAUUUCCCAACACGCUCAAUCCCCUUUGUCCGGACACACUUUUCUGGGUCAUGCCCGGCCUCGAAAGAUCAACACGUCACAGCCCUACCUAGGCACAACAGAGAGGUCAGCACGCCGGUCUAAAUCCUAUGGCGCAGGGGUCUGGGCCAUCGCCCAUUGCACACCUGCACGUUGUGAACGCGGCCGGCGAGCAGACCUAGCCUCCCUUAUACAAGAGCAGGCGUUCCAGUCCAACCCAGCGUGCGCCGCUCAGUCACUGACAUCAAGAAGGCUUCGGCUAAUACCACGACGUCGAGUGCCCAUAAAUGUCCCUGCGUAGUUGGUUAGUGCGUAUAGGCCAGUAGCCAGACUCAAAUCAAAUACCCAGAUCUCGUUAAGUGUGUUAUUUUGAAAUAACCGCGGACGCCGACCAGGGCCAGGCCCGCCUCUCUCCCAGGCGGUCUCAACCUACCCUGUCGCUCCGCCAAAAAGAUUCACUCAGAGGGCCGUCCGGACAAACGUCCUUUCGGACCCAAUCCGUGAAUCACUCGCGGGUACUCUACGAGCUGACCCGACUUUAGUCACCACAUGUUUCAUGUAUAAAGUAUAUAGUAUAUACCCAUGAUCACCUCCCGAGUGAUCACGGCCCUAUAGAAUAGCAUGGCAGACGGACAAGAAUGUAGGGCCACUGAUGAUAAACUAGCAUCCUAUACUAAGCAUUAGGAUUGCAGGUAAAGGUAACAACAGUACUAGCAAGGACAGGCUAUGCAUCAGGAUAGGAUUAACGGAAAGCAGUAACAUGCUACUCUACUCUAAUGCAAGAAGCGGAGAGAAGAGUAGGCGAUAUCUGGUGAUCAAAGGGGGGCUUGCCUGGUUGCUCUGGCAAGAGAGAGGGUCGUCAACACCGUAGUUGUACUGGGUAGCGGUGGCGUCGGUCUCGGUGUCUAGCGAGAGAAGAGGGGGAAGAAACAAUAAAUAUAAAGCAAACAGAUGCAUAGUGAUGCAUGACAUGACAAGUAUCGGUGCUAGGGAUGCCCUAACGCGGUAUGAGGUGGUACCGGUGAAGGGGGGAAACAUCCGGGAAAAUAUCCCCGGUGUUUCGCGUUUCCGGACAGAUGACCGAAGGGGGAAGUUGCAUGUUCGCUAUGCUAGGGAUGCAUGGCAGACGAACGGACUGCGUAUCCGGGUUCGUCUCAUCGUUCUGGGCAACUUUCAUGUACAAAGUUUUUCCAUCCGAGCUACGGUUUAUUUUAUAUUAAUUUUAAAAGAUUUAUAUCAUUUUUAGGAUUUAUUUAAUUAUUUAAAUCAACAUUAUCCAUAAUAGUGUUUGCUGACGUCAUCAGUUGAAUUGGUCAACCUGACAGGUGGGUCCCACUAGUCAUAGACGGUUUAGCUAAUUAAGAGUAGUUAAUUAGGUUAAUUAGUCAUUAGGUUAAUUAAUCAUAAUUAGUUAAUUUAAUCAAAAUUAAUUAAGUUAAUUAUUUAGUUAAUUAAUUAUUUGAUUAAUUAUUUAUUUGUUUUAAUUCCUUUUUUUAUUAAAUCAUUCUGGGGCCAGGCCCCACAUGUCAUUGGCCCUAGGGGAAACAAAAGAAAUGGGCAGCCAGAUGAAGGUGUGUGCGAUAUACAGCUCGGAUGAACUGUUUGUGAUUAGGCAACACAAAAGAAACGCUCAGCCAGAUCAAAGGUGUGUGCGAUAUACGGCAUUGGUUCACUCAGAUGAACUAUUUUUGGUGAGACAAGAGAACAUAAACGGUUCAAUAUAACAAGAUGUGUGUGAUACGCGGCAAAUAGGUCUGUAAUCAAAAAUGUGUGCCAGGACUGAUAACAACACAGACGGUUGCUGCUAAUAAGAUGUGUGUGUUGUGCAAUGGGAUUGCAUACAAAACAACAACAUUAUAUACACCCUUAUAAGGACAUGGUUGCAUAAUCAAAUUAAACAUCCACUUACAUAGGUGGCUACUACAACCAUGGCAUUUGCACACACCAAAGUAAACUAUUACAUGCAUAAUUACAUAGGUGGCUACUACACACAUGACAUUUCCACACACCAAUAAAGUAAACUAUAUAUUACAUGCAUGAUUAACUAGCAUAAAUGAUCAUCUGAUCAUCAUCUAUUUCUUGUGACGCUUGCUCUGCUUGUGGCUCGAUCCGGGCUCGUCAAUUUGGGUAAUGAGGCACUUCCUCAUGUUAACGAUCCGCAUGUACAUCUCGUAGCAUGUGUACAUGCUCUUGGUCGCUAACCUGAGGUGAGAUUCAUCUAGUUGCCGCAUCCAGGCCAUGUGCCAGGAUAGGGGACUUGUUCUCUGGGAAUCUUGCAUCAUCUUUUCGUAGUAGGGGUCGAUGAUGGCCGAGGCGAGUUCGACUAGGGAUUCCUUCUUCGGGCUGCCCCAGACCCUAUAGUGGUCACGGAUUUCAACAAGGUUCUUGCAGGCCAAGCCCGUAACACUGAGCGUGUCAGGACCCCGACUCAAUGCCACAUCGAUCUAGCAUGUAACACAUCAUAUGACUUUGCGGCCUCACGCACGGUAUUCCCACGGGUGUCGCCUUACCUUUGCCCGGGACCGUUUGCGCCUUUUGGCACACGUAUAUGACAGUGUCGCUAGCAUCCAUAUGAUAAGGAGCCCGGGCUGACAUGGCUAGUCGUAAACCCAAAGCGGCACAGACUUACAGGGACAGGCAUCCAUGACCCAGCAUCGAACGUGUCGGUCAUCAGCGAGUGAAUUCAGGCUGUAGCACUGGGCUAGCAGGACUCCGGUGAACCGGGCUGUAGCGGGCUAACAGGACUCCGGUAUUCAUCGCGUGACAUUUCCCCGAAGGGACAGACACAGGAACGAAGAAGGACACAUGCCGGCCAACCUAAGUGUUCCGGAGCAGUAGCAAGCUACCAUGGCUCGGUGGAAACACUAGGAGACAUUUCCCCGUAAGAGAGGCUACUAAAGAUAAACAACUAGAUGGUCAGAUCCCACACAUACCAAGCAUUUCGAUAACAUACACACAAUAUGCUCGAUAUGUGCAAAUACAACAUGGCAUCACAACAUGACUCUAUGACUCAAGUAGUUUAUUCAAUAGGCUCCGAGGAGCGAGAUAUUACAAACAUGGGUCUCAUGACCCAACACUCAGAGCAUACAAGUCAAAGCACAAGCGGAAGCUAUCAUGUCUGAGUACAGACAACUAUAAAUGAAAAAGGCUGAGAAGCCUGACUAUCUAUCAGAUCCUGCCGAGGGCACAAGAUCGUAGCUGAGGUAUCAAGCUAAACGUCGAAGUCCACGUGAAACUACUAGCGAGACCAAAGUCUCUCUGCAAAAACAUAAAAUAGGCAAACGUGAGUACAAAUGUACCCAGCAAGACUUACAUCAGAACUAACUACAUAUGCAUCAUUUUCAACAAGGGGGUGGUGGGGUUUAACUGCAGCAAGCCAGCUUUGACUCGGUGGCUAUCCUGAACUACGACUGCGAGUAACUUUUUUGAGGUGGCGCACACGAGUCCACAUAUUCACCAUAUCAAUACACCACUAUGGAUCCGCUCCCGUCUCCCUACGAGAACGCCAUCCAUAGCACUCACGCUUAUCUUACGUAUUUUAGAGUAUCCACUUUCACUUGUCUAUGAACUGAUAUAAGCAACCCAGAAGUCCUUUUCCGCGGACACGGCUAUUCGAAUAGAUCAUAUUAACCCUGCAGGGGUGUACUUCUUCAUACAUGUUUCCACCACUUAGCGUCUGCACACGACAUGUGCUCGGCAGACUUCAAGCGAAAGCCGACGUGGGUGUAGACCACGACCUACCUAAACACUCAAGUCUCUAGUCCAGGUUUAUCGCCUAUUCGGGUUCCAUCCAUGAGGAGAUCCGGCCGGAGUUUCGCUCACAGCCCCAAACGAUGUGAACAGGGUUCCCAAGAUACCAAACGGGCAUCCGGUACGCCGUGCCACGUACCUACCGCAUCACAGCCCACCCCUACGGUCAGCGCUGUCCACGGCCUCCAGUAAGCUACAAACACCAGAAACUACUUGCAACUCCUGGACAGAGAACUAGGGUGAAUAAGAAGUCGAGCGGGGUCAUAUUUCAGGGCCCAAUGUAUGGUAGUAGCUGAAUCAUGGAUCACAAACACAGAACUCAGUUCCUGAGGACGGCUGCAAUGAGACAACCCACCAUGUACUCCUACAUGGCCUCUCACCGCUACCUUUACCAAAUCGUGUUCACACACUUAGCUCACACACAGUAGGACAUGUUCACACGCCUCUGAUUCAUCCCUGAUGAAUCAGACCCGACUCAACUCUAAGCAGUAGCAGGCAUGACAACAAACAUAAAUGAGUAGGCACAUCAGGGCUCAAACAACUCCUACUCAUGCUAGUGGGUUUCAUCUAUUUACUGUGGCAAUGACAGGUCAUGCAAAGGAUAAAGGGGUUCAGCUACCGCAGCAGGUAACAGUUGAAUCGUUGUUGUCCUAAUGCAUUAAAAGAGAGCAGGAGCGAGAGAGUAGGAUUGUAUCGGAAUGAACAAGGGGGUUUUGCUUGCCUGGCACUUCUGAAGAUAACAUUGAGUCUUCAUCAGUGUCAACGAUCACAACGUCGGACAUCGUCUACCGGGAGGGAACAGAUACCGGCAACAAGAAGAAAAACAAUCAAUGCAAUGCACAAUAUGAUGCAUGAUCAUGACAUGGCAAAAUGAAUGUGUUUUGGGCUAAUGCAACUAGCAACGGAUUAAAUGAAGUUGGUUUGAAUACAAGAUUCAAAUUCAAACUCCAUAUGUGAUUAUUCAAAUGCCAUUCACUUCAUUUGCCCUAAACAGUAGUGAUAAGUUGUUCUAACAUGCAUGAAAAUGGUACAGAUGGAUUCCUUGAAUUUUUCUGAUAAUUUUUCAUAUAUAAAUUAUUUAAUUUGGAGUUACGGUUAAUUUUCUAUGAUUUAUUGAAGUUUAUACAAUUUUCUGGAAUUUUCUGAUUAUUUAGAAUUAAAAUAAUUCCAGAAAAUGAAUUAUGGCGUCAGCAUGACCUCAUGCUGACCUCAGCAGGUCAACGGGCGGUCCAGGUCAAACCUGACGUGUGGGGUCCACACGUCAGUGACAGGGGGGGUUAACCGGGGUUAAUUUAAUUUAAUUAAAAGGUUAGGGGGGUCGGGCCCACUGGUCAGUGUCAGGAUUAAUUAACAGAGUUGAUUAAAUUUAAACUAAUCCUAAACUAGAAUUAGUCAGGGCCGGGCCCACAUGUCAUUGACCCAGGGGAGGUCAAACCCCCUGGUCAACCGGGGCUAAUGCGUCGGCGUUUAGCCGCCGGCGACAGCAAACGCGGCGGAGGGGCUCGGGAUCGCCGCUCCGGCGACCAUUCGGGCGGCGGAGACCACCCACGCGAAGCCCAGACUCGCGCGCGUCUGGUAGUGCAAGUGGGAGGAGCUGGGGUGGCCGGAGCUGCCGGCGGCGAGCUCUUUUGCGGCUGCCGGAGCUCGGGCAAUCUCGGGGUGGCGUUACAGAGCACGGGAGGAGGCGUUGUGGGUGUCUACGGUUUCAUGCGAUCGUGCUGAUCACGAUGGUGGGCUCGGGAACGAGCUGCGGUGGCUGUGGCCACGGCCACGCCAUGGCCGGCGGCGAGAAGCUCUCGGCCGCGGUGGGAGUUGGGGCUAGGGGGCGAGAAUGGAGGGGGCGAGCACAGGAGAGGCAGCGGAGGCUCACAGCGGAUCCAUUCGAGGCGGAGACGAGGCCGGGGAUGGUCCGGAGCCGGCGAAUCGAACGGCGGCGAGUUCCGGUGGCCGAGGAGGGGAACGGCGUCGUGGGCGGCGAUGCAGGGCUCCCGGCGUCAUGUGAGUUGGUGGGGACGAAGAGGAAGGCGCGGCGGUUCCUCUGGAAGCAUCGCCGAGGCGAGGGGUGGACACUGGCCGCGGUGGAGCUCGUCGGUGCUCUCGGGUGCUCGUGGUUGAUCGUGAGAGAGAGAGAGCAGAGGGGAUAGGGACGGAGGGAGAGAUACGGGAGAGUGAGAGAGUUCGUGGGGCCGCGUGGCGUCUCCAGGGAGUAGUGGAGGCAAGCAGGGAGGCAGGAGGUGGCCGAAGCAGGGAGGAGGUGGCCGGGGCGCGUGGCCGCGCGCGCCGGGCGCGUGCCCGUCCUCCUGGCAGAGGAGGAAGGCGACAGGGGAGGGAGGCGGCGGUGGGCUGGGCCAGCGGGAGGAGCUGGCCAGCUGGGCCGGCCAGGUGGGCUGCACGGGUGAGGCCAGGUAAAACUCUCUCCCUUUUAUAAUUCUGUUCUGUUUUAUCUUUUCUAUUUUCUGCAAUUUGUUUUUGAUUUGAUUUAAAAUAUCAAAUCAUUUUAUAAAAUCCUGGAAACAGUUAUGGGUGUUUCUGAAUUAUUUAAGUGACCCCUAACAAUUUUCCAACAUUUAUUUGAACAUUUAAAUUAUUUAUAGUAUUUAAAUGCCCAAAGUCAAAUACAAUAUGGUUUAAUUCAGUGACCAAAAAUGCCCUGCAAAAAUAUAAACCAUUUUUGGUAGAUGCUUCCACCUCAAACCAGAAAUGUUGAACAUUUUUAGAGGACAUUUUGAGUUCAAUGAAAAAGGUUUUAUUUUGACCCUAGUUGAAUUCAUUUGGUGUUAGGGCUUAGUCAAUCCCCAUUUCAAUUUUAGGCAAAAUUUAAACAUGAUGCAACACAUGACUAGCUAGCUCAGAGCAAACCAGAAGCUAGGGAUGUGACAACUCACCCCCACUAAACAAGAAUCUCGUCUCGAGAUUCGAGCGUAGGGUAAGGUGAAGGGGAAACGCAACUAGUAUAAUCUUCUCGAUCCAGGGUGCACUUCAGUUGAACGUUGAUUCAGUCACCAUCAUUGUCUUGAAGUCUUGCUCUGAGAAAUCCUGUCAACAUGACAUGGAGGGAAGAAGGAGACUCUAGAAGGACUGAUCUUUUGAAGAUCGAAACACUCAGGAUUAACUCCAGGAAUGACAUUGCAACAUCUCUCGAGCUGAGAGACGAAGCACACCUCUAGAGGAAUGGAGUGGAGCAGGUGACGAGGUUCACUAGGUAGACAACAAUUCCACACUUAAGAGGGUGGUAAACGAUUGUCCACAUAGCGAGGAGUUAAGUUGCCAUGAUAUCACGACGAAACAUCCUGGAGGGGGGGGUGAUUUGUAGAUUAUUAUCUUAAGUGGCAAAAAGAAUUACCUUUGAUUCAAGGAUCAUUGAAACUCUUUAUACCAGCUUAAGGCAAAUCAUAAUCGAUCAUUUGGAGGGGGUCGGUAGAAUGACAUACUCAAACUUGGAUGAUGUGGAUUACCUUGUUGAAGACAACGUAAUGGAUGAAUUUGCUUAUCACCGGAAAUGGAAGAGACCCAUGGUAGAAUGACACAUUGGCGGUGCAAGCUGGGAACAACAUGCAAAUGCUGGGAAUGAUUCUGGUAACUGGGGAAGAACCCAACAAUAGAGAGUGAAUUCACUGGUUGAAUAGAUCAUAGCAUAACCGAGGAAACUGGGAGGAAUCCUGGUUAGAGCCGAUGGUAACACGUAGCGCUUGUACGUGCUCUCAAGAACUUGAGCAUUUCCACAAUCAUCAAGAUUUUAUCAACAUCCGUGUCAAGGGUGCUGUCAACACAACAUACUACCAUGAUGAAUAGCGAUGGACGAUGCAGGUGCAAAGGAAGACAACACCUUCUCAGAUUUCACCUUAGCGAAGCCAAGGAACAAAAUCUGGAUGAUCGACCGAGAGACAUUUAGCACUCCGCUUCUAAUGUUCUCCUUGAUGUGCUAGGGUAACCCAUUCAUAGAUAUGGUUUGAUAUCUAGAACAUCAAGUAAAGGUCGGACUUCGGGAGCAAUAGAAUCCAUAAGGAACAGUUACGGAGGUAAGUCCUACGAAAUCUUUAUGGGGAGGUGGCUAACUUCCUCAACCAGGAUACUACAAUAAUAGGUCUUCCGGCUGGGUGUGUUGGCCACGACAUCCACUUUACCGGUUAUCGAGGGACCAAUAUUAUAGUUCUUGGGAAAUGUUCCAACCAUCAUAUCUGCCUGAGACUCAGAUCUGGUUGGUGUCAGGAUAUUCCAGACUCAUCGAGUCUAGGAAGAAAAAUGAAAGUUUGCAACACAAAUCGACGAGAUAACGUUGCGAGAUUCUCGGGAAAUGAACUACGAUAGCAAGCUCCAAAACAUGAGCUGGUUCUGCUACAAACAUGGGAACACGUUGUUCCAGACAAGCAUGCCCACAUGGUAGUCUUACAAUAAAACACUACCGAGUUCUGGUUGGGAGCCAUCAUCGAGGAUAUCGAAGUCUUUACGCAAGUCCAUGGAUUAGAUCCCAAGCACAAACUUCUUUUCCUUGAACAAGUCAAUCAGUGGCUUGGUGUGCUAGGAUACACAUAUGGAAUGAAGAUGAUCAGUCUAUCAAACCACAGAAUACUUCGCACGUGCAUAACUGACUUGGGCGGGUUCCGGAGGAGGCAAAAACAUGCUUUCUUGAAUUCACGUCGGCAACUUACAUCAAAUGCACAUGAAUCAAAAGAAGUCACUUCUUUUAUCCAAACAUAUACUUCAUGAACGGGGCAUGAAGAAAAUGCUUUCAAAAGUUUCCAACACUAACUUAAUGUUCAACAACAUCAUGGAGGAGAUAAGAAUGUUGUCAAUGGGCUCAACAACAACUCAUCGGAAUUUCCAUAUCACUGGACUUCCACCAUCGUGUGAACGCGGUGAUAGCAUUGGUCAGCCCCAAAAGAUAUAAUGGUGUAUGCUCGAGGGAUCAACCACGAGGAAGACAACAUUAGAACAUCGUUGGUUCUGACUUGAUUUGACGAUAGCCCACACUCAAAUCAAAGGAUUGAUAAGACAAUAGGUCCAGCAACUGAUCACAGGGACCAAUCGAUGAAGAUAUCAUCUUUCUUCAACACACACUACACAAGAAUAUCCCUUUGGAACGAACUAAGUCAGGCAAGCUUUUAUCUUCCAACCCUCCAAGUUAUUGUUUAGCUUAACCAACUAGCUCAGGGAUAUCUAACACCGAUUCUUGGAGAGAAGGUGGUUCACAAGAAACCUACUAGAUCACGAGCUCAACAUAACAGUCAGGUGACAGCCUGGUGAUACUUUCGAGAAGAUAUUCGAAAAUCACGAGCCACCGGUAUGUUACUAGGCUCGAGAACAAUCUCGCUUUUGAGGGCAAGACGAUAUGAUCAAAUGAGUGAGGACUUGACAAGAUCCUAACUCAUCAAUCGAAGGGUGCACCGAAAUAAGGACUAGGUAGCAUGAUCAGUCUUAGAAGGAUGAUUCGAAAACCAACAUACUAAGAAUGAAAUUAUUAUCCUUUAACUACCAAGCAACAGAGUUGCUAGCAGUAUUGAUUUCACACAUCACAAUUCAUUUGUCGGUAUUCCGGUUGCAUCAACACGAGGGCCGAGGAAUGAACAGUGAUGGCAAGAAGUAUCACUGUACCAAGAGUUCAUGGGAUGGUGUGCAAUUCCUAUAACAAUCUUGAUAUAAAAUAUGUAAUACUCCAAGGUAGAGCAGAACAAAAGCUGGAUUAGCAAUUUGAUCUGCGGAGCACAACUUCUUUGACCCAAUCCUGGAUAUGGAUGAGGUACUGGAGUUUGUUUCUCCAAGUCAUUCAGGACAGAAUGGCUUGACGGACCACACGAGUAAUAAGCAUUGACAACACGAAUGCACAAUUACUCCUGACUAUCAAUUGAUAGACGAAGGUCAGUAGACAACUAAAGAGGGACAACUCAAAGGAACAUAUAACUUUCUGAGUUGUGGAUGCAUAGACUAGUAUGUCGAACCAAGUUCAACAUAAUUCUUCCGGAUAACCCAUGCAGAAGGGUUGAGCUGGCAGAGUCACAAUAUAGAAUCGAGAACCCAUCGAGAGCACUCUGAUUGUGAUCUUUCGAUCAGCGAGGAACAUCUGCCAUAAGCGGUUCAUAGUAUUUGGAAGAAAGGAAUACCACGAACAUCGAGGACUAAUGCAAAGGUUACUAAUAACCUAAAGGAACUAGCAAUUACUAUCAACAUGAAGUAGGUAGAGUGAAUCUCGGGUUCAGAACCCAGGAGUAGAAUACCUACUACUAAGUAGCAUCACGGGAUGCUUCCGAGAAUAAAGGCCAGAAUCUUCACACUAGGACACAAAUCAUGGCUAGACCACUAGAUGAUCCCCUAAGCACUUAGGGUCAUAAUAAUAGCUCCAACAUAUAUGUCAAGGCAAUAAUUUACCUCAACUCACCGAUUAGUGUGGUUAAUCUGGCCCAAAGGAACAUCGGAACGGGAGGAAGGAAUUUUGCAAAUGCUUCAGACUAUUCAGAAACCUGGGGUGACUCGGACAACAUAACGGCUGUAAAUGCUCAGAAAAGAUUUGAGACAUUCACAAAAAUGGUGGCAUAACCACUCAGAAGCACAAUAUCAAGGUUUCGAGAUCAACAGUUAACAUACGGAAGUAGUAGGAGCUGAACUGAGGCUUGAAUCAACAAUCUUAUAAGUCUACGGAUUAGUAACACGUGAUCCUGAUAGAAAGAAGGGAAAGCCUAGUUCUUAAUCCCCGUAGAAGAGAAGAUGAUGACUCAGAUCAGAAGGCCAUGAGGUAUAAGGAGUAAAAAGAGCCUUACGUUCCAUCCCACAAUCAAUUCCCUUAUAUAACUAAGAAUUUCUAGACUCAACUUCGACCAGUUUGGCUUGGUAAACCUACAGGCAGUCAAGCUCUGAUACCAACGCUGUCAGGACCCCGACUCAAUGCCACAUCGAUCUAGCAUGUAACACAUCAUAUGACUUUGCGGCCUCACGCACGGUAUUCCCACGGGUGUCGCCUUACCUUUGCCCGGGACCGUUUGCGCCUUUUGGCACACGUAUAUGACAGUGUCGCUAGCAUCCAUAUGAUAAGGAGCCCGGGCUGACAUGGCUAGUCAUAAACCCAAAGUGGCACAGACUUACAGGGACAGGCAUCCAUGACCCAGCAUCGAACGUGUCGGUCAUCAGCGAGUGAAUCCAGGCUGUAGCACUGGGCUAGCAGGACUCCGGUGAACCGGGCUGUAGCGGGCUAACAGGACUCCGGUAUUCAUCGCGUGACAUUUCCCCGAAGGGACAGACACAGGAACGAAGAAGGACACAUGCCGGCCAGCCUAAGUGUUCCGGAGCAGUAGCAAGCUACCAUGGCUCGGUGGAAACACUAGGAGACAUUUCCCCGUAAGAGAGGCUACUAAAGAUAAACAACUAGAUGGUCAGAUCCCACACAUACCAAGCAUUUCGAUAACAUACACACAAUAUGCUCGAUAUGUGCAAAUACAACAUGGCAUCACAACAUGACUCUAUGACUCAAGUAGUUUAUUCAAUAGGCUCCGAGGAGCGAGAUAUUACAAACAUGGGUCUCAUGACCCAACACUCAGAGCAUACAAGUCAAAGCACAAGCGGAAGCUAUCAUGUCUGAGUACAAACAAAUAUAAAUGAAAAAGGCUGAGAAGCCUGACUAUCUAUCAGAUCCUGCCGAGGGCACAAGAUCGUAGCUGAGGUAUCAAGCUAAACGUCGAAGUCCACGUGAAACUACUAGCGAGACCGAAGUCUCUCUGCAAAAACAUAAAAUAGGCAAACGUGAGUACAAAUGUACCCAGCAAGACUUACAUCAGAACUAACUACAUAUGCAUCAUUUUCAACAAGGGGGUGGUGGGGUUUAACUGCAGCAAGCCAGCUUUGACUCGGUGGCUAUCCUGAACUACGACUGCGAGUAACUUUUUUGAGGUGGCGCACACGAGUCCACAUAUUCACCAUAUCAAUACACCACUAUGGAUCCGCUCCCGUCUCCCUACGAGAACGCCAUCCAUAGCACUCACGCUUAUCUUACGUAUUUUAGAGUAUCCACUUUCACUUGUCUAUGAACUGAUAUAAGCAACCCAGAAGUCCUUUUCCGCGGACACGGCUAUUCGAAUAGAUCAUAUUAACCCUAUAGGGGUGUACUUCUUCAUACAUGUUUCCACCACUUAGCGUCUGCACACGACAUGUGCUCGGCAGACUUCAAGCGAAAGCCGACGUGGGUGUAGACCACGACCUACCUAAACACUCAAGUCUCUAGUCCAGGUUUAUCGCCUAUUCGGGUUCCAUCCAUGAGGAGAUCCGGCCGGAGUUUCGCUCACAGCCCCAAACGAUGUGAACAGGGUUCCCGAGAUACCAAACGGGCAUCCGGUACACCGUGCCACGUACCUACCGCAUCACAGCCCACCCCUACGGUCAGCGCUGUCCACGGCCUCCAGUAAGCUACAAACACCAGAAACUACUUGCAACUCCUGGACAGAGAACUAGGGUGAAUAAGAAGUCGAGCGGGGUCAUAUUUCAGGGCCCAAUGUAUGGUAGUAGCUGAAUCAUGGAUCACAAACACAGAACUCAGUUCCUGAGGACGGCUGCAAUGAGACAACCCACCAUGUACUCCUACAUGGCCUCUCACCGCUACCUUUACCAAAUCGUGUUCACACACUUAGCUCACACACAGUAGGACAUGUUCACACGCCUCUGAUUCAUCCCCGAUGAAUCAGACCCGACUCAACUCUAAGCAGUAGCAGGCAUGACAACAAACAUAAAUGAGUACGCACAUCAGGGCUCAAACAACUCCUACUCAUGCUAGUGGGUUUCAUCUAUUUACUGUGGCAAUGACAGGUCAUGCAAAGGAUAAAGGGGUUCAGCUACCGCAGCAGGUAACAGUUGAAUCGUUGUUGUCCUAAUGCAUUAAAAGAGAGCAGGAGCGAGAGAGUAGGAUUGUAUCGGAAUGAACAAGGGGGUUUUGCUUGCCUGGCACUUCUGAAGAUAACAUUGAGUCUUCAUCAGUGUCAACGAUCACAACGUCGGACAUCGUCUACCGGGAGGGAACAGAUACCGGCAACAAGAAGAAAAACAAUCAAUGCAAUGCACAAUAUGAUGCAUGAUCAUGACAUGGCAAAAUGAAUGUGUUUUGGGCUAAUGCAACUAGCAACGGAUUAAAUGAAGUUGGUUUGAAUACAAGAUUCAAAUUCAAACUCCAUAUGUGAUUAUUCAAAUGCCAUUCACUUCAUUUGCCCUAAACAGUAGUGAUAAGUUGGUCUAACAUGCAUGAAAAUGGUACAGAUGGAUUCCUUGAAUUUUUCUGAUAAUUUUUCAUAUAUAAAUUAUUUAAUUUGGAGUUACGGUUAAUUUUCUAUGAUUUAUUGAAGUUUAUACAAUUUUCUGGAAUUUUCUGAUUAUUUAGAAUUAAAAUAAUUCCAGAAAAUGAAUUAUGGCGUCAGCAUGACCUCAUGCUGACCUCAGCAGGUCAACGGGCGGUCCAGGUCAAACCUGACGUGUGGGGUCCACACGUCAGUGACAGGGGGGGUUAACCGGGGUUAAUUUAAUUUAAUUAAAAGGUUAGGGGGGUCGGGCCCACUGGUCAGUGUCAGGAUUAAUUAACAGAGUUGAUUAAAUUUAAACUAAUCCUAAACUAGAAUUAGUCAGGGCCGGGCCCACAUGUCAUUGACCCAGGGGAGGUCAAACCCCCUGGUCAACCGGGGCUAAUGCGCCAGCGUUUAGCCGCCGGCGACAGCAAACGCAGCGGAGGGGCUCGGGAUCGCCGCUCCGGCGACCAUUCGGGCGGCGGAGACCACCCACGCGAAGCCCAGACUCGCGCGCGUCUGGUAGUGCAAGUGGGAGGAGCUGGGGUGGCCGGAGCUGCCGGCGGCGAGCUCUUUUGCGGCUGCCGGAGCUCGGGCAAUCUCGGGGUGGCGUUACAGAGCACGGGAGGAGGCGUUGUGGGUGUCUACGGUUUCAUGCGAUCGUGCUGAUCACGAUGGUGGGCUCGGGAAUGAGCUGCGGUGGCUGUGGCCACGGCCACGCCAUGGCCGGCGGCGAGAAGCUCUCGGCCGCGGUGGGAGUUGGGGCUAGGGGGCGAGAACGGAGGGGGCGAGCACAGGAGAGGCAGCGGAGGCUCACAGCGGAUCCAUUCGAGGCGGAGACGAGGCCGGGGAUGGUCCGGAGCCGGCGAAUCGAACGGCGGCGAGUUCCGGUGGCCGAGGAGGGGAACGGCGUCGUGGGCGGCGAUGCAGGGCUCCCGGCGUCACGUGAGUUGGUGGGGAUGAAGAGGAAGGCGCGGCGGUUCCUCUGGAAGCAUCGCCGAGGCGAGGGGUGGACACUGGCCGCGGUGGAGCUCGUCGGUGCUCUCGGGUGCUCGUGGUCGAUCGUGAGAGAGAGAGAGCAGAGGGGAUAGGGACGGAGGGAGAGAUACGGGAGAGUGAGAGAGUUCGUGGGGCCGCGUGGCGUCUCCAGGGAGUAGUGGAGGCAAGCAGGGAGGCAGGAGGUGGCCGAAGCAGGGAGGAGGUGGCCGGGGCGCGUGGCCGCGCGCGCCGGGCGCGUGCCCGUCCUCCUGGCAGAGGAGGAAGGCGACAGGGGAGGGAGGCGGCGGUGGGCUGGGCCAGCGGGAGGAGCUGGCCAGCUGGGCCGGCCAGGUGGGCUGCACGGGUGAGGCCAGGUAAAACUCUCUCCCUUUUAUAAUUCUGUUCUGUUUUAUCUUUUCUAUUUUCUGCAAUUUGUUUUUGAUUUGAUUUAAAAUAUCAAAUCAUUUUAUAAAAUCCUGGAAACAGUUAUGGGUGUUUUCUGAAUUAUUUCAGUGACCCCUAACAAUUUUCCAACAUUUAUUUGAACAUUUAAAUUAUUUAUGUAUUUAAAUGCCCAAAGUCAAAUACAAUAUGGUUUAAUUCAGUGACCAAAAAUGCCCUGCAAAAAUAUAAACCAUUUUGGUAGAUGCUUCCACCUCAAACCAGAAAUGUUGAACAUUUUUAGAGGACAUUUUGAGUUCAAUGAAAAAGGUUUUAUUUUGACCCUAGUUGAAUUCAUUUGGUGUUAGGGCUUAGUCAAUCCCCAUUUCAAUUUUAGGCAAAAUUUAAACAUGAUGCAACACAUGACUAGCUAGCUCAGAGCAAACCAGAAGCUAGGGAUGUGACAGAGCGCUUUUACAUCAUCGGAGGUUUCCACCAUGGCAAACUUGUAGUCAGUGCUAUUGACAAACCUGUUGAAACGGUCGCAAGGCUCUGUGGCCAUGCAGUAGUGGUAGAUGAGGACAUGAUGGCGCAUGCACAACUGGGCGACGACGACCUUCUGAUCUAUGCCAGGACGAUCAACGAUGUACUGGAGGUCGAUUCCGACCACCUGGUACUUGUCUCGAGCAAGCAACUGCUCAACGUUGUUGAUGUAGUCGUCCACCAUGAUCGGGUCGAUGAUGUACACCACCGAGAGAUCUGUCUCCCUCGCGUGGAUCUCCACUCUAUGCUCACCGAACUCCAUUGGAGCGCCACUAGACAUCCCCUCUCUAUGUGUCAUCGUGGGUGUGCUUGUUGUGUGUGGGGCACGAUUGAAAGGUUGAAGAGACUAAGGUUAUAAUGGCCGCAGGAAUUAAAGGGGAAGUCAGACGGCUAGGAAUAUAUGCAGGCCCUGAUGGCAGUUCUAAUUUGCAGCGGUUAACACCACCGUGCAGCAUGUAACUGCAUCAUGUGGCAACGCGCGCGGCGCAAGCAUGCACAUGGGCCCCCCGACGUGAUCGUGCGCACACCCAACCGCUGGCAAAGCGCGCACGGAGGGGCAUGAGUAGAGCGCUCCGCGGUCGCCUCAAAUAUAUAUAUAUAUAUAUAUAUAUAUAUAUAUGCAUAUAGCAGUUGAACACGCAAGGAAAAUGUGUCCACAAGCCCAGCGCGCCGACGGACGCGAGCAAAGCACGCCAACGGACGCGAGCAGAGCGCACCGCGGCACCUAAUGGCGAGCACAGUGCGCUGUGGCGCCUAACGACGAGCAGAGCUUGCCGAGGGACGCGAGCAGAGGCUGACACAGUGAUAGGUGGCAAAUAAGACGAACUGUGCGAGCGAUGUCAGAGACAUCAAGCACGAAUCAGAUUAGAGUUGCGUGUGUGAUACAUGACAUACAGUUGAUCCAUCUGACCUAUUUGUGAUGGAAUAAGCCUUAUGUGUUGCCGGCAAACGCUUGUUGGUAUAUAACCUUAAAUUUAACCAAAAAAGUGUUAAUGCAUGUUACAAAAAUUGUAUAGCUGGAAACUAUGUUCAAAUAUGACUCCAACAAUAUAAUCUUUGGCGACAUGCAUUCGUAUUUUAUUAGUUAAAUCCUACUUAUAAACCAGGACGGGGGUAUAGUAAGUAACUAAAUCGCAAAUGUUUUUUUAUUAACCGUAUGUGUACUCAGCCUUUCGUCCUCCUCUCGCACGUCUUGUCGCCCCGCUUCCGCAGACGGCUUACAUCGCAAGCUUGCGUAGCGCGGGGGGGCGUUCUUUUGGCCAAACGGUGGCGCCAAUGAAUCGCCAGUGAGUCUGUUCCCGCGCAAGCUCCCCGCCCAACUUGGUGAAAUCCCCCAAAAUCCCAAUGCUUACGGGCCUGCUAUAUAAACCCUCACGGCCAGCGAGUCCUGCGUCGCAUUUUCCCCUCCCUCCCUGUAGCUUAUCUUGUCUGCUUCUCCCAUAAUCGCCAAUGGCACUGGUCCGUCGUCGUCGCUCAGCCACUCCACCGUCCUCAGAGGACAGCACUAGCUGGGAGGCUACACCGCAGCGGCGGCGUAGUCCCCGACGUAGUGUAGUGCGCGUGGCGUCCCUGUUGGGUGUGCGCGGAACACCCACCACACGCUUCACUGUCACUGUCCAUCGGCAGCUUUUGCCUGCCGCCGUUGCCGCCACACCACCGUCGAAAGCCAGGGCCAUCUCCCGCUCCGCCGCCGCGGCCCGAAGGUGGGAGGUGGUCGUCGUUGCUGCCACCCCACUGCCGGCCACCAUGGCCAUCACUCGCUUCGCCACCGCGGCCCGAAGGCAGGAGGUGGUGGUCGUGGCCGCCAGCCCACCGUCGACCGCCGGGAUCAUCACCCGCUUCGCCGCCGCAGCCUGAAGGCGGGAGGCGGAGGUGGAGGACCGCACAUGCGUCAGCGACCUUGCGCACUACAUCGAGUUCCUGCGGGAGGAGGAGGAGCGCUGCGUCGAGCAUGCAAAGAGCCUUACCGCAGUCGUGGCCGCAACACACGCCGACGCAGAGGCGAGGAAUCAGGAGAUCUAUGAGCAGUCCGUCCGCUUCAAGAGGGAUCGUUUGGAGCGGUAGUGGGCGUUCAAGCUGGUGAGCGUCGCUGAACGUGCAGUAGCGGCAGACACCGUAUUGCAUUUGUCCAGCUCGUCGGUAGGCUCCUCCUCCUCUGCCUCUUACUAAGCGCACUCGGCAGAGGAGAGGCUGCCGGAAGUAGCACAAAGCCCCUCUGUAGUAGUAGUAGUAGUAUUUAGGGGCUAUUUUGUUCAGUUCAUCUGACUAUAGAUGUGUGGUGGAACUGUACAACGUACUUAAAAUUAGCUAGUAUAUAUAGUUGAACUAUCUAUUUUAGUACGUGGUUGGCAACAAUUGGGGAAAAGUUUGGUCAGUUCAGCUAUCGAGUUGAACUAUUUGUAUAAAUUAAGAACGCAUGCUUAAUCUAUGAAUGAAAUCCAUGCUUAAUUACUGAAUUUUAGUUGCAAAAAUUAGAUAGUGCUAGUGAUUUUUAGCUGCAUAUUUUGACAAAUCACAGUGUUACAAGGAUUAAAAAUGGCAAUGUUACUAAAUCAACAAAUGUCAAACUUUCCAGUUUGACAAAUGGCAACAUACCCAAUAUGACAGAUGCAAAUCUUACCAAAUUGUUUGUAUGUGGUUGCACACGGGUCAUCCAAAACAACCAUUUGCGUUGAAGGGAUGCACAAAUCCUGCGCUGCGAAUUUUUCCUCGACUUAAGGGGGAAGACCAUAGCUCUCACUUUGCAUACGGGUGUUCUAUCUAAAACGUUUGCGAUCAAGAGCUGCAGAAAUCCUGCUCGGCACAUUUUCUCUUGGCUUCCUGGGGAAGCUGUCGGUUUGCAUACGGGUGUUCUAACUAAAACGUUUGCGAUCAUGAGCUACACAAAUCCUGCACGGCGUACAGCUCGCACGCUUCCCGGUGAGCCUCCACAUUGGAGUACAGCUCACACGCCUCCCGUUUAGUCAAGCACUCAAGCACCUGUCCGCACGGCACCUCCUAGCCAUUAAAAGAGUGAGGCGUGGCGUCACGUGAAUGGUUAACAAAACGCACACAAUUUAUAUGCAAUGGAGCAUGUGCAUGUAGUUCAAAUUUGAAUUAUGCACAUAAAAUUCCAAGAAAACCCAGUUAAUGUAUAAAAAUGUCCAAACGAACCAUGAAAAAUUCCAAAAUUAAACAAAACACUCAUGUUAUUCUAUGUUGACACUAGAAUUUUUUUGAAAGCAAUAAGAGUCAACGAAUAUCGUUUCAUCCCCAAAGGUGGCAUGUUCCCUACCGAAACCAUCACGCUUGUUGUGAGACGCUUAUACCCAAACCUGCCCCAAAUGGGACAAUUUUUUUACCACAACAUGUUGAUGCCGCUCCAUGAUAGCAUGCCAAGUUUCAUGAAUUUCAGACGAGUUUUGGAUUUACUAGAAUUUAAAAACCAGGUAUCUCAGUGUUUGCGGACGAGUGAUGGUGGCAGGGUGUUUGAAAUUCAUUCCCAUUUCUUGCAUGGGACCUAAGCAUGGAACCAAUGACAUAGAUUUGAUUUCUCAACCAGUUUAUAUGCACCGGAGCAUGUGCAUGUAGUUCGAAUUUGAAUUAUGCACCUGGAAUGCCUACAAAACACAGUUAAUGUAUAAAAAUGUCCAAACGAACCCUGAAAAAUUCCAAAAUGAAACACAACACUCCUGUUGUUCUAUGUUGACACUAGAAAGUUUUUGGAAGCAAUAAGAGGCAACUGAUAUUGUUUCGUCCCCAAAGGUGGCACGUUCCCUACCGAAACCAUCACGAUUGUUGUGAGAAGCUCUGGUUUGGGAGAAGCUUAUACCCAAACCUAACCCAAAUGGGACAAAAAAUUUACCACGACAUGUUGAUGCCGCUACAUGAUAGCAUGCCAAGUUUCAUGAAUUUCAUACAAGUUUUGGAUUUACUAGAAUUUCAAAACCAGGUAUCUCAAUGUUUGCGGCCGAGUGACGGUGGCAGGGUGUUUGAAAUUCAUUCCCAUUUCUUGCAUGGGACCAAAGCAUGCAACCAAGGACAUAGAUUUGUUUUUUCAACCAAUUUAUAUGCAUCGGAGCAUGUGCAUGUAGUUCAAAUUUGAAUUAUGCACCUGGAAUGCCUACAUAACACGGUUAAUGUAUAAAAAUGUCCAAACGAACCCCGAAAAAUCCCAAAAUUAAACACAACACUCCUGUUGUUCUAUGUUGACACUAGAAAUCUUUUGGAAGCAAUAAGAGGCAACUGAUAUCGUUUCGUCCCCAAAGGUGGCACGUUCCCUACCGAAACCAUCAUGUUUGUUGUGAGACACUCUAGUUUGGGAGAAGCUUAUACCCAAACCUGCCCCAAAUGGGACAAAUUUUUUACCACGACAUGUUGAUGCUGCUCCAGCAUGCCAAGUUUCAUGAAUUUCAGAUGAGUUUUGGAUUUACUAGAAUUUAAAAAUAAAGUAUCUCAUUGUUUGCGACCGAGUGAUGGUGGCAGGGUGUUUGACAUUCAUUCUCAUGUCUUGCAUGGGACCUAAGCAUGCAACCAAGGACACAGAUUUGAUUUUUUAACCUGUUCAUAUUCAGUGGAGCAUGUGCAUGUAGUUCAAAUUUUAAUUAUGCACCUGAAAUGCCUACAAAACCAGGUUAAUGUAUAAAAAUGUUCAAACAAACCCUGAAUAAUUCCAUUUUUUUUACAACACAACUAUAGUUGCAUGUUCCCUGCAGAUAAGAGUUCUAGCAAUUCAAACACCGUCCUUUGUAGUUGUGACCCCAUUACGUAAUUCAAAUCAAAACGAAAAAUCAAGUAGAUCGCACACAGUUUAUUAUCACCAACCGUGUGAGAUGAAGCACAAAAUAUCUUGGAGAACCGUCGGAGUGUCAAGCGCACUAGCCCGCUCCUCAAAAUAUCAUUUCACUGUUCAAUCAUCGCUGGUGAAAGAUGGGGAUGUGGACCCGCGUCGUAAGGGCAACUUCAGCGGCCCACUUCGGCGAGAGCGCGGUCACAGCCGCCAGGCGCGUGCUAAUAAGCUUCAUGAGGGCGACCGCAAUCUGGUUCCAGGCAGCCAAGGCAGCCCAAACGGUCGUUGUUGCUUCUCAAGCGGUGGCAGCAGCAUCUGCCUCGGGGAUAACAACUGGUGAGAGCGGCACAGCAGCUGUCCGUUCCGUAGUGGCGGCCUUAGCCCUGAUAGUGGUCGCCCACGACCAUGUCGAGGCCGUCCAUGCCCAGCUCGUGGCCGUCACCGCACAAAUCGAACGAAGCUUCUCCGACAACGGUCGGCAACCCACGGCCGAAGAGUUGGCAAUCGCCAAGAGAGUUCGAGCAGUCGUCCGUUCCUACGCAGCAUACCUUGCCACGACGGAGCCCGCCAAAUCCCAGAUCACGGCCGCCCAUGCCCAGCUCGUGGCGACCUAUUCCAAAGAUAUGGCGGACGCGGAUGGCGAGAUGCUUGCGGAGUAUGGUGGAAUUGAUGCCAUGGAGCCCCUUCCCCAAGAGACCAUCGGGCGCGAGCUGGACAUCGAGGUGGCGGCGGAGAUCGACGAGCAUCAGCCGUAGUAGUACUCUUUAUUUUUUUUAAUUAAGAGCGCCCGUCUUUAAUUUGUUAGAGUAAUGUUUAGGUCAGCUAGCUCUGUUUAAUUGCUGAACUUGCUCGAUUAAAAAGUGUGGGUGUGUUGUAGUCUCCUUUGUGUACCCAAAUUAUGCAAUGACGUGGAUGACCACUGUAAUCAUGGAAACUCGAACCAAAAUUUUUGACGUUCAAACUCAUCACACACGGGUUAAGCUAUCUGAAUCGUUUGUGAUGUUCACAUAUCAUACAUAGUUCGGAAUAAGGGACAGUGUCUCAUGACACUUUGCACGCCAGUUUUUUCGCUGAAGCGAUUCCAAAUUUUCGGCUUCCGCGGAAAUAUCUACCUCCCCCCCCCCGCCCUUACAAAAAGCCACAUAUCCCCUGUUUCCACCUUCCUUUCCAAGUUGAAACCUUCACUCUUUGCUGCUCGGCCUCGCCUAUCCAGGCAGGUAAUCCACGCUCGACCCCCAUCUUCCUCCUCCUUCCACAUCCCACAUGCCCCGACCGCCAGCGCGAGCACGACACCUUCCACCCAAAUCACCGACCCCUCCACCAAAUAAGCGCCACCCUAACCCAUGGUGCACGCAGUAUAGCCAGGAUCUCAAGGAGCAUUUAGCAGUGGAGAAGCAAAUCGCGGCCGCACGCGUGGAUGAGGUCGCGAUGGCUGCCAUUCGUGUCGACCCCCAGAUCUUGGAGGAGCACCUUGCCAUUUGCUAGCUACGCCGGUUAAGCAUGCUUGGUUUACCUUUUGCGUGUGCUUCUCCUGCCUUUCCUUCACAAAUUCUAGUGAAUUGUGUUAUCUAAUUUUACCAUGCAAUCUGUUGCUCUAGUGUAUACGUUCUAUAUGUCGUGCAAUGCGGUGCUCACUUAUUAACUGUUUUGUUAAUUAGUUGUCAUCUUCAGUUAACUUUUUGGUUCAAAUCUGCAAAUGUGAUGUUCAGUUCUUCAGGCUGCAAUUUUGUAUUGUCUUCCAUGUGAGAAAUAAAUCGAUGACGUCCCUCCGAGUUCUGCACACGUUCAGCUCGAUGACGUCCCUCAUCCUCUUGAUCCAACAAAGGUGUCAAGGAAGCAGAUGAGUUCCGUCACUACGAAGAUAUGACCGGAGGUGUAAACUGUGGAAGGUGGUGCCGCACACGGCUAAAAAAUGUUGGUGUGUGUUCUAGGCGCCCCCUCCCCACAUAUAUAUAUAUAUGUGGGAGGGGGAGGGGAGCAGCCUUGGGGUGCCCCAAGUAGGAAGAAUCCUACUUGGGGUCCUAUCCCAGUUCACACCUCCAUUUCCAUAUUUUCUGAGAGGAAAAAGGGAAGAGGAAGGGGAGAAGGAAAGGGGGCCAAACCCGCUCUUUUCCUUUCCCCACUCGGCCUCCUUCCUUGGGGGCGGGGGCACGCUUGUGGGCUGGUGUGCUUCCCUCCUAUGGCCCAUGUGGACCAUAUCAUUCCCCUGGGGUUCCGGUAACUGAUACGUCUCCGUCGUAUCUACUUUUCCAAACACUUUUGCCCUUGUUUUGGACUCUAACUUGCAUGAUUUGAAUGGAACUAACCCGGACUGACGUUGUUUUCAGCAAAAUUGCCAUGGUGUUAUUUUUGUGCAGAAAUAAAAGUUCUCGGAAUGACCUGAAAAUCAAUGGAGAAUUAUUUUGGAAUAUAUAAAAAAUACUGUAAGGAAGAUCCAUGUCAGGGGGGCCUCCACCUGUCCAUGAGGGUGGGGGCGUGCCCUACCCCCUGGGCGCACCCCCUGCCUCGUGGGCCCCCUGACGCUCCAAAGACCUCAACCCUCACUCCAUAUAUUCACUUACAGGAAGAAAAAAACCAAAGAGAAGGAUUCACCGUGUUUUACGAUACGGAGCCGCCGCCAAGCCCUAAACUCUCUCGGGAGGGCUGAUCUGGAAUCCGUUCGGGGCUCCGGAGAGGGGAAUCCGUCGCCAUCGUCAUCAUCAACCUUCCUCCAUCACCAAUUUGAUGAUGCUCACCGCCGUGUGUGAGUAAUUCCAUCAUAGGCUUGCUGGACGAUGAUGGGUUGGAUGAGAUUUAUCAUGUAAUCGAGUUAGUUUGUUAGGGUUUGAUCCCUAGUAUCCACUAUGUUCUGAGAUUGAUGUUGCUACGACUUUGCUAUGCUUAAUGCUUGUCACUAGGGCCCGAGUGCCAUGAUUUCAGAUCUGAACCUAUUAUGUUUUCAUCAAUAUAUGAGAGUUCUUGAUCCUAUCUUGCAAGUCGAUAGUCACCUACUAUGUGUUAUGAUCUGGCAACCCGAAGUGACAAUAAUCGGGACCACUCUCGGUGAUGACCGUAGUUUGAGGAGUUCAUGUAUUCACUAUGUGUCAAUGCUUUGGUCCGGUACCCUAUUAAAAUGAGGCCUUAAUAUCCCCUAGUUUCCAAUAGGACCCCGCUGCCACGGGAGGGUAGGACAAAAGAUGUCAUGCAAGUUCUUUUCCGUAAGCACGUAUGACUAUAUCCGGAAUACAUGCCUACAUUACAUUGAUGAAUUGGAGCUAGUUCUGUGUCACCCUAUGUUAUGACUGUUACAUGAUGAACCGCAUCCGGCAUAAUUCUCUAUCACCGAUCCAAUGCCUACGAGCUUUCCAUAUAUUGUCCUUCGCUUAUUUACUUUUCCAUUGCUAUUGUUAUAAUCACUAUAAAACACCAAAAAUAUUACUUUUGCUACCAUUACCUUUUACCACAGUUACCACUACUAUCAUAUUACUUUGCUACUAAAUACCUUGCUGCAGAUAUUAAGUUUCCAGGUGUGGCUGAAUUGACAACUCAGCUGCUAAUACUUGAGAAUAUUCUUUGGCUCCCCUUGUGUCGAAUCAAUAAAUUUGGGUUGAAUACUCUACCCUCGAAAACUGUUGCGAUCCCCUAUACUUGUGGGUUAUCAAGACUAUUUUCUGGCGCUGUUGCCAGGGAGCAUAGCUCUAUUCUUUGAGUCACUUGGGAUUUAUAUAUGCUUAAUCAUUAUGAAGAACUUGAAAGAUCCAAGAACCAAGAUUUAUCCCUCAACUACGAGGGGAGGCAAGGAACUGCCAUCUAGCUCUGCACUUGAUUCACCUUCUGUUUUGAGUAAGCUUGCGACACCUAAACCUGCUUCUGCUAUUAAUUCUGAUAUGUCGCAUGUUAUUGAUGAUGCCACUUCUGCUAUGCAUGAUACUUAUGAUGAAAUUACUUCUCUGCUUGAUACUACUGUGCCACUUGGUGAAUUUCUUGAUGAACAACUUGCUAGGGCUAGAGAGAAUGAAAUUAUUGAAACUGAUAAUAUUGAUGAAAGUGAUGAUGAAGAUUCUCCCCCUAGAUAUGAAUUUCCUGUUGUUCCUGAGGGUUAUGUUGUGGAUGAAGAAACUGCUAGAGAUUUUCUUACUUGCAAUGAUAGGAGUGAUCUUAAGAAACUAUUAGCUAAGCUGAAACAAAAAACUCUAAAUGCUAGAAUGAAAUAUGAUCCCGCUUAUGCUACUUCACCUAUCUUUGUUACUGAUAAGGAUUAUGAAUUCUCUAUCGACCUUGAUAUAGUUACUUUGGUUGAAUCUGAUCCUUUCUAUGGCUAUGAAUCUGAAACUAUUAUCCCGCAUCUUACUAAAUUAAAUGAUACUAGCAAAAGAGCCCGUGCGUUGCAACGGGAGAAAAACAUAACACACGCUCUUAACCCAACAACCAUCACUCAAUAGGUCCAUCUUCUUUAUUUUUGCAAGAAAACAUAUUUAUGUUACCACUUAUCCUCCUUCUCACCCUCGCCGGCGAUGGCCUUGGUGUUCACGCAAAACAACAAAAACAUGUUUAAAUAUGGUUAAUCCUAAGACGUCUCUCUCUCCCUCUCUCCUCCCUCACCCUCUCUCUCUCUCUCUCUCUCUCUCUCUCUCGCUUUCUCUCACUCUCGCGAUGAGAAAUCUGUUGUUUUCCCUUGCGACAUUUUUCAGAGGUAUGCAUGUGUAGUUAUCGAUGUUUUCUAUUAACUAUAUGGUUGUAGUGGGGUGUUUAUUUACAAUCCGGAUCACCGCUGAUACGAAACAAAAACGGAUCUUGCGCUAGAAAUUAUAAGUUCGCUUCAAAAACAAUAUUUUAAAAAUAUUUAACAGGUAAAAUUAACAUCAUAUUUAGAUUCCACACAUUUUUCUAAUAAAAUUUCAUAUAUAAUAUGUUAAAAUCGAAGUUACGGUUUAAAAGAUACAGAUAAUUUAGAAAAUCAUUUGUUUGAUUUAAAUAUAUUCCAAAAUAAUAUUUAUAAUACAUAAUAGGUAAAAAUAAUCUCAUAUUCAUAUUCUACAUAUUUUUCUAAUCAAAUUUCAUAUAUAGCAUGUACAAAUCAGAGUUACGGUUUAAAAGAUAUGGAUGAUUUAAAAAAGUAUUUGUUUGACUUAAAUAUGAUCCACGGAUGAAUUACAUAAAACAGCAGGGGUUUUUUCGAAAACCGUAAAAUAACGGUUUGGGUGUGACUUAAAUCCGAACAGCGGGUUGAUUUCAAGAAAACACAGGGACUUUUGCGUAAAAUGCGAAAACGAUUCGUUUUGACUUAAAACAGGACAGCGGGUUGAAUUCUCUGAAAUAGAGGGACUUUUCUAAAAAAUGCCACGACGGACGAAAGAAACCCAAUUUGCUUUAUUAUUAGGUAAAGAUAGGCAUCCUAUUCACUAAUUAUGAGAAAACUCGCUAUUAUUAUAUCCUUAAAUUAUUUCUGUUCUCAUUAAAGGGUGAAGCUAAGAUAUGGUUUAAUUCUCUUGAUCCUGGUUGUGUGCGUAGUCCCCAGGAUAUGAUUUAUUACUUCUCUGCUAAAUAUUUUCCUGCUCAUAAGAAACAAGCUGCUUUAAGGGAAAUAUAUAAUUUUGUGCAAAUUAAAGAAGAGAGUCUCCCACAAGCUUGGGGGAGGCUUCUCCAAUUACUUAAUGCUUUGCCUGAUCAUCCUCCCAAGAAAAAUGAAAUACUUGAUAUCUUUUAUAAUGGACUAACCGAUGCUUCCAGAGACCACCUGGAUAGUUGUACUGGUUGUGUUUUCAGGGAAAGAACACCAGAUGAAGCUGAAAUUUUAUUGAAUAAUAUGUUGACCAAUGAAAAUAAUUGGACACUUCCUGAUCCAAUCCCUGAUCCAAUUCCUGAACCAACUCCUGAGCCAACUCCGGAGAAAAGGGGUAUUCUAUUUCUCAGUCCUGAAGAUAUGCAAGAGGCAAAGAAAUCUAUGAAAGAAAAAGGUCUAAAAGCUGAAGAUGUUAAGAAUUUACCUCCAGUUGAAGAAAUACAUGGUCUUAAUUUACCGCCUGUUGAAGAAAUACAUGGUUUUAAUCCAUCACCUAUUGAAGAAACACAUGGUCUUGAUAACCCAACAGAGGUAGUAAAGGUAAAUUCUCUCUAUAGAGAUGAUAAAGCUGAAAUCCCAUUUACUAUGUUUGCUAGCCCAUGCUUGGAUGAGUUUGAUGACUUUAUGGUUAAGCAAGAAAACUUCAAUGCUUAUUUUGGUAGGGAAUUAAAAUGAAAUGCUGAUAUGCUUGAACACUUGGGUGAUUAUAUGGCUAAUGUUAAAGGUGAACUUAAACUUAUUAGUAAACAUGCUUCUAUGGUUACCACUCAAGUAGAACAAGUACUUAAAGCUCAGAAUGAAUUGAAUAGUAAAAAUGAUAAUGUUGUUAGAGUGGCUACUAGAACUUGUAAAAUGACUCAGUAACCUUUGUAUCCUGAGGGCCAUCCUAAGAGAAUUGAGCAAGAUUCUCAGAUAAAUAAUAUUGAUGCACCUAGUCCUUCUAAGAGGAAGAAAAAUAAAAAUGAUAGGACUUUGCAUGCUUCUAGUGAACCUGUUAUUGACACACCUGAGAAUCCCAAUAAUAUCUCUAUUUCUGAUGCUAAAACACAAUCUGGUAAUGAGCAUGAACCUAGUGGUAAUGUUAAUAAUGAUGUUCAUGUUGAUACUCAACCUAGCAAUAAUAAUGAUGUAGAAAUUGAACCUGUUGUUGAUCUUGAUAACCCACAAUCAAAGAAUCAACGUUAUGAUAAGAGAGACUUUGUUGCUAGGAAGCACGGUAAGGAAAUAGAACCAUGGGUUCAGAAACCCAUGCCUUUUCCUCCCAAACCAUCCAAGAAAAAGGAUGAUGAGGAUUUUGAGCGCUUUGCUGAAAUGAUUAGACCUAUCUUUUUGCGUAUGCGAUUAACUGAUAUGCUCAAAAUGAAUACCUAUGCUAAGUAUAUGAGAGAAAUUUUGACAAAUAAAAGAAAGAUACCGAAAGCUGAAAUUUCCACUAUGCUUGCUAAUUAUACUUUUAAAGGUGGAAUACCUAAGAAACUGGGAGAUCCAGGAGUACCAACUAUACCAUGCUCCAUUAAAAGAAACUAUGUUAAAACUGCUUUAUGUGAUCUUGGAGCCGGUGUUAGUGUUAUCCCUCUCUCUUUAUAUCGUAGACUUGAAUUGAAUAAGUUGACACCUACUGAAAUAUGUUUGCAAAUGGCCGAUAAAUCAACUGCAAUACCUGUCGGCAUUUGUGAGGAUGUGCCUGUUGUGGUUGCAAACGUUGCUAUUUUAACGGACUUUGUUAUUCUUGAUAUUCCCGAGGACGAUACUAUGUCUAUUAUUCUUGGAUGACCCUUUUUGAAUACUGCAGGGGUUGUUAUUGAUUGCAACAAAGGCAAUGUCACUUUUCAUGUUAAUGGCAACGAGCAUACGGUACACUUUCCAAGGAAACAACCUCAAGUUCAUAGUAUAAACUCUAUUGGAAAAAUUCCAUCGAUUAUUUUUGGAGGCUUUGAAUUUCCACUACCUACUGUCAAGAAGAAAUAUGAUAUUCUUAUUAUUGGGGACGUGCAUAUCCCCGUUGAGGUAACCUAGUGUUAUUCGAAAAUUCUCUAGUUCCAUGUUAUUCGGAAUGAGUUUGUUAACAUGACCUGAUCAACCUUGUUAGUAGAUUCCUUUUGAUGAGCAUGAGAUGGAUGAACUGUACCCUCUUUUUACUUUCUGUUAUUUAUAUUAAAUGAAGCAAAAAUAGUAAUUUCUGUCUGUUUUCUGAAUUAUCCAAGCAAUUAAAAAUUACCCCGAAAAUAAAAGUUCUCCAAAUGGCCUGAAAUUUAAAUAUGAUUUUUUUGGAAUAUUUGAGAAUAUUUGGCACUUAGAACACAGUAGGGGGAGCAAGCACCUGGCCACGAGGGUCCAGGGCGCGCCCCUGCCUCGUGGGCCCACGGCGGCUCCCCUCCACUUAUUCCAGCUACCACACACUCUUUCUUCCUCCCACAAACAUCACUAGCCAGCUCAAACCCGAGUCCAAGCUCAUCUUGCUGCCAUUUUCGAUCUCCUUGCUCAAAGCACCUCUCACAAGACUGCUUUGGGGGAUUGUUCCUUGGUAUGUGACUCCUCCAAUGGACCAAUUAGUUUCUGUUCUAGUGCUUUAUUCAUUGCAUAUUUUUCUGCUUAGGUGACCCUGUUCUUGAGCUUGCAUGUCAAAUUUAUAUGGUCAAAAGUAUUUUUAAUGCAUGAUAUAGUCUCUAGGUACUUUUGGUAGUAGUUGCUAUCAAUUUUGUUGAGUUUGGUUCACUUUUAUUUUGAAGUUACUAAAAUUUCAGAAAUUUUUCAGAGGAAGAAAUAUGUUUAGGAAAAUGUACCAAGGUGGUCCUUCAAGGAAGCAAGGACCCAGGCUCACCAUAUGCGAUGCCGACGAUGAACCACCAAGGGAAGCUCAAGUGCGGGCUUGUGAAUGGCCGUCAGAGGACUUUAUGGAUCAAGCAGGAAUCAAGGAAGAAUUUAACGCGUAUGUGCGUAAUGCCAAUCUUGAGAGCUUCGAGGUAGAUAAGUGCCGCCAAUACCACUAUCUCACUGAUUCAUUUGUGAGAAGGUUUGAAUUUUCAUCAUCAUGUAAUUUUCAAACUGUCCUAUUUGAUCUUUAUGAAAAUUCUUAUACUAUGACUUAGAAGAUUUUACCACUGCUUGUAAACUUCCACAAUGGGACAGCACUAGUGAGCCUUGCAAAUCUGAGUUUAGAGAUUUUCUUGCAAGUAUAAUUGUGGGGGAAUCUAGAGAUAUAACACAAGCUACCAUAGGGAGCAUUCAUUUUCCUGCUAUACAUUAUUUUGCUCUCUUCAUAGGUAGGUGCAUAAUGAUAAGGAUGAAGUAUGUCACAUGUGUGUCCCUGACCUCAGUGUUCUCAGGAGUGCUAUAUUAGGAGAUAAACAUUAUAAUUGGGGAGCCAUUAUUGCACAUAGGUUGCAUAAUAAUAAAUCUAUUGGAGAUUUCUUCGGUGGAAUUUAUGCAACCCAUCUAGCUAAUUUUCUUGAUAUGCCCAUACGUGGGUAUGAUAUUGAGUUGCCUCCUGUUUAUUUAGAUUAUGAGGCCAUGGUUCGUCAUCAGUUUGUUGAGAGGAACAAUCAGUUCCUCCAGUACGGACUAAUCUUUGAAAGACGAUGCACCUAUCACGUCGCUCUCCCUGCUCCUGCUUUCUUUGACUCUUAGGAAAAAGGGAGAUAUGUUAUAACCAGGGAGGAGGCAGACAAAUAUAAGAGGAGGACGGAUACGGCCCGUGUCCAAGCGGCAGCUCAUGAGGCAAUAGCUGCUGCAUCACAGUACGACCCCAGUUACAACUUUGGAUAUCCGCCAGGCCAGUUGUGGCCAUAGACCAACUUAGGCCAAGGCCUAACCUUGCGGGAGUACGUAUUUCUCACCGACAUUUCAUUCAUGCUCACACACUCAUUGAUAGUUGUCGGUGCUCAUACUUUUUCACUGUAUCAUCCAUGCUAGUUUAUUUCCCUUUUUAUGCUUUCUUCUUGUGUGUUUAAUAAACCUUAAGAACAACAAAAAAUUAGUUGUAGUUUUUAAUUAGUUUACUUUUCAUGUUAUAGUAGUAGUAGUAAUUAAAAAGAAAACCCAAAAAGAUUUCUCGUUCUUCUUUUGCUUGUUGGGAGCUUUCCCGUGUACAUAGUUGUAUUUCUUUUCUUUGGGGGUCGAGAGGAGAAGACCCUAAUUAAAAUGUUAAAGUGGCUCUUAUAUGCAUUACUGUUGAUCCGACAAAAGAGCCCAUAUUACCUUGUCUUCUCUCUUGAAUUGAAUGCUUGCAGAUUCCAGCUUAGUCCAAUGCACGUGCACCAAUAUUAUUAUUCACAUCAUUCGGUCAUGCAAGUGAAAGGCAAUAAUGAUGAUUAUAUGAUGAACUUAUUGAGAUGAGAAAAGCUGGUAUGAAUUCGACCUCUCUUGUUUUUGUAAAUAUGAUUAGUUCAUCAUUCCUGAUUCAGCCUAUUAUGAAUAAACAUGUUUGCAAUGACAAUUAGAGAUUAUAGUUGCUUAUGCCAUGCUUAAUUAGCUAGGAGCUUAUAAUGGUUUACCUUGCGUGCCAAUAUGCUAUUAAAAUGGUUGUGAUGUGGUAUGAUAGGGUAGUAUCCUCUUUUGAAUGAUUCGAGUGGCUUGACUUGGCACAUGUUCACGCAUGUAGUUGAAACAAAAUCAACAUAGCCUCUAUGAUAUUUAUGUUCGUGGUGCAUUAUAUCCUACUCAUGCUUGCAUUUGAUGUUGAUUAAUUUUAAUGCAUGUUCAUGACUGUGGUCACUCUCUAGCUGGUUGCUUCCCAGUCUUUUGCUAGCCUUCACUUGUGCUAAGCGGGAAUACUGCUUGUGCAUCCAAUUCCAUAAACCUCAAAGUUAUUCCAUAUGAGUCCACCAUACCUAUCUAUAUACGGUAUCUACCUGCCGUUCCAAGUAAAUUUGUAUGUGCCAAACUCUAAACCUUCAAAUAAACAUUCUGUUUUGUAUGCUCGAAUAGCUCAUGUAUCAACUAGGGUUGUCCGUAUAUUCCAUGUUGGGCGGGUUAUUCUCAAGAGGAGUGGACUCCGCUCCUCACUCACGAGAAAAUGGCUGGUCACCGGGAUGCCCAGUCCCAUGCUUUAUGCAAAACAAAUCAAAAUAAUUGCAAAUAAAACCCCCCUGGGACUCUUGUUAGUUGGAGGCACUCGUUGUUUCGAGCAAGCCAUGGAUUGAUGCUUGUUGGUGGAGGGAGAGUAUAAAAUUUACCAUUCUGUUUGGGAACCGCCUAUAAUGUGUGUAGCAUGGAAUAUAUCGCCAUCUCUUGGUUGUUAUGUUGACAAUGAAAGUAUACCGCUCAAAAUAUUAUUCACCUCUAUUUCAAAAUCGAGCUCUGGCACCUCUACAAAUCACUGCUUCCCUCUUCGAAGGGCCUAUCUAUUUCCUUUUAUGUUGAGUUAUCAUCCUCUUAUUAAAAAGCACCAGUUGGAGAGCACCGCUGUCAUUUGCAUUCAUUACUGUUAGUUUACAUUGAGUAUGACUUGACUGGAUCUCUUUUACCAUGAAUUGCAAUGUCUAGUCAGUCCUUGAUCUUUAAAGGUGCUAUGCAUUUAUGUUUUGCGGUCUCAGAAAGGGCUAGCGAGAUACCAUCUUGUUAUAUCAUAUCAUGAUUGUUUUGAGAAAGUGUUGUCAUCCGAGAUUUAUUAUUAUUGCUCGCUAGUUGAUUAUGCCAUUGAUAUGAGUAAACAUGAGACCUAAAUGUGAUUGUGAAUAUGGUUAGUUCAUAAUCUUUGCUGAAAACUUGAAUGCUGGCUUUACAUAUUUACAAAAACAAGAGCAAACAAAGUUUGUGAAAGUUUUUCUUUAUCACUUUCACUUUAUCAACCGAAUUGCUUGAGAACAAGCAAAGGUUUAAGCUUGUGGGAGUUGAUACGUCUCCAUCAUAUCUACUUUUCCAAACACUUUUGCCCUUGUUUUGGACUCUAACUUGCAUGAUUUGAAUGGAACUAACCUGGACUGACGUUGUUUUCAGCAGAAUUGCCAUGGUGUUAUUUUUGUGCAGAAAUAAAAGUUCUCAGAAUGACCUGAAAAUCAACGGAGAAUUAUUUUGGAAUAUAUAAAAAAUACUGGAAGGAAGAUCCACGUCCUACCCCCUGGGCGCGCCCCUGCCUCGUGGGCCCCCUGACGCUCCACUGACCUCAACCCUGACUCCAUAUAUUCACUUUCGGGGAGAAAAAAACCAGAGAGAAGGAUUCAUCGUGUUUUACGAUACGGAGCCGCCGCCAAGCCCUAAACUCUCUCGGGGGGGCUGCUCUGGAGUCCGUUCGAGGCUCUGAAGAAGGGAAUCCGUUGCCAUCGUCAUCACCAACCUUCCUCCAUCACCAAUGUCAUGAUGCUCACCGUCGUGUGUGAGUAAUUCCAUCGUAGGCUUGCUGGACGGUGAUGGGUUGGAUGAGAUUUAUCAUGUAAUCGAGUUAGUUUUGUUAGGGUUUGAUCCCUAGUAUGCACUAUGUUCUAAGAUUGAUGUUGCUAUGACUUUGCUAUGCUUAAUGCUUGUCACUAGGGCCCGAGUGCCAUGAUUUCAGAUCUGAACCUAUUAUGUUUUCAUCAAUAUAUGAGAGUUCUUGAUCCUAUCUUGCAAGUCAAUAGUCACCUACUAUGUGUUAUGAUCCGGCAACCCCGAAGUGACAAUAAUCGGGACCACUCCUGGUGAUGACCGUAGUUUGAGGAGUUCAUGUAUUCACUAUGUGAUAAUGCUUUGGUCCGGUACUCUAUUAAAAGGAGGCCUUAAUAUUCCCUAGUUUCCAAUAGGACCCCACUGCCACGGGAGGGUAGGACAAAAGAUGUCUUGCAAGUUCUUUUCCGUAAGCACGUAUGACUAUAUCCGGAAUACAUGCCUACAUUACAUUGAUGAAUUGGAGCUAGUUCUUUGUCACCCUAUGUUAUGACUGUUACAUGAUGAACCACAUCCGGCAUAAUUCUCUAUCACCGAUCCAAUGCCUACGAGCUUUCCAUAUAUUGUUCUUCACUUAUUUACUUUUCCGUUGCUAUUGUUACAAUCACUGUAAAACACCAAAAAUAUUACUUUUGCUACCAUUACCUUUUACCACCGUUACCACUACUAUCAUAUUACUUUGCUACUAAAUACCUUGCUGCAGAUAUUAAGUUUCCACGUGUGGUUGAAUUGACAACUCAGCUGCUAAUACUUGAGAAUAUUCUUUGGCUCCCCUUGUGUCGAAUCAAUAAAUUUGGGUUGAAUACUCUACCCUCGAAAAUUGUUGUGAUCCCCUAUACUUGUGGGUUAUCAGUAACCCCCCUCGGUACUCCAAUAAAUACCCGAUACUAUCUGGAACACUUCUGAUGUCUGAAUACCAUCGUUCUAUAUAUCAAUCUUUACCUCUCGACCAUUUCGAGACUCCUCGUCAUGUCUGUGAUCUCAUCCGGGACUCCGAACAAUAUUUGGUGACUAAAUCACAUAACUCAUAUAAUACUAAAUCGUCAUCGAACAUUAAGUAUGCGGACCCUGCAGGUUCAAGAACUAUGUAGACAUGACCGAGACACCUCUCCGGACAAUAACCAAUAGCGGAACCUGGAUGCUCAUAUUGCCUUCUACAUAUUCUAUGAACACGUAAUUCCCUUUGUCAUCGGUAUGUUACUUGCCCGAGAUUCGAUCAUCAGUAUCUUCAUACAUAGUUCAAUCUCGUUACUGGAAAGUCUCUUUAUUCAUUUCGUAAUGCAUCAUCAUGUAACUAAGUCAUUAGUCACUUUGCUUGCAAGGCUUCUUAUGAUGUGUAUUACCGAGAGGGCCCAGAGACACCUCUCCGAUACUCGGAGUGACAAAUCCUAAUCUCGAUCUAUGCCAACCCAACAAACACCUUAGGAGAUACCUGUAGAGCAUCUUUAUAAUCACCUAGUUACGUUGUGACGUUUGAUAUCACACAAGGUAUUCCUCCGGUAUCCGGGAGUUGCAUAAUAUCAUAGUCGAAGGAAUAUGUAUUUGACAUGAAGAAAGCAAUAGCAAUAAAACUGAACGAUCAAUAUGCUAAGCUAACGGAUGGGUCAUGUCCAUCACAUCAUUCUCCUAAUGAUGUGAUCCCGUUAUAAAAUGACAACUCAUGUCCAUGGUUAGGAAACCUUAGCCAUCUUUGAUCAACGAGCUAGUAAAGUAGAGGCUCACUAGGGACUAAGUGUUUUGUCUAUGUAUUCACACAUGUAUUAAGGUUUCCGGUCAAUACAAUUCUAGCAUGAAUAAUAAACACUUAUCAUGAAUAAGGAAAUAUAAAAUAACAACUUUAUUAUUGCCUCUAGGGCAUAUUCCUUCAGAUAUCAUAUUGUGCAAGACAAUCGGUACUAGCACAUACUAGAAUUCAUCUUGUUCCCCCAAGAACUAAUGAAUUACUCAAACAUGGUGAUGGAGUACUGAUAGCCCACAAGUAUAGGGAAUCAAUUGUAGCCUCUUUCGAUAAGUAAGAGUGUCGAACCCAAUGAGUAGCUAAAGGUAGAAAAAAUAUUUCCUCAAGUUCUAUCGACCACCGAUACAACUCUACGCAGGCUUAACGUUCGCUUUACCUAGAACAAGUAUGAAACUAGAAAUACUUUGUAGGAGGGUUUUAGGAUUAUUAAAGUAGUGCAUAAUAUCUUUCACAUAAUGAGCAUCGAGGGUUUUAGGAGGUUCCCCAUCUCCACCAGUAGCAAGUACACCUAAUGUUUUUGGUAUUUAAUGUUCCAUAUGCAUAACUAAAGAUAUAAAACAACUUAGAAUAGCAAAUAAAAUCUAUUUAGUGAUAAAGCAAACAAACGCACACGAGAAUAUUCACCCCACGCUAUUGCUCCCCGGCAACGGCGUGCAGAAAAAGGUCUUGAUAACCCACAAGUAUAGGGGAUCAAUUGUAGCCUCUUUUGAUAAGUAAGAGUGUCUAAACCAAUGAGGAGCUAAAGGUAGAACAAAUAUUACCUCAAGUUCUAUCGACCACCGAUACAACUCUACGCACGCUUAACGUUCACUUUACUUAGAACAAGUAUGAAACUAGAAGUACUUUGUAGGUGUUGUAGGCUAGGUUUGCAAGAUAAUAAAGAGCACAUAAAUAAAAGCUAGGGGCUGUUUAUAUAAAGACACAACUAAGUUAGUUUUAGUAGAGAGCUUUUUGUCAUGAGAAAUUUAUUUGUCCCUAGGCAAUCGAUAACUAGACCGGUAAUCAUUAUAGCAAUUUUAUAUGAGGGAGAGGCAUAAGCUAACAUACUUUAUCUUCUUGGAUCAUAUGCACUUAUGAUUGGAACUCUAGCAAGCAUUCGCAACUACUAAAGAUCAUUAAGGUAAAACCCAACCAUAGCAUUAAAGUAUCAAGUCCUCUUUAUUCCCAUACGCCAUAACCCACUUAUCCGUGUUUGUGUUUCACUCACUCACGCAACACAGACAAUAAGCAAACCAUGAACAUAUUGCAAACCCUACAGCGGGGAUCCCUCACGCUUGCGCAACACGGAGAGCACCAUAGGACAGCACCAAUAAUAAAACAUGCAACUCAAACCAAUCACGGUCAUCAAUGAACCCAUAGGACAAAACAGAUCUACUCAAACAUCUUAGGAUAGCCAUACAUCAUUGGGAAAUAAUAUAUAGCAUUGAGCGCCAUGUUUAAGUAGAGAUUACAGAGGGGAGAAGAGGUGUUACACUGCUGCAUAGAGGGGAAGAGAGUUGGUGAUGACGGUGGUGAAGUUGUUGGUGUAGAUCGUUGUCACGAUGAUGGCCCCGACGGUGUUCCAGCGCCCCCGAGAGAAAGGGGGAGAGAGCCCCCCUUCUUCUUAUUCCUUCUUGACCUUCCCCCUAGAUGGGAAAAGGGUUUUCCCUCUAGUCCUUGGCUUCCAUGGAGGUAGAGGGGCGGGAGCUCCUCCGAGGUUGGAUCUCUCUCUCUCUCUCUCUCUCUCUCUCUCUNNNNNNNNNNNNNNNNNNNNNNNNNNNNNNNNNNNNNNNNNNNNNNNNNNNNNNNNNNNNNNNNNNNNNNNNNNNNNNNNNNNNNNNNNNNNNNNNNNNNNNNNNNNNNNNNNNNNNNNNNNNNNNNNNNNNNNNNNNNNNNNNNNNNNNNNNNNNNNNNNNNNNNNNNNNNNNNNNNNNNNNNNNNNNNNNNNNNNNNNNNNNNNNUUUGUGCCCUUCUGUUUCCACGCUCCCUGAUUCUGUCCUUUCACCGUUUCUUAAAUUCCCAGAGAUCCGUACCUCCGAUUGGGCUGAAAUUUUAACACAAUUUUUAUCUGGGUAUUUUCUUUCUUGCGCCAUAAGAAGGGCACCGACUGCCUAACAAAGUGGCCACAAUGGCCCAGGGCAUCGUCUCAUGCUGAUUCUUUUUCCCAAAAAUCACAUACAUUCCAAAAAAAAUCUCCGUAAGUUUUUACCCCGUUUGGACUCCGUUUGAUAUGGAUUUCCUGUGAAACAAAAAACAUGCAACAAAUAGGAACUGGCACUGGGCACUGGAUCAAUAUGUUAGUCCUAAAAAGAGUAUAAGAAGUUGCCAAAAGUAUAUGAAAGUUGUAGAAUAUUGGCAUGAAACAAUCAAAAGUUAUAGAUACGACGGAGACGUAUCAGCAUCCCCAAGCUUAAUUUUUGCUCGUCCUCGAGUAGGUAAAUGAUAAAAAAAAGAUAAUUUUUGAUGUGGAAUGCUACCUAGCAUAAUCUUGAUCAUAUAAUCUAAUCAUGGCAUGAAUAUUAAGACAUGAGUGAUUCAAAGCAAUAGUCUAUCAUUUGACAUUAAGACAGUAAUACUUCAAGCAUGCUAAUAAAGCAAUCAUGUCUUCUCAAAAUAAGCCAAAGAAAGUUAUCCCUACAAAAUCAUAUAGUCUGGCUAUGCUCCAUCUUCAUCACACAAAGUAUUUCAUCAUGCACAACCCCGAUGACAAGCCAAGCAAUUGUUGCAUACUUUUAAUGUUCUCAAGCCUUUUCAACUUUCAUGCAAUACAUGAGCGUGAGCCAUGGAUAUAGCACUAUAGGUGGAAUAGAAUAUGAUGGUGGAGGUCGUGUGGGGAAGACAAAAAGGAAUAAAGUCUCACAUCGACGCGGCUAAUCAACGGGCUAUGGAGAUGUAACACCCCGGAUGUAACCUAACUUAAUUGUAUUCCAACUCCUGCCUUUUCCCGGCUUUAAGUUAUGAGAUUCAUGGUUGGGUUUUGUCUUCGUUUUUUUUCUUGUCAUGCAUUUUUUCUUUUCUUUUCAUGUCUCUUGUUGCAUCAUGGCAUCAUCAUGUGCAUUUUUUUCUUUUCUUUUCAUGUCUCUUGUUGCAUCAUGGCAUCAUCAUGUGCAUCUUUAUGUUGUGAGCUUCUGCAUUUGAGGCUUGUUCUUUGGGAUCCUAGUUUCAUAUUAUUGCGUUUGUGUUGAUUUUUCUACAGCAACCCCAACAUAUUAUAUAUGUUUUUGGGGUAGAAAAAUCCAAUGAAUCCAGUGGUGGCCUUAGUUUCUGCAUUUGAGCAAGUUCAUGAACCUGUCCUUUUCCAUCAUGUUGCUGUUUUGUCUUCUAGGUGUUUAUUCAUGCAAUCUUUCUAUGAGGUGGUUAAGCACCUGGUUAGCUUCAUUUUCAUGUAUACUUCAUGCUAGAACUUGUUCCAUGCCAUGACAUGCCUUGUAGUGAGUUAAUCAAGCUUGUAAAGAUGCCAUGUUGAAUCUGUUUUUGUCAUGUCCUGGAAUUUCUCUAAGUCUGUAAUCUGUUUAUGUUUUUGCCAUGUUCACAUGCUUGCAAUUGUAUUUUCUGAUCCCUUUUGGCUCAAGGUCACUAAGGGACUUUUGUUAAGCUCUUUGAGUAGCUCCAUGUCAUGCCUUGCUUUUCCAUGUUCAGUUCCUGUAGCAUAUAGUUUUCUUGCUCCAAAGUGUGCUACCUGAUCUGGAAUUCCAGACAAGUGUUAAUUUCACUAAGUCUGAAAUCUGUUUACCAAUUGCACUUUUGCCAUGCUUGUUUGAACUUGUUAAUGGAUAAAUUGGCCGUAGCUCAGUGUUCAUAUUUUGUUAAACAUCAUGAAUGGAUCGCUGCCAUGUAUUUUGUUGCCAUGUUUGGGUGCUGUAGCAUGUUUGUCUUGUUGCAUUUAGAUGGCUACUUGCUGUAUAUCGCAGACCGGUGCCAUAUUUGAAUCGCUUGCCAUUUCCAAACCGUGUCUCCGAUUCCGGUGUUCUUUAUAUCGAUUUCAACCGAAAUCACCUCACCUUUCCAGUGGCACACUUGGUUUUCCAAGUUGAGGCCAGGUUCGUUCAAUCCUUUCCAAAUCUUGCAUAUGCAUCACAUAUCGCAUCCCGCAUAGCAUACCAUGUUUGCAUCAUGUUGUUUGAGCUUUGCAUGUGGUUGAUUGUGUCCCUUUUGCUUGUUUGUCUUGUUUGGGUAGAGCCGGGAGAUGAGUUCGCUAAUGAGGAGCCCGUUGAGUUUGCUUUCGAGGAUCCAGUCAACUCUGACAACUUUGCAGGCAAGAUGAUCAUACCCUCGAAAUCACUUCUAUCUUUGCUUUGCUAUAUGCUCGCUCUUUUGCUAUGCCUAUGCUACGAUGCCUACCACUUGCUUAUCAUGCCUCCCAAAUUGCCAUGUCAAACCUCUAACCCACCAUGUCCUAGCAAACUGUUGAUUGGCUAUGUUACCGCUUUGCUCAGCCCCUCUUAUAGCGUUGCUAGUUGCAUGUGAAGAUUGGAGCCCGUUCCUUGUUGGAACAUUAUUUUCUUGUUGGGAUAUCAUUAUAUUAUCUUGUUAUCUUAAUGCAUCUAUAUACUUGGUAAAGGGUGGAAGGCUCGGCCUUUUAGCCUAGUGUUUUGUUCCACUCUUGCCGCCCUAGUUUUUCGUCAUAUCGGUGUUAUGUUCCCGGAUUUUGCGUUCCUUAUGCGGUUGGGUGAUAAUGGGAACCCCUUGAUAGUUCGCCUUGAAUAAAACUCCUCCAGCAAUGCCCAACCUUGGUUUUACCAUUUUCCACCUAGCCUCUUUUUCCCUUGGGUUUCCGGAGCCCGAGGGUCAUCUUAUUUAAACCCCCCAUCGGGCCAGUGCUCCUCUGAGUGUUGGUCCACCUCGUCAGCCGCCGGUGGCCACCAGGGGAAACUCUGGGCUGGCCUACCGGAAGUUUAGACAAUCUGAGUGUGCCCUGAGAACGAGAUAUGUGCAGCUCCUAUCGGGAUUUGUCGGCACAUUCGGGCGGUGUUGCUGGAUUUGUUUUAACUUGACGAAGUGUCUUGUAGAACCGGGAUACCGAGUCUGAUCGGAAUGUAUCGGGAGAAGGUUUAUCCUUCGUUGACCGUGAGAGCUUGUCAUGGGCUAAGUUAGGACUCCCCUGCAGGGAUUUGAACUUUUGGAAGCCGUGCCCGCAGUUAUGGGCAGAUGGGAAUUUGUUAAUGUCUGGUUGUAGAUAACUUGAACCUUAACUUAAUUAAAAUGAAUCAACUGAGUGUGUUACCGUGAUGGUCUCUUCUCGGCGGAGUCCGGGGAGUGAACACGGUGUUGGAGUAAUGUUUGCGCAGGUUGUUCUCUAGUUAUUUGUUCGUGCAUUGCCUUCUCUUCUCGCUCUCAUUUGCGAAUAGGUUAGCCACCAUACAUGCUAGUUGCUUGCUGCAGCUCCACAUAUUGACCUUGCCUUACCUAUUAAGCUUAAAUAGUCUUGAUCGCGAGGGUGCGAGAUUGCUGAGUCCCUGUGGCUCACAGAUUACUUCCAAACCAGAUGCAGGGCCUGAUGACUCCGUUCCAUAUGACGCGCUUGAGCUCAAGUGGGAGUUCGACGAGGACUCACGCCGUUACUAUGUGUCUUUCCCUGAUGAUCAGUAGUGGUGCCUAGUUGGGGCGAUCGGGACCGUGUCGCAUGUUGGGUUGAUCUUUUAUUUUGGCACCGUAGUCAGGCCAUGAGUGAUUGUAUGAUGUAAUGCUAUUUAUGUACCUUGUUUGAUGUGUCGAGUGUAAGCCAACUAUGUUACCUUCCCCUUUUAUUAUCUAUAUUACAUGGGAUGUUGUGAAGAUUGCCUUACUUGCGACAUUGCUUUCAAUGCGGUUAUGCCUCUAAGUCGUGCUUCGACACGUAGGAGAUAUAGCCGCAUCGAGGGCGUUACAGGAGAUGCCCAUCAAUUGAUGUAAAUGCGAGGAGUAGGGAUUGCCAUGCAACAAAUGCACCAGAGCUAUAAGUGUAUGAAAGCUCAAACUGAAAACUAAGUGGGUGUGCAUCCAACUUGCUUGUUCAUGAAGACCUCUGGCAUUUGAGGAAGCCCAUCAUCGGAAUAUGCAAGCAAAGUUAUAUAAUGAAAAUUCCCACUAGUAUAUGAAAAUGAUAACUCAAGAGACUCUCUAUAUGAAGAACAUGGUGCUACUCUGAAGCACAAGUGUGGUAAAAGGAUAGUAGCAUUGCCCCUUCUCUCUUUUUCUCUCAUUCAUUUUUUGUUUUUUUUUUGUUUUUUGGGCCCUCUCUUUUUUUCGUCCAGAGUCUCAUCCCGACUUGUCGGGAAUCAUAGUCUCCAUCAUCCUUUCCUCACUGGGGCAAUGAUCUAAUAAUGAUGAUCAUCACACUUUUAUUUACUUACAACUCAAUAUUACAACUCGUUAUCUAGAACAAAGUAUGACUCUAUAUGAAUGCAUCUGGCAGUGUACCAGGAUGUGCAAUGAUCUAGCAUAGGAAAGAUAUAAAAAAGGACAAGCCAUGGAAAUAUCAUGCUAGAUAUCUUACGAUCAUGCAAAGCAAUAUGACAAUGAACGCUCAAGUCAUGUAUAUGAUGAUGAUGGAAGUUGCAUGGCAAUAUAUCUCGGAAUGGCUAUGGAAAUGCCACGAUAGGUAGGUAUGCUGGCUGUUUUGAGGAAGAUAUAAGGAGGCUUAUGUGUGAUAGAGCGUAUCGUAUCACGGGGUUUGGAUGCACCGGCAAAGUUUGCACCAACUCUCGAGGUGAGAAAGGGCAAUGCACGGUACCGAAGAGGCUAGCAAUGAUGGAAGGGUGAGAGUGCGUAUAAUCCAUGGACUCAACAGUAGUCAUAAAGAACUCACAUAAUUAUUGCAAAAAAUUAUUAGCUAUCAAAACAAAGUACUACGCGCAUGCUCCUAGGGGGAUAGAUUGGUAGGAAAAGACCAUCGCUUGUCCCCGACCGCCACUCAUAAGGAAGACAAUCGAUAAAUAAAUCAUGCUCCGACUUCAUCACAUAACGGUUCACCAUACGUGCAUGCUACGUGAAUCACAAACUUCAACACAAGUAUUUCUACAAUCCACAAUUACCCACUAGCAUGACUCUAAUAUCACCAUCUUUAUAUCGCAAAACUAUUGCAAGGAAUCAAACAUAUCAUAUGCAGUGAUCUACAAGUUUUAUGUAUGAUUUUAUGACUAACCAUGUGAAUGACCAAUUCCUGUCAACUCUCUAAAUAGAUAUAAGUGAAGAAAGAGAGUUUAAUUCUUUCUACAAAAGAUGUGCCCACACUCUAACAAAUAUAAGAGAAGCGAAAGAGCACUCUACAAAUGGCGGUUUUCUAUGUGUAGGAAAACAGGCAAUCCAAACUUCAAAUGAUAUAAGUGAAGCACAUGAAGCAUUCUAUAAAGCCAUACUCAAAAGAUAUAAGUGAAGUGCAAAGAGCAUUCUAUAAAUCAACCAAGUACUACCUCAUACCAGCAUGGUGCAUUAUUCAAAGAAAAAGAAAAAUCACACGACGCUCCAAGAUUUACGCAUAUCAUGUGACCAAUAAAAAUAUAGCUCCAAGUAAAAUUACCGAUGAUCGUUAGAAGAAAGAGGGGAUGCCUUUUGGGGCAUACCCAAGCUUAGUUGCUUGGAAGUCCUUGAAUAUUACCUGGGGGUGCUUCGGUCAUCCCCAAGCUUGGGCUCUUGCCACUCCUUAUUCCUUCAUCCAUCAUGAUCUUACCCAAAACUUGAAAACUUCAAUCACACAAAACUUAACAAAACCCUCAUGAGAUCCGUUAGUAUAAUAAAACAAAUCACCACUUCAAGUACUAUUGCAAACUCAUUCAUAUUAUUAUUUUUUCAUUGUAGCUACUGUAUUAUAACUUCUUUAUGGCUUAUACCAUCGAUAAAAUCGAUAGUUUCAUCAAAACUAGCAAAACAAUGCAUAAAAAACAGAAUAUGUCUUAAACAUGAUAGUCUGUAGUAAUCUGAACCUCAACCAUACUUCUGUAACUCCAAAAAUUCUGAAAAAUGAGGACAAAAUAAACAAUUUGUAUAUAAGUAUUGUGCAAAAAGUUUUAGAAGCGUUUGACUUUCUAGUAAAAAAAGUAAAAUCACGCACUAUAGCCACAGUUUUUGCACCGCACAAACCAAACAAGCAAUCUAAUCAUCCUAAAGGAAAAUCUUGGAACAUUAUUUUUAUAAUACAAUGGAAUUGUACAAGGGUAUAAUUAUUUUUGUGAGAAUCUUCAUGAAAAAUUCUACAUUGUUUCCAUGAGCAUGAACACAAGUGUUCAAGGUCGACCCUCACUUCACCAAUGCAUCACCUUUCAAUCCUUCUCUUUUUGUGAAGUUUUAAGUUCCCCUCUAUAUUUUUUAUUUUUAAACUUUAUAACAGCACUCAGCAGAAAUAAAUGACUCUCUAAAACUUCCGGGUUGUCUCCCUGGUAGCGCUUUCUUUAAAGCCAUUAAGCUAGGCAUAUAGUGCUCAAGUAACGGAUCCACCCGGAUCCCAAGGUAUAUCAAAGCCAAUUUUAAUUAACAAUGAUUUGUGAUUUAGUAGUGAACACAAAGUAACAUAUAUCAUGUAAUGACGAAGUUUAACUCUCUUCCUAUGCAUCGGCAUGUCAUAAAAGAACAAUUCAUGCACACAAAGUAAAGGCCAAUGCAUAGUAUAAACAGUUUGUUGCAAUUUUAUCGGAUUGGAAACAUAGAGAGGCGGAGAUGUAGUUCCUCUCUCAUAAUAAUUGCAAGUAGGAGCAACAAGCACAUGCAUAUUAUAUUUAUCAAAAUCAUCAUCUGCAAUAGUAGAACGCAACCCAUCAAUAUAAUCCUUAAUAAGAGCAAACUUCUCCGAUAUAGUGUAGCUGGGAGAAUUCAAAAAGAUAAUAGGACUAUCAUGCGUAGGUGCAAUAGAGACAAUUUUGAUUCUUAACAUAACAAACUAUAGCAAGUUCAUCUCCAUAAGCAUAACUCAUAUUGGCAUCAUGGCCACAAGCAUAGCAAUUAUCAAGUUCAUCAGAGAGGGAUAUUUCAAAUGAAUCAACGAGAUCAUAGCAAUUAUCAUAGCAUUCAUCCUUCGGUAAGGAUGAAGGGACAUUAAACAAUCUAUGAGUUGGAGGGUUACUCUCAUUAGAAGGUGGGUACAGGUAGCUAAUCCGCUCUUCCUCCUUUUGUUCUUCGCUCUCCUCAUCAUCUUUUUCAUCCAAUGAGCUCACAGUUUCAGCAAUUUCUUCUUCCAUAGUUUCUUGCAAAAUAUUAGUCUCGUCUUCGACAGCGGAGGAGUCCUCAAUAAACGCAUCAAUAUCGGCAUUGUAUUCAUAAUUCUCAUAGCAAUAAUUAAGUAUAGCAAAAUUUUCAGGUCUGUAAACAUCAUCAUAAAGAUCUUCACACUUUUUAAACAAAGAUUCAAUUUCAUAAGCACCCUUAAAAGCAACGAAUUCUUCUAUUCGUUCCACAUCAUGGUAAUCAUAUAUACCAUUAGCAUAAGAAGCCAAGGUUUUAUUAUCAUUAAAUUUACAUGAAAAGGGAAGGUGUGGAGCCUUCAUCCUAGAGCAACAAGUACAAUCAUAUCUCAAGCAUAGUUCACGAGCAUACCAAUGCAACAUAUGAAUUUGAUCCCAUAAUAGUUUCCCUUUUUGUGUCAAUCGAUAAUCCCUAAAGUAUUCACGUUGAUCCAACAUGUCUCCCAUUAUAUAAUUGAAUGGGGUUUUCUCAGGAUUAUUAAAGUAGUGCAUAAUAUCUUUCACAUAAUGAGCAUCGAGGGUUUUAGGAGGUUCCCCAUCUCCACCAGUAGCAAGUACAGCUAAUGUUUUUGGUAUUUCAUGUUCCAUAUCCAUAACUAAAGAUAUAAAACAACUUAGAAUAGCAAAUAAAAUCUUUUUAGUGAUAAAGCAAACAAACACACACGAGAAUAUUCACCCCAUGCUAUUGCUCCCCGGCAACGGCGCCAGAAAAAGGUCUUGAUAACCCACAAGUAUAGGGGAUCAAUUGUAGCCUCUUUCGAUAAGUAAGAGUGUCUAAACCAAUGAGGAGCUAAAGGUAGAACAAAUAUUCCCUCAAGUUCUAUCGACCACCGAUACAACUCUACGCACUCUUGACGUUCGCUUUACUUAGAACAAGUAUGAAACUAGAAGUACUUUGUAGGUGUUGUAGGCUAGGUUUGGAAGAUAAUAAAGAGCAUAUAAAUAAAAUCUAGGGGCUGUUUAUAUAAAGACACAACUAAGUUAGUUUUAGUAGAGAGCUUUUUGUCAUGAGAAAGUUAUUUGUCCCUAGGCAAUCGAUAACUAGCCCGGUAAUCAUUAUAGCAAUUUUACAUGAGGGAGAGGCAUAAGCUAACAUACUUUAUCUUCUUUGAUCAUAUGAACUUAUGAUUGGAACUCUAGAAAGCAUCCGCAACUACUAAAGAUCAUUAAGGUAAAACCCAACCAUAGCAUUAAAGUACCAAGUCCUUUUUAUUCCCAUACGCCAUAGCCCACUUAUCAGUGUUUGUGUUUCAGUCACUCACGCAAUGUAGACAAUAAGCAAACCAUGAACAUAUUGUAAACCCUAUAGCGGGGAUCCCUCACGCUUGCGCGACACGGAGAGCACCAUAGGACACCACCAAUAAUAAAACAUGCAACUCAAACCAAUCAUGAUCAUCAAUGAACCCAUAGGACAAAACGGAUCUACUCAAACAUCAUAGGAUAGCCAUACAUCAUUGGGAAAUAAUAUAUAGCGUUGAGUACCAUUUUUAAGUAGAGAUUAAAGCAAGGAGAAGAGGUGUUACACCCCUGCACAGAUGUAGCGACCCGACCCAAAAUGGAUCGAAGUCUCUGUGCUUAAGUGUCAUCCCUGGAUCGGUAUGCUGACACACACAGUACACGAGGAAUUAUAACAGAGUUCAAUCACACUUUAUUACAUCGAGGUUCUCAAAAGAGUAUUUAUUACAAUAAUAUGGUCAAAGGCCAUCUCAAUAAAAAUAACUGCGGAAGCAUUGAAGGUAAAUGAGUCCAUCCAACUCCACGGCAAACUGAGUGUAGAACAACGACCUAUCGCACCUUUAAUCUUCGUCGGAAAAGUCUGCAACAUGAGACGUUGCAGCCGUGUAGGUCAGCACAUGGAAUAUGCUGGCAAUUUCACACCAUAGAAUAAUAAUAAAUGAAAAGACUAUUUCUAUAUGCAAAUUUAGCUAGUGGAGGCUCUAAGUUUUAUUUUGCAUAAAUCUAAUUUUACCCUACAACAAAUGAUUUUAUUUAUUACUACUAAGUUAAAAUGCCAUUAUUGAGAAGGUUCCUCCAACUCAAUCCCAAAAUUCCCAAGUUAUUAGUAACCCAAUAAUUUCAUUAAAUAGAGUGAUGAGAUCAACCAAUAAUUCACUUCUAGAUACUCAAAUUGUCCAUAACCGGGGACAUGGCUAAUCAUGAUUAGUUUGUACACUCUGCAGAGGUUUGCGCACUUUUCCCCACAAGACUCGACCGCCUCCAUGAUCGGAAGAUCGAGACAUAGCCUUUCAAAAGUGUUUCCCCUUAACCCUUGGUAGACUGGUACACCUACUGUCCCCUACAUCAGCUAGUCUACCACGGAAAGAGACAUAGCCUUUCAAAAGUGUUUCCCCUUAACCCUUGGUAGCUUGUGGCUGCACACGGAAGUUUCUAGGCAUGAAAUAUCUUAUGAUCCCUUUGAGCUUGGGUGGCGGACCUAGGGUUAUCACAUGGGUACUCCGGUAUUCCCCUUGGGCAAGCACUGGUUACUCCAAGUGCCCCAAACAAUCCACCCAUAUGUGUAUUAAAGUUGCCACCUUAUGGUGUCCCAAAAUUAUUAUCUCUCACAACUUACAUGGAUCACACAUACCAAUCCCCGUCUACGAGCAUGGCUAAGCAAUAUAUGAUAUAACGAAUAUUCUCGGGCUGAUCAAAGGUCAUAGGUUCCUACCACAAGAACUACAAAGCAUAACCACAUGUUCCCAAUCCUACUCAUGCAAUCUUUGAGGGUGAAACUAAUGCAUAGUAAAAACUGGGUAUUGAAAAUUAUGAUCAAAGUGUGAACUUGCCUUGCUGAUGUUCGCUGAACUGUAAAGAUUCGUGGUAGCAAGCUUCGCACUCUGGAUGAUCUAACGUAAGUAAGCAAUAACAUACAUAAGCAUAUAAGCAAAGAUCCAAAAAGAAAACAAAUGAAAGACUUCAAAAAACUCCAAAACAACCAAAUAAAGUUUCUGUACAUAACAUAAUUUUUACAGUAGCAAAAAUAUGUGUGUUCGGGUCUAACAGAAAGUACACGUUACGAGCUUCGAUUUGCAAAAAGAAUCACCUAAAAUGGAGUUACGAAACUCAAUUUAUGGCCUAACGAAGUUUGAAUUCAAAUCUGUUUGAAUUCAAAUUUUAAAAUUUUCAAAAAUAUUUUUCGUUUGGUUCUCUGGAUAGAUGGGGUUUCUAUGAACUAGUAGGAAAAAGAAUCAACUAAAUCGGAUCUAUAUACUAAAAGAUAAACAAGAAAGAAGAUUUGGUAAAGAAUCUGAAUUUGGAAAAAUUCCUGAAAAAGAAAACAAAAUGGGCCAGAGACAAGUGGCGCUCUAUGAUUCGUUGGCUGGGUGCUCACCGGACUUGUCGCCGGAGACGAGGAAGAAGGUGGCUCCGGUGUGCUUUGACGAAGGACGCGUGCGGAAUGAUGUAGAGGAGGAUGAGGUGAACCACUUGAACAAGUUGUGGUGGUAGAUUGCUUCCUGUAUGCACGGUGAGAGGUUGCCGGAAUUCAUGAACUCCGGCGAGCAAUUGGCGAGGUUAGGGAGGGGCAAAAACUCCAGAAGGAGAGGGCUUCAGACGAGGGUUGGGAGGGGCUCCCAGGGGUGCUUUAUAUAGGGCAGGGGAGGUCCAGAGUUGGGUGGGGCGAGAUGUGUUAAUGGCUGCAGUUUUAAGCGCUCAUGAUGGCCAUUAUGGUUGUCUUUGAGGCGCACCAGGGAAUGGGAGGGGUCGAGGGAGGUGAGGGGGUUCCAUUCAGAGGCGUUUUGGAGCGGGGGAGAGGAAGAUGAGGGGAGGAAGAGGUAGAGGCGCCAUGGAUGAACAUUCUGUCAGUGUUCACGUACAGAGAGGAGGAAGAAGGAGAUAGCACCUGGGCCUGGGCCUGCUGGGUUGCGUAUUUUUUUUAAAACAUUUUUUUACAGAAGCAAAGAAACACCGAAAAUACAAAUAAAAGUUAGCCUAAAAAUCCCAGAAAAUUCACAUAGUUAUACGGUCUUAUAUAUGACCUAGUGAACUUUUAUCUGGCCUAAAAUGCAAGUUUUAAAAAAUAAAUAUUUUUGCUAAACUAAUAAAAUAAAUUGCAAAUAAAACCCAACAAUUAUAUUUUGAUUCCAAAUUCAAUUUCCAAUAUUUUCCUUCUGUUUUUGAAGAAGUCAUUUUAUCUUCUCUCUUUAUUUUAUUUUUGAUAUAAUGGAAAUGAAUUAAUUUGGUGAAACCAAAUUUGAUCCAUAUCCCAACUUUGAAAUUUCAAAAGUGGGUUUUGGGGAAACUUCCAACUCUCUCUUUUGGUCCUUGAGUUGCUCAAAGUUCCUUGGAUCAAAAAUCAAAUAAAACAAAUGGGGCAAAAACGCAUAAAUCAUGGAUGCAUAUGAAUGAUCUAUUAUAAACAUCCAAAUUGAAAAUUGGGAUGUUACAACAGAAGGGGGGAGAGUUGGUGAUGACAGUGGUGAAGUUGUUGGUGUAGAUCGCGGUCACGAUGAUGGCCCCGACGGUGUUCUGGCGCCACCGGGAGAGAGGGGGAGAGAGCCCCCCCCCCAUUCUUCUUCUUCCUUCUUGACCUUCCCUUAGAUGCGAGAAGGGUUUCCCCUCUGGUCCUUGUCUUCCAUGGUGGCGGAGGGGCGAGAGCCCCUCCGAGAUUGGAUCUCUCUCUCUCUCUCUCUCUCUCUCUCUCUCUCUCUUUCUUUUUGUUUCUGGGUUCCCCGAUUCUGGCCUUUCACCAUUUCUUAAAUUCCGGGAGAUCCUUAACUCCAAUUGGGCUGAAAUUUUAACACGAUUUUUAUCCGGGCAUUAGCUUUCUUGCGCAAGAAGAAGGGCACCAACCGCCUUACGGAGUGGCCACAAGGGCCCAGGGCAUCGUCUCGCGUUGAUUUUUUCCCAAAAAUCACAUAUAUUCCAAAAAAACUCCAUACGUUUUUAUCCUAUUUGGACUCCGUUUGAUAUGGAUUUUUUGUGAAACAAAAAACAUGCAACAAACAGGAACUAGCACUGGGCACUGGAUCAAUAUGUUAGUCCCAAAAAGAGUAUAAAAAAUUGCCAAAAAUAUAUGAAAGUUGUAGAAUAUUGGCAUGAAACAAUAAAAAAUUAUAGAUAUGAUGGAGACGUAUCAAGUACAUAGAGGUGAGGGACAAUUUACAAGCCAACAUGAAGUUGGAGAUGGAGAGAAACAUGACGACAAUGAUGACGAGGGCACCGGCCUUCCGGCCGGCGCUGAACGUGGGAGGCGCCUCCUCCCUUCUCCUUUCCUUGUCUUGGCCCUUCUCUAUGGUGGAGUUUGCUGCAAUGAAGGUGUGGUGGUUGUAGAUGGAACUUUUGGAGGAUGAAUAUGAGAUGAGCCAGCGGCUAGGGUUGGAGGUCUUCAUAUAGGGGUGCUCCUCGGGUGGCAUCCGUUGAUCUAGCCUCAUCCCCUUCAUCCAUGGGCUCAAGGGGAGCCAAAUCCACGUCCCAAACAAGCCUUGGUCGUCAAGGAUCUCGUAGGGAAAGCGGGGAUGAAAUUGGAGCAAAAUUUGGAGAGAUAUGGCCAAUUUCCGUGCCAGUCUAGAGCUCAAAUGAGCGGCUCCCGUCGCAUGAAAGGUUGUCUUUCCUUCUGGACUUGGGAGCUGCUUCUUUAUUUCGGUCGCCAUUUCUACAUAUGAACUCCAAUUUCGACAUUCUUAGGCUCGUUGGAUUGCUAGCAAAAAGCAUGAUGCAUUUGUGGAAUUAUAUCUUCAUUUUGUACACUUUGAUAAAUGUCAAAUCAUCAAACUCUCCAAAGGGCCUUGAUCUGGUGCUUGGAACUUCUCCAGUUUGACCCCUAGCUCCACUAUUUUGAUGUCCCAAGUCCAUGAACAUGUAAACACACUUACAAAGACUACUAAACAAAGGAAAGCUAAAUAAAAAUAAAAGGUGUGCAUGGAACUUGCUAAAACAAGUAAACACCGAAAAAUAUGCAUUGGAGAAAUGAAUAAGUGCUAGAUGGAUAUGAUAUGAGGGUUUUUGGCACUAUAAUAUACGCUAAAAUGUAUGCAUAAAAUCCACUCAUAAGGCGGCGGCUUGGGGUGAUGAAGAUGGCUAUGGUGAUGAUGACGAAGACUGGUUUCUUCUGUGAUGUUCUGUUAUCCAUUUAGCGUUGGCCCCUUUAUAAAUGUUGUCCAGGUGGACGAGGAGACUCGGUUUCCAUGCCAUGCGACCGCUCAUAUGAGUGGGCUCGGUCACAUGGAAUGCCGCCUUUUGCUCUAUUUCUUCUGGUGUGCCUCCCACUUGAUUAUUUCUAUCUCCACUUUACUUCUUUCCAAGUAUUGGCUUGAUUUCUUCCAUAGAUAGCCCAUUUCCCAUGGAAACAAAAUAAAUAAAGAAUUUUUGGAAUUCUAUGCAUUCAUUAGUCAUUAGUGGCAAUAGUGGAGCGAAAUAUCUCAGUUUUAAUGAAAUAUAUCUGUUUAAACUCAGGUUAGAGAAGUGUAAAAAUAACAGUCAUCAUCAUGUACCAGUAUCUCCAACGUCAUCUACUUCGACCAGUCUUCACCAAUGUCAUCGUCAACAACAUUGCUCUUACAACAGUCACGGCUACAAACAAAUAGUACGUGUGUCGUGGCCUGUUCAUGUCUGUGAUAUGGUUACUGUUGCAUAUGCGAUGUUGUUGCAUACGUUUUCUGUUUAUUAGUGUGCAUCGACUGUUGGAUAAUUCAGCAAUUUUGUAAUUAAUUUUAGAAUAUAAAUUGACUAAAAUUAUUAUUAAGGGCCAGUUCUUUUGGCUGAUUUUGAAAACUGCCCACCGAAUCACGUGCCCAAAUAAUCAGCCGUCUAGUUCUUUUCUACGACUCUAGCAUGUGCUUGUUGUAUGAGUUGUGUGCUAAAACAUUUGUAACGCCUCCUAGAUUGAAACCGCAUGUUGAAUUGCGAACACUGGGUAAUUCAAAUAGUUUCACGUCUAAUAUGAACAUGAAAGCGAGUUGCAAAUCUCAUGAAGUGUUUAAUAUUAUAAUUUAAAAGCAAGUUGCAAAUAUCAUAAAGUGCUUGAUAUUACAUUUUAAAAAGUGAGUUGCAAACUACAAAUAGAAGGAUGAUCUCAAGGUACAAGCAUACGACAAUGAUGCAGAGGGAAAGCACAAACGAUGCCUCCUGCAGGGAGGAUGUAGAGGGGCGACGACCAUGGAGGUGACAUGUAUGGUUGUGGAGGAGACGGGAAGGCCGAGCGCGGAGGUGACAGGGAUGGCGGGGGAUGGGACUGGGAUGGUUGUGGAGAAGACGGGAAGGCCGGACGCAGGUGACGGGGAUGGCAGCGGACUUGACAGGACAGUGUCAUAGGGGACCUGCCAUCGACGGAUCUGACAGUGCCGGGUCGGCUCGCCAGUUGGCGAGCGAACCCUAUCUUGGUUUGAGUGCUUGUGGGAGGAAAUAUGCCCUAGAGGCAAUAAUAAAGUUAUUAUUUAUUUCCUUAUAUCAUGAUAAAUGUUUGUUAUUCAUGCUAGAAUUGUAUUAACCGGAAACAUAAUACAUGUGUGAAUACAUAGACAAAUAGAGUGUCACUAGUAUGCCUCUACUUGACUAGCUUGUUGAAUCAAAGAUGGUUAAGUUUCCUAGCCAUAGACAUGAGUUGUCAUUUUAUUAACAGGGUCACAUCAUUAGAGAAUGAUGUGAUUGACUUGACCCAUUUCAUUAGCUUAGCACUUGAUCGUUUAGUUUGUUGCCAUUGCUUUCUUCAUAACUUAUAUAUGUUCCUAUGACUAUGAGAUUAUGCAACUCCCGUUUAUCGGAGGAACACUUUGUGCACUACCAAACGUCACAACGUAAAUGGGUGAUUAUAAAGGUGCUCUACAGGUGUCUCCGAAGGUAUUUGUUGGGUUGGCGUAUUUCGAGAUUAGGAUUUGUCACUCCGAUUGUCAGAGAGGUAUCUCUGGGACUUCUCGGUAAUGCACAUCACUGAAGCCUUGAAAGCAUUGCAACUAAUAAGUUAGUUGCGGGAUGAUGUAUUACGGAACGAGUAAAGAGACUUGCCGGUAACGAGAUUGAACUAGAUAUUGGGAUACCGACGAUCGAAUCUCGGGCAAGUAAAAUACCAAUGACAAAGGGAACAAUGUAUGUUGUUAUGCGGUCUGACCGAUAAAGAUCUUCGUAGAAUAUGUAGGAGCCAAUAUGAGGAUCCAGGUCCCGCUAUUGUUUAUUGACCGGAGACAUGUCUCGGUCAUGUCUACAUAGUUCUCGAACCCGUAGGGUCCGCACGCUUAACGCUACGAUGACAGUUAUAUUAUGAGUUUAUAUGUUUUGAUGUACCAAAGGAGUUUGGAGUCCCGGAUGAGAUCAGGGACAUGACGAGGAGUCUCGAAAUGGUCGAGACGUAAAGAUUGAUAUAUUGGACGACUAUAUUCGGACUUCGGAAAGGUUCCGAGUGAUUCGGGUAUUUUUAGGAGUACCAGAGAGUUACGAGAAUUCGCCGGGGAGUAUAUGGGCCUUAUUAGGCCAUACGGGAAUAGAGGAGAUAGGCCAAAAGGAAGCAGGCCUGCGCCCCCCCUCUGGUCCGAAUUGGACAAGGGGUGCAGCCCCCUUUUCCUUCUCCCUCUCCUCCUCUUUCCUUCACUCCUACUCCAAUAAGGAAAGGAGGAGUCCUACUCCCGGUGGGAGUAGGACUCCCCCCUUGGCGCGCCUUCCUCCUAGGCCGGCCGCCUCCCCCUUGCUCCUUUAUAUACAGGGGCAGGGGGGCACCUUUAGACACAACAAUUGAUCAUUGAUCUCUUAGCCGUGUGCGGUGCCCCCCUCCACCAUAAUCCUCGAUAAUAUUGUAGCGGUGCUUAGGCGAAGCCCUGUAACGGUAGAACAUCAAGAUCGUCACCACGUCGUCAUGCUGACGGAGCUCUUCCCCGACAUUCUGCUGGAUCGCAGUCCGGGGAUCGUCAUCGAGCUGAACAUGUGCUAGAACUCGGAGGUGUCAUAGUUUCACUGCUUGAUCGGUCGGGCCGUGAAGACAUACGACUACAUCAACCGCGUUGUCAUAACGCUUACGCUUUCGGUCUACGAGGGUACAUAGACAACACUCUCCCCUCUCGUUGCUAUGCAUCACCAUGAUCUUGCGUGUGCGUAGGAAUUUUUUUGAAAUUACUACGUUCCCCAACAUUGGCAUCCGAGCCAGGUUUUAUGUGUUGAUGUAAUAUGUACGAGUAGAACACAAGUGAGUUGUGGGCGAUAUAAGUCAUACUGCUUACCAGCAUGUCACACUUUGGUUCGGUAGUAUUGUUGGAUGAAGCGGCCCGGACCGACAUUACGCGUACGCUUACGCGAGACUUGUUCAACCGACGUGCUUUGCACACAGGUGGCUGGCGGGUGUCAGUUUCUCCAACUUUAGUUGAACCGAGUAUGGCUACGCCUGGUCCUUGCGAAGGUUAAAACAUCACCAACUUGACAAACUAUCGUUGUGGUUUUGAUGCGUAGGUAAGAACGGUUCUUGCUCAGCCCGUAGCAGCCACGUAAAACUUGCAACAACAAAGUAGAGGACGUCUAACUUGUUUUUGUAGGGCAUGUUGUGAUGUGAUAUGGUCAAGACGUGAUGAGAUAUAAGUUGUUGUAUGAGAUGAUCAUGUUUUGUUGAAGUUAUCGGCAACCGGCAAAAGCCUUAUGGUUAUCUCUCUGUUGCAUAAGAUGCAAGCGCCAAAUAAUUGCUUUACUUUAUCGCUAUGCGAUAGCAAUAGUUGCAAGAGCAAUUGUUGGCGAGACAACCUUGUGACGACACAUUGAUAUAGAUCAAGAUGAUGGAGAUCAUGGUGUCAUGCCGGUGACGAUGGAGAUCAUGACGAUGCUUUGGAGAUGGAGAUCAAAGGCACAAGAUGAUGAUGGCCAUAUCAUGUCACAUAUUUUGAUUGCAUGUGAUGUUUAUCUUUUAUACAUCUUAUUUUUCUUAGUUCGACGGUAGCUUUAUAAGAUGAUCUCUCACUAAUUAUCAAGGUACAAGUGUUCUCCCUGAGUAUGCACCGUUGCAAAAGUUCUUCGUGCUGAGACACCACGUGAUGAUCGGGUGUGAUAGGCUCUAUGUUCAAAUACAACAGGUGCAAAACAGUUGCACACACGGAAUACUCAGGUUAAAACUUGACGAGCCUAGCAUAUAACAGAUAUGGCCUAGGAACACGAAGACCGAAAGGUCGAGCAUGAAUCAUAUAGUAGAUAUGAUCAACAUAGUGAUGUUCACCAUUGAAACUACUCCAUCUCACGUGAUGAUCGGACAUGGUUUAGUUGAUAUGGAUCACGUGAUCACUUAGAAGAUUAGAGGGGUGUCUGUCUAAGUGGGAGUUCUUAAGUAAUAUGAUUAAUUGAACUUUAAUUUAUCAUGAACUUAGUCCUGGUAGUAUUAGCAUAUCUAUGUUGAAGAUCAAUAGCUCGCAAUGUUGCUCCCAGUUUAUUGUGUUCCUAGAGAAAAAUUAUGUUCAAAAAUGUUAGUAGCAAUGAUGCGGAUUGGAUCCGUGAUCUGAGGAUUAUCCUCAUUGCUACACAGAAGAAUUAUGUCUUUGAUGCACCGCUAGGUGACAGACCUAUUGCAGGAGUAGAGGCGGACGUUAUGAACGUUUGGCUAGCUCAAUAUGAUGACUACUUGAUAGUUUAGUGCACCAUGCUUAACGACUUAGAAUCGGGACUUCAAAGAUGUUUUGAAUGUCAUGGACCAUAUGAGAUGUUCCAGGAGUUGAAGUUAAUAUUUCAAGUAAAUACCCGAGUUGAGAGAUAUGAAGUCUCCAACAAGUUCUAUAGCUAAAAAGAUGGAGGAGAAUAGCUCAUGUAGUGAGCAUGUGCUUAGAUUGUCUGGGUAUUACAAUCGCUUGAAUCAAGUGGGAGUUAAUCUUCCAGAUAAGAUAGUGAUUGACAGAAUUCUCUAGUCACCAUCACCAAGUUAGUAGAACUUCGUGAUGAACUAUGAUAUGCAAGGGAUAACGGAAACGAAUCCCAGGCUCUUCGUAAUGCUGAAAUCAAUGAAGGUAGAAAUCAAGAAAAAUAUCAAGUGUUGAUGAUAGACAAGACCACUAGUUUCAAGAAAAGGGCAAAGCGAAGAAGGGGAGCUUCAAGAAGAAUGGCAAGCAAGUUGCUGCUCAAGUGAAGAAGCCCAAGUCUGGUCCUAUGCCUGAGACUAAGUGCUUCUACUGCAAAGGGACUGGUCACUGGAAGCGGAACUGCCCCAGGUAUUUGGCGGAUAAGAAGGAUGGCAAAGUGAACAAAGGUAUAUUUGAUAUAUAGAUUAUUGAUGUGUAUUUUACUAGUGUUCGUAGCAACCCCUCACUAUUUGAUACUGGUUCAGUUGCUAAGAAUAGUAACUCGAAAUGGGAGUUGCGGAAUGAACAGAGACUAGUUAAGGGUGAUGUGACGAUGUGUAUUGGAAAUGGUUCCAAGAUUGAUAUGAUCAUCAUCCCACACUCCCUAUACUUUCGGGAUUAGUGUUAAACCUAAAAUAAAUGUUAUUUAGUGUUUGCGUUGAGCAUGAAUAUGAUUGGAUCAUGUUUAUUGCAAUACGGUUAUUCAUGUAAGUUAGAGAAUAAUUGUUGUUCUGUUUACAUGAAUAAAACCUUCUAUGGUCAUACACCCAAUGGAAAUGGUUUGUUGGAUCUCGAUCGUGGUGAUACACAAUUUUAUAAUAUUGAAGCCAAAAGAUGCAAAGUUAAUAAUGAUAGUGCAACUUAUUUGUGGCACUGCCGUUUAGGUCAUAUUGGUGUAAAGCGCAUGAAGAAAAUCCAUGCUGAUGGGCUUUUGGAAUCACUUGAUUAUGAAUCAGUUGAUGCUUGCGAACCAUGCCUCAUGGGAAAGAUGACUAAGACUCCUUUCUCCGGAACAAUGGAGCGAGCAACAGAUUUGUUGGAAAUCAUACAUACUGAUGUAUGAGGUCCGAUGAAUAUUGAGGCUCGCGGCAGGUAUCGUUAUUUUCUGAUCUUCACAGAUGAUUUGAAAAGAUAUGAGUAUAUCUACUUGAUGAAACACAAGUCUGAAACAUUUGAAAAGUUCAAAGAAUUUCAGAGUGAACUAGAGAAUCAUCGUAACAAAAAUAAAAGUUUCUACGAUAUGAUAACAGAAGUAAAAUAUUUGUCAUAGGCUCUAUAUACGGUAUGCCAUGCUGAGUACCGCACCUGAUGUGUGCCUUGCCACAUGUCUGGCAAGAGGGUACAAAGUUGAUCCAGGAGUGGGUCACUAGAUAGUGGUCAAAAUUAUCCUUGGAGUAAUAAGGACAUGUUUCUCGAUUAUGGAGGUGAUAAAGAGUUCGGCGUAAAGGGUUACAUCGAUGCAAGCUUUAACACCUAUCCGAAUGACUCUAAGUAGCAAACCGGAUACGUAUAGUGGAGCAACCAUUUGGAAUAGCUCCAAGUGGAGCGUGGAAGCAGCAUUUAUAAUAUGACCUAGAGAUUUGCGAAGUACAUACGGAUCUGAAUGUUGCAGACCCGUUGACUAAAACCUCUCUCACAAGCAAAACAUGAUCAAACCCAGAACUCAUUGAGUCUUAAUCACAUGAUGAUGUGAACUAGUUUAGUGACACUAGUAAACUCUUUGGAUGUUGGUCACAUGGUGAUGUGACCUGUGAGUGUUAAUCACAUGGCGAUGUGAACUAGAUUAUUGACUCUAGUGCAAGUGGGAGAUUGUUGGAAAUAUGCCCUAGAGGCAAUAAUAAAUUGAUUAUUUUUAUAUUCCUUGUUCAUGAUAAUCGUUUAUUAUCCAUGCUAGAAUUGUAUUGAUAGGAAACUCAGAUACAUGUGUGGAUACAUAGACAACACCAUGUCCCUAGUAAGCCUCUAGUUGACUAGCUCGUUGAUCAAUAGAUGGUUACGGUUUCCUGACCAUGGACAUUGGAUGUCGUUGAUAACGGGAUCACAUCAUUGGGAGAAUGAUGUGAUGGACAAGACCCAAUCCUAAGCCUAGCACAUAGAUCGUGUAGUUCGUUUUCUAAAGCUUUUCUAAUGUCAAGUAUCAUUUCCUUAGACCAUGAGAUUGUGCAACUCCCGGAUACCGUAGGAAUACUUUGGGUGUGCCAAACGUCACAACGUAACUGGGUGGCCAUAAAGGUACACUACAGGUAUCUCCAAAAGUGUCUGUUGGGUUGGCACGAAUCGAGACUGGGAUUUGUCACUCCGUGUGACGGAGAGGUAUCUCUGGGCCCACUCGGUAGGACAUCAUCAUAAUGUGCACAAUGUGAUCAAGGAGUUGAUCACGGGAUAAUGUGUUACAGAACGAGUAAAGAGACUUGCCAGUAACGAGAUUGAACAAGGUAUCGGGAUACCGACGAUCGAAUCUCGGGCAAGUAUCAUACCGCUAGACAAAGGGAAUUGUAUACGGGAUUGAUCGAAUCCUCGACAUCGUGGUUCAUCCGAUGAGAUCAUCGUGGAGCAUGUGGGAACCAACAUGGGUAUCCAUAUCCCGCUGUUGGUUAUUGACCGAAGAACGUCUCGGUCAUGUCUGCAUGGUUCCCGAACCCGUAGGGUCUACACACUUAAGGUUCGAUGACGCUAGGGUUAUAAAGGAAGUUUGUAUGUGGUUACAGAAUGUUGUUCGGAGUCCCAGAUGAGAUCCCGGACAUCACGAGGAGUUCCGGAAUGGUCCGGAGGUAAAGAUUUAUAUAUGGGAAGUCCUGUUUUGGUCACCGGAAAGGUUUCGGGUUUUACCGGUAGUGUACCGGGACCACCGGAGGGGUCCGGGGGUCCACCAAGUGGGGCCACCAACCCCGGAGGCUUGCAUGGGCCAAGAGUGGGAAGGGACCAUCCCCUGAGUGGCUAGUGCGCCUCCCACAAGGCCCAAGGCGCAGCUAGGAGGAGAAGGGGAAACCCUAGGCGCAGAUGGGCCUAAGGCCCACCCUAGGGCGCGCCCCCCUCUCCCCCUCUUGGCCGCCCCCCUCCAUCCCAUCUAGGGCUGCUGCCCCCCUAGGGGUGGGAACCCUAGAGGGGGCGCACCCUCCUCCCCUCCUCCUAUAAAUAGUGGGGGGUUUUGGGCUGCCCAACAUACGAUUUGAUCUCUCCCUAGCGCAGCCCUACCCCUCUCCCUCCUCGUCUCUUGCGGUGCUUGGCGAAGCCUUGCUGGAGUACCACGCUCCUCCACCACCACCACGCCGUUGUGCUGCUGCUGGAUGGAGUCUUCCUCAACCUCUUUCUCUCUCCUUGCUGGAUCAAGGCAUGGGAGACGUCACCGGGUUGUACAUGUGUUGAACGCGGAGGUGCCGUCCAUUCGGCACUAGGAUCUCCGGUGAUUUGGAUCACGACGAGUACGACUCCUUCAACCCCGUUCUCUUGAACGCUUCCGCAUAGUGAUCUACAAGGGUAUGUAGAUGCACUCUCCUUCCCUUCGUUGCUAGUUUCUCCAUAGAUUGAUCUUGGUGAUGCGUAGAAAAUUUUGAAUUUCUACUAUGUUCCCCAACAGUGGCAUCAUGAGCUAGGUCUAUUGCGUAGAUUCUAUGCACGAGUAGAACACAAAGUAGUUGUGGGCAUUGAUUUUGUUCAAUAUGCUUACCGUUACUAGUCCAAUCUUGAUUCAGCGGCAUUGUGGGAUGAAGCGGCCCGGACCGACCUUACACGUACUCUUACGUGAGACUGGUUCCACCGACUGACAUGCACUAGUUGCAUAAGGUGGCUAGCGGGUGUCUGUCUCUCCCACUUUAGUCGGAUCGGAUUCGAUGAAAAGGGUCCUUAUGAAGGGUAAAUAGCAAUUGGCAUAUCACGUUGUGGUUUUUGCGUAGGUAAGAAACGUUCUUGCUAGAAACCCAUAGCAGCCACGUAAAACAUGCAAACAACAAUUAGAGGACGUCUAACUUGUUUUUGCAGGGUAUGCCAUGUGUUGUGAUAUGGCCAAAAGGAUGUGAUGAAUGAUAUAUGUGAUGUAUGAUAUUGAUCAUGUUCUUGUAAUAGGAAUCACGACUUGCAUGUCGAUGAGUAUGACAACCGGCAGGAGCCAUAGGAGUUGUCUUUAUUUAUUGUAUGACCUGCGUGUCAUUGAACAACACCAUGUAAUUACUUUACUUUAUUGCUGACCGGUAGCCAUAGUAGUGGAAGUAAUAGUUGGCGAGCAACUUCAUGGAGACACGAUGAUGGAGAUCAUGAUGAUGGAGAUCAUGGUGUCAUGCCGGUGACAAGAUGAUCAUGGAGCCCCAAGAUGGAGAUCAAAGGAGCUAUAUGAUAUUGGCCAUAUCAUGUCACUAUUAUUUGAUUGCAUGUGAUGUUUAUCAUGUUUUUGCAUCUUGUUUACUUAGAACGACGGUAGUAAAUAAGAUGAUCCCUCAUAAUAAUUUCAAGAAAGUGUUCCCCCUAACUAUGCACCAUUGCGAAGGUUCGUUGUUUCGAAGCACCACGUGAUGAUCGGGUGUGAUAGAUUCUAACGUUCGAAUACAACGGGUGUUGACGAGCCUAGCAUGUACAGACAUGGCCUCGGAACACAUGCAAAACACUUAGGUUGACUUGACGAGCCUAGCAUGUACAGACAUGGCCUCGGAACACAAGAGACCGAAAGGUCGAGCAUGAGUCGUAUGGUAGAUACGAUCAACAUGAAGAUGUUCACCGAUGUUGACUAGUCCGUCUCACGUGAUGAUCGGACACGGCCUAGUUGACUCGGAUCAUGUAAUCACUUAGAUGACUAGAGGGAUGUCUAUCUGAGUGGGAGUUCAUAAGAUGAACUUAAUUAUCCUGAACAUAGUCAAAAGGUCUUCGCAAAUUAUGUCGUAGCUCGCGCUUCAGUUCUACUGUUUAGAUAUGUUCCUAGAGAAAAUUUAGUUGAAAGUUGAUAGUAGCAAUUAUGCGGACUAGGUCCGUAAACUGAGGAUUGUCCUCAUUGCUUCAUAGAAGGCUUAUGUCCUUAAUGCACCGCUCAGCGUGCUGAACCUCGAACGUCGUCUGUGGAUGUUGCGAACAUCUGACAUACACAUUUUGAUAACUACGUGAUAGUUCAGUUAAACGGUUUAGAGUUGAGGCACCGAAGACGUUUUGAAACAUCGUGAAACAUAUGAGAUGUUUUGAGGGCUGAAAUUGGGAUUUCAGGCUCGUGCCCACGUCAAGAGGUAUGAGACCUCCGACGAUUUUCUUAGCCUGCAAAUUAAGGAGAAAAGCUCAAUUGUUGAGCUUGUGCUCAGAUUGUCUGAGUACAACAAUCAUUUGAAUCGAGUGGGAGUUGAUCUUCUAGAUGAGAUAGUGAUGUUUCUCCGAAGUCAUUACCACCAAGCUGCUAGAGCUUCGUGAUGAACUAUAAUGUAUCGGGGACAUAUAUGAUGAUCCUUGAGAUAUUCGCGAUGUUUGACACCACAAAAGUAGAAAUCAAGAAGGAGCAUCAAUUGUUGAUGGUUGGUGAAACCACUAGUUUCAAGAAGGGAAAGGGCAAGAAGGGAUACUUCAUGAAACGGCAAAUCAGCUACUGCUCUAGUGAAGAAACCCAAAGUUGAACCCAAACCCGAGACUAAGUAAUAAGGGGAACAGCCACUAGAGCAGAAUUACCCUAGAUACUUGGUAGAUGAGAAGGCUGGCAAGGUCGGUAGAAGUAUACUGGAUAUACAUUAUGUUAAUGUGUACUUUACUAGUACUCCUAGUAGCACCAGGGUAUUAGAUACCAGUUUGGUUGCUAAGUGUUAGUAACUCGAAAUAAAAGCUACGGAAUAAACGGAGACUAGCUAAAGGUGAGAUGACGAUAUGUGUUGGAAGUAUUUCCAAGGUUGAUCAAAUAUGUACGCUCCCUCUACCAUCAAGAUUGGUGUUUGCGUUGAGCAUAGACAUGAUUGGAUUAUGUCUAUCGCAAUACGGUUAUUCAUUUAAGGAGAAUAAUGGUUACUCUGUUUAUUUGAAUAAUACAUUCAAUGGUCUUGCACCUAAAAUGAAUGGUUUAUUGAAUCUCGAUCGUAGUGAUACACAUGUUCAUGCCAAAAGAUAGUAAUGAUAGUACCACCUACUUGUGGCACUGCCACAUAAGUCAUAUCGGUAUAAAACGCAUGAAGAAGCUCCAUGUUGAUGGAUCUUUGGGCUCACUCGUUUUUUGAAAAGUUUGAGACAUGCAAACCAUGUCUAUUGGUGUAUAUGCAUGAAGAAACUCCAUGCAAAUGGACCAUUUGGACUCACUUGAUUUUUGAAUCACUUGAGACAUGCAAAUCAUACCACAUGGGCAAGAUGACUGAAAGCCUCGUUUUCAGUAAAAUGGAACUAGAAAGCAACUUGUUGGAAGUAAUACAUUUUGAUGUGUGCAGUCCAAUAAGUGCUGAGGCAUGUAGUGGAUAUCGUUAUGUUCUUACUUCACAGAUGAUUUGAGUAGAUGUUGAGUAUAUUUACUUGAUAAAUCAUGAGUCUGAAUUAUUGAAAGGUUCAAGUAAUUUCAGAGUGAAGUUGAACAUCGUCGUGACAAGAGGAUAAAAUGUCUCUGAUAUGAUCGUAGAGAUGAAUAUCUGAAUUACGAGUUUGGCACAGAAUUAAGACAUUGUGGAAAUUGUUUCACAACCAAUACAGCCUGGAACACCAUAGUGUGAUGGUGUGUCCGAACAUCAUAACUGCACCCUAUUGGAUAUGAUGCAUACCAUGAUGUCCCUUAUCGAAUUACCACGAUAGUUUAUGGGUUAGGCAUUAGAGACAACCACAUUCACUUUAAAUAGGGCACCACGUAAUUCCGAUGAGAUGACACCGUAUGAACUAUGGUUUAGAGAAACCUAAGCUGUCAUUUCUUAAAAGUUUGGGGCUACGACACUUAUGUGAAAAAGUUUCAGGCUGAUAAGCUCGAACCCAAAGCGGAUAAAUGCAUCUUCAUAGGACACCCAAAACAGUUGGGUAUACCUCCUGUCUCAGAUUCGAAAGCAAUAAGGGAUUGUUUCUAGAAUCGGGUCCUUUCUCGAGGAAAAGUUUCUCUCGAAGGAAUUGAGUGGGAGGAUGGUGGAGACUUGAUGAGGUUAUUGAACUGUCACUUCAACUAGUGUAUAGCAGGGCACAGGAAGUUGUUCCUGUGGCACCUACAUCAAUUGAAGUGGAAGCUUAUGAUAGUGAUCAUGAAACUUCAGAUCAAGUCACUACCAAACCUCGUGGGAUGACAAGGAUGCGUACUACUUCAGAGUGGUACGUGAUCCUGUCUUGGAAGUCAUGUUGCUAGACAACAAUGAACCUACGAGCUAUGGAGAAGCGAUGGUGGGCCCGGAUUCCGAUAAAUGGCACAAGGCCAUAAAAUCCGAGAGAGGAUCCAUGUAUGAAAACAAAGUGUAGACUUUGGCAGAACGGCUCGAUGGUCGUAAGGCUAUUGAGUACAGAUGGAUUUUAAAAGGAAGACAGACAAUGAUGGUAAGUAUCAUCAUUAAGAAAGCUCGACUUGUCGUUAAGAUGUUUUCCGACAAGUUCAAGGAGUUGACUAUGAUGAGACUUCCUCAUUUGUAGCGAUGCUAAGAGUCUGUUGGAAUUAUAUUAGCGAUUGCUGCAUUAUUUAUGAAAUCUUGCAGAUAGGAUGUCAAAACAUUGUUUCCUCGACGAUUUUCUUGAGGAAAGGUUGUAUGUGAUACAACCGGAAGGUUUUUUCAAUCCUGAAAGAUGCUAAUAAGUAUGCAAAGCUCCAGCAAUCCUUCUAAGGACUGGAGUAAGCAUCUCGGAGUUGGAAUGUAUGCUUUGAUGAGAUGAUCAAAGAUUUUGGGUGUAUACAAAGUUUAUGAGAAACUUGUAUUUCCAAAGAAGUGAGUGGGAUCACUAUAGAAUUUCCGAUGAGUAUGUGUUGUUAACAUGUUGUUGAUCAGAAAUGAUUUAGAAUUUCUGGAAAGCAUGCAGAGUUAUUUGAAAAGUGUUUUUCCAUAGAAAACCUGGAUUAGGCUACUUGAACAUUGAGCAUCAAGAUCUAUGAGGAUAGAUCAAGAAAAAUGCUAAAUGGUACUUUCAAAUGAGCACAUACCUUGACAUGAUCUUGAAGGUGUUCAAGAUGGAUCAGUCAAAGAAGGAGUUCUUGCCUGAGUUGUAAGGUAUGAAGUUAAGACUUAAAGCUCGACCACAGCAGAAGAAAGAGAAAGGACGAAUGUCGUCCCCUAUGCUUUUGUCAUAGGCUCUAUACAGUAUGCCAUGCUGAGUACCGCACCUGAUGUGUGCCUUGCCACAUGUCUGGCAAGAGGGUACAAAGGUGAUCCAGGAGUGGAUCACUAGAUAGCGGUCAAAAUUAUCCUUGGAGUAAUAAGGACAUGUUUCUCAAUUAUGGAGGUGAUAAAGAGUUCGGCGUAAAGGGUUACAUCGAUGCAAGCUUUAACACCUAUCUGAAUGACUCUGAGUAGCAAACCGGAUACGUAUAGUGGAGCAACCAUUUGGAAUAGCUCCAAGUGGAGCGUGGAAGCAGCAUUUAUAAUAUGACCUAGAGAUUUGCGAAGUACAUACGGAUCUGAAUUUGUAGACCCGUUGACUAAAACCUCUCUCACAAGCAAAACAUGAUCAAACCCAGAACUCAUUGAGUCUUAAUCACAUGAUGAUGUGAACUAGUUUAGUGACACUAGUAAACUCUUUGGAUGUUGGUCACAUGGCGAUGUGACCUGUGAGUGUUAAUCACAUGGCGAUGUGAACUAGAUUAUUGACUCUAGUGCAAGUGGGAGACUGUUGGAAAUAUGCCCUAGAGGAAAUAAUAAAUUGAUUAUUAUUAUAUUUCGUUGUUCAUGAUAAUCGUUUAUUAUACAUGCUAGAAUUGUAUUGAUAGUAAACUCAGAUACAUGUGUGGAUACAUAGACAACACCAUGUCCCUAGUAAGCCUCUAGUUGACUAGCUCGUUGAUCAAUAGAUGGUUACGGUUUCCUGACCAUGGACAUUGGAUGUCGUUGAUAACGGGAUCACAUCAUUGGGGGAAUGAUGUGAUGGACAAGACCCAAUCAUAAGCCUAGCACAUAGAUCGUGUAGUUCGUUUGCUAAAGCUUUUCUAAUGUCAAGUAUCAUUUCCUUAGACCAUGAGAUUGUGCAACUCCCGGAUACCGUAGGAAUACUUUGGGUGUGCCAAACGUCACAACAUAACUGGGUGGCCAUAAAGGUACACUACAGGUAUCUUCAAAAGUGUCUGUUGGGUUGGCACGAAUUGAGACUGGGAUUUGUCACUCCGUGUGACAGAGAGGUAUCUCUGGGCCCACUCGGUAGGACAUCAUCAUAAUGUGCACAAUGUGAUCAAGGAGUUGAUCACAGGAUGAUGUGUUACGGAACGAGUAAAGAGACUUGCCGGUAACGAGAUUGAACAAGGUAUUGGGAUACUGACGAUCGAAUCUUGGGCAAGUAUCAUACCGCUAGACAAAGGGAAUUGUAUACGGGAUUGAUCGAAUCCUCGACAUCGUGGUUCAUCCGAUGAGAUCAUCGUGGAGCAUGUGGGAACCAACAUGGGUAUCCAGAUCCCCCUAUUGGUUAUUGACCGGAGAACGUCUCGGUCAUGUCUGCAUGGUUCCCGAACCCGUAGGGUCUACACACUUAAGGUUCGAUGAUGCUAGGGUUAUAAAGGAAGUUUGUAUGUGGUUACCGAAUGUUUAUCGGAGUCCCGAAUGAGAUCCCGGACGUCACGAGGAGUUCCGGAAUGGUCCGGAGGUAAAUAUUUAUAUAUGGGAAGUCCUGUUUUGGUCACCGGAAAGGUUUCGGGUUUUACCGGUAGUGUACCGGGACCACCAGAGGGGUCCGGGGGUCCACCAAGUGGGCCCACCAACCCCGGAGGCUUGCAUGGGCCAAGAGUGGGAAGGGACCAGCCCCUGAGUGGGCUGGUGCGCCUCCCACAAGGCCCAAGGCGCGGCUAGGAGGAGAAGGGGGAAACCCUAGGCGCAUAUGGGCCUAAGGCCCACCCUAGGGCGCGCCCCCUCUCCCCCUCUUGGCCGCCCCCCUCCAUCCCAUCUAGGGCUGCCGCCCCCCCAGGGGUGGGAACCCUAGAGGGGGCGCACCCUCCUCCCCUCCUUCUAUAAAUAGUGGGGGUUUUGGGCUGCCCAACAUACGAUUUGAUCUCUCCCUGGCGCAGCCCUACCCCUCUCCCUCCUCAUCUCUUGUGGUGCUUGGCGAAGCCUUGCUGGAGUACCACGCUCCUCCACCACCACCCUGCCGUUGUGCUGCUGCUGGAUGGAGUCUUCCUCAACCUCUCCCUCUCUCCUUGCUAGAUCAAGGCAUGGGAGACGUCACCGGGCUGUACGUGUGUUGAACGCGGAGGUGCCGUCCGUUCGACACUAGGAUCUCCAGUGAUUUGGAUCACGACGAGUACGACUCCUUCAACCCCAUUCUCUUGAACACUUCCGCAUAGCGAUCUACAAGGGUAUGUAGAUGCACUCUCCUUCCCUUCGUUGCUAGUUUCUCCAUAGAUUGAUCUUGGUGAUGCGUAGAAAAUUUUGAAUUUCUACUAUGUUCCCCAACAUGUAAUGGUGUGUCCAAACGUCGUAACCGUACUUUAUUAGAUAUGGUGCGAUCUGUGAUGUCUCUUACCGAUUUACCACUAUCGUUUUGGGGUUAUGCAUUAGAGACAACUACAUUCACAUUAAAUAGAGCACCAUCUAAAUCCGUUGAGAUGACACCGUAUGAACUAUGGUUUGGCAAGAAACCUAAGAUGUCAUUUCUUAAAGUUUGAGGUUGCAAUGCUUAUGUGAAAAAGUUUCAACCUGAUAAGCUCAAACCCCAAUCGGAGAAGUGCAUCUUCACCGGAUACCCAAAAGAAAAUGUUGGGUACACCUUCUAUCACAGAUCCGAAGGCAAGAUAUUAAUUGCUGAGAAUGGAUCCUUUCUAGAGAAGGAGUUUCUCUCGAAAGAAGUGAGCAGGAGGAAAGUAGAACUUGAUGAGGUAAUUGUACCUGCUCCCUUAUUGGAAAGUAGUUCAUCACAAAAAUCUGUUCCUGUGACUACUACACCAAUUAGUGAGGAAGCUAAUGAUGAUGAUCAUGUAACUCCAGAUCAAGUUACUACCGAACCUCGUAGGUAAACCAGAGUGAGAUCCACACCAGAGUGGUACAGUAAUCCUGAUCUGGAGGUCAUGUUACUUGACCAUGACGAGCCUACGAACUAUGAGGAAGCGAUGAUGAGCCCAGAUUCCGCGAAAUGGCUUGAGGCCAUGAAAUCUGAGAUGAGAUCCAUGUAUGAGAACAAAGUAUGGACUUUGAUUGACUUGCCCAUUGAUCGGCGAGUCAUUGAGAUUAAAUGGAUCUUCAAGAGGAAGACGGACGCUGAUAGUAGUGUUACUAUCUACAAAGCUAGAAUUGUCGCAAAAGGUUUUCGACAAGUUCAAGGUGUUGACUACAAUGAGAGUUUCCCACUCGUAUCUAUGCUUAAGUCUGUCCGAAUCAUGUUAGCAAUUGCCACAUUUUAUGAAAUCUGGCAAAUGGAUAAACAAAACUACAUUCCUCAGUGGAUUUAUUAAAGAAGAGUUGUAUAUGAUGCAACAAGAAAGUUUUGUCAAUCCUAAAGGUGCUGACUAAAUAUGCAAGCUCCAGCGAUCCAUCUAUGGACUGGUGCAAGCAUCUCGGAGUUGGAAUAUAUGCUUUGAUAAGUUGAUCAAAGCAUAUAGUUUUAUACAGACUUGCGGUGAAGCCUGUAUUUACAAGAAAGUGGGUGGGAGCACUACAACAUUUCUAAUAAGUAUAUGUGAAUGACAUAUUGUUGAUCGGAGAUAAUGUAGAAUUAUUCUGCAAAGCAUAAAGGAAUGUUUGAAAGGAGUUUUUCAAAGAAAGACCUCGGUGAAGCUGCUUACAUAUUGAGCAUCAAGAUCUAUAGAGAUAGAUCAAGACGCUUGAUAAGUUUUUCAAUGAGUACAUACCUUGACAAGAUUUUGAAGUAGUUCAAAAUGGAAUAGUCAAAGAAGGAGUUCUUGCCUGUGUUACAAGGUGUGAAGUUGAGUAAGACUCAAAACCCGACCACGGCAGAAGAUAGAGAGAGAAUGAAAGUCAUUCUCUAUGGCUCAGCCAUAGAUUCUAUAAAGUAUGCCAUGUUGUGUGCCAGAUCUAUUGUAUACCCUACACUAUUUUUGACAAGGAAGUACAAUAGUGAUCUAGGAGUAGAUCACUGGACAUUGGUCAAAAUUAUCCUUAGUGGAAUAAGGAUAUGUUUCUCGAUUAUGGAGGUGAAAAAAGGUUCGUCGUAAAGGGUUACGUCAAUGCAAGUUUUGACACUCAUCCAGAUGACUCAAAGUCUCAAUCUGGAUACAUAUUGAAAGUGGGAGCAAUUAGCUAGUGUAUCUCCGUGCAGAGCAUUGUUGACAUAGAAAUUUGCAAAAUACUUAUGGAUCUGAAUGUGGCAGACACGUUGACUAAACUUCCCUCACAAGCAAAACAUGAUCACACCUUAGUACUCUUUGGGUAUUAAUCACAUAGCGAUGUGAACUAGAUUAUUGACUCUAGUAAACCCUUUGGGUGUUGGUCACAUGACGAUGUGAACUAUGGGUGUUAAUCACAUAGUAAUGUGAACUAUUGAUGUUAAAUCACAUGGCGAUGUGAACUAGAUUAUUGACUCUAGUGCAAGUGGGAUACUGAAGGAAAUAUGCCCUAGAGGCAAUAAUAAAGUUAUUAUUUAUUUCAUUAUAACAUGAUAAAUGUUUGUUAUUCAUGCUAGAAUUGUAUUAACCGGAAACAUAAUACAUGUGUGAAUACAUAGACAAACAGAGUGUCACUAGUAUGCCUCUACUUGACUAGCUCGUUGAAUCAAAGAUGGUUAAGUUUCCUAGCCAUAGACAUGAGUUGUCAUUUGAUUAACGGGGUCACAUCAUUAGAGAAUGAUGUGAUUGACUUGACCCAUUCCAUUAGCUUAGCACUCGAUCGUUUAGUUUGUUGCUAUUGCUUUCUUCAUAACUUAUAUAUGUUCCUAUGACUAUGAGAUUAUGCAACACCCGUUUACCGGAGGAACACUUUGUGUUCUACCAAAUGUCACAACGUAAUUGGGUGAUUAUAAAGGUGCUCUACAGGUGUCUCCUAAGGUAUUUGUUGGGUUGGCGUAUUUCGAGAUCACAAUUUGUCACUCCGAUUGUCGGAGAGGUAUCUCUGGGCCCUCUUGGUAAUGCACAUCACUCAAGCCUUGCAAGCAUUGCAACUAAUAAGUUAGUUGCGGGAUGAUGUAUUACGGAACGAGAUUGAACUAGAUAUUGGGAUACCGACGAUCGAAUCUCGGGCAAGUAAAAUACCAAUGACAAAGGGAACAACGUAUGUUGUUAUGCGGUCUGACCGAUAAAGAUCUUCGUAGAAUAUGUAGGAGCCAAUAUGAGCAUCCAGGUUCUGCUAUUGGUUAUUGACCGGAGACGUGUCUCGGUCAUGUCUACAUAGUUCUCGAACCCGUAGGGUCCGCACGCUUAACGCUACGAUGACAGUUAUAUUAUGAGUUUAUAUGUUUUGAUGUACCGAAGGAGUUCGGAGUCCCGGAUGAGAUCAGGGACAUGACGAGGAGUCUCGAAAUGGUCGAGACAUAAAGAUCGAUAUAUUGGACGACUAUAUUCGGACUUCGGAAAGUUCCGAGUGAUUCGGGUAUUUUUAGGAGUACCAGAGAGUUACGGGAGUUCGCCGAGGAGUAUAUGGGCCUUAUUGGGCCAUACGGGAAUAGAGGAGAUAGGCCAAAAGGAAGGAGGCCUGCGCCCCCCCCCCUCUGGUCCGAAUUGGACAAGGGGUGCAGCGCCCUUUUCCUUCUCCCUCUCCUCCUCUUUCCUUCACUCCUACUCCAACAAGGAAAGGAGGAGUCCUACUCCUGGUGGGAGUAGGACUCCACCCUUGGCGCGCCCUCCUCCUAGGCCGGCCGCCUCCCCCCUUGCUCCUUUAUAUACAGGGGCAGGGGGCACCUCUAGACACAACAAUUGAUCAUUGAUCUCUUAGCCGUGUGCGGUUCCCCCCACCACCAUAAUCCUCGAUAAUAUUGUAGUGGUGCUUAGGUGAAGCCCUGCGACGGUAGAACAUCAAGACCGUCACCACGCCGUCAUGCUGACGGAACUCUUCCCCGACAUUCUGCUGGAUCGGAGUCUGGGGAUCGUCAUCGAGCUGAACGUGUGCUAGAACUUGGAAGUGCCGUAGUUUCGGUGCUUGAUCGGUCGGGCCAUGAAGACGUACGACUACAUCAACCGCGUUGUUAUAACGCUUCUGCUAUCAGUCUACGAGGGUACGUAGACAAUACUCUCCCCUCUCAUUGCUAUGCAUCACCAUGAACUUGCGUGUGCAUAGGAAAUUUUUUGAAAUUACUACGUUCCCCAACACUUGUGGCUAGGAACGAACGAGAGUAGGGGCGGACAUGGGGCUUUUCGCCGGAUAGGCUCAUUUUAGGCCCGAGUGACAUUUCGGUCAUAAUUAUGAUGUCCUAUAGGGAUAGACAUUAAAAAUGAAUCAUUUUUAAGGGUCUCGUGGGAAUCGCCAAAAUUGUCAACUUUUGACGAUUCUAAAAUACACUGCGAUUUUGGAUGAUUCUAGACAAUUCCUAAGAAAGAAAUGAGUUUUUUUUACAAUUUUGAUUUUCCAGACCAUGAUUCUUCAUAAUCGAGUCAAAAAGAAUUGUCCCUUAAUGCUUAAUGUGUUGGCUUGAUCCUUCUGAUCUAUGACUGUCUUCAUCGGUGAUGGUUACUGUUCUGGGGCGCUAUUCUUAUUAGGCUUUAGCACAACGGUUUCCCGGCUGUCUACUACAACAAGGUUUGACCGGCACCUGUGAGGGAGGGGCGAUGACAACGGCGCCCCUUUGGCUCGCUCUAGUGCUUGUAGUCGUCGCUAGGUGGUCCACAUACAUGAUUGUAAUUUUUAUUACUUUUUUUAUUCUUUGUACUACCAAAGACAAAUAGAUUGAAAGUUUGUUGAGGGGGUUCUCCAGCGUGUUGGACCAUGCGCCGUUGCAUCUGUCGAGGAGUCUCCACAUGUAUCACAAAAAGCGACUCCGCUUUGAGGUGCACUGGACUAAAUUGGAGGGUUUCGACGAAGCCGUCUGCGAGGCUUGGGCAUGCGAUGAGGAGAUCGUAGACCCUUUCAAACGCUUGGAUGCUUUAUUCCGUAACAUGGCUACCUAUCUUCAAGCUUGGGGCCAACGCAAGUCGGGCAACAUCAAGACCCUGAUGGCCGUAGCGAAUUGGAUCAUUUUCAGAUUCGACUGGGUGCAAGAAGUAAGGAUCUUAACAGACAUGGAGUGCUGAUUGCGGAGAACGCUAAAGUUGGCCUUGCUGGGUUUGGCGUCCCUAGAGAGGACCAUUGACCGCCAAAGAUUGUGGAUUAGAUGGUUAUGGGAGGGAGAUGCGAACACUAAGUUGUUCCAAGCAGUGGCGAACGGCAGAAGGUCAAAAAACUUCAUACCCAAGAUCAGGCAAGGCACGAAGAUUAUCACGGAUCAGGACAAAAUCAUGGACGUGUUUGCGGACGCGUACAACAACAUCUUGGGAAAGGCCAGCGCUAGAGGACACUCGUUGGAGCUGGACCUUCUGGGCAUGUCGGAGCUUGAUAUUUCGAAUCUGGAAGGGAUUUUUACAGAGGAGGAAGUUUGGCAUGUGAUCAAAGAAUUGCCGCAAUAUCGUGCGUCUGGGCUGGACGGCUUCAUUGGGCUUUUCUACCUCAAAGCCUGGCAUGUCAUCAAGUCUGAUAUCAUGGCAGCGCUGCUUAAGUUGUUUGUUGGCGAUUGCAGGGGGUUCGGCAAACUCAACAAAGCUCAUAUCGUUCUCAUCCCCAAAUCUCCAGAGGCUCUAGACGUUAAGGACUACAUGUCCAUUAGCCUCCCCCGCAGCUUUGCCGAGCUGUUCGCGAAGCUGAUGGCCACGAGAGCUAGGAAGCGCAUGCAUGAAGUAGUCAGCAUCAAUCAGUCCGCCUUCAUCAAAGGGCGGAGCAUCCACGAUAAUUACCUGCUGGUCUGGCAGGUUGCUAGGAAAAUCCACGCCUCCAAGAUACCAUGUCUCUUUCUCAAGCUGGAUAUUGCUAGAGCUUCCGACUCCUUAUCUUGGCCGUUCCUGGUGGAGGUACUUGUUGGGGAACGUAGUAAUUUCAAAAUUUUCCUACGCACACGCAAGAUCAUGGUGAUGCAUAGCAAAGAGAGGGGAGAGUAUCGUCCACGUACCCUCGUAGACCGUAAGCAGAAGCGUUAUGAGAACACGGUUGAUGUGGUCGAACGUCUUCAUGAUCCGACCGAUCCAAGUACCGAACGCACGGCACCUCCGAGUUCAGCACACGUUCAACUCGAUGAAGUCCCACGAACUCCGAUCUAGCAGUGCUUCAUGGGAGAGUUCCGUCAGCACCACGGCGUGAUGACAGUGAUGAUGUUGCUACCGAUGCAGGGCUUCGCCUAAGCACCGCUACGAUAUGAUCGAGGUGAAUUAUGGUGGAGGGGGGCACCACACAUGGCUUGGUGAAAGAGGACAUGCAGUGCCCCCAUGUGUGGUUUUGGUAAUUGAUGACAUUCUCUAUGGACUAAUGGUUGCAUUGAGUUAUAUUUGAAGGAUUUGUCCAUAGGCAUGUCUUGAAGUCCAUGUGUUGGUUUCAAGGAGUUUAUGUGUGGACUAAGGUGCUAUUAAGGAAUUAUCCAAAGAUUGGUCAUGUGAGUGUUGCGCUUAUUGCAAGCAUGUCUUGAAGAAGAAGAAGAUGGUGUGAUCAUUCAUUUAUACCUUCAAAACAUCAUCCAAAUGAAGAGAGUUAGAAAGAUUCAAGGUUGAUCAAGACUAUGUACAAAGAGUUAUUCAAGUUGAUCAACAAACAAAGCGUAGAAGAUGUACCAAGUGGGAUCAAGUGAUCUCAUGGUAUGGUAUGUUUCCAUGGGCUUGCAUCAAGAGGAAUAUAUCAUACAACCCAUGGAGAGGAUGACAUCAAGUGGUGAUCGUCAUCAAGAUUGCGGUAUGCAAGUUCAAGUGGAGCAUCACGAAGAGAUCAUCCUUGAAGCUUGAUGUCCAUUGUGGUGUCAAUGGACUUGUGAAGAUGUGCCAAAGAGUGGCUCACCCAUAGUGGAGUAUGGGGGAGCAAUCAACUAGUCUUCAUCGAGCCAACGCAAUCAAGAUGGGUGGUCCAACUUGAGGGAGUCAAGGUCGUCAUCAUCUAGCUCAAGUGGACUAUGUGCAAGGCAAAGGUUUUCCCUUGAUAGGUUUUCUAUUUUACCAGUCUCAUGGUGGUAGUUGGGAGACUGGGUUAUAUGAUCAAUUGCCAUACUAUCAAGGGGGGCUCUCGAUGAGUAGCUUGAUCGUAUCAUUCGUAGAGAGCUCAAACCAUUGCAUCCUAGCAUCAUCUUUCUUGGUUCUUGUUUGGUUCUCUUUGUGAGUUUUGGAGCUUAUGGUCAUCUUGAUGACAAGCUCGAGUUCAUCGAAAACGGAGUUCACUUGCAUCUUCUAUGAUGUUUUCGAUGUUGGAGGUUAUGCCCGUUCUUCUCUGUUGGAGGUCUCACUCCUCCAUUUGUUUAGCAUUCCUCCCCUACCUCUUCUUACUAUAAUCACUCGUUGUUGGAUGCUACUCGUCGUCAUCUAUCCAACAAGCUUGAGUUUGCGCAAUUCGGAGAUCAUAUGCAGAAGUUGUGGCAGUUUAGGCUUUAUUGCAUCCUCUAUUUUCUCUAUUGUGUUCUUGAAAGCCUCAAGCGGUAGUACUGCUCUCUAGACUGGUAGUACCGCUUGUAAGAGGCAGUACCGCGGCCCUGUGUCGUGCGUAGUACCGCUGUUUCUGGGGAUGCGCCUUUUUCGUGUCGAGUUUCGCGGUAGUACCUCUUAUAAGCGGUAAGCGGUACUACCUCUCCACCCGAGCGGUAGUACCUCUUAUAUGCAGUGAGCGGUACUACCUCUCCACCCGAGCGGUGGUACCUCUUAGAAGCAGUAAGCGGUACUACCUCUCCUCAGAGUGGUACUACCUCUCUGGCAGAACUACAGCUCGUGUUUUUCUCUCUCGUUGGGUUGUUUUGCUCGUGCUAAGCGGUAGUACCGCUCCUCCAAGCGGUAGUACAGCUAGUACGCAACCUGAGCACAUAACGCUUGGAUUCGGGAGGUCCUAUAAAAGGGGGUCUUCUUCCCCAUUGAACCUUAUAUUUUGAGCUCGUGUUCUUCCCCCAUUGUUGACCUUCUUUGAGCUUGCUAACUCUCAAUCCCUCCAUGCAUUCUUGCUAGUUUUUGAGGGAAAAGAGAGAGGAGAUCUAGAUCCACAUUUCCACCAAUCACUUUCUCCUCUAUGUGAGGGGAACCCCUUGGAUCUAGAUCUUGGAUUUCUUGGUGUUAUCUUUCUUGUCUUCCUCUCAUUUUCAUCCCUAGCAUUAGUUGCUUCGGUGCGAUUUGAGAGAGAAGGACUUGGGCACUCCGUGUGCCCUUGCCAUUGCAUUUGGUGCAUCGGUUUGAGUUCUCCGCAGUGAUACGUGUAAGUUACAAGUUGAGAAGCUUAUUACUCUUUGGUGCUUGAUACCUUUGAGCUUGUUCCUCUUGGGUGCUUGGGCGCCCUAGAUGGUUGGUGGUGUUCGGAGCUCAAUCAUUGUGGUGUAAAGCUCUAAGCAAGCAUUGGGGUCUCCAAUUAGGUUGUGGAGAUCGCCCCGAGCAAUUUUACGGGUUCCGGUGACCGCCCCCAAGGGUUGCCAAAGUGUACGGGUUCGGUGACCGCCCCCAAGGGUUGCCAUUUGUAUGGGUUCGGUGACCGCCCUCAAGGGUCCCUUAGUGGAAUCACGACAUCUUGCAUUCUGCGAGGGCGUGAGGAGAUUACGGUGGCCCUAGUGGAUUAUUGGGGAGCAUUGUGCCUCCACAACGCUCCAAACGGAGAUUAGCAUCCGCAAGGGUGUGAACUUCGGGAUACAUCGUCGUCUCUGCGUGCCUCGGUUAUCUCUUACCCGAGCCCUUUACUUAUGCACUUUACUUUGUGAUAGCCAUAUUGUUUCGUGUCAUAUAUCUUGCUAUCACCUACUAGUUUUUCUUGCUUAGCAUAAGUUUGUGGUGCACAUAGGUGAGCCUAGUUAUUAUAGGUUUUGUCCUUGACAGCUAGGUUUAUUCCGCAUUUGUUCAAUCCUAAAACGUAAUUAUUUUAAAGCGCCUAUUCACCCCCCUCUAGGAGACAUCCUCGUUCUUUCAAUUGGUAUCAGAGCCUUUUCUCUCUUUAUAGGGCUUAACCUCCUAGAGAGUAAGGAUGUCGACUAGGGGUUUAGGAUUCUCUGACACUCUUAGUUUCGAUGGCACAAAUUUGAUGUUUGGGUAAUUCGCAUGCUUAAUCUCUUUAGGGUCAUGGACCCAAAUUUAGAGAGAAUUGUAGAUAUGGGUUUUUCUCCUCUAAAGAAUCCCCGAAGAUUAUCUUUAGAGGAUGAGAAAAACUCUUAUCUUAAUGCUCAAGCUUCUAAUGUGCUUUUCGAUGCUUUGAGCAAUGUAGUUAUUUUUCAACUCAUGCCGUUUCGGGAUGCUCAUGAGUUGUGGACAAAGCUUCAAGAUAAACAUGGAGUGUCCAAGUUUUAUGGGGAUGAUUGUUCUCCCUCCACCUCCGGCCGUGUUGUUUUCUCAACUUCUUCUACUUCACCUACAUGUGGAUUGCCACAAGGUAAUGAUAUGGUGAGUAGUGGUGUUCAUUGCAAUGAUGAUAGUGUGCUUAUCGUUGAUGAUUCCUCAUUACUACCUUAUUGCAAUGCUCCAUCUUUGGACUUCAACACUUCUAGCUCUCUAAAUGUUUCACAUGCUCGUGUUGAUAGUCCUUGCAUAUCAUGUAGAAAUUGCUUUACUAAAUCUCAUAAUGAUGUGCUUGCUAUAUCUUGUUGUCAUGAUAAAAAUGCAUCUAUUUCCUCGAAUCGUUGUGCUAACAAUGUAGAGGAAAUCCAACACCCCAUGGAACAAGAUGUGAUCUUGAAAGGUGCCUCAAGGCAUCCUACAUCAUCAUCGAUUGCGUUUUGCCUUAUGGCUAAGGCUUCAAAGGUAUCUCCCACUUUGAAUCCCAAGAUAUCUUGUGAUGAUAUUGUUGAUGACAAGAGUGAUGAUGAUGUUGAUUAUGAUGAAGAGAAUGAUGAUGUUGCCUCCUUAAAAAUUAAGGGGGAAAUGAUUUUUAAAGCUCUUCUUAAGAAUAACAUUGCUCGUUCCAACUUCAUGGAAAGCAUGUCUAUUGCUAUUGAGGGCAAGAAAUAUAUUGAUGAGUUGGAAUCUCGCCUUGAGGAGCAUGAGGUCACCAUUGAUAAAAUGGAAGGUCAUGGGCGUGAUUACGCUAAUGAGAUUGCGAACCUCUCUCAAGAUUUUGAACUUGAACAAACCACCAAGGAAUCUCUUGAGGAGACUGUUGCUCUAGAAUUAUCUAGAGUGAAGGAAUCUCAUGAUAGAGCUCUUGAGGUGGCCAAUGUUUUUGAAACGAAAAAUGCUAAGCUUGAAGUUGCUCAUGCUAGACUCCUUGAGGAUUUUGAGCACCUCGAAAAUGGCUCAAGGGUCAUCAAGGGUGAGCUCAUCAAACUCAUCGAGUCUCAUGCACAACUUAAAGCCUCAUAUUCAAAAGAGCUUGUAAAGUUGCCUUCUCCUCUUGCUAUUAUUGAUGAUGCUUGUGCUACUAACUCUAUUACAUGUGAAGCAUCCAUUUUUAAGGAGAAUGUUGAGCUACGGGCUCAACUUGAGUUGCUAUCUAGCAAAUAUGGGAAAUUGGAAGAAAGUCAUGAAAAGCUCUCAAACUCUCAUGAUGAUCUUCUAGUAUCCCAUAAUGUGCUAAAGAUGGCUCAUGAGGCCAUGCUUGCCAAGGUAACAUCUAGUGAGCCUCAUGUGUAUACUAGCACUACUUCUAGUCAAAAUGCUAUAUUGCUAUGUGCUAGUCCUUGUAAUUCAUCUACUCACAAUGUUGGUACAUCUUGUGAUGAAUUGCUUUCCUUGACUUGUUGCUCUAACUAUGAAGCUUAUACUUCCUCUAGUACUUGUGUUGAGACUAACCAUGUAGAGGAAAUCAAAGAUCUCAAGGCCCAAGUCACUUCUUUGAAGAAAGACUUGGAAAAGUGUCAUGAAGGGAAGGCCACACUCAACAGUAUCUUGAGUGUGCAAAAAUCCCCCAAUGACAAAGGUGGACUUGGAUUCAACUCCAAUAAGAAGAAGAAGUCCAAGAGCAACAAGAAGAAGGGCCAAAAACAAGUCAAGAAUUUGGUCAUGAUCAUUUGCUUCAAGUGCAAAAUUGAAGGACAUCAUGUUAGAUCUUGCCCUUUGAAGAAGAAGGCCAUUAGUGACAAGCAACAAGGGAAGCGGCCACAAGUUCAUUCUCAUGCUCAACCUCAAGUUGAAGAAAGGCCUCUUCCCAAGAAACCUCAAGCUAGUGCUUCUCAAGUUGAGAAAUCAAGUGAGAAGAAAGUGAAGAGUAGACGUUGCUACCUAUGUUGUGAUAAAGGUCACCUUGCCUCCUCAUGCACUAGUGGUAACUUAUCCAACCCAAUUAUUAUUGAUGAUAUCUAUAUUCUUGGGAAGGAUAAGGGUGGCAAUGUGUUUGCCAAGUUUGUUGGUACUCAAAGUGGUGUCAAGCAAAGAACCAUUUGGGUAGCCAAGCCUAUUGUGACUAACCUCCUUGGACCCAACUUGGUUGGGGACCAACUAGCUCAAACUUGAUCAAUAGGUGUCUAUGGAGGGCAUUGGAGACUUGGCUACAUUAUGAAGAAUUAAGGGGGUUUUCACCAUUCAUAUUUUCUCAAGCCAAGUCAUUCGGAUUAUCAAGUUUCUAUCUUAUAUCCAAUGUUCCUCCUUGCAGUAACUUGUACUUAAAUUGCUUACAUUAAAAGUUACUUGCCCCCUUGCAUGUUUUGGUUUUGUUCCUUGCAUGUGUUUGUAUAUGAUGUGUCUCCAAAGUGCUUUUGUGUAUGUUGGUUUGCACAUCAUGUGCAUGUGUGUCGUUCGUUGAGCCUUUGUGCAUCUUGGUCAUAUCUUAGUUGGCUCUUGUGAGAGAUUAAUGGAAUAUCCCAUUAUGGGGAAGUGAUGUGCUUUUGUGCACUUCACAAUCCUAUAAAGGUGGGUACAUGGGUAAUACCACUUAGUAUUGAUAUUACAAGAUUAUCUAGUCGCUACAUGGUAUGUCUUCUCAUGAGAAAUUCAAAUUCUAAGUAGUCCAUUAAUUAUCUCUUGUUGGAUCCUUUUAAUUGCCUCUUGUCUAUAUUUAAUUGGUAUCACAUUAUGGGGGAGUAAUAUGCUAUGUAUAUUACUAGCCUAGAAAAUGUGUACAUUUGAGAUAUUGUCACCUAGUGCUGAUAUUGUAGAUUAUCUUGUUCCUAGGUGGCAUGUUAGCUCUACAAGUUGCAAUUUGGUUAUGUUUGGUGUAAAGAUGAUGUUGGAUAUCCUUGAUAUCUACCACCGGGAAUUAUUUCCAAAUACUUCUUGUCUUUUGACAAUGGGUACUCUCUUAUGUGUGGUAGAAAUUAUUGAUCAGCUUUACAUUGGCUUUUGCUUUUAUUUGCCUUUUCUCUUGCCAAAGAUUGUAUUAACCAGCUUUGUCUUCCAUACCACUUGUGGAUCUUGUUUAUUUCUUGAUCUUGUCUAGUGUUUUCUAGAUAUAGUGAAAGUGGUGAUCCCAACUUGUGCAUUUUGUAUUCAAAUGCAAAUUCUCUAUAACGCACUAGUCUUGGGGGAGCUAUCCUAUUUUCUAUAAAACACUCAUCUUGCGAUCCUUAUCAAGUGUGUGUUGGUGGAAGGCAAGCCAUUUUGGUUUUGGUACUUGUGCCAUCAUGAAACUUUGUAGAGAGCUUGGUUUGUUUGGAACCAUCCUCUCCUUUGGGAGUUUGAUAUCUUUUAUUUUGAGUGUAUCAAUGGAUGUCUCAUUCCUUGAUGUAUCUUUCAAUGGAUAUCCUCCAAGUGAUGUUUUAUUCAUUUGGUAUCUCUUCUUCCUUGGUAUUUCUUUGUCAAUUGGUAUCGGUUCUUGAGAGUAUUGAGCAUGCAUAUUAACUUCAUGUAGUAUCUUUGGCAUGCUUUAUUUUUGACCCAAUAUAUAGGGGAAUCUCCACCAAGUCUCAAAUUGAAUGAGAUGUGCAUGAAAUUCUACUUCAUAUCUAUAUGCACAUAUUUAUAUGGAGUUUGUCCUAUGUAUUGUUGGUGUUUCUAACUCUUUGGUCCCAAUGAGUUUGGAUACCAUUUUGUUUGUGUUGUUGUUCUAGGAACAAUUGGAGAUGCAUUGGAUGCUAGGCUCGCUCACAAGGAAGGUGGUGUCACCAUGUGCUUAUUGGAGUCAAGCUAGGAUGCUUAAUGAACUACUAUCUAUUACCUUCAAUUGGUUUCUUCUACAUCCUUCCAAUGAUAUCUCGGUAACAAGUAUCUAUUCAUGCAUUCUUUUCUUGCAUUCAAUCUUGUGUAGGUUGCAUCUUGGCAUGAUAUUCAUUCCAGCUUGUGACACUUGUUUCCUUUCUCAAAGCAUCUCAACGAUGAUCUCAUGUUGCUAGUUGUGAUGUCUUUGAUGGUUGUGUAGUAGGAAUUUAUUUAUAUACAAUAAGACCAUAUCUAGCCAUGUGUUAUGCUUUCAAGCAAAUAUCUUAUUGGUAUAUUUAUGAUUUCCUUGUGGAUAUCUUGUUCUUUCCUUUUUGUAACUAUUUCAUGUGUAUAUCCUUCUUUGUAGAUAUAUAUCAUCAUGAUUUCGUCUACCUAGAAUCUUAUACACUUGAGAGAAGUUGCAUAUCUAGUUGAUAUCCUUUCUUUCACAUCCACCUUGUCUUUCUUAUGUUAUUUCUUUGGUGGCUCUGUGAAAGCUUUUGCCUUGAGUGUGUGUCUUAUCUCGUUGCAUCUUGAUGCACUCUUGUGUGGUGAAGAUUAUUUUCCUCAUGCUUAUCUUUACAAGGCUUUUGCCAUCUUAAUUGGUAUCCCUCGUCUUGAUGAGGCUUUCAUCUCUAUCUUCACCACGGGUUGUCACAAGCAUAAGUUCUUUAUAUGCUUAUUAGUAAGCUUGUGAACCCAUUUACUUGUUGUGUGUGGGAAUGAUAGGCCUUUCACCAUGUUGCCUCAUUCUUUCAAGACUUUAUUGAUGCUUAAUGCGCAUCCGUACAUUAGUCUUCUCAAGUGCAUUUCCUUGACUCACACACAUCAUUUUGGUUGAGCCCAUUCUUAAGUUUCCUCUUUCACUUGUUGCUCAACCAUGUGUUUGUUGCAAGUACUAGGCUUAGUUUCCUAUUUGCUCACUUGCACUUGUUGUAAGUUUCUAUUGAUUUUGGGGGAGCUAUGAUCCUAUUUUGUGCACUUUGUAUCCAAAUACAAAAAUUCUUAUGUGUGCACAAAUCAUGGGGAGCUUCUCUAGUUUCCUUAGAACACUUCUUUGCUCAUAUCAUAAUAUCAUUUAUUCAUGUGGCUCGUAGGAUCUUUGGUCUAGUUGGUUCGAUUGAUAUCCUUUGAUUGCUUGCUUAAAUUGGUAUCUUUUGAUUGCUUGAUUGCUUGUGUCUCUCUUUCUUAUGUCCUUGUGGCAUAUAUUUCUUUAGCAAUCUAUGUGCCUCAAUAUAGUUUGUGUUCCUCCAAGUAUUUACCUUUGAAUAUGUGUAUGGCAUUCCACUAUCUUUUUGAUAAAUACACAAUUUAUGGAGGAACACUUUUUAUAUUGGCCUUCUAAGCUUUUCGCCCAUUUUGGCAAUCGAUGCCAAUGGGGGAGAAGUUUCAGAGAGUUUUGUGGAGAAGGUUUUCAGAGUCUUCUCCUUGCUUUGGUUUUGUUCCUAAUCAUUCGCAUCUCAUUCUCCUGCAUCAUUGGUUGUUGCAUUGCAUGGUGAUGCAUAAUUAAACUCUCUUGAAAGUGAUUGUCAUCAAUUACCAAAAUGGGGGAGAUUGAAAGGACAUGCGGUGCCCCCAUGUGUGGUUUUGGUAAUUGAUGGCAUUCUCUAUGGACUAAUGGUUGCAUUGAGUUAGUACCGCUAGUACGCAAACUGAGCACAUAACGGUUGGAUUCGGGAGGUCCUAUAAAAGGGGGUCUUCUUCCCCAUUGAACCUUAUCUUUUGAGCUCGUGUUCUUCCCCCAUUGUUGACCUUCUUUGAGCUUGCUAACUCUCAAUCCCUCCAUGCAUUCUUGCUAGUUUUUGAGGGAAAAGAGAGAGGAGAUCUAGAUCCACAUUUCCACCAAUCACUUUCUCCUCUAUGUGAGGGGAACCCCUUGGAUCUAGAUCUUGGAGUUCUUGGUGUUCUCUUUCUUGUUCUUCCUCUCAUUUUCCUCCCUAGCAUUAGUUGAUUCGGUGGGAUUUGAGAGAGAAGGACUUGGGCACUCUGUGUGCCCUUGCCAUUGCAUUUGGUGCAUCGGUUUGAGUUCUCCACGGUGAUAUGUGUAAGUUACAAGUUGAGAAGCUUAUUACUCUUGGUGCUUGGUACCUUUGAGCUUGUUCCUCUUGGGUGCUUGGCCGCCCUAGACGGUUGGUGGUGUUCGGAGCUCAAUCAUUGUGGUGUAAAGCUCCGAGCAAGCAUCAGGGUCUCCAAUUAGGUUGUGGAGAUCGCCCUGAGAAAUUUGACGGGUUCCGGUGACCGCCCCCAAGGGUUGCCAAAGUGUACGGGUUCGGUGACCGCCCUCAAGGGUCCCUUAGUGGAAUCACGACAUCUGGCAUUGUGCGAGGGCGUGGGAGAUUACGAUGGCCCUAGUGGCUUAUUGGGGAGCAUUGUGCCUCCACACCGCUCCAAACGGAGAUUAGCAUCCGCAAGGGUGUGAACUUCGGGAUACAUCGUCGUCUCCGCGUGCCUCGGUUAUCUCUUACCCGAGCCCUUUACUUAUGCACUUUACUUUGUGAUAGCCAUAUUGUUUCGUGUCAUAUAUCUUGCUAUCACCUAGUAGUUUUUCUUGAUUAGCAUAAGUUUGUCGUGCACAUAGGUGAGCCUAGUUGUUAUUGGUUUUGUGCUUGACAGCUAGGUUUAUUCCGCAUUUGUUCAAGCCUAAACCGUAAUUAUUUCAAAGCGCCUACUCACCCCCCUCUAGGCGACAUCCUCGUUCUUUCACUUGGAACAAUCAACUUGUGUGUCUUUGGGUGCCCCCCACCCCCUGUAUAUAAAGGAGCAAGGGGGGAGGCCGGCCAGCCUUGGUGCGCCCCAAGGAGAGGAGGAAUCCUCUUCCUACUAGGAAGAGGAUUCAUCCUUUCCUAGUCCAACUAGGAAGAGGGAAGGGGGAAGGAAAGAGAGGGAGAGGGAGAGGGAAAGAGGGGCUGCGUGCCCCUCCCCUAGUCCAAUUCGGACUCCCCAUGGGAGGGUGCGCGCCACCUCCUGGGCUGCAGCCCUCUCUCUCCCCUCAGGCCCACUAAGGCCCAUCCCCGGGGGGUUCCAGUAACCCCUCCCGCGCUCCGGUUUUCUCUGAAAUCAUCCAGAACACUUACGGUGUCUGAAUAUAGCCGUCCAAUAUAUCAAUCUUUACGUCUCGACCAUUUUGAGACUCCUCGUCAUGUCCGUGAUCACAUCCAGGACUUCGAACUACCUUCGGUACAUCAAAACACAUAAACUCAUAAUACCGAUCGUCACCGAACUUUAAGCGUGCGGACCCUACGGGUUCGAGAACUAUGUAGACAUGACCGAGAGUCGUCUCCGGUCAAUAACCAAUAGCAGAACUUGGAUGCUCAUAUUGGUUCCUACAUAUUCUACGAAGAUCUUUAUCGGUCGAACCGCAUAACAACAUACGUUGUUCCCUUUGUCAACGGUAUGUUACUUGCCCGAGAUUCGAUCGUCGGUAUCUCAAUACCUAGUUCAAUAUCAUUACCGGCAAGUCUCUUUACUCGUUUCCGUAAUGCAUCAUCCCGCAACUAACUCUUUAGUUGCAUUGCUUGCAAGGCUUAUAGUGAUGUGCAUUACCGAGAGGGACCAGAGAUACCUCUUCGACAAUCGGAGUGAAAAAUCCUAAUCUUGAUCUAUGCCAACUCAACAAGUACCAUCGGAGACACCUGUAGAGCACCUUUAUAAUCACCCAGUUACGUUGUGACAUUUGGUAGCACACAAAGUGUUCCUCCGGUAAUCGGGAGUUGCAUAAUCUCAUAGUUAUAGGAACAUGUAUAAGUCAUGAAGAAAGCAAUAGCAGUAAACUAAAAUGAUCAAGUGCUAAGCUAACGGAAUGGGUCAAGUCAAUCACAUCAUUCUCCUAAUGAUGUGAUCCCGUUUAUCAAAUGACAACUCAUGUCUAUGGUUAUGAAACAUAACCAUCUUUGAUCAACGAGGUAGUCAAGUAGAGGCAUACUAGUGACACUCUGUUUGUCUAUGUAUCUACACAUGUAUUAUGUUUCCGGUUAAUACAAUUCUAGCAUGAAUAAUAAACAUUUAUCAUGAAGUAAGGAAAUAAAUAAUAACUUUAUUAUUGCCUCUAGGGAAUAUUUCCUUCAGUACUAAGGGCACGAGGGUUCGUAUGGAGAUGGGUUAGUUGGGUGACUGCGUUGCUAUCCACGGUGAGCACCAGGAUCAUUUUCAACGGAGUCCCAGGAAGCAUCAUCUACCACACUCAGGGUCUAAGGCAAGGGGACCCCGUCUCCCCUAUGCUUUUUGUGAUCGCCAUGGACACUCUCUCUUCCCUCAUCAACACAACCAUGACCGAGGGUGUCCUCAACUCCUUCAGAGGGAUCGAGCCGAUGCAGAGGCUUUCGGUUUAUGCUGACGAUGUAACGAUGUUUGUGAAGCCUUCAGUGCAAGAUCUGUAUUGCAUAAAGGAGCCGUCGGAGGUUUUUGGUGAAGCUUCAGGCUUAAGGAUUAAUUUCACAAAAUCGGCUGCGAUUUUGAUAAGGGGAUCAGAGGAGGAUGGGCGUAGAGUGAGGGCAGUGCUGCAAUGUCAGCUAGGCGCAUUCCCUUGCAAAUACCUUGGAAUCUCGCUCGCGAUCCACCAAUUGGGAUGUACGGACUGGCAACCGUUGCUCGAUCAAGUCAGGAAGGUGGUACCUACAUGGCAAAGAGGGUUGAUUCAGAGGUCUGGAAGAUUGAUCCUUGCCAAAUCAGUUGUCUCUGCAAGGCCGGUACAUCAGCUCAUGGUGCUUGAUGCCCCUGGAUGGGUCUUUGAAGACAUGAAGAAAUGGAUGAGGGCGUUCUUUUGGGCCGACAAAGACAAGGUAAAUGGCGGGCAAUGCCUUGUGGCUUGGGACACGGUGUGCCGUACAACAUGUUUUGGCGGCCUGGGAUUCCGAGAUCUACGCAUGCAGGAGAUUGCGCUGUGUGUGCGGUGGGAAUGGUUACGCAGGUCUGACCCAUCUAGACCUUGGCACGGUAUUCCUAUGACAGAGGAUGCAAAGGUCAGGCUUGUGUUCAAUAGUCUUGUUAAGAUCAAUGUGGGCGAUGGCAAGAGGGUGUUGUUCUGUAUGGAUCGUUGGAUCCAUGGGUUUACAGUCAGUGAGAUUGCUCCCCUCAUCCUCGGGAUGGUGAACAUGAGGGAACGCAACAGAAGGACAGUAAAACCGGCCUUGUCGGGGAAUGCAUGGACGGUGGACGUUCAAGGUGACAUCUCCUUCACUGCGCACAUGCAGGUGUCCAAUCUAUGCCUAGCCAUCGCCACAGUCCCGACUAAUGAUCAGAGUCCGGACCAGUUUCCUUGGCCAGUAGACAUCUCAGGAACUUACACAACAAGGUCGGUCUACCAAAGGUUAUGCAUGGGCAACGACAAAAGGCAUUUGGAGGAGCUGGGCACCCUUACGGUGCAAAUUUUUUGCUUGGCUUGCGGUGUAGUAUCGGCUUUGGACUUCUGGCAGGCGAGCCAGACAAGGCCCCCAAGAUGAGAGGUCGCCGUGCUUCACGUGCCUUUAAGAAGAAGAUAACACGGAUCACAUCUUGGUGCAUUGCGUCUACGCAUGAGAGGUGUGGCACCUAUGCCUCGAUUCUUUCCAGCUUAACAUCCACGCGCCGACCACCAACACUACCUUUUCCGAAUGGUGGCUGGAGCAAAUAUUGAGGUUAACAGGCAGAGUGCGACGAGGAUUCGACUCCUUUGUCAUAGGGACGGCAUGGGCUCUGUGGAAGCAGCAUAACGCUAGGGUGUUCAACAGGCCGCGCGAUCAGAAGACACCUCCCCAACUGGUAGCGCCAAUUCGUUCUGAGAUUGUAGAUUGGACUAGUGCAGGGCUCAGUGUUGGAGGUCUAGAUCCUUUCGUGAGAAUGUAACUGUGUGAGUUUGGGUUGGGGUCGGAGUGGUGUUUGCCAUCUUGGAUGUUCGCAUCUCCGUUUGGUCUCUUGUAAAUAUUGUUCUGUCUUUUAUAAAAAUAUGGUACGCCAUUGGCGUACUCUUGAAAAAAAGUUUGUAGUUUCAAAAAAAGAAAAAAGAAAAAAAGUUUGUCCAGAAAAAAGUGAUGGCUUCGAAGAGGCCUGAUAUGGGAGCCGCACCAGUAGCUACGGCCGCGUGCUCCUCCACUAGUGUGCCCUGAUCCGCGGUAGGCGCCAAGCGGCAGAUUGCACAAUAUUCUGGUUGGCGGCAGUACUUGAAUUUGCUGCCCGCCAAACGGUGUUAAAAUCACGCGCCAACUCCCGGCCCGCGCACUUCUCGAGCCAACUUCCCCUCCCAUGCCGCCACUGUCUCCCUCCGCAAGCCGCGUGCGUGACCUCCCAUUCCGGUCGCCGUCCUCUUAGCCACUAGCAUGCUUAAAACCUAACCGUAGCGCCGGGAAACCAGCACCAAAUGAAGCAAGCAACCACCCAUGGACACGCCCAUGCCGAAACGGCCUCGCCUCGUGCCGGCACCAGCGCCGGCGCCUCGGACAAUCGCCGACAUGGCCCCGGAGAUCCUCCUCCGCCUCCCUCCGGACGACCCCACGCGCCUUGUGCGCGCCUCCCUCGUCUGCUGGUGCUGGCGCCACCUCCUCACCGACCCAGCGUACCUCCGCCGCUACCGCGCAUUCCAUCGAACACCUUCCAUGCUCGGUUUCGUCCUCAACCUGAAGCAGCAUUACCAAGGCAUGGCCCAGCUCGUCCCCACCUCCUCCUUCUGCCCCGCCGCCUCCGACCGCCCCGACCUGAAUGUGCUGGACGCCCGCCACGACCGCGUGCUCCUCCACACCGCUCAGGGCCAGCGCCUCGUCGUCUGGGACCCCGUCAAGGGUGAGGAGUUCAAGAUCCCCCGCGUGCCGGCCUACGCGCUUGGCUUCAACGCGGUCGUGCUCUGCGCCGCGGUCGGCUGCGACCACCUCGACUGUCAUGGCGGACCCUUCCGUGUCGCCUUCAUGGGAUGCGGCGAACAUGGCAUCACGUUCGCCUGCACCUACUCGUCGGAGGCCGGUGCCUGGAGCCAGCGAGUUGAGAUCGAGCAGCCGGCAUUUGUUGACGGGCGACCGAGCUUCCUUGUGGGGUACACGCUCUACUUCACCUGCAACCCGUACCUCAAUUUCAGAAUGUUGGGGUACGACAUCAUCAGGCAGGAACUCUCGGUGAUUUGGCCGCCGUCCCAGCACGAGUACUACUCUUGCACCGUCCUCGUGAAAGCGGAGGAUGACAGGCUGGGGUUCGCCGGCGUGCGAAAUGGCACGCUCUACCUCUGGUCGAUGAAGGAUGGCACCAACGGAGAGGUGGAAUGGGUGCAGCGCAGAGUUAUCCAGCACAAGACGAUGCUCCACACUCGUGGCCUCUCGACGCCACCUGAGGUCGUUGGCUUCGCGGACGGCCACAGACUCAUUUUCGUUAGAGCAUCUCCAACAGGCGUCGGUCGCGCCGCAUGCAAAAAACAGAUAUGCCGCGCGCGUAUCGCCUGGUUUGGCACGGCGCGCAGCGCUGGCUCCAGCAGCCGCGCUAAAAUGCAGCGCGCAAAAAUGCAGCGUGCGCGACUCGCCGGUGCAUUGCAUAUGGCAUUUUCAACACAAAAUGAUAAACAUUUUCCAACACAAUAAAAAUUUCACGCAAACAAGUUGAUGAAGUUCAUGCCCACAAGUUUAAAAUCAUGCCCACAAGUUCAUCCAACCAAGUUCAAAAUGCAAAUCAAGUUCAAUACACAAAUGAAAGACACAUCAUUCCUCGUCCUCGUCCUCGUCUUCGUCCUCGCCCUCAUCUUCGGAAGACGAUUCUUCCGCCUCCGAAGAUGAAUCUUCCUCCCUCUCCUCAUCGCGCAGUGCAUCACGUGAAGUCCGAUGGUGUUGGCAAGAUCUUCAACGGCAUCUUCAUGGGAAUGUGUGCGAGGAGGCACAUCGAAAGACAUUCCGCCCAUGGCGGCCGGAGGUGCACCCAUGCCUCCCAUGAGUGAAGCAAAACUCAUGCCUCCCAUGGUGGCCAUAGCGUCGGGGGGUGCUCCAAUGCCAGGCAUGCCUCCCAUUGCACCUAAACCGCCCACGGUACCUCCAAAGCCACCCAUGGCGCCGAGGCCACCACCACCCAUGGCGCCGAGGCCACCGCCACCCAUGGCGCCGAGGCCACCGCCACCCAUUGCGCCAAGGCCAUCGCCACCCAUUGCGCCGAGGCCACCACCACCCAUUGCGUCAAGGCCACCACCACCCAUUGCACGAACCAUGGCUCUUUUUUGGAUCAAGACUUCUUCUUGGUCAAGAUUGACAUGCUCCUUUUGCGCCGCAUUGAGGUUAGUUGUGUCCAAGAAGAACAAGUGCUUCUCCCAUUCCAACAACCUAGUUCGCUCCUCAUUGCUCACCUUCCUCUCCUCCAAAGCCACCUUCCUCUCCUCGGCCGCGGCAUCUUGGGUCCUUGCCAUUUUCCUCACCUCGUUGGCUUCUUUUCUUGCCUUCACAAUAGCUUCCAUAGCAUUUUUGAGCUCAUCAUCUCCUUUCAUCUUCUUCUUUUCGGUUUUGUCUUUCUUGCACCCAUCCGGUCGCUUUGGCUUCGAGUAUGAAACCGAGUUGGGUGUGGGGCUUCUCUUGCCGUCAUCACUUGAUGCAUCAUCCUCCUCAUCAUCAUCAUCCAACUUAGUUGUUCACUUCCAUUUGUCGCUCAAAUGCAAAUCAUCCAAAUCUUCACGCUUCUUCCAUUUCUCAUCAUUCUUCAACACUUCAUAGCAAUGAGGCAAAGUAAAUACCCUUCCUUUCUUGAUCUUCCCCUUCUUGGUUUUCCUCUCCUCUUCUUUGAACAAGUUUUGCGCAAUGUUGUACUACAUGAAAACAAAGCAAGUUAGCACCAACAACAAGCAAAACAAAGAAAGUUAGCACUAACAUGUAAGAUGAAAUGGCACUUACUCUAUCGUCCUCAUUUGUGCCACUUGGGUUCAACUUGUCAACCGCCUUUUGACAGGCCGCCCACCUUUGACAAUCCGAGUUGAUUGUCGACCAUCGGGACCUAAGUGAUCGGUUGGAGCGGUCAAUUCCACUCAUGUUGCGAGCACAAAAGUGUUCCUUCAUCUGGUUCCAAUAAGCAUCUCUACUUUGAUCACCUCCAACGGAUGGGUCCCUCGACACUUGCAACCAAGUAUUACAUAGUAAGAUGUCAUCGGCGUUGGUGUAAUUGCCCGCUCUUCCUUUCGGUGUGUCGGCAAUGCCCUCACCCUCCUCGUCCACCUCGAACUCAUGGUCUUCAAAAUGCAUGUCAUUGGUUUGAGACCAAUGCGAAUUGUUGGAGCCAACACCCAUCGUUGACAUGUAUGCAUCAUCAUUGAGACUACAAAUUUUUUUGCACAAUGCAAAUAAGCUAUCUAUAUGUGACGAAUGCAUUCAAAAAAUAACAAAAAAAGAAAAGUUAGUUUUUUUUACCUUGGAGGCAUUUCGUCGAACAUGUUGUGCGCGCCGGCCGCCGGCUCAACGAGUGACCUUGCCGGCGCUUCGGCAGCCGCCGCACCCGUCGCACGCCCCGCAAGCUUAUUCCUCCUUGCCUUGGAGGUGCCGGAGCCGUCCGCCGCCUUGUUUUUCUUCGCCGAUGUCUUUCCCUUCUUUGGCUGCGCCGCAUUGGGGAGCUUUGAGGAGGAGGGGGCGGCGGCUCGGGCCGGCGCCGACGUGACGCCACCUGCCGCCGAGGUCAUCCGCGGCGGCAUGAAGAGGCCGCGCGCGAGGCCGCUGGUCGGAGGAGCUCCGGCGGAGGCGAGGCCAACGCCACCCGGGCUAGGGUUUGUGGCGGCGGCAGCGGCGGGGUCGCGGCUAUAGGACGGAGUGAGCGGGGUGUCGGCGCGUGCGUCCAUGGGUGCGGGUCACCGGCGCCGGUGCGCACGGGGUUUUGGAGGGGGAGAAGAAGAGCGCAGCGCGAGCGUCGAGUGUGCCGCGCGCGGAAGCGGGCGCCGCAAAUACACCGCACGAGGUACUGCUUCCUGCCGCGUGCCCAACUGGUUAUACCGUGCGCGCGGUUAUUGCACGCCCGCUGGAGCCAUCCGCCGGGUUGCGCGCGCGCUAAAGUGGGUAUAUUUACGGCGCGGCGCCUGUUUAGCGCGCCUGUUGGAGAUGCUCUUAGGACAGGCAACACGGUAUUCUCCAUGGAGCUCAAGUCAGGCCAUGUCCGUAAGGUAUACACCUGCAGGUCAAGAAACUACGACGUCAUCAUUGUUCCCUACAUGAGCUUCUGCACUCCAGGUACGUAUUGAUGCACGUUUGAGAAUUAUGAUGUGUGAAUAUUUGCAAUGCCAUAUGCUUUGAGCUGCUCUUGCAGUCUUGCUCAUAGGCAGGUUGCGCAAGGCUGUAAUCUUAUAUGCAUCUCCUUGCCCCUACUGCCUAGUAUAUGUAAUCUUCAGGUUGUUUGUUUGUUUCAGCUUCUCCUUGAAGAACCUGUUUCAUUCAAAUUUUAUCGACAAUUCUCGACAUUGGCUUAGAUAUAGUACUUCCUCCGUCCCAUAGUAUAAUACACUAGUGUAAAAAAGCUCUUAUAUUAUGGGACGGAGGGAGUAAAUCUGAAUAAUUUUAUUAUUUUAGAUUUCAUACCUAACUAGUCGGAAUAAAGAGCUACAACAUGGUUAUAAGCUUAAUCAAUUGUAUCUUUUCAGAUCGUGCUAUGGGAAAACUGCCAUCGCCAUGAGGACCCACUGUUAUCCUGUAACAAGGAUCUGCUGCCCUUGGCUUGUUUCAUAGAUGGAGCUCCAAGUGUUAUGCUUCCAAGCUGGACUGUCUAAGUAGUUACCAUGGUCAAUGUUAGUAUGUUUAGUUACAGUGUGGCAGUUGAAACAAGGACAAAAGUUAUGUAAUCAUUGGUCAGUUUAGUAUGUUCCCUUUGCAGUUGUGAAGCUUAAGCAAGACAAUGAUGGUCAAUUAGUAUUUAGUAUUGUAUCUUUGAGUAGAUUGUGCAAGCUCCUGUGGAAUUGAUACUACAGAGUAAGUUACAAUGCAGAUUUGUUGAUCUACUCUCCAGUUGUGAC